CACACCAUCGGAAUAAGCCACUGCACUUCCUUCACGGAGCGUCUAUACCCUAACCAAGAUUCCACCAUGGACAAAACAUUUGCCAACAACCUUAAAACCCGUUGUCCAACUGCGAACUCCAACAACACUGUCAACAUGGAUAUCCUAAGCCCUAACGUUUUCGACAACAAGUACUACGUUGAUCUCAUCAAUAGGCAAGGGCUUUUCACAUCGGAUCAAGAUUUGUUCACUGAUAGAAGGACUAAGAACAUUGUCACAAGCUUUGGUGAGAAUCAGACACUUUUCUUUGACAAGUUUGUGCAUGCCAUGAUUAAGAUGGGACAGUUGAAUGUUUUGACUGGUGGACAAGGUGAAAUUAGGGCUAAGUGUUCUGUGAGGAACAAGGAUAAGUUGUUGGCUGCUGUUGUCGAAGGGUUGGAGAAAACCUUGUCCGCUGCACUCUAAGUUAAUUAACUUGUUUUAUAGUCUUUUGUUAAUGUGUUUCUUGUACGUAAUAAUUGGAGGCCAUAUGUUUCCAUGAUCUACCGAACACGGGCAUGGCAUGGCAUGGCGUUGCUGUUGGUUUUUCUUUUGUUUUUGUUUAAAUAUAUUGAACAUGUUAUUCAAACUCUUAAUUAUAAUUAGAAGUAGUACUUAAUCCACAAACUUGAGUAUAUAUAUAAACCCAAAUUUGAGAAAAAACAAGUAUGAUUAAUGAAAUUAAAUAACACACUAAGAGAUCGUUGAGGAAGAAGCUCUUCAGCGUUAGUGAUUGCAAAAUGUAUUGGCAAAGCAAUGGAGGCCUCUCCUUAUUUUGGCUUGGACUUAAAGCUCUUCAUCUGUUACCUCAGUUGAUCAUGAGAAUAUGGAAUUAAUGGAUUCAACAUUUGGUGUUUUAAAGGAAAGUUGCUGUAUAGGAUACUUAAGGAUGGCUUUUUCCAAUAUUUGUGGCGCCCCAGUCCACCAUCGAAUCUUUCUUGAGCAAGGACAAAGAGGAAGAGACUGCUAAGAACUUGAAACAAGUGCUGAGGUAGCAUAUAAGAUAUUACAGCUUCUGCCUAAUUUAGUAGCUUUUUGUGAUUUUGUAUAUGUGUUAAAAAAUGGUCCGAUCCAAAAAGAAUGACCACUUUUUAAAUUUGGCAAUAAUUUAGCUUAAACUUACAAUUAUAUCCUUAAUAAAAAGUUUUUAUAACCACACAAAUACUCUGGCCCCUUUUUAACUUGUUUAGAAACACAAAUUCCAAAAGUUAGAAUACUUAAUAUGUAAGAGGUAUAUAUUAUAUUUCGAACCCAUAAUUAACUCAAAUAGUCAGUGAGUUUAGUUUCGCUCCGUCACUCAUGACUUAGAAAAGAUACAACAAGUAUGACGCAGACGAUGACAAUUGAGUGAGCAAGAUCCUGAGAAACGAAAGAAGUUGAAAGAAUAUUUGUAAGCAAAUAGAAUUUGUCCGAACGACUAAUAUUUGGAAAUGGAGAGUAUUUUUUAAGAAGUAUCUAUCAAUACUCUUGAAAUAUCACCACAUUCAUGUCCAAUGUACUUAAAUUAAUACAUAAAUUAUAAGUACUUAUAUUUGUGGUAUGUGAUAUUAUUUUCUUGUUAGUCUGUUUAUAAAAAAAAAAAAAUUUAUAUUUCAAUAUCAUAUGACACUUAUUUUUUGUUUUAUCCUUAAUUAAUGAUAAGAGAACUUCAGAUGAUUUGAUUCUCUGUUGUAUUUGCAAGUUUCAACAGAGACGUAUAUAUAGGGAACUAAUAGGAAAUCUUGAUUCUUGUCCUAGUUCUAACAGGAUUAGGGAAGUUUGAAAUUAUUUCUUUUAAGAAAUAAAAUAUGUAAUUCAAAUCAUUAUUAGGGUUUUUAUUAGUGACAUCUUUUUGACCAUUUGUUGUCAGCAUAUUACCUGUUAUUAAUCACAUAAAUUUUAUUUUAUACUAGGUUCUUUAAGAAUUUGAUUUUAUAAAUUGUAUACGGUCGAAACCGGGCUCGUCUAUUAUAUGACCAGUCGAGACAGAAACGUGACGGGUUAAAACUUGACCUCGGGUUAUAUCAAACCAAGGCGCAAAGUUAAAUCAUUGAGUUCGUGACUCCGGGACCGAACAAAAUCGAGAAAACUUUGUCGAGCCAAAUAACGGAAGGCCAAAAUAUCCGCAAUUAGUUAGAUAUCACGGCGAAAAUCUCGGCACGUAUCAAGGAGAGGCCGAUUAAUUAGUAAAUUAUGUGAUUUUAUACCUUUAAUAGAAUUGUAUCAAGAGUGAGACUCCCCUACUAUAUAAAGGGGAAUCUAAUUAUUUGUAAAACACAUUGUAACACGCAUCCCAAAGCAAUAAAUUAUCAUUUCUAAUUAUUAUCUCAUUGCUCUGUUCGGGCACCGAUUGUGGCAUAUCUUGACUAGAGAGUGACCAACCUUCAAGGCUAAGGCUGUCCAAUUUGGUAGUUUGUAUUUAUUUUCUUCUCAUUAAUUUCAAUAUUAAUUUGUUCUCUCAGUUUGUAUCAAGUUAUAUCACAUAUCCUUAAAACCGCGUAUAAAUUCAAUUGUUAUCCGAUUUUAGGGUAAACAGUUUGGCGUCCAUCGUGGGGCUGAGGAUAAUAGUGAUUAUUUGAUACAAAUCUCUAUAACAUACACUGCUUUACACUUGCUCUUUUAAGUGUCUUUGAUUCCAGGCUAAAACACAAAAUGUCAAAUUCUUGAUCAGCACCUCUGCACGUUGACAACGAGUCCGGUCACCAAGAUGAAAAUAACAACAUAGCACUCGAUAACGAGAUACCACCUACCAAUCCCGCUGGAAUUCCGAUCGUAGAUCCGAUUGAUGUUAAUUCACAUGUGGCUAUCGAUGCAAAGCUGCCUAUUGAUCCCGAAAAUAACAUUCGUGGUGGAGUCCGAUCAGCAACUCGAAACACACAAAACAUUGAAGGGGACGGGAUCAGUCUACGAGUGAUCUUCGUAAUGUUGCAGGCACAAUAUGUGGCAAUAUCCCAAUUACAAAACCAAAACCGUGCACCAAGCAGGGUUGAGCCCGAUCCUCCCCGAGAAAUCACCCGCAGGGAUCAACCGGUCAUAAAAAGGUCGAACGAAAAUGAUUCGAGGGCUAACCCUGAGAUUAUAAAGAAGCUCGAGGAAUUGACGAAACAGAUAUAAUCAGGGGAGAAGAAGAUCAAGGCCAAUGAUAAAAAGAUGGAAAAUUACAAUUCCAGGUUAGAUCAAAUACUAGGAGCACCGCCGAUAUUGAAAGGCUUGUAUUCCAAGAAGUUCGUGCAAAAACCCUUUCCCUUGAGCGCGGCUCUAAAACCGAUCCCCAAAAAGUUCCACAUGCCCGAGAUUCCUAAGUACAAUAGAGCGACUGAUCCGAACGAACAUGUUACCUCUUACACAUGUGCCAUCAAAGGAAACGAUCUAGAGGAUGAUGAAAUCAAAUCCGUUUUGUUAAAGAAAUUCGGAGAGACCCUGUCAAAGGGAGACAUGAUAUGGUAUCACGAUUUACCACCUAAUUUUAUUGACUCUUUUGCUAUGCUUGCAGAUUCUUUUGUAAAGGCACACACCGGAGCCAUCAAGGUCGAAACCAGGAAGUCGGACCUUUUCAAAGUAAGGCAAAAGGACAAUAAAAUGCUCAGAGAAUUCGUAUCUCGAUUCCAAAUGGAAAGGAUGGACCUACCACCGGUCGCUGAUGAUUGGGUCGUUCAAGCCUUUACCCAAGGGCUCAACGUUCAAAGCUCCGUGGCUUCAGAACAGUUGAAACAAAAUCUGAUAGAGUUCCCGUCUGUUACUUGGGCGAAUAUGCAUAAUCAGUACCAAUCAAAAAUCAGGGUCGAAGACGAUCAACUCGGGGCUCCUUCCGGGUCCGUCUAUCCUAUUAGAACCGUCGACAAAAUCAAGAGAUAUAUUGACCGGGAACCGAGGACGAACAGAGAUCGGUAUCAUCCAUGUAAUGGGGAUCGGGGAGGCAAUGGGUCCGGGUGUAACUCUAUGAGAAACGAAAGGAGAAAUGACCGAGGUUAGAAUAGCCGGUGACUUAUGACCAAAAAUGGCUUUGACAGACCCAUCGGGCCCAAAGACGCACCAAGGCUAUCAGAAUACAACUUUAAUGUCGAUGGUGCUACCAUCGUAUCAGCUAUCGGGCGCAUUAAAGAUACCAAAUGGCCUUGAUCUCUAUAGACUGAUCCAAACUAAAGGGAUCCUAACCAGAUGUGCAAAUAUCAUGGCACUCACGGUAACAGAACCGAAGAUUGUCGACAGCUGAAAGAGGAAGUAGCUCAUCUAUUCAACAAUGGGCACCUUCAAGAAUUCUUGAGCGACUGAGCCAAGAAUCACUUUAGGAACAAGGAUUCUAACAAACGAACAGAAUAAGAAGAACCUCGGCACGUCAUCAACAUGAUCAUCGGCGGGGUUGAUAUCCCGGAGAGGCCGAUGUUGAAACACACCAAAGUAUCCCUCACUAGGGAAAAAUGAACUCGAGACUACGUACCGGAAGGAACUUUAUCUUUCAACGAUGAGAACACCAAAAGGAUCGUACAACCCCACAAUGAUGCACUGGUAAUUUCUAUACCCGUGAAUAAAAUUUGGGUUAAACGUGUGUUAACUAAUCCAGGUAGCUCGGCCAACAUCAUUCGAUCAAGGGUCGUGGAACAGCUCGGUCUACAAGACCAAAUCAUACCCGCAGUCCGAGUCCUGAUCAAUAUGGCAUGUGAAACCACUAAAGGGGAAAUAACAUUACCAGUCAAUGCCGUCGGUACCAUCUAGGAAGCCAAGUUUUAUGUGAUCGGGGGUGACAUGAGAUACAAUGCCCUGUUCGGGAGGCCAUGGAUCCACAACAAAAGGGAAGUGCUUUUGACCCUUCAUCAAGUGUUAAAUUACCCAACGCCAGGAGGGAUUAAGACGAUUUACGAAGAACAACCAGCCGCAAAGGAGAUGUUUGCAGUCGAUGAAGUAAUUCCGAUAUCAACACUGCAACAUCAAAUGAGCCAAUGUCGGAAGCAAAAUAAGAGGCCAAAUAGCAAUCACCGAUGCCAGCCUCGACCCAACUAGAUAAGCAGGGUACUAACGAAGACAACGAUUACGGGGUCCCCCGAUCCUUUAUAAUCCCUGAUGAUUCCGAUGCUACAAAAUCAACGGUUGAAAAGCUGGAGCAGGUCGUACUGUUUGAACAUCUUCCCGAUCGAAAGGUAUACCUAGGCACGGGACUAAACCCCGAGCUUAGGAAAAAACUCAUUCAAUUUAUUAUAGCUAAAAUGGAUUGUUUCGCGUGGUCCCAUCUUGACAUGACAUGGAUCCCCCCCGGAGGUAACUACCCAUAAACUAAGCCUGGACCCGAAAUUCUAUCCGGUCAAAUAUAAAAUAAGGCCCCAAUCCGAGGUCAAACACGCUUUCAUCAAGGACGAGAUACCUAAACUCCUUAAAAUAGGAUCCAUUCGGGAGGUUAAAUACCCGGAUUGGUUAGCAAACGUAGUAGUAGUCCCUAAAAGGGGGAACAAACUAAGAAUGUGUGUAGAUUAUAAAGAUUUAAAUAAGACAUGUCCCAAAGACUCUUUCCCUUUGCCUAACAUCAAUCGCAUGAUCGAUGCCACGGCCGGCCAUGAGAUCCUCAAUUUUCUCGAUGCCCACUCCGACUAUAACCAAAUAUGAAUGAGCCCAGAUGAUCAGGAAAAGACCUCUUUUAUCACUAAGUAUGGCACAUACUACUAUAACGUAAUGUUAUUUGGAUUAAAAAAUACCGGUGCCACUUACCAACGCCUAGUAAACCGGAUGUUCGAAGAACAAAUAGGGAAAUACAUGGAAGUUUACAUUGACGAUAUGUUAGUAAAGUCCCUGUGAGCAGAGGACAAUUUAAAGCAUUUGCAAGAAACUUUCAGUAUAUUGAAGAAGUACAACAUGAAGCUGAAUCCGGAAAAAUAUGCGUUCGGAAUCGGUUCAGGUAAAUUUCUCGGGUUUAUGGUAUCCAACCGAGGAAUCGAGAUCAAACCCGACAAGAUCAAAGCUAUCAAGGAUAUCACGGUAGUAGACAAUGUGAAGGCCGUACAAAGGCUAACCGGGUGCAUUGCCGCACUAGGGCGAUUCAUCUCGAGGUCCUCCGAUAAGAGUCACCAAUUUUUCUCAUUAAUAAAGAAGAAAAACAACUUCACAUGGACCCCGGAAUGUCAACGGGCCUUAGAAGAACUUAAGUGAUAUUUAUCGAGCCCGCCGCUGCUUCACACGCCGAAGACAUAUGAACAACUAUACUGGUAUUUGGUAGUAUCAGAAAUAGCGGUAAGUGGAGUCCUAGUUCGGGAAGAACAAGGUACGCAAUUUCUAAUUUAUUAUGUUAGCAGGACCCUAAGAGAGGCUGAGACUAGGUACCCUCACCUAGAAAAACUAGUGCUCGCUUUACUAACUGCCUCUAGGAAACUAAAACUAUUUUCAGUGUCACCCCAUAUGUAUUGUAACAACUUACCCAUUACGAAAUAUUAUGCACAAACCCGAACUCUCGGGACGAUUGUCCAAGUGGGCCGUUGAAAUUAGUGGGUACGAUAUUGAGUAUCGACCCCGAACAUCCAUCAAAUCUCAAAUUUUGGAAGAUUUCAUGGCUGAUUUUAUGCCGACCCUAAUACCCGAGGUGGAAUGAGAGUUGUUGGUAAACUCGGAGACGUCUUCGGGAAUCUGGACCCUCUUUACGGACGGUGCUUGGAAUGCAAAAGGGUUCGGACUCGGCAUCGUUUUAAAGCCACCAACAGGCAAUGCAGUUAGCCAAUCUAUUAGGACAAUGAACUUGACUAACAAUGAGGCCGAAUAUGAGGCCAUGAUUGCAGGUCUCGAACUAGCCAAAAGCUUGGGGGCUGAGGUGAUCAAAUCCAAGUGCGACUCCUUCCUCGUGGUAAACCAAGUUAAUGGAGCAUUCGAGGUCAGAGAUGAACGAAUGCAAAGAUACCUGGAUAAGUUAGAGGUAGCAUUACAUCUGUUCAAGGAGUGGACCUUACAACACGUCCCCCGAGAUCAAGACAGUAAGACGGAUGCCCUUGCUAACUUAGGAUCAUCGGUCGAAGACAACGAUAUUCAUUCAGGAGCAGUGGUGAAGCUCAUGAGAUCGGUGGUAGUAGAGGGGCAUGCCGAGAUAAACUCUACAAGCCUGACUUGGUAUUGGAGAAACAAAUACGUAGAAUAACUGAAGACCGACAAAUUGCCCUCGGAUUCAAAAGAACCAAGGGCCCUCCGUAUAAAGGUAGCCCGAUUUUGUUUGUCUGAGGAUGGAAAUUUAUUCAGAAGAAUGUUCGAUGGCCCGCUGGCAAUAUGUCUGGGUCCAGGAGAUACCGAUUACGUUAUGAGGGAAAUUCACGAGGGCACCUGUGGAAAUCAUUCGGGCGCCGAAUCAUUGGUUCGGAAGGUGAUCAGGUUAGGUUACUACUAGAUCGACAUGGAAAAGGACGCAAAGGAGUUCGUACGAAAAUGUGAUGGAUGCCAACAACAUGCUCCGAUGAUACACCAACCUGGGGAGCUGCUACAUUCGAUUUUAUCGCCAUGGCCGUUCAUGAAGUGGGGAAUGGACAUCGUCGACCCCCUUCCAUGGGCACCCGAUAAGGCUCAAUUUAUAUUGUUUAUGACUGACUAAUUUUCUAUGUGGGUGGAGGCCCAGGCAUACGAAAAGGUUAGAGAGAAGGAGGUCAUCGAUUUCAUUUGGGACCAUAUCAUAUGUCGGUUUGGAAUGCCGGCCGAGAUCGUGUGCGAUAACGGACAAGCCCUAUCAAUACCUUAUCACCCUAGUGGGAACGGACAAGCCGAAUCAACCAAUAAAAUCAUACUCCGGAACCUUACAAAGAGGUUGACCGACACUAAAGGAAAAUGGAAAGAACUCUUGCUCAAAGUUCUUUGGGCAUAUCGUACGACCUCGAAAUCCAGUACCGGAGCCACUCCUUGAUACCGAUCGAGGUUGGAGAGCCAAGCAUCAGAUUUUGAUAUGCAACAAAGGAAUCAAAUGACGAGGCCAUGAAUACAAGCCUAGAGUUAUUGGAUGAAAAGCGUGAGGUCACCCUUAUUCGGCUGGCUGCCCAAAAGCAGCGGAUCGAAAGAUAUUACAACAGGAGGGCCAACCUUCGGUAGUUCAACAUCGGGGACUUAGUGCUAAGGAAGAUUACGUUGAACACCCGAAACCCGAACGAGGGAAAGUUGGGGCCGAACUGGGAAGUGCCGUAUCAUAUAUCGAAAUUACUGGAAAAGGAUCAUACAAGCUCGGGAUGAUGAACGGUGAACAACUAUCGAGCAAUUGGAAUGUCACUCACCUAAAACGAUAUUACUGCUAAGGUACGGCCCCAUUCAUUUUCUUUUAUUUAGGACUAACUCUUACAGGUGAUCGAUAAGGAAAAGUACGAGAUUUUAGGUCUGAAAGCACGCGUUGCACUCUUUUUUCCUUGAACCAGUUUUGUCCCAAAUGGGUUUUUCGGCAAGGUUCUUAACGAGGCAACAAGUAAAUCGUGCUAACUUAGAAUCGAAGGCCGACAACGAACCGGUAAAAGUGAUCAAAAUAAUAUUCGAGGACUUACUUCGAUCAACCUCGAACACUGGGGGGCAUUACUCCACGAUAUCAACUUUAGCAUGAAAAGAGAUUUCAGGAUUGAAGGGUCUCGAUCAGUAGGAUUCAAUGUAAGGGCCAACCGGUCAAAUGAGUUGUGCCCACGUAGACUGCUCGAACCCUGAUGAAAAGCAUGUACACAUACAUCUAUAUUAUGCACAAAAAUAAAGAGAAGUCUCUUCCUUGUAGUCAUCUCAUAUUUUAAUAUGUCUUAAAAUUUCUUCUUUACAUUCAUUAAAGAAUUUCCUACUUCCGAUCCCCUAAAGGCAACGAGCCCAAGGGCCACUUAUAACCAGAGUUCGAAUGAUCAUUCUCUCACUUGAGGAAUGCCGACCGAAAAUUCGGACGACCCAAGCUACUAGACCUGGGGGGCAUAAGACAUAUUAGGCAACCAUAAAAUUUUAAAGGCCACAGCCACCCCCGCUCGAGGACUGUUAUCUUAGGCAAGCCCGGAUAACUCAGGAAAGCAAGUCCAAUGGGUGGCUCCCGAACUAAAAGGCUACGACCAUAUUAACAUGGCUCGGACACGUCCGAGGACCGUAACAAAAACUAGGCCUUCGAAAUAUUUUCAUAACCGAUUCUAAAUGCUACCCUCAGCAAGCUACAAACCUAAACUAUUUUAGGAAAAAGAUUUCGGUAACACCGAAUCCCUGCAAUGCCUUAACAUAAAGUAACAUUAAAGGCAAGGUUUGUUCGAACCUUCGAACAUAACCUACUUAUUUCAUGCUAAGGCAUUUCGACCUUUUGCGAAUACAAAUGAUAAAACAAAGAAAAAAUCCAAAAGCUUAAAGGGAAAGAAAGCCUUGUAUAUAUUUACCAAAGAUUCUUUUACACAGGCCAAAUGGCCCCGAUACAGAAAUUUACAAUAGCCAAAACGGCAAAGACAAAACAUCUAAAAAGAUCCUAAGUGGCCUAAUCUUCACCGGGAGCCGCGUCGUCGCCUUCGGGGCCUUCACUGCCUUCGGGCCCAUCCGAGUCUUCAGAUCCCUUGGAAUGGAUAAGCCAGCUUCCUGGCCUUGGCCUCGGAUACCUUGGCAUUUUCGAUCUCCGCCAGCAGGUCGAAGCCCUGAGCUUGAACUCCUUCCAGGGCCUCCCUUUGGGAUUGCCACCUCAUGUGCUUCACCAAGUUUUUCGCUUGGAGCCUUAUAUUGUUCCACCCGCUUAUCAGCCUUGGCCUUAACUGCAGCAACCUCCGAUUUGGCCACCUCAAGUUCCUUGGCCAGAUUUUCUUGGCCAGAGACUGCCAAGCUCAGUUGAUACUGGAGCUCCUCGAUAUUCUUGGCCUGCGCCAUGGUUUAUUCUUUUGCAACCCGGAGAUGGACCUCAGUCGAAGCCAAUUGUUCUCGGGUGGUCUCCUUUUCCGAAGCCAUGCGGUCCAUAUUUUUCUUCCAUUCCUCGGCCUCAGCCUUCACCAUGUCCACCUCCACCUGGAGUUGCUCGAUUUGGUCAAGUCUCUUCUGAACCUGCGGGUUCGGGUCAUUAGCCAUCGAGUCUAAAUCAUCAUUACUAAGUUUGAAUACUCGUCUUACCUGCUCGACCAGAUCGGCAUGUUCCGUCCGAGCCGCUUCUAGCUCAGCCUGGAGUUUGUCGCUGAGAAGCUUGUAGGUGUCCCUCUUCUCAGUCAGCUCCCAAACCUCGACCUUGUAUUGGGAUAACUCCUCCCGACAUCGGAGGAAAGUUUCAUGGUGAAGUAUCGAGGCCUGCGAGCAUAAAGAAAAGUGUUACGAUUAUUUGUUACUUAAAAUCUAAGUACUUAGUAAAGAGGCACUCAAAGUUACCCAAUUCAACACCUCUUGAGCUUCAUUGAACAGGAAGGAUGCUUCCACCUCGUCCAUCUUGGCCUGGUCCUCUUCGGUCACCAAGCACCGAAGAUAGCUAGCAACCCCCACGGGGACGAAGAGAACCUGGGCAUCCUCCGGGACAGAGAUAACUAUUGACCGUUUUUUGUCAGGAUCAGCACUCACCGACCCACUAACCCGAGCUCGAAGAAGGCCCGCUGGUCCCAAAGACGGUGUUUUCUUUGGCACUGGUAAAUCACCAAACCCGGUAACAUCCUCCGAGGCGGUGGAUUCUAAAUCAUCGAAGAAGUUAUUGAGAUCUGCCGCCCCCUUAGGCCCCUCGUUCAAAUGAUCCUUUAGCAUACCGGCCUCGUUGAUCAUGGAAUCAGAGAAUAAAGGAGACCCGGUAAGAUCAAUCACCCCAAGCGCAUCUUUUGGGGAACUCUCCCCUGCUCGAGGAAUAUCAGCCACGGUUUCCUUUUCAACCUUCAUAGCUUAGGGCGUAGUAGCCUCACCUUUCUCCUAUUCAGGGACCCCGGUCACUACCCUCUCAGCAGCAUCCCUAGCUUGGGGCAAUAUGGUAUGGACUCGCACCCGAGCCACCAGUUCGGAAUCUUCUUCUUCUUCAGAUUCAUCCCUCAGUUAGUGGACUAAGUCCGAUGUGAGGGCGCCGAUGCUUUCUUUAGGUUUGCGCGCCUGCCUCUUUUUCAGUUUUUGCUUCUUCGAGUUCGGGGAACUCGGAGCCCCUUUUCUUUUCUUCUCUUUAUCCUUCUUUAGAGCGGGAGAUUGGCGGAGGACGAUUUCAUCAGCGGAUGAGGGCCUCAUUGCAACAUCUUUCCCAAGGCCUAUAAAGAAAAGGAGAUGAGUAAGUUUGGAAAGAAACCUAAAUGAUGUCAGUACGAGGAAAAAAUCUUAACGUGAGAACGGGCUUCCCACCGGCCCUUUGAAAGUUCACGCCAUGUGCGCUCGGAAUAGGGCUUCUGAGAUAUGAUGCCCUCGACCCACUCCUUGAAUCGGGGAACUGCAUCCGGCAUCUAAGCGACAGCUGAACCACGAAGCAUCGAUUAAGUGAGAGGAAAGGAAAAAGCAAUAAGCAAAUCUUAAAAGUGAAGUUAUACUUACGUUUCAUGUUCCAUUUCUCGGGAAAGGGUAUUUCAUCGGCUAGGAUUAGAUCCGAGGUCUUCACUCGAACGAACCGGCCCAACCAGCCUCGAUCUCGGUCCUCAUCUAUGCUCGAGAAUGGGGCCUUAUUAGCUCGACGAGCAAGCUUUAUCAAUCCCCCUUGGUAGAGUCGGGGACUGUACAGACGCAUGAGAUGGUUGAUGGUGAAGGGGCACUUGUCGAGCUUGCUCACAAAAAAAUGAAGCAGAAUAACAAUCCUCCAAAAUGAAGGAUGAAUCUGCCCGAGCGUCACUUCAUACCUUUUGCAAAAGGCUACGAUAACUGGGUUUAGAGGGCCCAACGUGAAGGGAUAAGUGUAAACACUUAGAAAACCCUCCACGUGGGUAGUGAUUGACUCUUCGGGCAUAGGCACCACCACGUGUUUACCGGCCCAAUAACAAUCUUUCUUGACUUUGGGGAGGAGAUCGUCAGUGAUAGAAUAUAUAUACCUCGAGACCGGCUCGUAUCGAACACAGUUGAAGUCGGCCCCGGUUGGGCACCCCACAGGAACGAACACAGUUGAGGAGGGUUCUGGUGUCUUUUCCUCGACAGCAGUAGACAAAGCUUUUUCUUCUUCAGACGGUCUCGAGGAAGAGGGAGUUUCCUUUUGAGGAACAUAUUUAGAAGUCUUUGCCAUUGCUUCUGAGGAAGGGUGAAGAGAUGGUACUGAUGAAAGAGAGGGCGUAAUUGGCGGAUAGUUUAUGAAAAUUGUGAGAAAACUAUAAAGGAAGAAGUUUUAAACUUAAACCAGAAAACUAGAGGAUGAUGGUGAUGAAAUAUUUCUUAAUAGCACAAGAACAAACGUUUGAAUGUAAAAGUUCUAAUUGAUGGAAGGAUGAAUUAUUUAUAGUUUGUAAACGACGGUUCACAACCCGUAGUGGCCGACCAACAACUGACAUACAUUUAAUGCCUUGGAGCUGGACCGACGGGACGUUUCAGUUACCUUUUGCCGCUUACAUCAUGAGUUAUCGAAGCGAGGCUUGGAAGUUCAUAUCGUUUCUUGUGAUCUUCUCUCCGAAAAAUGAGGGGACUAUCUGUAUAUAGUCGAAAUCGGGCUCUUCUAUUAUAUGACCAGUCGAGACAGAAACGUGACGGGUCGAAACUUGACCUCGGGUUAUAUCAAACCAAGGCGCAAAGUUAAAUCAUUGAGCUCGUGACUCCGUGACCGAACAAAAUCGAGGAAACUUUGUCGAGCCAAAAUAACGGAAGACUAAAAUAUCCGCAAUUGGUUAAAUAUCACGGCGAAAAUCUCAGCACGUAUCAAGGAGAGGCCGAUUAAUAAGUAAAUUAUGUGAUUUUAUACCUUUAUAGAAUUGUAUCAAGAGUGUGACUCCCCUACUAUAUAAAAGGGGGUCUGAUUAUUUGUAAAACACAUUGUAACACAUAUCCCAAAGCAAUAAACUGUCAUUUCUAAUUAUUAUUAUCUCAUUGCUCUAUUCCGGCACCGAUUGUGGCAUUUCUUGACUAGAGAGUGAUCAACCUUCAAGGCUAAGGCUGUCCAAUUUGGUGGUUUGUAUUUAUUUUCUUCUCAUUAAUUUCAAUAUUAAUAUGUUCUCUCAGUUUGUAUCAAGUUAUAUCACGUAUUCUUAAACCGGCAUAUAAAUUCAAUUGUUAUCCGAUUUUAGGGUAAACAUAAAUAAAACUACGCUGACUUCAUUCUUUUUGUUUUUAUACUAGUUCUUUCCUUUUGUCCACGUAAAUCUAAUUGAAUCAAUGUUUUUACAACUUUAGCUUUGUAAAGUUUGUUUUUUCAAGGUCUCGAUAGAUUUGUUUCAAGCUAACCAGAUAGCGACACACUCCAUUUAAAAGUGAACUAGAAGAAAUUGUGCAAGUUGGAAUAGUAAAUUAAUCUAUUUCAGAUAGUCAAUUAGAAAAAGCCUUUACUAUUUUCCAGAAUAAUAUGGAGUGUGUCGCUAUGAAUAAUGUUAGCGUGCCUCAGUUGAAAGAAAUUUUUUAAUUAAUAAAAUGAUGCUUAAGAUCAACAAUGUCUAAAGAAGAAAAUUUAAUUAAAUAAAAUUACUAUUUAAUCAAUUAAAAAAAAUAAUUAUAAAAUUUGGCAACUUAGCAUCUGAAAAGUUAUGGUCACACAAAUGCUAAAAUAUGUUUAAGACUAUAAGUUUUAAAUUUUUUUAUUUUCUCCGUAAAUGUUGAAUCACAUAUCAUAUCAAAUUAUAGACCUCCUCCAAAGACUCAUAGUUGUACUACAAAACGAUGAGAAUCCAAUGAAGUAGGUUCAGUUGGAAGUAGCAUUAAAAGAGACCUCAUUGAACAGGUAAUCUUUGUUUAGAUUUGAAAGAGAUUGAGGUAUAGUUGUCUUAUCUCGUGGUUUUGGUUCUCCUAUUUCUUAAAGCUAGGUUGAGCUGAAAUUCGUAAAAAGAUCAGGGGUCCAUCUUGCGGGAGACAAAAGUUGAACGCCAUCAUUUGUCACCCAAGAGGUUCAAAAUAUGAAAAUAACCCUUAAACAGCAAUUCUAUUGUCAAUUUUCAAAUAACUUUUCCUUUUCAGAAAUUUGUAACAAAUAGAUUUUUCAAAACGUUAUCUUCGCCCAGAGGGAAGUUAAGAUUUUAAGUUUAUGGUUUCCUUGAUUAUAGAAAAUGCGGCUUACGCGGCUUACUCGGUUAGAAAACACAUGAUCGUAAAUAAUUUACGACCAAAUCGGUCGAAAAUUUGAAUAUUAAAAUUAAUAUUUAAUUAAUAUUUUCAACGGAGUCGGUCGAAAAAUUAAAUAGUAAAAUUAAUUUUUUAAUUUAAUUUUCUGACCGAACCUGUCGUAAAUAUGAGAAUAAAUUAAUUUAAAAAAAAUCAAAAAAUUCAUAAUUUGCGACCGAAUCGGUCACAAAUUUGGGAAAUUUCUGGUAAGAUUUACGAUUGAUUCGGUCACAAAUCAGUCCCAAAUUUGAAAAAAUAAAUUAGCAAAAUUCUGUUAUAUUUUUAAUUAUACCACCUGCCAAAUAAAACAGCUAACCAAACACCUAAUUUAUCAUCCACCAUUAAUCAUAACAAACCAAACACCAAUAUUAAUAACAAACCAAACACCAAUAUUGAUAACUAACUAAAUUAUAACAAACCAAACACCAAUAUUGAUAACUAACUAAAUUAUAACAAACCAAACACCAAUAUUUAUAACAAACCAAACUACCAAGCAAUCAAACACCAAUUAUCAACAAUCAAUUAUCAAAAUAGUAAAACACACUCAUAAUUUAAACAUAUCUCUGUCUUCAAGUCUAAAAUAUAACAUCCAUAUUCAAAUAGCUACUCCUAUUGAUCAAAUUCACUCUCCUCGUCAGACUCAGAUUCCUCUAUUACAGGUUGAUUUCCUUCUUGCUUUUCUUUUUUAAUAAUUUCUCGAUCAAAGCCUGAGUUGUAUUCCAUUCUUUACCACGACAAACCAUCUGAGUAAUGAAUAUAAAAUAUUUACAUAUAAAAUAAUUUAACAUACCAAAUAUAAACAUAAAAUAUACAUAAUAAAUAUAACAAUAUAAACAUAAAAAAAUCAAGAUGCCAUUAACAAUAUAAAGUAAUUUUAUUACAUAUUACAAUGCUUAAGGAAUAACAUAUAAAUACUCAACAAGUCAUAAAACACAAAUAGCUUAAUCCUCACGACUUGUUUCAUUUUUAUUUUCAUCUAUCAUAUAAUUUCUUCAUCGCUUGUUUCAUUUUUAUCAUAUAAUUCUUCAUUGCUUGUUUUAUUUUCAUCGUAUAAAGUCCACGCAUGGCUUUAAUUAAUAUACUAUAUUAAUUAAUAUAGUAUAUUUGUCAAAUUUAUAAAAUUUCUUUUAAUGUAGCAAUUAUUAAGUUUUAAAUUUAAUAACAAUCCAUUAGUAAAUUAGGAAGCAACAAUAAGCUUAACUUCUUAAAUAUAAAACUAAGGCUUUAAACUAUAAUUACUUAAUACAAUUCCAAACCAUUAAACUAAAAGUUAAUAUCGUUCCAAUAAUAAACUAAGAAGAAACAAUAAACUUAACUUCAUAAAUUUUAAACUAAAGCUUUAAACUAUAAUUAAGUAUUACACUUCCAAUCACAAAUUAAGAAUUUAAAGAAUUAAUCCCAAAACUCAAUCAACUAAUUAAAUCAAUUAAAUUCUUGAAUAACAAUCUCAAACCUAAAUUCAAUCAAAUUCUUCGACAACAAUCUAAAAUCUAGAUUCAACUACUAAAUUAAUAUGAAAAGUGUAACAAAAGCGUAAUAAGAAUAACCAUUAGUUGCACCAAACAAAUCAAAAAGCUCAUACUAAUUUACUCUCUUCUUUUUUAGUAAAUAACUGGUUCCACUAUUGAUUCAUUGUGACUUUUCAAAUUUUGAAAACAAUGAAAACUGUGAAAAAAUAAAAAUUUUAAACACCAAUUUCAGCAAACAAUGUGUUUUUCUCUAUGAGAUUUAGCAAAAAAUAAAAAUAAAGAAGAAAAAGUCGAGGGAGAGGGAGAAGGGAAAACUAACUGCGAGAGGGGACAGGGAGAGGUGUCGCCGGAGAAUGAGGGCUGUCGCUGGAGCAUCGUGCUACAUGAGGGAGGGGGUUUCCAGCGAGGAGAGGAAAAAAAGAUAGAAGGAAGAAAAGAUAUAAAGAAAAAAGAAAGGGAUUAGGGGGUUUUAAAAAAGAACCCGACUAAAUCGGUCGGAAAUUUGAAAAAAUAAAAAUAUUUCGACUAAUUCGGUCGCAAAUGAGGUCAACGAAGUCGGACCUCAUUUUAAUAAAGUUUUGCGACCGAAUCGGUCGCAACUUUUUUAAUUUUUUUUUAUUUUUUUUAUUUUUACGACCGAAUCGAUCACAACAUUUUUUUUUUUAAAAUUUUACGAUCGGUCGCAAAUGAGGCCAAUGAAGUCAAAUCUCAUUUUAAUAAAUUUUUGCAAUCGAAUCAGUCACAAAUUUUUUAUUUUUUUAAUUUUAUUUUUAAUUUUUCCGACUGAGUCGGUCGCAAAUGCCCUCGCGGUAUUUUUCGCUAAAUUUUACGAUGGAUAUAGACGGAAUAUCUACCGUAAAUAUUAAUAAAAUUGGAAAAUAUAUUUUCAGGCCAUUUCCGACCGAUUUCGUCGGAAAUUUUUGACUACUUUUUUCGGUCGGAAUAUUUCGGUCGAAAAUGGGCCAUUUUUUAGUAGUGCACACAAUACACUGUCUUAUCAAUUUUGGAGAUGUGAGAAAUGAGCAGAGCUCGAGAUGAGCUCCAAUGGUGGUGAAGGAGACUUUGAAGAGAAGCCUCAAUCUGGGAUUGUUAGCUCCUCAAUUCAUUUGUUCCGUAUUCUCUCGUCCCAUUUAUUUCCACCCUCUUUUCACAUCAACUACUAUAAGUCCUUUCACUGUAGUCAUCUUUACUAUAGGUGAAAAUAUUUCUGUGUAAUCUAUUCCUUCUUGUUGUGUGUUUCCUUUCACUACUAAACAAGCCUUAAACCUUUCAAUACUUCUAUCAGCUCUAUGUUUUACCUUGUACACCUACUUACAACUGUUGGCUUUCUUCCCUGUUGGUAAAAGGACCAAGUCCCAGGUGUGAUUGGCAUGUAAAGCCUCAAAUUUCUAUGUCAUAAUUGCUUUUCAAGCAGGACUAAUAGUAGCCUCUUCAUAUGAAGAAGGUUCACUAUCAUGACAAAUCCUUUUCAUUAAGAGUGACUAUCAUGGAUUAAAACUUCAGGAGAAAUACAUUGAUGUUUAGAAAGUAAUGCAUUCAGAGAGGGCAUGCAACUAUUGGAUUGCAGGUGGGUACAACAUGAAUGUAAUCACUUAGGUAUGCAUGUGUUUUAAUUUCGGUUCUUCUAAGUGUAGGGGUGUUGCUAGUUUAAGGUGAGUGGUCAUUGAAAUAUGGUAGUGAAUGGUUAUUGAAUGUAGAUGCUGGAGGUGAAUGACAUUAUAGCUUGUGACUGGACUACCACUAAGUAACAUCGGUGAGGUAGUUACAAAUGACAAUUCAUUGUCUAUGAGAUUUGCACCAUAUAGAUUGCUUUUAGCAUUGGUUGAGUGUUAUUAUCAAUAUCAUCCAGAAAAUCAAUAAAGGGAACAUAUUUUAGUACAGAAGGAAAAGAAGAAACAUCUGGAGUAAUUGCAAAAGGGAAUACAUUCUCAUGAAAUGAUACAUCUCUUGAAACAUGUAUAUUCUUGGUAGCAAGACUCAACACCUUUUAUCCUUUGGUCCCAAAGGGAUGGCCUAAAAAGAUAUGUGGGGCAGCUCUAGGUUCAAAUUUAUCCAUGUGCACUUUGGGUACUGUUGGGUAGCACAAGCAUCCAAAACUCCUCAUUUGGGAAUAUAGUGAUUUUCGUUUAUAUAGGAGUUCAAAAGGGCAUUUGUUCUUGAGAUAUGUGGUAGGUAAUCUAUUUAUAAUAUAGGUUGUUGUCAAUAUACACUCCGCCCAAUAUCUCAAUGGCAAUUUUGAUUGGAAAAGGAGUGCCCUGGUUGCUUCAAGCAAAUAUUUGUAUUUUCUUUCUACCACACUGUUUUGCUAUGGUGUAUAGGGACAAGAUUUGUGAUGAAUGAUGCCUUUUGAUUGGAAAAAUGAGUUUUCUUAUGUGUUGGUGAACUCUAGACCAUUGUCUGAUCUUUGGUCUUUAUGAUAAUUUUAAACUGGUUUUCUAUCAUUAAAACAAAGGCCUUGAUACUUUGGAUUGCAUUGCUUUUGUAGGUCAGAAGAUGAGUCCAUGUGGUUCUACUAAAGUCAUCAACCGUUGUGAUGAAAUUUUUAUAGUUAUCAUGGGUGGAAACAUGGUAGGGCCCCCAAAGGUCAACAUGUAGCAAUUCAAAGAUACUACUGGAAGUGCUAGUUCUUUGGGGAAUGUCAUUCUAGUUUGUCUGGCCAUUGGGCAAAUAAAGCAGAUAAAUGGUUGCUUAGAUGAGAAUGUGACAGGUAUGGAUGCUAUUCCCUUUAUUUUCACAAAGGGCACAUGCCCAAGUCUAUUGUUCCACAAGAUAUCAUUUCCAUAAGAUGUACAACAAAGAGACAUAAUCUCUCAUUUUAUUCACAAGUGAAAUAUUUACAGUGGGACUGUUACUAGAUGAAAAAACAUUCAUGGAAGCAGUUUUAUCCAGGAGUGAGUUAUUUACAAAUGGAUGGUUGGCAUUUUGCAUAUCACAAGGAUGAGUGGACAAGCAAGGAACAGAAUUGACUAUUGUGGAAGGCGAAUUAAUACUCUUGUGUUUCAGACACUGAGAGCACAUAAGGUACAACCUAUCCUUGACUCUACCAAUCUCCAGAGGCCUCUUCAGUGAAGGGCCUGCAACGUACAAGCACUAUCAGUGAAGAAAGUAAUACCACUGAGAUUUAGAGUCAACAUAUGAAUAGAAAUGAGAUUAUACUUAAAAGAAGGAACUAGAAGUACUUUAUACAGCACAAUCCCAGGUGCAAGCCUCACGUUUCCAAUCUCUGUUACCUUAACUUUAUAUCCAUUUGGUAGUAUGACUAACAUGGGAUAAGGCAAAAUAGUGAUAUCACACAUUGAGGAUAUAUUAAAGCUCAUGUGAUUGGAAGCUCCCGAAUAUAAUAUCUAUGUAUCAGUCUUGGACUUAAAGCAUCUACAAGACAACUUAUCAAAGUCAAUGAAAGAAGUGCAAACUACAAUACCUGCAAAGUUUGUAGCUCGAAUGUUCAGGUUUGUGCUGUUGGAAUUCUCUCCCCCACUAUUAGCCUGGAAGUGUUGCAGCAGGUUCAUGAGUUGGCCAUAUUGCUCCUUGGUGAAAUUCAUUCCCUGGUUCUUAUUAUGAUGUUCACCUUCAUCUCCUUUGACAGUCAUCAUGUCAGUUGAAGGGCCAUGAACAUUUUCCACUGUUCUCUUCCUUUUAUUGCUCAUAAACCCUUGAUUAGGAUUUUGAAAAUUCUAGUUGGUGCCUUGAAACUUCAGAUUCAACUUUUAGAAGGACUGGAUUGAGUUAUGGAAAUUCUGAGGGUAGCCAUGGAGCUUGCAUCAUUUCUCUUUGGUAUGUCCCGGCUUCUUGAAAUAUUCACAUAUUGGACGAGAUCUGUUAUUAGGAGUGCAAUAGUUUCCUGGAUUAUAAUUGGUUUUGAAACUAGUCCGUCUUAAAGUAUUGACAUUCAAUGAGGCAAACUCAAACAUCAAUUGGUUAUUAGGUUUGAUUUCUCUUUGUUUCUCCUCUUGGAUCAGUAGGGAAAAAGCUUGGGCCAAAGAUGGAAAAGGCUUCAUCAUAAGAAUGCUUUCCCUCACCAUAAUGUAUACUUUAUUCAGUCCCAUAAGAAACUGAAUUAAUCGUCCGUCAUGUUCUGCCUUAUGCAAAUUCUCUUUAGCUCCACAUGUGCACUGGCAGCUGCACCGAGUUUUUGCACUUAAAGUACUAAAUUCUUUCCACAAUUACUUCUUUUUGGUGUACUAACCAGUAAUGUCGAGUGUACUUUGUGACAAAUCGUUUAUCUUUUUUUUAAUUUGGUACAACUUUGCUCUAUUCGUCUGAUCAUAGCGAUCUUCCAGCUCUCUCCAUAGUUCAACUGAAUCAUUGACAUAUUCAACACUAUCAGCAAUCUCCUUUCCCAAUGUAAUGACCCGGCUGGUGAUUUUGAAUAUUUUAUCACCGACCCCCUAUUUAUUACCUACUCUAUGUCGUAUUAUGAUUAAGUAUUUUCCGGGGGUGUUUGGUUUUGGUUCGGGUGAGUUCCGAAGUGAAAUGGGACACAUAGUCCCUAAGUUGGAGCUUUAAGUUGAAAACAUUGACCGUAGUUUGACUUUUAUGUAGACGACUCUGAAACGAAGUUUUGAAGGUUCCAAUAGCUCCAUAUGGUAAUUUUGGACUUAAGAGCGUGCUCGGUUAUUGAUUUGGAGGUCCGUAGGUUGUUUCGACUUGAAUUGGCGAAAGUUAGAAAGUUGAAGGUUUGGAAGGUUGAGAAGUUUGACCGGGAGUUGACUUUAUUGAUAUCAGGGUUGGAUUCCGAUUCCGAAAGUUGGGAUAUGUCUAUCAUGUCAUAUAUAACUUGUGUGCAAAAUUUGAGGUCAAUCGGAGUUGUUUUAGUAUGUUUCAGUGUUAGUUUUAGAAGUUGGAUGUUCAUAGUUUCAAUAGGCUUGAAUUGGGCUGCGAUUUGUUGAAUCGAUGUUGUUUGAUGUGAUUUUUGGCAUCGAAUAGGUCCAUUAUGUAUUUUUGAACUUGUCGGUAUAUUCGGACGGGGUCCCGGGAGCCCCAAGUGAUUCGGAUUGAAUCCAGAACAAUUUUGGACUUGAUGCAUUGCUGAACCUCUGUUGUGUCUAGUACAAUCGCACCUGCGCAUUUUGGGCUGCAAGUAGGGGUGUGCAUAGGGUGGGUUGGUUCGAAUUUUUCAAUUAUCAAACCAAACCAAUGGUAUCAGGUUUUUAAAUUUAUAAACCAAACUAAACCAACAAAGUCAGAUUUUUCAAUCUCGAAUUUUUCGGAUUUUUUUCCGGUAAAGUCUUCAUAGCACAAAAUAUGUAAGUUGUGCUCCAAAUAUUUCUUAAGUCCUAGUAAAAUACAAUAAUAUAAUGUAUUUUUCAAGAAACUAACACAAUAAUAUGAGAUAAGUCAUAGCAUUAUACUAAAAUAUUCAACAACGAAGAUAAAAUAAUAAAAUUACAUAAAACAAAUAUUGCUAAUUAAUAAGCCAUAAUGAAAAUCAACAUAAUCUAAAAAUACUAUAUAGGUCAUGCUAAAAUAAGUAUAGCUAAUAAGUACUAAUAUUAAUUACAUAACUAAACACUAAAGAAAAAGAUAAACUAAGUUAUGCAUUUUCAUUAUAAACCAAUAUAAAACUAAAAUAAUUAUCCAACACUAUCAUCAUUCCUAGUAUUGAAUUGAAUUUCUCUUGUUAUCAUUAGUAUUGAUUUGAACUUUGUUUGAGUUACUACAUUUNNNNNNNNNNNNNNNNNNNNNNNNNNNNNNNNNNNNNNNNNNNNNNNNNNNNNNNNNNNNNNNNNNNNNNNNNNNNNNNNNNNNNNNNNNNNNNNNNNNNNNNNNNNNNNNNNNNNNNNNNNNNNNNNNNNNNNNNNNNNNNNNNNNNNNNNNNNNNNNNNNNNNNNNNNNNNNNNNNNNNNNNNNNNNNNNNNNNNNNNNNNNNNNNNNNNNNNNNNNNNNNNNNNNNNNNNNNNNNNNNNNNNNNNNNNNNNNNNNNNNNNNNNNNNNNNNNNNNNNNNNNNNNNNNNNNNNNNNNNNNNNNNNNNNNNNNNNNNNNNNNNNNNNNNNNNNNNNNNNNNNNNNNNNNNNNNNNNNNNNNNNNNNNNNNNNNNNNNNNNNNNNNNNNNNNNNAAACCAAACCAAAUAUGGUCGGGUUUUAUUUUUCAAUACCAAAUCAAAUCAAACCAAAGCACAUCGAGUUUUUUUUUCCGGUUUGACUCGGAUUAUCGGUUUGGUGUGGUUUAUCAGUUUUUUGUACACCCCUAGCUGCCGGUGCGGCACCGCAGAAGUGAAAUGUGAGCUGCCCAGCUGAGACCACAGAUACGGUCAGUGCUCCGCAGAUGCGGGCGGGCGAAGCAAUACACAGGUCGCAGAAGCGGGGGCGCAGGUGUGCUUUGGUAUCCGCAGAAGCGCGUUCUCAUGACUUAAGUUAAAGCCCCACUUGCGAUGACUUUUCUGUAGGUGCGGAGCCACAGAAGCGGCUAUUGACUCGCAGGUGCGCAUAUAGCUAGGUGGAAAAGGCUUAAUCAAGGGUUUCGCCUCAUUUUUUAUUUUUGGACUUAGAGAGCUCGGUUGGUGGCGAUGUUUUGAGAGGUUUUCAAGGAAAUCAUUGAGGUAAGUUAUUCUAACCCGGAUUUGACUAUAUUACACGAAUCCAUUAUUAUUUUCAUCAUCUAAUUAGUGAUUUGAGUUGGAAAUUUGAGGAAAAAUUGUGAAAACCUCUUUGACUAAAUUUUGGGGAUUUGAAAGGUGAUUUGAUGUCGGGUUUGAGUAACUCUUGUAUGGUUGGACUCUUUAUCGAAUUGGUAUUCGGAUUUUAUAAUUUUGGUCGGGUUUCGAGGUGCGGGCCUGCAGUUGACUUUUUAUUUCUCUUUAAAGAUCAUAACUUUAUUGUUCGGAAUAGUUUCCUAUAGUUUAUAUUUAUUCGUAAAAAGAUGUUGUGGCUAGAUUCGAGCCGUUCGGAGGUUGAUAAUCGAGGGAAAGGCUUACCAGUGGAUUGAGUAGCGUGUUUUGAGGUAAGUGUCUUGCCUAACUUUUUGUGGGAGAAUUACCCCUUAGGAUUGAUGUUGUUUUGUGUUAAUUGUGAUACGUGAAAGCCGUAUACGCAAGGUGACGAGUGAUAAGUGAGAAUUUUGACUACUUAUUAGCGCCUUUUAACUUUUAUUUUAGUCUAAAAGCAUUUAAUUAUGUGCCCGAAACUAAUAAAAUUAUGCAAAAUUACAGGAAUAUUAGAAGUUGGGCUCCCGAUAUGAAAUCCGAUUAAAAAAAAAAAGUAGUCUAAGCACAAGGCAAUAAAGGGCACAAAUGCACAAAAUGUGCAGUCCGCAGAAGGAAUUCUGCGGCUGCAGAAGAAAUUGCGGACCGCAGAAUUCCAUCUGCGGCCGCAAGGAAGAAGGAAAAAUCUGCAGACAAUUGUGCAAAUUGCGGACCGCACAUGAAAUGCGCAAAAGCUGGGCUAGGAGUCAAGAUCAGAGAGUAUGCAAAUUACCAAGUCCAGAACCUUAGUGAAUUGCGGACCGCACAAUAUUUGUGCGGCCGCAGAAGAUUUCCUUGAGGCCGCAACCCUAACAUUGCGGACCACAAAAGAUUGUCUUGCAGUCGCAAUUCUAAAUAUGUGGACCAUAGAAAAGUUGCUUCGCGGUCGCAGUUCAGAAUUGUGCGGCCGCAGAACUCCAUCUCAUGUCAGAUGCAGAAAUCUGCAGACCGCAUAUGGAAUUGUGCGGCCGCAGAACCUCCCGAGGGGUAUUUUGUCAGAGAUUUUCAGCCUUGUAUAAAUAGAUGAGUUUCACAAAAUUAGGUCAAGUUUGAACCUUGCAAUUACUGUAGCCGUUUUUCUUUGCCAUUUUUGGAAGUUUACUUUACUUCGGCGUAUUUUACAAUAGAUUUAAUCAUUUUAAGUUGUCAUUACGAGUUUAAUUAGUCUUUCUUCUCUAUUUUCUUCAAACCCAAGUAUAAGUAGCUAGAAUAUUACUAGGGUUGUGACCCAACCCUAGUGUGUAAACAUUAUGGGUAUCUAAAUUCGUGCUUGUUUAUGAUUGGAUGUUUAUUAUUUAGCUUAGUUCAUGCUUUAAUUUGUAGAAUUAAUGGUUGCNNNNNNNNNNNNNNNNNNNNNNNNNCAUGCCUAUUUGACUUAGUCUCUACUUGAGAAAGAGAGACAUAGUCUAGGAUAACUUGGCUAACAAGGAAUUGGGUCAGUCGAGAGAUUGAUUUACCCAAUUAAAGGGUUUAACCUAGAGAUAGUAAUAACCCGAGUUGAGCUUUUAUCAACUAUUUUGUGUGAUACCCAUUAGGUCUUGAGAAAGCCAAAUUGGGCAAAACCACUCUAUGACCGAGAGGUAUUGAGUGGGUAAUUUAAAGUUGAGAGUUAUAAUACACCCCAAUCAAUAGAACGAGCAUUAAAGUCUUUCUCCCAUUAGGAAAACACCUAGGUAAUGGUCAUAAUCCUAGGCUUUUUAUCAAUUUGGAAAAACCUCAAAAACAAUCAUCUCUAGUUUUCUUUCUUUAUUUUGCAAUCAAUAGAGUAAAAUUAGCAAUAGAAAAUCAAUCUUUUUGUGGAAGUGCAAUUUAGAUAUUCAACCGCACACAUUGAAAUAUAUACCCCUAACUCCCAUCUUAGCUCCCUGUGGAUUCGACCCCGACUCUUACUUGGGUUUCUAUUAUUGCAAACGACCGUUACAUAUCUCUAUUGAGGUGUGCAUUUGGAAGCAAUCAACGAGUGUACACGAGCUAAAUGUGAUAAUUGACCGGUUUAUCUAUGUAUAUUACUUUUAUGCCUUUAAUUGAGUUACCAUAACAUGUUAUAUUCACCAUCAUUAGUCUAUCUUCACAUGCUCUACUUGUCUUAUCUCCUACUCGUUAAUUGUCUUUACGUGUUUAGUUGAAGUCAUUGUUUCCUUUAUUCCUUAUUUAUUAUAUAACAAUUGAGCUUGUUACUUGAAGUUGUUAUUGUUGGAUUAUCUUGUUGUUGAAAUUGGUAUUGAGUUAUAAAGGCCGUGAUUCACAUUGAGGCAAAGUUGUAAAGUUGUGAAAUACAAUUAUUUUUGAGUUAUUCACUUUCGAUUCUUAUUUUGAGACUCUUGUGCAUAUUGUGGUUGAGCCAUGGGCUAUUGAUUGUGGAAAUAACAUUAUUGUUGACUUCUUUAUCAAGUUGUGAUAUGAGGCACUUGAGGUGCGAUUUGUGAUACAUUGUGAUAUUGAUACGCGCGGUGGUAUAAGGUUGGGUUGAAACGCAUGUAGUGAGAUAAGGUGAGAUUGAUCCGCGUGUUGCUAGUAGAGGAACUACUUAAAGAUACACGAUGUGAUAAGGUGGGAUAAAAUAUGGGAAUCUAUAUCGGGAAAAAUGAUUUCAAAAAUAAAUGCAAAGCUCCCGCGGUGAUAUAAGGAAAGAUUAUGAAUUGUUUUGUGAUAUGAGACUACGAGGUAGUACCUCGGUAGUGAUUCUUUUCGAUACUUUUCUGUUACUUCACUUGUAUUUGGUUGCUUUGUUUCCUUGGCAUGUCAUUCCUUAUUUUCUUAUGUGAUGCAUUCUUUGCCUUAGUUCAUUGUAGCUAAUCUUGGUAUUUUUCCUUAUUGUUUCAUUUCCAUUGUUAUCAUUAUUACACCACUGUAUACUUGUUCAGUUUCUUAUUUAUUCCAGUAGGGCCUUGACCUGACCUCGUCACUACUCUACUGAGGUUAGACUUGACACUUAUUAGGUACCAUUAUAGUAUACUCAUGCUACGCUUCUGCAUAUCUUUUUAUGUAGAUCCAGGUACCUCCUACCAGUCCAGGCACCAGUGAGACGAGCUCAGCUUCGGAGACUUCAAGGUAUACCUGUCAGCGUCCGCAAGCUUCGGAGUCACCCUCUAUCUAGUAUACUUCAUUUUUUAUUUCCCUUUUAUAGACAUUGUUGUAUAGGGAUGAAUAGUACUUACUCGUAGAGCUUGUGACUUGUUAUCACCAAAUUUUGGGAAGUUUGUUUAUGCUGAGUUGCGAAGUUUCCUUUAUGAUAGUUAUUGAGUAUUUGAGAGUUUUAUCAUUAUUUUAAUUAUAUUCUACAUGUAUAUUAGUCUUACCCAGUCUUAGAGACUAUGUGCUAUCACGACAUCCUACGGAGGUAAAUUUUGGUCGUGACAAGUUGGUAUCAGAGCUCUAGGUUCAUAGGUGUUACGAGUCACAAAUAGGUUUAGUAGAGUCUCACGGAUCGAUACAGAGACGUCUGUACUUAUCUUCCAAAGGCUAUGGAACUGUUAGGAAAGCUUCAUUUCUUUAAUUCCUUAUCGUCUGAAUUUGUUGAAUUUGAAACUCUAAAUCUCUCUUUCUAUUCUCUCAUAGAUGGUGAGGACAUGCACAACUGGAUCUGAUGAUCAAACACCCGUGCCCUCUGUAGGGCCGCGAGAGGUUGGGGUUGAGGCAGAGGCCGAGGAUGGGCAUGUGGUGCAGCUAGAGCACCUGAUCGAGCUGAGACAGAGGAGCCGCCAGCAGCUCCAGGUUGGGGGGGGGGGGGGGUAGACAACUCUAGCUCAGGCAGGGUUGAUCUCACUUGCACUGGUCACAUCUCAGGGUGGGGGAGGAGCACAGACUCCCACAGCCCGUACCCUAGAGCAGUGGUUCCAGGUUGACCAAGUCCCAAAGGUCAUACCAGUGCAGCCGGUUGUCCCAGUUCAUCCCGAGGUUAGGGAAGCAACAUCUGAGGGGGAGCAGCUCAUGCUCGAGAGGUACUAGAAGUACCACCCCUACUUUCAGCGGCUUAGCUUUAGAGGAUGCACAUGAUUUUCUUGAGGAGUGCCACUAUAUCCUCUGUACUAUGGGGACAAUGGAGUCGACUGGGGUUGCUUUCACAACGUUCCAGCUUAAGGGAGCGGCUUAUCAAUGAUGGCGAGCGUACGAGUUGGGUAGCCCGACCGAGGCAGCUUCAAUCAUAUGGGCUCAGUUUCCAGAGAUAUUCAUGAGAGAGUUUGUACCCUAGAGCCUUCGGGAUAUAUGGCGCACGAAGUUUGAGCAGUUGCGCCAGGGUGGUAUAACCGUGUCUGAGUAUGCUAUCAGGUUCAGCGAGUUUUUGAGACAUGCACCAGCCUUAGUCUCCACAGUCAGAGAGCGAGUCCGUAGAUUUAUCGAGGGGCUCACCUAUGGUAUUAGAUUCAGCAUGGCUCGAGAGUUGGAGACUGAUACCCCAUACCAGUAGGUGGUGGAGAUCACUCCGAGAUUGGAGGGUAUGUGGGGCUGGGAGAGAGAGAGAGAGAGAGAGGACAGGGAGGCCAAGAGGCCUCACAAUUCUGGCACAAAUAGUGGUGCACGUGCCCCAAUUUCAGCCCGUCAUGAUAGAGGUUAUAUGGGUCAUCCCGUUCAUUCACCACUUCCAGCUUCCAGUGGUAUUCUGGCUACUCCCAGGUCUCAGGUUGCCAAUUAAGCACUGCCACUGUCCAGUGCACCUCAUGCACAAGGUGCUUUCAGUGGUCAGUCCAGCCGACCAGGCCCGAGCCAACUUUAACAGCCACAUGCUCCGAGAGCUUGUUUUAAGUGUGGUGAUACUCGUCAUAUGGUGAGGGACUGCCCCAGACUCAGGAGAGGUGCACCUCCACAGACUACUCAGGCUCCACAUAUUCCACAGCCCCCCAGACUUCUCAGGUCGUGGUUAUCGCACCAGUUGCCACUCCACCUGCACAGCCAGCUAGAGGCGGAGGUCGGGCAGGUAGGGGUCGCCCUAUAGGGGGAGGCCAGGCUAGAUGUUAUGCUCUUUCGACUAAGACGGAGGCGGUUGCAUCAGACUCAGUCAUCACAUAUAUUGUUUCGGGUUGUCAUAGAGAUGCAUCCGUCUUAUUUGAUCUAGGCUCCACUUAUUCCUAUGUAUCAUCUUACUUUGCUCCAUAUUUGGGUAUAUCCCGUGAUUCCUUGAGUUCUCCUGUCUAUGUGUCCACGCCAGCGGGAGAUUCCAUUGUUGUUGACCGUGUGUAUAGGCCGUGUUUAGUUGUUCUUGGUGGUUUUGAGACCAUAGUUGAUCUAUUAUUGCUCAGUAUGGUGGAUUUUGAUGUUAUUUUGGGCAUGGACUGGUUGUCACCCUAUCAUGCUAUCCUUGAUUAUUACGCCAAGACGGUGACGUUGGCUAUGUCAGGUUUGUCGUGGUUGGAGUGGAGGGGUACCUUAGUUUAUGUUCCUAGUAGGGUGGUGUAUUUCCUUAAGGCACAUCGGAUGGUUGGGAAGGGGUGUGAUGCAUAUCUAGCCUUUGUGAGGGAUGUCAGUAUUGAUGCUCCUACCGUUGAGUUAGUUCCAGUAGUGAAAGACUAUCUAUAUGUAUCUCCGACGGAUCUUCCGGGCAUGCCGCCCGAUAGGGCUAUUGAUUUUGGUAUUGAUUUAUUGCUGGGCACUCAGCCUAUUUCUAUCCCACUAUAUAGUAUGACCCCAGCGGAGUUGAAUGAGUUAAAGGAGCAGUUGCAAGAGUUGCUCGAUAAGGGCUUCAUUCGGACUAGUGUGUCUCCUUGGGGUGCUCCGGUCUUGUUUGCAAAGAAGAAGGAUGGUUCUAUGCGCAUGUGUAUUGAUUAUAAGCAGUUGAACAAGGUUACAGUGAAGAACAGGUAUCCAUUGCCACGCAGUGAUGACCUAUUUGAUCAGCUAUAGGGUGCCAGAGUGUUCUCAAAGAUUGAUUUGCGGUCAGGCUAUCACCAACUGAAUAUUCAUGAUCCAAAUAUUCCGAAGACUGCCUUCAGGACUCGGUAUGGUCAUUAUGAGUUCCUUAUGAUGUCAUUUAGGCAUACCAACACCCCAGAAGCUUUCAUGCACUUGAUGAACAGUGUAUUUCAGCCCUAUCUUGACUCAUUCAUCAUUGUGUUUAUUAACGACAUCUUGGUGUACUCCUGGAGCCGGGAAGAUCAUGAGCAGCACUUGAGGAUUGUGCUUCAGACCUUGAGAGAAAAGAAGUUGUAUGCAAAAUUUUCAAAGUGUGAAUUCUGGAUUGAUUCGGCGUUUUUGGGUCAUGCAGUGUCAAGUGAGGGGAUCAAGGUAGAUCCGAAGAAGAUUGAAGCAGUGCAGAGUUGGCCCAGACCAUCUUCAACUACUGAGAUCCGGAGUUUUCUUAGUUUGGCAGGGUAUUACCGUCGAUUCGUAGAGGGUUUCUCAUCUAUUGCCGCACCUAUGACCAGAUUGACCCAGAAAGGCCCUCUGUUCAGGUGGACCGAGGAGUGUGAGGAGAGCUUUCAAAAGUUCAAGACUGCUUUGACUAUAUCCUCAGUGUUGUUUUUGCCUACAGGUUCGGGGUCUUACACUGUGUACUGUGAUGCAUCGUGUGUUAGCCUCGGCGUGGUGUUGAUUCAAGAUGGUAGGGUAAUUGCCUACGCGUCUAGACAGUUGAAGGUCCAUGAGAAGAAUUAUCCUGUCCACGAUCUUGAGUUAGCAACUAUUGUUCAUGCCUUGAAGAUUUGGCGACACUAUUUGUACGGUGUUUCUUGUGAGGUCUAUACCGACCACCAGAGUCUACAACAUCUGUUUAAAUAGAAGGAUCUUAACUUGCGGCAGCGGAGAUGGUUAGAUUUGCUUAAGGACUAUGAUAUCACCAUUCUGUAUCAUCUCAGGAAGGCCAAUGUGAUGACCGAUGCCUUGAGUCGUACGACGGAGAGCUUGGGCAGUUUAGCAUAUCUACCGGCAGUGGAGAGGCCAUUAGUAUUGGAUGUCUGACCUUGGCCAACCAGUUUGUUAGAUUAGAUGUUUCAGAGCUGAGUCAAGUUUUGGCUUGUGUGGUUUCUUGGUCUUCUCUAUAUGAUCGUAUCAGAGAGCGUCAGUAUCACGACCCCCAUUUGCUUGUCCUGAAGGACACAGUUCAGCACGACGAUGCAAAUAAGGUCACUAUUGGGGAUGACGGUAUGUUACAGAUGCAGGGCCAACUAUGUGUGCACAAUGUAGAUGGUUUGUGCAAGUUGAUUCUUCAGUAGGCCCACAGUUCGUAGUACCCCAUUCAUCCGGGUGCCGCUAAGAUGUAUCAGGAAUUGAGACAACACUAUUAGUAGAGAAGGAUGAAGAAGGACAUAGUGGAGUAUGUAGCUUGAUGUCUAAAUUGUCAACAGGUGAAGUAUGAGCAUCAUCGGCCAGGUGGGUUGCUUCAGAGGCUUAAGAUUCUUGAGUGGAAAUGGGAGCGAGUUACCAUGGAUUUCGUUGUUGGGCUCCCACAGGCUCAGAAAACUUUUGAUGCAGUAUGGGUAAUUGUGGAUAGGUUGACCAAGUCGGCUUAUUUCAUUCCCUCGUGAUGUUGUAUUCAUGGUUGGGGAGCGAGUCUUGCUCCGAGUUUCGCCUAUGAAGGGUGUGAUGAGGUUCGGGAAGAAGGGCAAGUUGAGCCCUAGGUAUAUCAGACCUUUUGAGAUUCUUGAGAGGAUUGGAGAAGUGGCCUACAAGCUUGCAUUGUCACCUAGUCUAGCUAUAGUUCAUCCAGUAUUCCAUGACUCUAUGCUCCGCAAGUACCACGAUGAUCUCAAGUGUUCAAUUUCAGCUCAGUCCAGUUGGACUGGGAUUUGUCUUAUGUUGAGGAGUCAGUGGCCAUUUUGGACAGGCAGAUUCGAAAGUUGAGGUCGAAGAACAUUGCUUCAGUGAAGGUUCAGUGGAGGGGUCAACCAAUUGAGGAGGUGACUUGGGAGACCAAACAUGAUAUGUGUAGCCAUUAUCCUCAUCUUUUCACCACUUCAGGUAUGUCUCUAUUAGUGGCGAAGCCAGAAAAUUCAAUAAGGGUGUUCAAAUUUUAAACACCCUUUGCUAGUGGGCUAUGCAAGGGUGUUCAAAGUCUAUUUUUAAUCAAUAACAUGCAGUAUUUUACCUUAUACGUAGUAUAAUAUUUCGGUGAAGGGUGGUCAGUUAACCACCCUUGGGCCAACAUAGCUUCGCCCCUGGUCUCUAUACACGUUCGAGGACAAACAUUUGUUCUAAGAGGGGGAGGAUGUAACAACCCGACCGGUUAUUUUGAGUAUUUUUACCCCGAUCCCCUAUUUAUUGCCUUCUCUAUGUCAUAUUAUGGUUAUGUGAUUUUCUGGGGGUGUUUGGUUUUGGUUCGGGUGAGUUCUAGAGUGAAAUGAGACACAUAGUCUCUAAGUUGGAGCUUUAAGUUUAAAGAGUUGACCGUAGUUUGCCUUUUGUGUAGACAACUCCGAGACGGAGUUUUGACGGUUCCAAUAGCUCCAUAUGGUAAUUUUGGUCUUAGGAGCAUAUCCAGAUGUUGAUUUGGAGGUCCGUUGGUCAUUUCAGCUUGAAUUGACAAAAGUUAGAAAGUUGAAGGUUUGGAAGGUUGAGAAGUUUGAUCGGGAGUUAACUUCAUUGAUAUCGAGGUCAGAUUUUGAUUCCGGAAGUUGGAAUAGGCCCGUCAUGUCGUUUAUGACUUGUGUGCAAAAUUUGAGGUCAAUUAGAGUUAUUUUGGUAUGUUUCAGCGUUAGUUUUGGAGGUCGGAUGUUCAUAGUUUCAAUAGGAAUGAAUUGGGUUGCCAUUCAUUGAAUCGAUGUUGUUUGAUGUGAUUUUUGGCCUCGAGUAGGUCCGUUAUGUGUUUUGAAACUUGUUGGUAUAUUCGGAUGGGGUCCUGGGGCCCCCGGAUGAUUCAGAUUGAAUCCAGAACAAUUUUGGACUUGAUGCAUUGUUGAACCUCUGUUGUGUCUGGUGCAAUCGCACCUGCGCAUUUUAGGCCGCAAGUGCGGCACCGCAGAAGCGGACCUCGAGCUGCAUAAGGGAAAUGUGACCUGCCCAGCUGGGACCGCAAAUGCGGUUAGUGCUCCGCAGAUGCGAGCAUGUAGAAGCAGGGGCGUAGGUGCGCUUUGGUGUCCGCAGAAGCGCAUUCUCAAGACUUAAGUUAGAGCCGCACCGACGAUGUCAUUUUCGCAGGUGCGGGGCCACAGAAGCGGCUAUUGGCCCGCAGGUGUGCAUAUAGCUGAGCAGAAAAGGCUUAAUUGAGGGUUUCACCUCAUUUUUUUUUUAUUUUUUGACCUAGAGAACUCGGUUGGUGGAGAUAUUUCGAGGGUUUUUCAAGAAAAUAAUUGGGGUAAGUUAUUCUAACCCGGAUUUGACUAUAUUACACGAAUCCAUUAUUUUUUUCAUCAUCUAAUUAGUGCUUUGAGUUGAAAAUUCGGGGAAAAAUUCUGAAAACUUUUUAGACUAAAUUUUGGGGAUUUGAAAGGCGCUUUGAUGUCAUAUUUGAGUAAUUCUUGUAUGGUUUGACUCGUUAUCGAAUGGGUGUUCAGAUUUUAUAAUUUUGGUCGAGUUCCGAGGCGCGAGCCCGGGGUUGUCUUUUUGAGUUAACUUUUUAUUUCUCUUUAAAGAUAGUAACUUUAUUGUUCAGAAUAGUUUCCUAUAGUUUAUAUUUAUUCAUAAAAAGAUGUUGUGGCUAGAUUCGAGCCGUUCGGAGGUUGAUAAUCGAGGGAAAGGCUUACCAGUGGAUUGAGUAGCGUAUUUUGAGGUAAGUGUCUUGCCUAACUUUUUGUGGGGGAAUUACCCCUUAGGAUUUAUGUUGUUUUUGUGUUAAUUGUGAUACGUGGAAGCCGUGUACGCAAGGUGAUGAGUGUGUACACGAGCUAAAUAUGGUAAUUGACCGGUUUUAGCUAUGUAGAUUCCUUUCAUGCCUUUAAUUGAGUUACCAUAACAUGUUAUAUUCAUCAUUAUUAGUCUAUCUUCACAUUCUCUACUUGUCUUAUCUCAUACUUGUUAAUUUUCUUUACGUGUUUAGUUGAAGUCAUUGUUUCCUCUAUUCCUUAUUCAUUAUUUAACCAUUAAGUUCCUUACUUGAAGUUGUUAUUCUUGGAAUAUCUUGUUGUUGAUAUUGGUAUUGAGUUAUUCAUGAUUCGCAUUGAGGCAAAGUUGUAAAGUUGUAAAUUACUAUUCUUGUUGAGUUAAUCACUUUCGGUUGUUAUUGUGAGACUCUUAUGCAUAUUGUAGUUGAGCUAUGGGCUAUUGAUUGUGGAAAUACCAUUAUUGUUGACUUCUUUGUCAAAUUGUGAUAUUGGGCACUUGAGGAGCAAUUUAUGAUACGUUGUGAUAUUGAUAUGCAUACGGUGGUAUAAUAUUUAUGGUUGAAACGCAUGCGAUGAGAUAAGAUAGACUUGAUACGCAUGUUGCUAGUAGGGAAACUACUUGAAGCCAUGCAGUGUGAUAAGGUGGGCUAAAACACGGGAAGCUAUUUCAAAAAAAAUAAUUUUUAAAACUAAAUGCAAGGCUCCCGCGGUGAUAUAAGGAAUGAUUGUAAAUUGUUUUGUGAUGUGAAACUACGAGGCGGUACCUCAGUAGUGAUUCUUGCUGAUACUUUUCUGUUACUUCACUUGUGUUUGGUUGCUUUGUUUCCUUGACAUGUCAUUCCUUGCUUCCUUCCGUGAUGUAUUAUUUGCUUAGUUCAGUGCAGCUAAUCUUGGUAUUUUUUCUUGUUCUUUCAUUUCCAUUGUUAUCAUUAUUACACUGUUGUAUACAUGUUCAUUUAUUCCAGUAGGGCCUUGACCUGACCCCGUCACUACUCUACCGAGGUUAGGCUCUGCACUUACUGGGUACUGAUGUGGUGUACUCAUGCUACGCUCACAUCUUUUUGUGCAUAUCCAAGUACCUCCUACCAGUCCAGGCACCAGUGAGACGAGCUCAGCUUCGGAGGCUUCAAGAUAUACCUGCCGGUGUCCGCAGGACUCGGAGUCACCCUCUAUAUAGUCUUCUUCAUUUUUCUUUCCCUUUUAUAGACAUUGUUGUAUAGGGAUGAACAAUACUUUCUCGUAGAGCUUGUGGCUUGUUAUCAACAGAUUUUGGGAAGUUUGUUUAUGCUGAGUUGCGAACUUUCCUUUAUGAUAGUUGUUGAGUAUUUAAGAGUUUUAUCAUUAUUUUAGUUAUAUUCUGCAUGUAUGUUAGGCUUACCUAAUCUUAGAGAUUAGGUACCAUCACGACAUCCUACGGAGAAAAAUUGAGGUCGUGACACCCAAGGAGUUCAAAAUCCAUGAGGUGACCAUGUCAUCACACCUUUCCCAUAGUCUAUACUUUGGAGACUCUAGAUCUGGCUUCUUACAAUCUCCAUUAAUAAAUCCUAGUUUAUUUUUAACAGAAAGUGCAUGAAGUACACUUCGUCUCCAGGGCCUGUAUCAAAUUCCAUUAAAGGGAACUGGUACCAACAUUGCACUAGGAUUGUCUGAUGGAUACAUAUAGAAGGGACUACUUGUGUCAAUGGCAGACUCUUUGCUCGAAUCCACAGUAGUUUGCUCAAUUUCGUCAUUAGUAUCCAUGAGAGUAGCUUAAUCAGUAGCAUUUGAGGAAAAACGAAGUAGAGGACAAAAAUUGACUUACGGUGAACCCUAAUUUGCAGAAUCAAAAACAAACUCCAAUUACAGGUGCAAAUCGAAAGAUUGACGAUCUAAUCGAAUUCCGUAUGUGCGAAAUUCCCGGAUCGAAUCAGCUUUCUCUGAUACCAUAUCAAUUUUGGAGAUGUGAGAAAUGAGCAGAGCUCGAGAUGAGCUCCAAUGGUGGUAAGGAGACUUUGAGGAGAAGCCCCAAUCUGGGAUCAUGUGAGAGAAUACAGAAGAAAUGAAUUUGAAAAUGAAAGUCUCAAUUAUAUUUACUCUAUAAUGUUGUAUAUAUACAGCUCCAAUCGUGAAUGAAUGAAAACCAAGUGACUUACAAACUAUAACAAAACUAACCGAUUCAUUUCUAACAGAUUAACUGAAUAGUACAACUGGCUAAGCUAAAGGUACAAAUAAUAUAAACUAAAUAGCAGACUAUAUUAGAUAUUUCAAUAUGGCUCCGCCCCUGUCUUCACUCAUACAAAAAGUUUCCACAAACAAACUCCUGAUCUUCUAAAAACAAUGUAAUUAUGAUGAUAUAAAUAUAGACUGAAAUCUGAAUCCCAUCAUGCGGAUGCCAUAUUAUGAUAAAUCAGAAAUCUGUGCAUGUAUAUACACAUAUUCUUUUUGCUUUCUCAAAUGUAAUGUGUACGUAUUUAGUGUAAAAAUAUGAAAUCACCCUGAUAAGGUUUUCUUCAGUUACACACGGACAUUGAUUUUAGAUUCUGAUAUUUCCACUUUUUCUGUAAUUAUUGGAUUUUCAAUCUCUGGGUUUGUCGCAAGAGUUUAUAUUGCUAUAGAACUAGGUUUACCCUUCUCACGUUACCACAAAUUUAAGGUGAGUUUAAUUUAUUUAGUGAUACCUAUUUUUAGUAGAGCUGAUGCGUCAUAUACAAGCUCGAUUCUCACCACAUCUCUUCCUUUACCAUCUUCCUACUCCAGCCUCUCAAAAAAGGAAAUAAAAGAAAAAUUGAAAUCACAAAAAAAAAUAAAAAAAAUAAAAUAAAAUUAAGCCAUGCAUCAAUCUGAAGCCCUUAGACACAAAGUGAAAUGUAUAAUUGGAAUGUAGAAAGCAUCUUUAUAUAAUCUUCGUAUUCCCUAAUUUUCAAUUUUGUUUGCGCUACAUUUCUCCCAGUGUGCAAUGACAACAAAUAACUGCGCAUUAUUUUUAAAUAAGUUGGGAUCGACUUUUUUAAUCUUCAUAAAUUUUGUUAGGAAGAUUACAAAACCCUCUUCCUUUCCGAACUUGAAACUGACAAUGAGAAUAAACUCACAUAGUCGGAGUAUUCUCCCAUCCAAUGUGCAACGAUAGAAAAUAACAGAUGCUCAACAUCUAAAUUUUGAACAUAUGAAAAGACUUUUUCUUGGUCGUAUACACAGGCUUUUAUUUCCUCACUUUCCUGAGGUGUGUAUUGUCUCUCUGUUAAAGUUGCUUUUGUCAUUUGGGAACCUCUUAAAGUCCUAAUGCUACCCUGCACGUGGGCGGCCUCUAUCACUAAAUUGAAAUUGUCAAAGGAUAAAUCGCUUUAGUCACCAAAAGAAAGAAGAAAAGUGGAAUAUUUAUGUUAGAAGAAAAAAGAAUAAUUGAAAAACAGCUAGAUUAUGAACGUUGAUUUUCUUUUGAUUACUUUUAUUUUCAACGUAUAUUUUUCUUAUAAAAUUCAUUCAACUUGGGAGUGUGUUAGCCAUGCAAGAGGAAAAUGAAAAAGUUGACUUGAAAUCAUCAGUCAACUGUUUGGCCUUAGUUCUAGGGGCCAAAACCACUGGUUUAUGCCAAUUAUCAGUCAACUCUUUGGGCUCUUUUUUUUUCUUUUCUUUUUUGGGUAAAUAAUGACUUCACCUUUGCUCUUCAAUAAGUUGCCAGAUUUUCUACAUUACAAACAUGAGUCGAAGCUUGAAAUCAUGGAGGUCAUAUAUUAAAUAGGAACAAGACAAAAUAAAAAUAUAUGAUAUCGCAAGACAUUUUAAUGAAGAAAUUAAUGAGAUUCAUCGAAUUAAAAUGAACAAUGUUUCACAAGUAUAAAAAUUAGGCCAUUAAAAUGUGUAAUUAGUUAAUAAAAACGAAAACUCAAAUCUAGUAUAUUAGAGUCGGAAAAUUUUGAGAUCGAAAAUGAUAGCGACUAAAAAUUUACAAAGUAGAAAAUCACACCAUUAAAUGAUAAUCCCAGAAGCUUAUUAGAGUAAAAAGAUCAGGCUGCUGCAUGAUUAGGUUGCCCAGUACUAAGAAGGCCGACAUCUACCGAUCGACUACCAUUAACUAAUUAUCCUAUAUUCCUUAUUAAUCAUUUCAAGUUUUCAUCGUAAAUAGUGGAGAACAAGAUAUAAUUACAAAUAAAAAAUAUCUUCUUAUAUUGCUAGCGAGAAAUGAUAACGCAGAUACACCUCUUUAUAUUUGUGAAAUAAAGACACACUAUAUGUCCAACCUUAUUGGGUUAGAAUUACUCUUUAUGUUUUAUUUUAUGUUAUAUAAACAUGAAAUUUAAAAUGUUAAUUUUGAUCCUAUACAUUUUACAUUAUAUGAGUAGUGGUUGCAAAAACAUAAGAAAUAACAAAGAAAUUAUGGGUGUCUAACGGGUUGGAUGAACUGGUUCCCGCCCGGACCGUAUUGGACCAGCCCGUGACGCGGGAGGGGGGGGGGUGCAAAUACUGCUUUGGAUAGUUAAAUGAAUUUAAUUUUUAAAAGUUAAAUAAAGUAAUCUUAUUACUUUCCGUUUCAAUUUAGAUUACACACUUUCCUUAUUAGUCUAUUUCAAUGAGAAAUUUUUAUAACCACCUAAAUUUUAUAGCUCACAUUUUGAGACAUGCCGUAAUUUAAAAAGGUGACAUACAAGUUGGCAUGCAAAUGGUACCAUAAAGAAGAUAAUCUGCAAAUUACUGUGCAUUAUAAGCACACAUAUUGUUAAAUAAUUAGGGAUUAUUAUAAGAAAUAUCAAAUUAUAGUGGAUGUCUACUCUUCCUCCAUGAUCUUCAUCUCAAAUGCUUAAUGACAUAUUCAAUGACAUAUUUUUUAUGUUUAAUGAUAUAUUCAAUGACAUAUUUUCUUCACUUUUCAUGUAUAUAUAAAGGCCUUGUAAUAGAUAGGAAAAUACACACAAUUGAAGAAGAAAUAAUCUUUCAUCUCUUUCUCUCUAUAUCUCUUAGGUUAUUUUUCCUUGCUCUAUAUUGUUACUUUGAGCUAUAUUUCAUAACACGUUAUCACCACGAGACUCUACUGUCGCAAGAAGCUCUUUGAGAAGACUAAGGUAUAAUUUUUCUUCUCUUUUAAUUAUGACGGACAUUAUGAAAAGAAAGUUCGUUGCCCCAGAAAUUUCGGGUAAGAACUAUAUGGCAUGGGUGUUGGAUGCUGAAAUUCAUUUAGAUGCAAUGGAUCUUGGAGACGCUAUUAAAAGAUAGAAAUAAAGCAUCUACCCAAGAUUAUGCUAAGGCCUUGAUUUUCUUGCGCCAUCACCUUGAUGAAUAGUUGAAAAUAGAAUAUCUCACGGUCAAAGAUCCACUUGUUUUGUAGAAUGGCUUAAAGGAAAGAUAUGACAACUUAAAGUUGGUCACACUGCCACAAACACGAUAUGAUUGGGCUCAUCUGAGGCUCCAAGACUUUAAGUCUGUUUUUGAAUAUAAUUCUGCGAUGUUCAGAAUUACUUAUAAAUUGAAACCUUGUGGAGAUAGUAUCACUGACUAUGAUAUGUUUGAAAAAACGUUCACAACGUUUCAUACCUCCAAUAUAGUCCUGCAACUGCAGUACCGAGAGAAAGUUUCAAGAAGUACUCUGAGUUGAUUUCUCUUCUCCUUGUGGCUGAACGAAACAAUGACUUGCUCAUGAGAAAUCACGAUAAUCGACCCAUUGGGUCUAUACUAUUGCCCGACAUGAAUGAGGUGUAUUCUCAUUAUGCUAAGCGUGGAAAAGGUCAUGGCCCUCUUAUGUGCUAAACAUAGAAAAUUAGUACCAAACAAGCGUUGAAUUUUUUUUAUGUCAAUAUGACUUAAUUAUUUAAAGUACCAACAGUAUCAAUGCCGCACUUUGUUCAAGCAAUUAGUUUGUAAGCCUAGUAAUCUGAGUUCUAAUAAAGCAUCAUUAACCUUUUCUUUAAGAAGGAUGUCAAUUAAGAGGUUACAUGUAUAACUUUGACCAUUUUUAUUUAGCAUAUUUUAGGAAAUCUUUUUGUUACUUAACCAUUGUAUAAUAUAUUAUUUAUGGUAACUUGUUAAUAUGACUAUAAUAUUUCGUCCUUUUGCUUAUUGUAUACCUUAUGAACGUUGGUCAUGUUUUUAACGUUUAUACAGUUUAUUGUCUACUUUUGUGUUUAGUUACCUUUAUUUUCACACUCAUUGUUUCAUGUGUAUUAAUAUGACUUAAGUUUUUCGUGUUUUAAAAUCAUAUGACAACCUAAAAAUAAUUGCAUUAUUUUUAUCUAUGGAAUUAUUUGCAUCAUAAUUAGAAUUUGCUCGAAAUUGCAUUAAAAGUCACUAUUGAAUCAUUGGUUUAACUUUUUUUUUUCUUUUUCUCUGAAAAUACUAAUAUUUAUUCAUAUAAUUCUUUUUGUAUGUCAAACCAUGGGAAGCAAAUAUCGAUAUCUCUCAAAGCAAACUUGGAUCAAAGUUCAAUUGUAAAAAUAUUUGCUUAAUUGAUUCAUGUACGACACAUACAAUAUUCAAAGAGAAGAAAUAUUUCUCUCAUUUAAGUAUGUAUAAGGCAGAUGUUACUAUAAUUUUUGGUAGUAGUAAUCUAAUUGAAGGCUCUGAAAGAGCUAAUAUAACUCCACCUAAGGGUAUAAUACUUAUCAUAGAGAAUGCAAUGUUCUCCUCCAAGUCCAAGAGGAACUUGUUGAGUUUUAAAGAUAUCUGUCGAAAUGGAUUUCAUAUUGAGACAAUAGAUGAGAAUAAUAUCGAAUAUCUCAUUGUUACCAAGAAUGUCUCACGCCAGAAAAGGGUUAUUGAAAAGUUUCCAUCUUUAUCUUGUGGCAUGUAUUGCACAAUAAUUAGUGCAAUUGAUGCACAUUCUAUCGUAAACCAAAAGGUUACUGAUUCCAAUACUUUUGUACUUUGGCAUGAUCGAUUGGGACAUCCUGGAUCAAUUAUGAUGAGAUGAAUUAUAAAAAACUCAAAUGGGCAUCCAUUAAAGAAUUUAAAGAUUCUUUUAAAUAAUGAAUUUUCUUGCACUUCUUGUUAUCUAGGCAAGUUAAUUAUUAGACCAUCAUUAACAAAGGUUGGGAUUGAGUCCCUUGCGUUUUUGGAACGUAUACAAGGGGAUAUUUAUGGACCUAUUCACCUACCUAAUGGGUCAUUUAGAUAUUUUAUGGUCUUAAUAGAUGCUCUUCUAGAUGGUCUCAUGUGUACAUAUUGUCAUCUCGCAACCUGGCGUUUGUAAAAUUAAUGGCACAAAUAAUUCGAUUACAGGCACAAAUUCCCGAUAAUUCAAUUAAGUCUAUUCGACUUGAUAAUGCUACUGAGUUUUCAUCCCAAGUAUUUAAUAAUUAUUGCUUAUCAAUUGGGAUAAAAGUGAAACAUCAUGUAGCUCAUGUUCACACUCAAAAUGGCCUUGCAGAGUCUUUGAUUAAACGCCUGCAAUUGAUAGCAAGACCGUUACUCAUGAAAAUAAAAUUACCCACUUCUGUUUGGGGUCAUGCCAUUUUGUAUGCAGCAAUGCUAAUUAGUCUCAGACCGAUAAAUUAUCAUAAAUAUUCCCCGUUACAAUUAGUUUUGGGUCAUGAACCUAAUAUAUCCCAUCUAAGAAUUUUUGGAUGCGCUGUAUAUGUGCCUGUAGCACUGUCAUAUCGCACCAAGAUGGGUCCCCAAAGAAGGUUAGGAAUAUAUGUUGGGUUUUAAUCGCUCUCCAUUAUUCGCUACCUCGAAACAUUAACAGGAGAUUUGUUCACUGCUCGAUGUGCAAAUUGUCGAUUCGAUGAGGCAUUUCCCCCAAAUUUAGGGGGAGAAAUUGGUGAAUUCAAACGGGAAAUUUCAUGGAAAAUCCAUCAUUGUCUCAUCACACGUACCUCUAUUUGUAAAAAAGAGGUGCAAAAGAUUAUCCAUUUUGUAGAAAAUAGCAAAUCAAAUACCAUAUGCAUUUACGGAUUUGAAAAGGAUAACGAAAUCAUAUAUCCCUGCAGAGAAUGUUUCAAUCCAUAUUGAUGUCCCUGUUGGACAAUCUUCUAGUGUCAUAGCUAAUGAGUCAAAAGAACGCCUAAAGUGUGGCAGACCAUUGGGUUCUAAGGAUCGAAAUCCUAGAAAAAGGAAAAUAAAUGAUCAAAAUGACACUAUGAAAGAGUCUCAUAAAUAAACCUAUGAUUUAACCAAUCCUGAGAUUCAUGAGGAUAUCGAUGAGCCUGAGACUCAAGAAAAUAAGGAACUAUCAAUAAAUCCAAUCGAUAUUGAGACAAAUUUGAAUCUGUAACGACCCGACAGGUCGUUUUGAGCUCUAGCGCGUCGUUUGGUGGUUUGAGGCCAUGUGUAGCUUCAUUUUAGGUAUUAUGACUUGCACAUAUGGUCGGAAUCAAAUUUCAGGAAGUUCGGAGUUGAUUUGAAAAGAAAAUUUCUAAUUUCAGAAGCUUUAAUUUGGAAAACUUACUAAGGUUUGGAAUUUUUAUAAAUGACCUCGGAAUCAGGAUUUGAAUGUUCCAAUAGGUUUGUAUGAUAAUUUUGGACUUUGGCAUAUGUUCGGAUCAAGUGUUGGGUAGCCCGGGAGUUUUUCGGCGCUUAUUACGGAAAGUUGGCAUUUUGAAGGUUUAAUAAUUUUCUAAGUUUGGGUUGAAAUAUAUAUUGAUGUUAUCGAUGUCCGUUUGGGAUUCCGAGCCUGGGAAUAGUUCCGUAUGGUAAUUUUUGUCUUAGGUGCAUGUCCGGACGUUGAUUUGGGGGUCCGUAGGUGAUUUCGGCGUCAAUUGGCGAAAGUUAAAAAUUUGGAUGAUUUUGAGAAGUAUGACCGGGAGUGGACUUUUUAAUAUCGGGGUCGGAUUCUGAUUUCGGAAGUUGGAGUAGGUCCGUAAUAUCAAUUAGGACUUGUGUGCAAAAUUUGAGGUCAAUCAGACGUGAUUUGAUAGGUUUCGGCAUCGAUUGUAGGGGUUUGAAGUUUCAAAGUUCAUCAAGUUUGAAUUGGAGGGUGAUUCGUGUUUUUAGCGUUGUUUGAUGUGAUUUAAAGGCUAAAUUAAGUUCAUAUGAUGUUUUAGGACUUGUUGGUAUAAUUGGUUGAGGUCCCGAGGGCCUCGGGUGGAUUCCGAAUGGUAAACGGAUCGAGUUUGGGCUUGGAGGAAUGUUGGAGGUGCUAUCAUCUGGUGUAACCGCACCUGCGAGGUUUUGGCAGCAUGUGCGGAGCCGCAGAAGCGGCAAGGAGGGUCGCAGAAGCGGUUCUGGGCGAGCUGGGCAGUGCCGCAAGGUGCGAGACUUUCUCCGUAUCUGCGAUGGCGCAGAUGCGGCCUCAUGGAGCGCAGAAGCGGAGUGGAGCGUAGGAGCGAGGUGGAUUUGCGCACCUGCGAUGUCGCAGGAGUAGGACAUUGUUCGCAUGUGUGAAGGGCGGCCUCCAGUGUUUUCCACAGAAGUGAUCUUGGUGCCGCAGAAGCGGCCUUUGGCUUCGCAGGUGCGAAAGUCGCAUGGAUAGAAUGUAUAAGUUGGCCAAAUCGGGUUUUGGCUCAUGUCACCUCUUUUCUCUCGUUGGAGCCAGUCUUAGGUGCGAUUUUGGAGUGCCAUUUUAUCAUCCUUCAUGUGGUAAGUAAUUCCCACAUAUUGUGAGCUAAAUAUAUGGUUUAUAUAUGGAUUUAAAUAUCGAAAUUAGGAGAAAUUUGGAAUUUUGAAGAAAAACCUAGACAUUUGCAUUCUUGGAUUUUUUAUCACGAAUUUGGGCAUGGAAUUGGGAGUAAAUCAUAUAUUUGAGUUUGUAGUGUUAUGGGUAAUGGUUAUCUUCAGAAAUGUCCGAAAUCCGGGCACGUGGGCCCGAGGGUGAUUUUAUCGACUUUUCGAGCGGAGUUGAAAAUUAUUAUAAAUUAAAUUAUAAUGAGUAUUAGAGUAUAUAUUUAUGGAUUUGUACAUUUAUUGACUAGUUUUGGAGCGAUGGGCAUUGAUUUGAGUUGUUGGAAAGGCAUUGGAGCCGGUUAUGGAAUUUCGGAGCGAGGUAAGCCUCUUUUCUAACCUUGUAUGAGGGAAUUAAUCCUAUAGACAAAUUGAUUUAAUAUGUGCUUGUAUUUGUGUGGGCUACGUACGCACGAGGUGACGAGAGUCCGUGCGUAGCUACUAUUAUGCUUAUGUUCGGGUAGUCUAGGACCGAAAUUAUGUUAUACUUGCGAUGGUUGCCCCCUACUUGUUAAUUUAAUUGCUUAAAUCAUAUUGAGACUUGAUAAAAGAAUUGUAAAAGGUUAAACUUCAUUUUCUUGACCGUUAAUGAGAAUUUGUUAUUCCUUUGAAUAAUUGCCCCUUAAUAAAUCUUGAAUUGGUUGUUGUAAAUGUAUUUUAUCUUUUGUGGAUUGGGUCGAAUGCCUCGGUAGCAGAUAGAUCCAUCUAUAGUUUGCGCAGUUCGACCCUCGGCAUUGCACAAUUUAAAUAUUUAUGUUGGAUCAGGCCUUACGACCUCGAUAUAAUUUGCGCAUGAUAAAUCUUUGGAACUAAUAAUAAUUGAUAUUGCUUCAUUGACUUGAGAUAUAAAUGGUUAAAUGAUGAAAAAUAAAUUUGGAAACUUCCUAUUAUUAAAUGAAUUGUUUGCUUACCUCUUGUUUAUUGGGUUUUCAGCUGUUUUAUAGAAUCCAUGCUUAAUUAUAAUAUCGAAAUUUUAUUGUUAGCCCAUAGUAAGUGUCGGAGUCGACCCCCGUCACUACUUCUUCGAGGUUAGACUGGAUACUUACUGGAUAUGUAUUGAUUUACGUACUCAUACUGCACUUGCUGCAUAUUUUUGUGCAGGAACAUAUAUGUCUAGUGGCCUUGUGGGCGCAAAGGUGUGGUUGAUGCGGGGACUUAGGGGACCUGCAUUCUAUAUUACGAUCCACAGCCAGCAGAGUCUCCUUCAGGGUUAUUUAUAUCUUUCCUGUCUAAUUUGUAUUCCGGACAGAUGCUGUAUUUUAUUUUACUCCCUAGUUAAUGCUCAUGCACUUGUGACACCGGGUUUUGGGAGUGGUUAUGGGUUGUUCAAUAUUUUUGUUGCGAAAAUAUUAUCAUUUACUCCGUAAGUUCUAUCUUUUACUAUUUAAUUGAAGGAAAUUAUAAUUUUAAAAUACUAAAAUGAGUAAUUAAGUUAAUUAAUUAUCGUUGGCUUGCCUGAUAGCGGUGUUAGGCGCCAUCACGACUUUUAAUGGAUUUUAGGUCGUGACAACAUGGUAUCCGAGUGUUAGGUUCACUUAGGUCUCACGAGUUACGAGCAAGUCUGGAAGAGUCUCGCGAAUCGGUACGGAGACGUCUGUACUUAUCUUCGAGAGGUUACAGGGCUGUUAGGAGCACUUCCCUUCUUGAUUUCUCUUCGUGCGGUUUUGUUUCCUUUUAGGCUUGUGCCUUUAUUUUCUUCCUACUCGAUCUUAUGCGAUGUGAAGCGCUUGUUUGCAAUUGGGAAUCGAGUAAUUUUAAUGGUACUACAGAUGUGGUGCGGGAUGUUUCUCCUUGCGUAUUUAAUUAGGCUAUUUUCGUCACCUUACGAAAGGUCGUUCUGUCGUUUAAACUCAGUAUCAGUAUUACCUAAGGUUUUGAAAUUUGGCAUUGAUUGUUAUGAUGAUUCGUGCAUUGCUAUCGCACAGUGUUUGUGUAAUGGUAGGAUGCUUGUCUAUGCAUCGAGGUAGUGAAUGACUUGAAAGGAGGUUUUACUCAGUGCAUGAUUCAGAGAUUCAGUGUUUUAUUUCCAGCGGAGGAAAGGUAAUCGGACUACGAAUGCUCGGGUUUAGGUCAAUGGGGUAACUAGACUUGGUAUUUUCGAGCAUGGUGGAAUUUUCAUCUGAGAUGUGGUGUCAUUAUCCUUGUUAAAUGUGUUAUGUUCGUCGGUGUUAUGAUCUUCUUCAAUUCGCCUUCAGGGUAGGAUAUUGUGAAAUAGUGUCGGGGAAGCAGCUGUCAGAGAUCGCGGUGUGCAGUGGUUUAGAAUCGAAUCAUUGUUCCAAAUAUUGAUGGCUCGAGAAGGAUGAUCUUCUGAGAGGUUUAGAGUGGUAGCGAUCUAUUGGUUCAAGUGCUACAAAGAUGGAUUUGAUUUAUGACAACAACUGGGCAUAUCUGAGGAAGGACAGGUAGGAGGUGUCUGGCGGUGGUUAAAUUUCUUGGAGGCCAAGUGUGAGAAGCAGAAGUCGAGUAGUUGCUUAAGGAGAGGGUUUGACCAAAGUGGGAGAGUGGUAGAGUAUCAUAUGGGUUUUAUGGUAGGAUAGCUACACGCCUUGAGGAAAGUUUAGAGUGAUCUGGGAUUCAUGGUAGACAGUGACUAGGUCUAUGGACUAAUUUGAAAUAUUGGCUACUACACUGAGGGAGGUUGGAUACGACAUGAGGGAGUUGCUUAAUAAGAAGAGGGAUGCAACAUGACUUUGGAUUGUAAUGUAUCGUCACACUUUUAGCUGAUAUCAAUGGGGAGUGAACGGACUUGUACAGUUGGUGAAUGAGCAUGGGCUCAGGAGGGUUUAUUGGUUCCGUAAUAAUUGUUCACAGUGCAUCGUCGUUGGGAGAUGUCAGCAUGGGAUUUCCACAAGUGAGUUAUCCCCUAUGAGCAGGUUAGCGAUUGCGUGGUGUUGAGGGUGCUUCUACGAAGAAUUCUACCGGCUAUCCGGUAAGGGAUCUAAUAUGUGAAUGUGGCUAGUAAUUCAGAAUGCUCAUGAAAUGUUUAACAGAAAGGUUGCGAGAAAUUUGGCGGGUUGGUUGUGCAAGAUCAUGUCAAUGGGGAAUAAGGAGUCUUGGUGGGUUCCAGGGUUAUGCAAUGGUAGCUUCAAGCUAAGUGGAAGAGCCCCAUCGUCUAUGAUUUGAUUGUAUGGUUGUCUACUUAUGAGGUUUCUAGUUUUCGGUGUAUUGGUGGGUUAUUACGACUAAGGAAAGAAAACAUCAGUGGUAAUCUGAGCAAAGGAUUUGGGGAAUGUGUGCUAUAUUUGGACUUAUUGAUUCAUGUUCAGGCUUUGGGGAGACUCAGAGUUUAUGCUUUAUGUAGAUGUGAUGUACAAGGAAGUAAGUCAGCCAGGUGCUUCUUUGAGAAGGUGUUUAUAUGCUAGCAGGGCCUUGGAGUUUGAUCACAUUUGGGAACAAGACAGAGUGGGUGACUCUCAACCAUGGUCCUAGUGGAUUCAAAAAUUUAAAGUGCGGUGCUUAAGGGUUUCGAGUAUGUAGUAUGGUUAAGUAUCGAGCAUUGUAGUGGAUUACAAAAAGGUCUUGAAGUGUUCUAUAUUAUCAUCGGUCUGCGGUGUAGCAUUGGAGGAAUGGGAGAAAAUAACUUCCGAUUCGUAAAGGAAAUAUCAGAAUGUGUGUACCAGUUGAAGAUACGAAUGUGCGCACAAGCGGGUAUGAGAUGGUUUGUGGGUUUUGAGACAACGUGAUCUCGUGAAAUAGAGUCCUUCUGGAUGAGUGCGGAUUGGGUUAGUCAUAUUUUGAAUGAAGCUAUUAUUAUUCCUAAGGCAAGUCCGGAGUAAAUUAGAAGAAGUCGGAUCGAUUAGCAGUGGUUGAAUCGGCAUAAUGGUGGCAAUGAUCAGUUCCUUCAACGUGUUAAGUUUUACAGGUGGUUGUGGCGGUACGUGCGAGGCUUGACGGCUACCAUAAUUGAUUUAACUUGGAGGCAUUCGAGUUAAUAUGGCAUGUUAUGUGUAGAUGGAUCCUGGAAGAGUCAUGGUAGUUUAGACCACUACUUGGGAUUGUAUUUUUUGCGGUUAUGAGAAUUCGGCCGUGUGUUGGAAUGGUUCUCCUGAAAUGAGUUAAGUGAAAAGUUUCUAUAUGAUAGAGUGUUUAUUCUAUUAGUAGAUCAGAGGUUAUUAUGGAAUUCUUGUACUCUCGCGUAUUAACAUGUUAGGUGCAGUGAGCGACAUGGGAAUCGGAAGUCGAGGGUCAAGGUUGUGGUUCGGUGUUGACAAGAAUGUCACGAGCUCGGAUGAGCAGGAAAGAAUUCAGAUGGUUAGAAUAAACUGGUAUUGUCUUUAGCGUCACUUGAGAUCGGUGUCGUGUGUAAGUGGCUUUGUGUAUUGAUUUGCGGAUUCUUGAUUUGCCUUUCAUCAUUAGUGUGGCUGGCGGUAUGGAUGUGCAGACUUGUUACCUGGUGCGGAAGGUCGUAGGAGUGUAUCCCAUGGGAAGAUUGUAUAAGUGUGACACGUAGUCACUUGAUUGAUUAAAGAUUGAAAUCAAGUAUGGAGAUUUUGGUACUAUCGCUAAUGUGAGAGUUUAGGCCUGAAAGGGGCGCUCUAUUCAGUUGGUUGUGAAUUGUGGAAGUUUGUUCUUGAUACGAUGGUUGUCCUUGUGUGUCAUGGGAAAAAAGGGUUAUUGUGGAUCCUUGGAAGGUUAUUAGCCCAGUGCGGUACGAUCAGAAUCGGCUUGAGGUCCAUGGAUAGAUCUAAAUGUGAACGGGGGCUCUAUAACAGGCCAGAUGUGUCCAUUCCAGCAUAGCAUUGUUUACGGAGGAGUCUUCAGGCCUUGGAUGUUGUUUCCAUUGCCAGGUAUUCUGUGUGAUCUCUAUUUUGCCAUGUGGGUUGUGAGACGAUAUGGCUAUUCGCACUUGUAUUGAGAUCCCAUGUAGUUAUGGUGUUGUGAUGGCAUGAUGGCUCUCGAGAUGCAGGUCCUUUAUUGUACCUUAGUCGUGCUUGAGUUUUGUAGCGUAUGGCGCCAUAUAUCUCCCCAGGGAUGGUAUUAUGCACUUGGCAUGCUUGUGGUCGGCAUUCAGACAUUUCGUAGGUGUGAGCAUUCUAGAUCGAUAGGUAUUUCCUUAUAGAUUAUUAUGUGUGGAUCGGGUGGCACGCCGCCACGAGUACAUUGGUUGGAUCGGGUGGCAUGUCACCACGGGUAUAUUGUUUGGGUCGGGUGGCACGCCGCCACGGGUAUUAUGGUUGGAUCGGGUUGCACGCUGCAGCGGUGUCCUGCGUGGAUUGGGUUGCACGCCCCAAUAGUGGGAUGUGGAGUACAGUUCCCUAUAUCUAUUCGCGUGUGUUUUGUCCCUCAUUUUCUGGAGAAGGUUCAUGACAUCUUUUCGGUCAUUUAAUUAGUUACGUGGGUUGAGUAGUUCGUUCCAGAGUUUGUUUCCCUCAUGUAUCACAUUCGAGUUUGUAGCUUGUCAGCAUAUUGUGGCAUCAAAUGAGACUUUUGCAGUGUCCGGGGUGGCUUAUUGCCUGAGCAUCUUGUACUAGGCGAGACAAGAUUUAUUGGACCUGGGAUCAGUGCGAUCAGAUUUAUAUAAGGCACAUUAAAGAGUAAAUAUCGUUAUUCAGUCCAAAAUGAGGUAAUGGUUCUUGUCGGGAGGAGAGACACUAUGAAUUGUGAUUCGGCCGGUGGUUAUGAGUUUCUUAACACCUCUUCUGUCGUGGCAGUAUUGCGAGAGUUGAAGCAAGGCCUAUAUUGGUCAUGAGGUAUACUACGGGCUUCGGGUCAGGGGAAAUUUCAAAUGUUGUUCUUGGGAGAUUGCCUUAGGCAAAUGAGUUACAUGGUGCAUGGUAUGAAUUCAGUAAGGGUAUACAAUCAUGUUUGGGUACAGUAUGUAGUGAUUAAUACGGUGUUCGUAUGUUGGAAACAGUCCUGGUGGAGAAUUGCGGAUGUUAGAAUUUGACUCUAAGUCUUACUUGAUUUAUCUACGGAUUGGCUCGAGCUAAUGUGCUUAACUGGGUUGUGGUAGCAUGGGUAGGUGCACGAGGUGUUAAAACGUAAUUUUGGACAACUUCGGAACAAUUCUUAGCACGUUCGAGGACGAACGUAUGUUUAAGUGGGAGAAAAUGUAACGACCCGACUGGUCUCUUUGAGAUCUACCGCGUUGCUCGGUGGUUUGAGGCCACGAGUAGCUUUAUUUCAGGUAUUAUGACUUGCACGUAUGGUCGGAAUCAAAUUUCAGGAAGUUCGGAGUUGAUUUGGAAAGAUAAAUUCUAAUUUCGGAAGCUUUAAGUUGGAAAACUUACUAAGGUUUGAAAUUUUUAUAAAUGACCUCGGAUUCAGGAUUUGAAGGUUCCAAUAGGUUCGUAUGAUAAUUUUGGACUGGGGUGUAUGUUCGGGUCGAGUGUCGGGUAGCCCGAGAGUAUUUUGACGCUUAUUACGGAAAGUUAGCAUUUUGAAGGUUUAAUAAUUUCCUAAGUUUAGGUUGAAGUAGAUUUUGAUGUUAUCGAUGUCCGUUUGGGAUUCCGAGCCUGGGAAUAGUUUCGUAUGGUGAUUUUGGUCUUAGGUGCGUGUCCGGACGUUGAUUUGGGAGUCUGUAGGUCAUUUCGGCGUCAAUUGGCAAAAGUUGGAAAUUUGGAUGAUUUUGAGAUGUUUGACCGGGAGUGGACUUUUUAAUAUCGGGGUCGAAUUCUGAUUCCGAAAGUUGGAGUAGGUCCGUAAUGUCAAUUAUGACUUGUGUGCAAAAUUUUUUAGUCAAUCGGACGUGAUUUGAUAGGUUUCGACAUCGAUUGUAGGAGUUUGAAGUUUCCAAGUUCAUCAAGUUUGAAUUGGAGGGUGACUCGUGUUUUUAGCAUUGUUUGAUGUGAUUUAAAGGCUCAACUAAGUUCGUAUGAUGUUUUAGGAAUUGUUGGUAUAAUUGGUUGAGGUCCCGAGGGCCUCGGGUGGAUUCCGAAUGGUAAACGGAUCGAGUUUGGGCUUGGAGGAAUGCUGGAGCUACUGUCAUCUGGUGUAACCGCACAUGCGAGGUUUUGGUUGCAUGUGCGGAGCCACAGAAGCGGCAAGGAGGGUCGUAGAAGCAGUUUUAGGCGAGCUGGGCAGUGCCGCAAGGUGCGAGACUUUCUCCGUAUCUGCGAUGUCGCAGAUGCGGCCUCAUGGAGUGCAGGAGCGGAGUAGAGCGUAGGAGCGAGGUGGAUUUGCGCACCUGCGAUGUCGUAGGAGCAGGACAUUGUCCCCAGGUGUGAAGGGAGGCCUCUAGUGUUUUCCGCAGAAGCGGCCUUUUGGCUUAGCAGGUGCGAAAGUCGCCUAGACAGAAUGUAUAAGUUAGCCAAAUCGGGUUUUGGCUUAUUUCACCUCUUUUCUCUCGUUGGAGUCGGUCUUGGGUAGUGCCAUUUUGUCAUCCUUCAUGAGGUACAUAAUUUUCACAUAUUUUGAGCUAAAUACAUGGUUUAUAUAUGGAUUUAAACAUGGAAAUUAGUAUAAAUUUGGGAUUUUGAAGAAAACCCUUGACAUUUGCAUUCUUGGAUUUUUUACCACGAAUUUGGGCAUGGAAUUGGGAAUAAAUAAUAUAUUUGAGUUUGUAAUGUUAUGGGUAACGAUUAUCUUUAGAAAUGUUCGGAAUUCAGGCACGUGGGCCCGAGAGUGAUUUUAUCGACUUUUCGAGCGGAGUUGGAAAUUAUUGUAAAUUGAAUUAUAAUGAGUAUUAGAGUAUAUAUUUAUGGAUUUGCACAUUUAUUGACUGAUUUUGGAGCGAUGGGCAUCGGUUUGAGUUGUUGGAAAGGCUUUGGAGCCGGUUAUGGAAUUUCAGAGCGAGGUAAGCCACUUUUUUAACCUUGUAAGAGAGAAUUAACCUCAUAAGCAAAUUGAUUUAAUAUGUGCUUCUAUUUGUGGGGGCUACGUACGCACGAGGUAACGAGAGUCCGUGCGUAGCUACUAUUAUGCUUUUGUUCGAGUAGUCUAGGACCCAGAUCAUGUUAUAUUUACGAUGGUUGCAUAUUACUUGUUAAUUUAAUUGCUUAAAUCAUAUUGAGACUUGAUAAAGAAAUUGAAAAAGGUUAACUCCUUUCUUGACCGUAAGGAGAAUUGGGUAUUCCCUUGAAUAAUUUCCCCUUAAUAAAUCUUGAAUUGGUUGUUGUAAAUGUAUUUUCUCUUUUGUGGAGAGGGCCGAACGCCUCGGUAGCAGAUAGAUGCAUCUAUGGUUCACGUCGCUCAACCCUCGGCAAUGCACAAUUUAAAUAUUUAUGUUGGAUCAGGCUGUACGACCUCGGCAUGAUUUGUGCAUGAUAAAUCUUUGGAACUAAUAAUAACUGAUAUUGCUUCAUUGGCUUGAGAUCUAAAUUGUUAAAUGACAAAAAAUAAAUUUAGAAACUUGCUAUUAUUAAAGGAAUUGUUUGCUUACCUCUUGUUUAUUGGGUUUUCAGCUAUUUUAUACAAUCCAUGCUUAAUUAUAAUAUUGGAAUCUUAUUGUUGGCCCAUAGUAAGUGUCGGAGUCGACCCCUCGUCACUACUUCUUCGAGGUUAGACUAGAUACUUACUAGGUACGCGUUGAUUUACGUACUCAUACUAUACUUGUUGCACAUUUUUGUGUAGGUACAUAUAUAUCUAGUGGCCUUGUGGGUGCAGAGGUGUGGUCGAUGCGGGGACUUAGGCGAGCUGCAUUCUAUAUUACGAUCCGCAGCCAGUAGAGUCUCCUUCAGGGUUAUUUAUAUCUUUCCUGUCUAAUUUGUAUUCUGGACAGAUGCUGUAUUUUAUUUUACUCCCUAUUUAAUGCUCAUGCACUUGUGAUACCGGGUUUUGGGAGUGGUUAUAGGUUGUUCAAUAUUUUUGUUGCGAAAAUAUUAUCAUUUACUUCGUAAGUUCUAUCUUUUACUAUUUAAUUGAAGGAAAUUACAAUUUGAAAAUACUAAAAUAAGUAAUUAAGUUAAUUAAUUAUCAUUGGCUUGCCUCACAACGGUGCUAGGCGCCAUCACAACCUAUAAUGAAUUUUGGGUCGUGACAGAAUCGAUUGAAUAUAGUGGUAGAUUAUGUCUUUGCGUACAAUGUUGAAUCUAGCAUUAUGCAAGAUAGUGAGGAUCUUGAACCUCAAUCUGUUGGAGAAUGUCGACAAAGACGUAAUUGGCCAAAAUGGCAAGAAGCAAUCCAAUCUGAGUUGGAUUUACUUGCGAAACGUGAAGUUUUUGGGCCUGUAGUCCAAACACCUAAUGGUGUCAAACUUGUUGGCUAUAAAUGGGUCUUUGUACGAAAAAGGAAUGAGAAAAGUGAGGUACAAAGAUAUAAGGCACGCUUUGUUGCACAAGAAUUUUCACAAAGACAUGGUGUCGAUUAUGAAGAGAUGUAUUCUCCUGUUAUGGAUGCUAUAACGUUCUGUUAUCUCAUUAGUCUUGUUGUCCAUAAAAAUCUUGACAUGCAUUUAAUAGUUGUGGUUACAACCUACAUUUACGGCUCACUUGAUAAUGAGAUAUACAUAAAAAUUACCAAGGGAUUUAAAAUGCCUGACGCACAUAAUUCAAAGUCCCGAAAAAUAUUUUCUAUCAAAUUGCAAAGAUCUUUGUAUGGUCUAAAGAAAUCAGGAAGAAUGUGGUAUAACCGCCUUAAUGAGUGUUUAUUAAAGGAAGGUUAUAUAAAUGAUGUCAUUUGUCCAUGUAUUUUUAUAAAAAAAAAAACAACGUCGGAGCUUGUUGUACUUGCUGUAUAUGUUGAUGACAUAAACCUUAUUGGAACUCCAAAAGAACUCCAAAAGGAAAUUGAUUAUUUAAAAAAGGAAUUCGAGAUGAAAGAUCUCGGAAAGACAAAAUUAUGUCUUGGUUUGCAAAUUGAACAUUUGGCAAACGGGACUUUUUGUUCAUCAAUCUGCCUACAUAAAAAAGGNNNNNNNNNNNNNNNNNNNNNNNNNNNNNNNNNNNNNNNNNNNNNNNNNNNNNNNNNNNNNNNNNNNNNNNNNNNNNNNNNNNNNNNNNNNNNNNNNNNNNNNNNNNNNNNNNNNNNNNNNNNNNNNNNNNNNNNNNNNNNNNNNNNNNNNNNNNNNNNNNNNNNNNNNNNNNNNNNNNNNNNNNNNNNNNNNNNNNNNNNNNNNNNNNNNNNNNNNNNNNNNNNNNNNNNNNNNNNNNNNNNNNNNNNNNNNNNNNNNNNNNNNNNNNNNNNNNNNNNNNNNNNNNNNNNNNNNNNNNNNNNNNNNNNNNNNNNNNNNNNNNNNNNNNNNNNNNNNNNNNNNNNNNNNNNNNNNNNNNNNNNNNNNNNNNNNNNNNNNNNNNNNNNNNNNNNNNNNNNNNNNNNNNNNNNNNNNNNNNNNNNNNNNNNNNNNNNNNNNNNNNNNNNNNNNNNNNNNNNNNNNNNNNNNNNNNNNNNNNNNNNNNNNNNNNNNNNNNNNNNNNNNNNNNNNNNNNNNNNNNNNNNNNNNNNNNNNNNNNNNNNNNNNNNNNNNNNNNNNNNNNNNNNNNNNNNNNNNNNNNNNNNNNNNNNNNNNNNNNNNNNNNNNNNNNNNNNNNNNNNNNNNNNNNNNNNNNNNNNNNNNNNNNNNNNNNNNNNNNNNNNNNNNNNNNNNNNNNNNNNNNNNNNNNNNNNNNNNNNNNNNNNNNNNNNNNNNNNNNNNNNNNNNNNNNNNNNNNNNNNNNNNNNNNNNNNNNNNNNNNNNNNNNNNNNNNNNNNNNNNNNNNNNNNNNNNNNNNNNNNNNNNNNNNNNNNNNNNNNNNNNNNNNNNNNNNNNNNNNNNNNNNNNNNNNNNNNNNNNNNNNNNNNNNNNNNNNNNNNNNNNNNNNNNNNNNNNNNNNNNNNNNNNNNNNNNNNNNNNNNNNNNNNNNNNNNNNNNNNNNNNNNNNNNNNNNNNNNNNNNNNNNNNNNNNNNNNNNNNNNNNNNNNNNNNNNNNNNNNNNNNNNNNNNNNNNNNNNNNNNNNNNNNNNNNNNNNNNNNNNNNNNNNNNNNNNNNNNAAAGUUUUAUCCCACUGGGUUUUCCUUGCAAGGUUUUUAAUGAGGCAACCAAAAAGCGUAUUUCUAAACAUGUGUACUCUUUUUCCUUCACUAGGAUUUUUUUUUCUAAUAAGGUUUUAACAAGGCACAUUAUCUAUGGACAUCCAAGGGGAAGGGUUAUAAGAAAUAUCAAAUUAUAGUGGAUGUCUACUCUUCCUUCAUGAGCUUCAUCUCAAAUGCUUAAUGACAUAUUUUCUAUGUUUAAUGACAUAUUUUAUUUACUUUGCAUGCUUAUAUAAAAGCCUUGUAAUAGAUAGAAAAAUACACACAAUUGAAGAAGAAAUAAUCUCUCAUCUCUUUCUCUCAAUAUCUCUUUGCUUGUUUUUCCUUAUUCUAUGUUGUUACUUUGAGCUAUAUUUCAUAAAAGAGAUGUCGUUCUUUGAGUAAUUAUAUGCAAUACGUAUCCAUUCAGAAUUGGGUAUGAAUUGUCCGUUAAUUGGAAGGUUAGAAACAUUAAAAAGAGUAACAACUAAGGCAAAUAUCUUCAAAAAAUAUAAUGGAAGGUUAAUAUACUUAAUAAAGUCUAAAGCAUACAGAGUCAACAAUCAAAUUCAGUGAAAUUCCAUAAGUGAAAUUUGUGAAAAGUAAUGUGUACGUAAACCUUAUUCUUACCCAGAUAAAGGUAAAAAUGCUACUUUCGAAAUGUCUAAAAAUAAAGUUUAUCCUGCUAUCUUUGUAUCGAGCUAACCUUAUCUAGAAAGAGGCAAAAAGUUUAACCAAGUGUGACGACCACAUUGCUCUUUCUCCCUCGUUAGCGCCUGGCGGGAAAUGAUAAGCUAAAAAACACCUCUUUUUGUUAGUGAAAUAGGCACACACCUAUACUCGAAUUCAUAAUUUCAAAUUUAGUGUGAAAAAAAACUUAUUCAUCUUAACAUCGCUUGAUGAUAGAAAUAAAUUGUACACCAGCAAAUGGGAUACAAUGAAUAGUACCCUCCAUUUUCUCCAAAUAAAGUUGGCGUUCUUUAUUGGCGGCUAACAUAUUCUAUUUUUCUAUUGAAUAUAAUAACAAUGGAAAAGAUAAUUACACUCUGCACGAAAUUUGCAAAUAUAGUACUCUAAAGAUCAGAGAGAUGUGCCUGUCUUGGAAUCAUUAUUUCUAUGCAAUAUAAAUUACUUAAAAUAUAUUCAAAGUAAAAGGUCCAGAGCAGUGUGACGGCCACGCGGCUCUUUCGUACAAUAGUAAUUUCCGAGAUGCCCCUUAAAGUAAAAAAAAUAUCCAAGUGGAUAACUUAAUCUUUGCUAUAAAUCUGAGCCUUGUUCUUGCUGUCUUUGUAUCAAUUUAGCUAACCAAUCUAGAAAGAGACAGCAGCUAUGGUGUCCGCUACUUCAAGUUUUCUACUUCUUGUUCUUGUUUCUUCUUCCUUCUUUGUAAUAGAAGCCCAGAUACCUGCUCCAGUGAAAGGUCUUUCAUGGUCAUUUUAUCAAACCAGUUGCCCUCAGCUUGAAUCCAUUAUUAGGAAGAGGCUUGAAAAACAGAUCAAAGAUGAUGUUGGCCAAGCUGCUGGCUUACUUCGCCUUCAUUUCCACGAUUGCUUUGUUCAGGUAAUUAAUAUUGAGAAUGGAGUUUAAGAAAAAAGAAGAUUUUUCCAACAAAUACUAAAGUACUCUAGAAUAUGCUAUGAUAUUUCAACACAGGAGCAUGUUCUUAAGAGUACUGUUGAAGAGUUUCUAGAUAUAAAAUGUGUCAUUCUUUUUAAUACAUAAAAAAAUAAUACAAGAGCGCAUUGAUUAUGUUACUUCAAAGUAGAUUAACUCUAGUAUUAAUUUUGAUGGAUAUGUAAUGCAGGGAUGUGAUGGUUCAGUGUUGCUAGAUGGAUCGGCAGGAGGGCCAAGUGAGCAAACUGCAAUUCCUAAUUUGACACUAAGAAAGAAGUCAUUCAAGAUAAUUGAUGAUCUUAGGAAAAGGGUUCACGAUGCCUGUGGGCAAGUUGUAUCUUGCUCUGACAUUACAGCCAUUGCUGCUAGGGACUCUGUUGUCUUGGUAAGACCAAAACUCCCAUUUAGUCCUUGUUUCUUGGUUUAGAUCGUACUAGUUUACUAGGCAGAAACUCUUCAUUUUCAUACCAAAACUAUAUGUUUUGAAAGAUCAUAAUAAGAUAUGGAGUUCAUUUACAGAAAAAGGUGAUUUUCUUUUUUCUGAAUUUGGGACAGGAUAAAGGUGAGAUAAUGACAGAUAAAAUUUUUAAAGACUGAAGGCGUCAUGAAUGAUAAAAUUUGGGACAGGAAAAAGUUGGUUUUUAUCAUUAAUUUCAAAGAACUCGCCCCCCCCCCCCCCGUCUUCAAAUUUAUACUUGUCAAAUCUCUCUCUCUCGUCUGUUUCAUAUCCAUUUUUUAAAAUUUUGACUUUUAUAUAUUGUCAUAAGCUAGACUUAUUGGAGUAUUUACUUGUGAGCUUAUGGUCAUUUCAGACUGGUGGACCCAACUACAAUGUACCCUUAGGAAGAAAGGACGGACUCAACUUUGCAACAGAACAGGCAACCUUAGACAACCUUGUUGCACCAUUUGCCAACACCACAGUCGUCCUCAGUCGCCUUGCAACUAAGGGUUUAGACGCCACCGACGCCGUCGCUCUAUCCGGGGCCCACACCAUCGGAAUCAGCCACUGCACUUCCUUCACCGACCGUCUCUUCCCUAACCAAGACCCAACCAUGGACCAAACAUUCGCUAACAACCUUAAAACCAGUUGUCCAACCGCGAACUCCAACAACACUGUCGACAUGGAUAUCCGAACCCCUAAUUUAUUUGACAACAAAUACUACGUUGAUCUCAUGAAUAGGCAAGGGCUUUUUACUUCUGAUCAAGAUUUGUUCACUGAUAGAAGGACUAGGGGAAUUGUCGAGAGCUUUGCUAAGAACCAGUCACUGUUUUUUGACAAGUUUGUGAUUGGUAUGAUUAAGAUGGGACAGUUGAACGUGGUGACCGGUGGAAAUGGUGAAAUCAGGACUAGGUGUGAUAGGAGGAACAAGGAUAAGAAGGUUGAUAUUGCUACCGUUGUUGAAGAUGUGGAGGAAACUUUCUCUGCUUUGUUUUAAGUUUAAUAAUCCUUUGUUUUAUCUCGGGGAUAAAAGAUUUUUAAUGCUUUUUUGUAAUAAUAACGAGUGUCUUAGCUAGCAUAAUAAUAACCUUUUGUUUGUUAAUGUAAUGUAAGAAUAUGUGUUUUGGAUCUUAUUUUUUCUUCUGAAAAAGUUUGCUAGCUCCAUGGCAUCAUAAUUAUGUAAGUAUUUAUUGUUUACCCGUAAAGCGGUAUAGUUGAUUUUAUACGUGUUUUCUAAACAAAUGAAUUUAUUUGAUCCUAAAAUAGUAAAAUCAUCGAAGAAUUAUUUAUGCAAUACUUAAGUCUUAAGAUAUAGACAAAAUAGCAUAAACAAUAGUUCCGGGAACAGAGUUUUCGGGCACAACAACAAUAAAAUAAAAAAGUAAUAAGAUAAGACUGUAUUGAGCUUUGUGUAGAAUGUAGCGUAAAUUUGCCAGAAAAUUCGUGUCCUUUACAAUGACAAGUGAGCUCACUAUUUAUGGCUUCUUCCUCAAAGUGUACCGGAUUUUCAAAGACCAAGAACAAGGCCGAUGACUCUGCUCCUCCAAUAGUGGGCUCCAUCAUCCCUAGAAGUCUUAUUACCACAAAAGACUUCGAAAAGAAAUUUUCUACUGCUAACUCUCGUACAUAGGUCGUCAGUGGGUACCCUUCUUCCAUACGUCCUUCUAGCAUUCCUGUUGUGAAGGAAGACUGUCACUGCCAUGACUUGGAAAUUAUUGCUCCUGAUCUAUCGGAGCGAGUCUCCCUACCGAAGGAGGGUUUUACAUAUUUUUACACGUAUCCCUUUACUUUGGGUGCGUCCUCUUUGAGCGGAGAGCUUGACUCCGUGAUUGUGGAGUUUUGCUUCCGCUACCAAGUGUGUUUGGCACAAGUAAGUCAUUCUGUGUGGAGGACGGUUGCUUGCCUUCGGCGUUUGUGCCAUGAGACUGGAGAAGAGCUAAUCUUAGCUCAUAUGAUGAAUCUCUAUUCUCCCAAAAUCUUCCGCGGGGGAAUGAUAAACCUCUAUAAACGUGUCCACCAUGAUUUGUUGUCUAGCAAACAAUGACCGUGGGUGGAUGGAACGGUUCGUUGCAGCUGCCACCAACGACAUCAUUCCGGCAAUGGCUCCAUCCUUUCCGGCCGCUUGGAAACACAUUCGUAAGCUCUUUGUUUAGUAUUUCCUUUUACUAAAUAUUUUUCUAUAGUCGUAUUGAUCCUCCAUCCUUCGCCUGGUUUAACAACUCGAUGGAUCCCACCGGUGGUUGAAGGUUUGGAAAUGUGGGUACAAAAGAUUAUGGACGUUACGAUGCCCGAGACUCGCUUGUGGAAAGAACUGCCCCCUAAAUACUGGUGGAAGGCCUAGAAUCGUGGUAAUUCAAACUCACCUUGUUUCAAUUUUUCAUGUGAAGAACUUGAUUGAUCCCUUCUAACCUGUCUAUGAAAUUAGGUCUACCCGCGAGCUAUGUUGAUAUUCCCGAGAAGAAUGUCUUGGCUGAUCCUGCCGAUGCCCCCGAGUCAUCUCCGGUAGUGAUGGUGACUGGCCCUCCUUCCGGGCCGCUCAUAGACACCGUGACGAUCGACGAUGAUGAAAAAGCUAGUGAUGAGGGAGCUUCUCUACAUAGAAGAUGACAAUCCUUAUCAUCUCAAUAGGAUGCUCGACCUGUUGAGAUAGUUACACCAACCGAGGACGAUGCCUCGGCACUUUGGGGAGAGUUUGAUUUGGUAUAUUAUGUCAACUCCCAUUUUCGGGCCCCAAUUGUUGUGCCCGGUACUGCUGGGCUGAGAAUCCAACAACCAGCACUACCUUUGAUGCAACUGCUUCUCACUCUUCAACUCCAUUAGCUUCAUCUCCAUCUUCACCAACACUACCAACUGCUACAUAACUUCCAUCUUCAUCCACUCUUCCACCAGCAAUUGCUACAACAUCUCCAUCGGCCGUACCUGACCAUCAAUAAGGUGUUCCUCUUCCACAAAACCCUGUUCAUGGGAAUUUAGGGCAAAAUUAUGCUGCCCCUUCUGAAGAUCCGCAAAGGAGGAGGAAUGUUACUCUUUCGGUCUCUACCGGAUGUAACUUGCUAUCCCGAUGAAUGGAGCUUGCUAAUUAUUUGAAGCCUUUGGCUUCAGAGAAAGACUAGGAAAAGAUUCUGGCACUCUUGGGAGAAUGUCUGUUGAACAACGCCAUGCACAAUGCUGCAGCAGUACAUUCCUUUCUUCCUUUAUUACUCCUUCUAUUUUUGGGUAUGAACAUAUCCUAAAUUUUACCCUUCUUAGUUUGUGGGGCAACUUUCUUGCUUUUGAGGGCCUUGAGAGGUUGAUUCGUGAAAAGGAAGAGAUUACCUCUGCAUGGGAUCAGCUUUUGGCAGAGCAGGAGCAACAUAUCGCUCGCCUUUCGGAACUGGAAGCCAAAGCUUCUGAGGUUGUUGUAUUGGAGGCUCGUUUGUGGCAAGGCGAGCAAGAAGUGGUAACCCUUAGCCAAGAAAUUGGCAUGCUGAGGGUUAGAUUUGACGAAGCCAAGGCCAAAUGGGCUGAAAUUCAUAACACAGUUCUUGUUGCAACCGAACAUGAGACUGCCUCCGCUGAAAUAGUGAUCAACUUAGAGGUAACCUUGAACUCAAAAAUUGAAGAGCUUCCUGCUACGGGGGCGAAACACGCCUAGCUGGAAGAGACGUACAGGAAAACUAUCGAGCAUAAUAGGCUUUUUAGUUCAACUGUACGUGACCUUGAUGUUAGCUUUAAAUCUGCUAUGUCCUCCCGGGAAAACCUUUCUAUCGAGGUAACCCAACUCAAAGAAGAACUUAACUGCGGAGCGAUUUCCCUCGACUUUGAGAAAACUUACGCUAUGUACAUCAUGAGAAGAAAAACCUUGGAAGAGGCCAAAGUUGGUGUCAUUAAUUUUGAUGCCGAAAUUGCUAAGGCCCGUGAGCUUAAGUUAGCUGCUAAAAGUGGACUCCCAGCGAGGUCUGAUGCACCUAGUCCUUCUGGUUCCAUUUUCGAGUUCUGGAGAACUGAAGAAGAAUCGGAGGAUGAUGAUACUAAAGGCCAAACUGGUGAAAAUGUUGAGCCAUCGGUGCGUCUGUCUACUUCUCCCGGGGGCGCGGACACUUCUCUUCCUCCUAGUUUCGGAGAUAAUACAGUUUAGCUUUUCUUUUCUUUUUCCAAUUCUUGUACCUGUGCCGUUUUAACUCUUUUUUUUUUAAAUAAAAGCAUCUUUUGCUCAAGUAUUGUUUGAGUCUUCAUUUUGUUUGAAUAUUCAUGCAAGUCUUUAAUAUUUGCAUUUUCUUCCUUUUGCUUAAGAAUUUUGCGCAAGCUUUUCUGUUUUGCGUCUUAUUAUACGAAGCCUUGGGUGUAUUCUCCCCGAAAGCAUUUUCGGCUUUGAGCAUCAACCCUUUUUUGUGAGGGCUUUGAUAAGUAUUUGCACAAGUUUACUUUUUGCGUCCUUUCGUAUGCGACUUCGGGUGUAUCUUUCAUCGAAUGCAUUUUGAUUUUGGGCAUAAAUCCUUCCGGAACCAACCGUUUAACGUGAGGGUUUUUAUAAGAGAGGGCCCUCUUAUGUUUACGACAUCUCUUGUUCAUUACGACACUAGCAUUUGAAGUAUUUGUUUAACUUUCAAAUGACAAAGUUAAUUCAUCGUUCAAACAAGAAACAAGAUAAAAACAAAAGCAUUUCAUUUUAUUCCUUCUAUUUUCAAAAAGUACAUAUGCAUUUGCUAUAUUGAAAAGAAAUUACCAUUACUUGUGGCUAACUUGUAUAACUUGUUUCUACGGGGCUGUCUGCGGAGUCCCCAGUCCCGAUGAUGCAAUUAUAUUUCCGUUUUUUUGUUUCCCAGUUGACAUGGCAGUCAUUAUUGCCGUAUCCUCAUAUUAUCCCCCCCCACGUAUUCAAAUGCGAAAAGUGCGAAUAGGAACACUGGAAGUCUUGUAUCUUCAAAUAUUCUACUAAUGCACCUCUAGUGGUUUGUGCUCGUGAACGAUCAGGUAACCUUUGCUCAAUAGCAAACUUAACUUCCCGGUGGGAAUUUUCUAUAGAGAAAAAGAUUAUCUAACUAUCCCCGAGUGGAUCCUUGUUUGUGUGCCUUGCUAUUAAAGGUCUUAUUGUUGUUGUCUUCGUAGUAUGCUUUCUGUUGCUGCCUCGUUAAAAACCUUGCCAGAAAAACCUAAUUGGGACAAAAACUGAACGAAGGGAAAAAGAGUGCAACACAUACUUUCUGAUUAGAUAAUGUUCAUCAGCAAUAAUAUCUUUUGAGGUGUGCCACGUUCCAAUUGCUGGGAAAUAUUUCUCCAUUUUGGUUUUUCAACUCGUAUGAACCUUUCCCAGUGAUAGCUGAAACCCGGUUGGGGCCUUCCCACAUUGGACCUAGCUUCCCCGCAUUGAGCUCAUGGGUGUUUUGAGUUACUUUCCUUAGGAUCAAGUCUCCUGCUUUCAAAUAAUAGAGGUUGGCUCUUUGAUUAUAAUACCGCUUCAUUCUCUGCUUUUGAGCUACCAUUCUUACAUACUCCAAGCCCCUGCAUUCAUCGAGCAGUUCCAAGUUGACUAACAUUGCUUCAUUGUUCGAUUCUCCAUCUGCUGGAAAUAUCUCAAGGUGGGUUUCACUACUUCCACCGGGAUUAAAGCUUUUGCAUCGUACACGGGGGAAAAUGGGUUUCUCCUGUGCUUGACUUGGUCCUAGUUCGGUAUGCCCAUAGAACUCUAGGUAAUUCCUCGGGCCAAUUACCCUUAGCCGCUUCCAAGCUUUUCUUGAGGUUUUGAAUAAUCAUUUUGUUUGUCGACUCUGUCUGUCCGUUUGCGCUCGGAUGAUAGGGUGAAGAUGUGAUCCUCUUUAUUUUUAAAUCUUGGAGGAACUUUGUAAUUCUUGCGCCGAUAAAAUGUGGUCCAUUGUCACAUGCUAUCUCUUUUAGAAUUCUGAACCUGCAAUUUAUAGUUUCCCACAAGAAAUCCACCACUUAGCAUUCUCCGAUCUUCUGAUAAGGACCUGCUUCCACCCAUUUAGAAAAAUAGUUAGUCAAAAUUAAUAGAAAUCUUACCUUUCCAGGAGCUGGUGGCAGUGGUCCGACGAUGUCCAUCCCCCAUUUCAUGAACGGCCACGGGGACAGAACCGAAUAUAAGGGUUCCGCCGGUUGAUGCACCAGUGGUGCGUAGUGUUGACACUUAUCAUAUUUUCGUACGAAGUAUUUGGCGUCUUGUUCCAUGCGAGGCCAAUAAUAUCCUGCCCUUACCGACUUCAACACUAAGGAAUUUGCGCCCGAGUGGUUUCCGUAUAUCCCUUUGUGAACCUCUCUCAUGACAUAGUUUGCUUCGGAUGCCCCUAAGCAUCAGGCCAGCGGGCCUUGGAAAGAGUUUCUAUACAAUUGGCCUCUCUUGAAGCUAUAUCGCGCUGCUUUGGUGCGCAUCGCUCGGGGUAGUUUGGGGUCUUCAGGUAGCUUCCAGUGUUUGAGAUAAUCGAUGAUUUCAUUCCUCCAGUCCCAGACCAGAUUAGUCGAAUUUACCUCAUAUUAACCAUCUGUAUCCAGGACUGAGUUCAUCAGUUAUGCUACCGUCCUGGACUCCGACCCUUUAUUUCCGUUAAUGAUCCUAGGUUUGCCAAUGCAUAUGCUUCUGCGUUAUCUUCCCUUGAAAUAUGAGUAAUUGACCAUUCCCGGAAUCACGCCAACAGAGCCUAAACCUUUACCACGUAUUGUUGCAUGCACUUCUCUUUGGUCUCGAAGAUCUCGUAGACCUGAUUUACCACCAGUUGUGAGUCGCAUUUGAUUUAGAUCACCUCAGAGUCAAGUCCCCGGGCCAAUUCGAACACUACAAUCAAAGCUUCAUACUCUGCUUCGUUGUUAGUUAAAUAGACCGUCUUGAUGGCUUGCCUUAGGGUUUCCCCCGAAGGCGUGAUUAAGACUAUACCGAGCCCGAACCGUUUUACGUUGGAAGCUUCGUCCGUAAAUAAGGUCCAAAUCCCUAAUGUCGAUUUUGACACCAUUACUGCCUCCUUGGUUUCCAGAGGCAAUAAUCCCGAACUGAAAUCGGCCACGAAGUCAGCCAAGACUUGCAACUUAAUUGUAGUCCUUGGUUUAUAUUCUAUGUCGAAUUCACUCAUUUAGAUGGCCUAUUUGGCCAAUCUACCCGAGAUCUCGGGUUUAUGGAGGAUGUUUCGCAAAGGAAAAGUAGUCACCACGGCUAUCGGGUGGCAUUGGAAGUAGGGCCUCAGUUUCCGAGCGGCGACUAUGAGAGUUAAGCCCAGUUUCUCCAAAUGUGGGUAACGCGUUUAUGCUCCCGUUAAAAUUUUACUAACAUAAUAAAUGAGAGAUUGCAUACCUUCAUUCUCUCGGACUAAAACCACACUUACCGCAACUGUCGAGACCGCGAGUUAAACCAAUAAUGUUUUACCUUCUUUUGAUUUUGAAAGCAAUGGAGGGCUUGAAAAGUAUUUCUUUAAAUCCUUCAAAGCCUGUUGGCACUCAGGGGUCCAUUCAAAAUUAUUUUUCUUUUUUAGCAGUGCGAAGAAAUGAUGACACUUUUCUGAUGACUAGGAAAUGAACCUGCUUAAAGCUGCCAAUCACUCUGUAAGCCUUUGGACUUCCUUCACGUUUGAUAGUUGAUCUAGAAUGUCUUCUAUGGCCUUGAUCUUAUCGGGGUUUACAUCAAUUCCCCUUUGUGAUAUGAGAAAUCCCAGAAACUUACUAGAGCUGACCCCGAACGCGUAUUUCUCUGGAUUAAACUUCAUAUUAUGCCUCCUUAGUAUGUUGAAAGUUUCUUACAGAUGUUUAAGAUGAUCACCUACAUUUAAAUACUUAACGAGCAUAUCGUCUAUAUAAACUUCCAUAGUUUUUCCUAUUUGAUUUUCAAACGUCUUGUUCACGAGUCGUUGAUAAGUGGAUCCGGAGUUUUUCAACCCGAAGGGCAUCACAUUGUAGCAAUAUAUACCGAAAAUCGUUAUAAAUAAAGUUUUUUCCUGAUACUCCUGGUUCAUCUUAAUUUGAUUGUACCCAGAAUAAGUAUCGAAAAAACUCAUUAACUCGUGCCCAGCCGUGGCAUCAAUCAUUUGAUCGAUGUUUGGCAGUGGGAACGAGUCUUUCUGGAACACCUUGUUAAGAUCUUUAUAAUCUACACACAUGCAAAACUUAUUGUUCUUCUUAGGAACUACUACUACAUUGGCUAGCUAGUCUGGAUAUCUUACCUCUCGGACCGAACCAAUAUUAAGUAAGCGAGUUACCUCUUCUUUGACGAAUUUAUUCCUGGCUUCGGCAAUCGAGCGUUUCUUUUGUCUUACCGGAGGUAUGUUGGGAUCUAAGCUUAACUUGUGUACGGCUACCUCUGUUGGGAUGCCUGUCAUAUCUUCAUGCGACCACACAAAAUAAUCGGUGCUAAAUUUAAGGAAUUUAAUAAAGUCAGACUUGAGUUUUGGGUCCAGUCCUAUCCUCAAGUGGAAUUUCCUUUCUAGGAAUUCUUCGAACAAUGCCACUUUCUCCAGCUCUUCCGCUGUGGAUUUGUUUGCAUCAGUCUCUUCUGGGACUUGGAAAUAUCUCGGCACCUGACAAUAUUCUGACGCCUCUGCCCCCGAGUUAACUUUAUCUAGUUUGGGAGUAGGUGUUGGUCCCUGUAAUUGCUAUGCUAAGUGUUCCUUUCCUUUGCUACUGGAGACCUAAAUUGCAUUCAUCUCCUUUGCCGCCGGUUGAUCACCCCUUGUAUGCUUAAUCCCUUCGGGCAUUGGAAACUUCAGCAAUUGAUGAUACAUUGAUGGUACAACUUUUAUCUCGUGCAACAAUGGCCUUCCCAGAUCCCAUAUCACCAUCUACUACUUUGGAAAAAGUUGUUUUCAUUACUCCUUCAGCGUUCGUGAGUAAUAAAAUUUCUCCCCAGGUUGUCACACUUGCGAGGUUGAAUCCGGCGAUGAGCUUUGUGGCCGGAAUAAUGCUUUCAGUGAGUUUAGCUUGCUCCAAUACUCUCCGUUGUAUAAUAUUAGCUGAACUUUCUGGAUCCAUUAGAACAUAUUUAAUCUUAAAAUCUAGCUCAUUUAAAGAAAUUACAGUGCGUCGUUAUAUGGUAGCAACAAUCUCUUUGCAUCCUCCUCCGUAAAAGUGAUAUCGUCUUCCCGAAGCCUUUUGCUAUGCGUUAUUGAUUCUUUCAUGUUCUUUGCUGCUGAAAAGGUGACCCCGUUAAUCUCGUUCCCUCUGAAUAUCAUGUUGAUUGUUUGACGCAGGGGAUCUUCUCAUGCUUUUGAGGGUUCCGCAUUGUCCCGGUUAUGACCAUAAUUGUUCUUAGCUCGGUCACUCAAGUAUUCUCCGAGGUGAUCAUUCUUCAAUAAUGUUGCCACUUCUUCCCGGAGGUGUCGAUAGUCUCCUGUCUGAUGGCCAUUCGUCCCGUGGUAUUCAUACCACAAGUUGGUAUCCCUCUGGCUGGGAUCAGAUCUCAUCGGUUUCGGGAACCAUUCUUCUUUGAUGUUUCUCAUGGACCACACCAACUCCACUGUACUGGCGUUGAAGUUGUAUUCCGAUAACUUUGGGUAAGAAGGAUACCGUGAUCCUGACACUUCUUUAUCCUGCAGUGAUCGAUUGUUCUGACCACGAGCAGUCCUCCUGUCAACGACGCAUCUAUCCGCUGUCCGGGAACCUCUGUUGCGACCUUCGGUCCGUUCGUAAGGCAAAAACUGGCCCCUCGAAGUCUUUCUGUCCGCGUCAUAAUCAUCCUUUGAUUUUUCUCUAUUCUUUUCUCAUCCUUUGGUCGACGAUGGAAAACCAACUUUAUCAUCUUUGAUCCUUAUUUUUGAUUCAUACCGGUUGUGGAAAUUCGCCCAGGUCGUUGCUUGAAACUCGAGUAGGCUUUCCUUCAAUUUUCGGGAAGUGUCUGAACUCCUCGGAUUCAAUCCCUUGUUGAAUUCUUCAGCCGCCCAUUCAUCUGGGAUAGCCGGGAGCAACAUUCUCUCUUUCUGGAAUCAGGUAACGAACUCUCGUAGAAGCUCGGACUCUCCUUGCGCAAUCAUGAAUAUGUCAGCCUUUCAGGCCUGUAUCUUUCUAGCCCCGACAUGAGCCUUGAUGAAAGAAUCUGCGGGCAUUUCAAAAGAGUCUAUGGAAUGCUCGGGUAACAGCGAAUACCACGUCAAGGCUCCCCUCGUGAGGGUUUCUCCAAAUUUCUUUAGCAACACAGAUUCAAUUUUGUGAGGAGCUAAAUCAUUUUUCUUUACCGUCAUUAUGUAGGUGGUAAUAUGCUCCUGGGGGUCUGCAAUUCCGUCAUACUUUGGCACUUCAGGCAUCUUGAACUGCUUCGAGAUUAACUAUGGUACCACACUUGACUUGUAUUAAAAUUGAGUAUACCUUUUCGAGUUCGGACCUUUCAGCACUGGUGGCACACCCGGGAUCUUAUCCAUGCGGGCGUUUACCUCCCUCAUAAACCGUAAAAGUUCACUCUUGAAAGGAUCAUUCUUGUUGUUGAGGCCAGAUCCGCUCCCCCUGCCUUAUCGGAGCCAAUUUCAUCCCUGGGAGUGUUGUUGUCGCCCCUCUGCGUUGUUUGAUUUACGGGGAUACCGGGAGCAAUCGGAUCUCGCAUGUUUGCAUUAUUUGAAGCUCUCGACAGCACCUAUUUCAACUUCGUCAUGACCUUAUUCUGUCGCGUGAAGUGGCCUAGAAUGAUCGCUUGUUGCUCUUGCAAGACCCUUACAACGUCAACGACAUGUUCCUCAUUAGCAUCAUCGGGAGUGGUCUCCCGAACAUAUCGAGGAUAUUGCUUAUCAUACACCGGUGUAGCGCCAUUUCCCUCAUUAUGGGUGUCACUAAUUGAGUCCUCAAAAUGAGGAUGAUCUACUCGAAUCUCGGGGUUGUGCAUGUCGUUAACAGUGUUAUAUGUCAUUUCUUAUGAUUUUUUCUAAGAUAAAAUAAUCAAAACACGUUCGUAAAAAGGCAAGGGUCAAUUUAAUUACACGGCUGUCUAUGCCCCACGGUGGGCGCCAAACUGUUUACCCGUAAAACGGUACAUUUAAAUUUAUACAUGGUUUCUAGACAGAUAAAUUAAUUUGAUACUGAAAUAGUAAAAUCAUCGAAGAAUUAUGAAAUACUUAGCAUUAGGAUAUAGACGAAACAGCAGAAGCAACACUUCCGGGAACAAGAUUUUCGAGUACAACAACAACGAAAUCAAAAAGUAAGAAGAUAAUACUAUAUUGAGCUUUGUAUAUAAUGUAGCAUACGUUUUUCAGAAAAUUCAUGUCCUUUACAAUGACAACUGAGCUCACUAUUUAUAGCUAUGAAGGAAGUCCUAGGAUCGUGCCCUUCUUUAAUGUCAAUUAUGAGGAAUAUUGGUGAAGAUGUAACGGUGAACAUAAAUGGUAAAUUCCCUGUAACGGGUAAUUGCUCUUAAUGCCGUGGAAUAUUCUCUAUUAAAUGCUACCGGGCGAAGAGCAUUUAUCACAUCUUUAUGAACGUUAUUCUUUUCGGUUACAAACAAAACAGUUGCCUUCGGUCUUUGGUCAUCCCCCGUCUUGGAUUCCACGUGUCUCUUUUUUGGACGGCCACGUGUCAUAACAUAUUUUACCCUAUACAUUUAUAUAUUCACUUUUACUGCAAAAGUAUAGCCACAAUGUGUCAUUAUUAACUAGAUGUGCGCAUGGCCGUGGGACUUUAAUUCUAGUAAUGUGGGGGUAUUAAUAUAUUUGUAAGUUACAACGUUAAUAGGUAAAUUUCACAAAUAGUCAUAUAACUAUGACCUUUUUUCAUCAAAGUCAUAUAACUUUAUUUUCUCACACAAAAGUCAUAUAUCUUUCACCAUCUUACUCAUUUUUUUAAUUUUUUAAUUCAAACUAAUAAAUUAUGAUACAAUUAAAAUAUGUCCGACCCGACCCGACCUAAUAUCCAUAUCCACAAAUUAAGGUAGAUCGUUUGAAUUUUCAACCAGAAAUUCUUUAAGGUAGCCUCAAAAUACGAUACUUCUCAUAAUUAUGCUUACCAACAAACUAUACAAUUUCAUGAAUGCAAAACAAUUAUCAUGCUAUUUUCUUUUCAGUUAUUCGGUUAUUCCUGGACCUCUCUCCUUAUGUAAGUAUCUUAUUUGUGAUAAUGGGUAGGUGCUUCAUAGAUCCAUGACUAUCCUGUCACAAUCUAUUUAAUUCUAAGGAAGUACCUAAUAGUAAAAAUCAUAAAGUAAAACAUUCCUCGAACUAAAAGAACUUUUAUGGAAAAAUAGAACUACUUUUGUAGGAGAACGAGCAACACUAUUGAACAAAAUAUUGCUUACUAAGCAAUACAACAAAUAAAAUAUGCGUCAACCAAAAGACAAAAGCAGACACAAUAUAUUGUGUCAUUUUAAGUGUAUGCCAUUUACAAAAGAUAAUUUUUUUUUUAGACAAACAUCCCUAUUUUGUCUUUUGAGAGUUUACACAUCUUCUUCACCACAACUUGCACAUAAUCUUGUAUAACGUUCUUCUUGACUUCCCUGCCUCUUUUUUAUACUUUCACAACUUCAGUGGCACCUUGCAUAAUUUUAUGACCAUGUACAGCUCUCCUGGCAACAUCUUGUUCAGCAACAUCCUAUAAAACAAUGCAACACCAUGAAAAAUUAAUAAAAGAUGUAUUUUACGUCUAUAGUUGAUUGAUUUCUUAAGAUGAGGUCCACAUCUAUCCUUUCUGCAUUUUGAGGUUGUUGAAUGAAACCUUGAAUAACCCACAUCUCUGGAUAAUAAGUGUCACGACCCAAACUCUGGUUUAGACCGUGAUGGCGCCCAGCACCCUUGCUAGGCAAGCCGACAGUGAACAAUCUAGUAAUUUUCAUUUUUAAUAAGUCAAACAGCUAACUUUCUUUAAAAAUUUAGAGAAUUUAGCAAAUAACGGAAUUUAAAGUGAACAAAAUGAAAACAGCUAAAUGAAAUCAUAAACGUAGAAAUACAACCUAAAAUCAUAAGUCUACUAGCUAGUGUAUGUCAAGACCCGGUGUCACAAGUAUAUGGGCUACUAGUAGAAUAUACAAAAGAAUUCUAAUCUACCGUCUAAAAUGGGAUAGACAAAACAAAUAAACAAAGAAAAAGACUCCGGCUGCUGCAGAACGACUCGAAAGGGUAGCUCACCGAGUAGUCUUAUAGCGGGGAUCAAAUAUGCGCAUCGGGCUGGUAAUCAGAUGUACUUGCCUCAGAUCCUGCACAAUCAAGUGCAGAAGUAUAGCGUGAGUACAUAAACAACAUGUACCCAGUAAGUAUCUAGUCUAACGUCGAAGAAGUAGUGAUGAUGGGUCGACUCUGACACUUACUAUGGGCCAACAAUAAUAUAUCAAAUAUAUACUAAGCAUGGAUUUCAUGAACAAUACUGAAAGCUCAAUAUCAGGAAAUAGUAAAUUCUUCUUUCGCAAGUAUUAAAUCCCAAGCUUAGUUUCAUUAUUUAACAGCUUGCAAUUCAAGGCAUUUUAAGUGUAAAUCAUGAAUAGUUCCAAAGUUUUUCAUGCGCAUAUCAUGCCAAGGUCGUACGGCCCGAUCCAACAUAAUAUUUAAACUGUGCACUGUCGAGGGUCAAACGGCACGAACCAUAGAUACAUCUAUCUACUAUCGAGGCGUUCGGCCCGCUCCAUAAAUAGAAAAUAUUUCAAAUAACACACAAGUUCUCAUUUAUAGUCAAGUGUUCCAUUCGCAAAUUUAAGUAAGUAACUUUAACCUUUUUCAAUUCUUUUAUCAACUCAAAUAUGCCUUAAGCAAUUAAAUCAACAAAUGAGAGUGCAAACAUUUCAAGUAUAGUAUGGUAUAGGUCCUAGACUACCCGGACAAUAGCAUAAUUAGUAGCUACAUACGGACUCUCGUCACCUCGUACAUACGGAGCCCUACACGUAGGAGCACAUUUUAGUUAUAAUUUACCUAUGGGGUUAAUUCCCUCUUAUAAGGUUAGAAAAGAGACUUACCUCGUCUCAAAGCCUACUUCCCAAUUCAAGAAUGCGCUCAAACCUUCAAAUUUGAUGCCAAACGACUCGAAACUAGUCAAACAUUUCAUAAAUCAAUCAAUCUAUGCUCAGAAGUUCAUAUUUUUAUUAUUAGAGUGAUUACCCAACCCAAAUUGCAAGAUCCCUAAAAUUCACCCCGGGGCCCACAUACCCGGAUUCCAGAAUUAUUUGAAGAAAGUUAUUACCCAUAAUCUUAGGAACAUAAAUAUAUGAUUUUCACUAAGUUUCAUAAUCAUUUUCAUGGUAAAAUCUAAUUUUUAUUAAACCCUUGAUUUUUCAUCUAAACCCAUGAUUUCUACCAAUUUUCAUAUUGAAAUCUACCCAUAAUCUAUGUAUUAAACUCACAUUAAGGUAGGAAUUACUUACCCUCAAUAGCUAGGUUGAAGUCUCCCUUUUUGAAGCUCUAAAAUCUCCCAAAUGUGUGAAGAAUGGGAGAAAAAUGCCUAAGUCCCGUAUUAAAUGAAGUUCACUGUCUUCAGCAAUUUUCGCACCUGCGGUCAUAGGGCUGCACCUGUGCCCUCGCUUCUGCGGACAAAAGUCCGCUUCAGUGAAACUCCCCUGGACCGGCUGGCGUCACUUCUGCGGAUGGGUAUCCGCUUCAACGGAGGAUGGGCUGCCCUUCCUUGGCCGCUUCUGCGAGGUUUGGCUCGCACCUGCGGCUGGCCAAGCGCAGGUGCGAUUAUGAUAGACCUGAUGCUUCAGCUAUUGCUCCAAAUUCUCAUCUUGGUCUGAGCCUCGUCCGAUUGACACUUGGGGCCCCCGGUUCCCCGCGCAAACGUACCAACAAGUUUGGAAUCAUAAAACGGACUCUCUCGAAUUCUCGGAACACCCGAAACAACAUCAAAACUAAGAAUCGCACCCCAAAACCAAUUGAAUCAAACUUAAGAACUUCAAGUUCUUCAAUUUACUCCCAAUGCACUGAAACGUACUUAAACUACACGGAAUGACACUAAAUUUUGCGUACAAGUCUUAAAUGACAUUACAGAACUAUUCCCGAUCUUAGAAUUCCGUUUGACGUUGAUAUAGCCAAAACCCGCUCCAAACCAAAUUUAAAGAACUUCAAGAUUCUUCAAGAACCAACUUUCACUAUUAGGCGCCAAAACGCUACAAGGUCAUCCAAAAUCUGAUUCUAACAUACUCCCAAGUCUAAAAUAUCAUACGAACCUAUUGGAACCGUCAAAUACUAAUUCGAGGUCGUUUACUCAAAAUGUUGACCGAAGUCAAACUUGGCCUUUUUAGCCAACCUUUAGGAAUCAAGUGUUCUGAUUUCAACCCGAAUCCUUCCAAAUCACGAACCAACCAUCCCCGCAAGUCAUAUACUAAUGAAAGCACAUACAAAAAGUCUUAUUUGGGGGAACGAGAUUCUAGAAAGUAAAACGACCGGUCGGGUCAUUACAAUAAGUAUUUGACUAGCCCAAAAGGUAAGAUCUACUUACACAAUAGACAUGGGAAAGCCUUUUAUUUUCUCUCUCAGUGCAUGUUAGGUGACCUAGCUUGUAACACCCUGAAAACGUUUGAAGUGUUUUAAGACUAUUAAGAAGAUUGGUGGGUGCCAAUUAUAUUAAUUCGAGUAUGAACAAGACUAAUAAUAUGAAUGAUAUCAAUUGAUCAUGAUAAUAUAUGUAUGAGGUUCAUUUAGAAUGGUUUAUGAUCCAAGCAGAGCCCUAAGGCUAAGUCAAGUUGUAAAUUAUAUAAUGGAGUAAAGUUUCAAGUGAGUUCGCACAAGACAUAACUUCAAACGAGCAUAAAUCUCAUGAUAUGAAGAGUUAUAUGGUUUAUCACAUAUCUAAUUAAAGGUCUAUGUGUCUAGUUUCUAAUACUUCAAACCGUUCAUCAUUUGGAGGGUUUUACAAGGAGUUAUGACAUUUUUACCAAAGGAUAGUAGAACAGCUAUGUGAGUCUUGCGUAGCUUACACACCAUGCGUAGGCAAAUCCAACAGGUGCUAAUAGAAGAGGAAUGGUCGGACAUCCUCUGUAACCUUUGUGCGUAGCCUACGCAUCCAUCAGACUCAUUUUUAAAAUGUAGAAAUAAGGGUUUUGAGAGAGAAAGUGUUAGUUCUUCAACUUGGAAUUGAUUUCUAGAGAGAACGGGAAGCUCUUCCACCAUGGAUACACUUCAAGGUAUGUUAUUUUGGUACAAAGAUGAUUAUAUUACAUCAUUUAGUAAUAACACUAAUACUAUUAUGGAUCAAAUCCAUAGAAAAUGGGUUGAAUCUUCAAGAACAUCAAAAAGAGGAAAAGUGAGAUUCUUCCACCAAGAGGUAAUCCCUUCACUUGAGCUUCAUAUAUAUGUCAUAUUGGAGUAUGGGUAGCAUAUUUAUGAGUUUUAUUUGAAGUUGUAAUGGGAUAUUAAAUGAACCCUAUAAGGGUGGGCCUUGAAAAUGAUAUUUUGGGUAAAAAAGAAGAUGAAAGUGAUGAAUUGAUAUAAAUGAAAUUGCUUUGAGUUUCUAAUGAUUCCAAUAGACUUGAUAACUUAAUUGAUGAACGAAUUGAAUAGGAAAUCACCAUUUGGACAAGAUGCAACACUAGUUCUUGAAAUGGGUGUUCUUGAACCUAGAGUUUUGUUGGAGAAGACAAUGAAUAGUGACUUGAUGAUAUUGGAUAAUUAACAUAGUGUUAUUAAAGACUCUAAAUGAGUAUUAAAUGAUAAGAAUGGAAUUGAAUAGGCUAAUGAGUGAGCCUAUUGGAUAAUUUGGGAUGGUUGUAGGCUUGUUGCUGAAUUGUGAAGCUUAAAAGAAUAUUUAUAAAUUUUUUUGUAUUUGUAUUGAUGUAUUUAUGAUAUCUAAUGGUAGAUACUGAAUUGUGAGCGAUAUUUGAUUAUUUUAAUUAAUUGGAGCAUUGUAGUAGUUUUGGAGCUUGAAGGUUGAGGUAAGUUGAUUAAGACUUACUCUUCUUGAGGAAUUCUCUUUAAAGCAUGUAUUAAGUUGAUCUAUUGUAUUAUUUGUAAAUGUGCAUUCGUACUUGUGGAGACAUGCGAGAAAGAUGUCACAAUGUGUUUCUAAAUUAUUGCUUAUGAAGUGUCAUGCAAUUUUAUAAAAGUCUUAUUUUUAAAACUUGGUUGCAAAAUGACACUUAAGGAAAUUCUUAUAAGUUUUAUUAAAACUUAUUUGUUGAUAAGAGUAUAAAAUGCUUGAGUGCUAAAUAUAUGUUUUCAUGAAAAAAGUUUAUCUUUUGAAAUUACAACAAAGGAAGCACUUGUUGUAUUUUUAGAUUGAUGUUAUUUGGUAAAGGCUUUAACAUGAAAAAGGAUAUUCAUUUGAUUUUGUUCAAAUAGUUUAGAUUGUCUAUGAAAAUCAUGAUUCGAUAAAAAUAGAUCCUUUGAGGUAAUUAUGCUAUGAAUCUAUUUUUGAUAUGUCAAAUAUUUUGGGAGUUACUAGCGGAGACCACCGAGAUUGGUUCGAAUGUUGAGUUCGUUACCAUGAAACUACACGUGCCGGUGUAGGGACACAUUCCAAGGCAAAGCCGAGGUUUGUGGGAUAAAGUCCCCCAUUGAGAGGGAAGAUGAUCAUUACUUAAAGUAAUGAGGUUAAGUCGACUCGUACGGCACUACGGGAAGCCGCCCAGACAAGUAGGGUCAAAUACUUGUUGCUAGGAUGAUCACCUAGUAGUUGUUCAUUAUGUCAGUGUCAGUAUAGUACUCCCGGUGAAAGAAAAAAGAGAACUUUCUUAUGUUUAGGCCUAAGGAGUCGAAAAUAAUUUCGAUGACUUAAUGAGAUUGAAAUGGUUUUAUAUGAUUUCUAUGAAAAUCUUGGGUUGAUAGAGAUGUUCUAAAAUUUUAUAGCAUGGCUUAAAUUUCACUUGUCUUUUAUUUAAAAUGAUAAGAGCAUGAUUUAUAUAAUUGUUUAUCACUUUAUGUCCAAUAUUGGUUGCAUAGUUUUUUAAAAUCUUGUCCCAGGAACUUGAGUUAAAGAGAGUCUAUGUCAAUUAUUGAGUACCGAUGUGGUGUACUCAACCCUUAGAGGCCCAUCUCCAGGGCUCCACUUAUUUUACAUGUUUCAAAAUGAGGUAUGAUAUGUGGCAUGCGGUCAGGGCUAGGAUGACUCUCUUCCUGAGGUAUAUGGUGAGGCACCGCUCCUAUUUUAUGGUAGCUAUCAUGUUGUUUUCUUAAUUUAUACUAGUCGGGUAUUAGCCCUAUUGUUUAAUUCUAUUCUUUGGUAUAAACGCUUCAUAGAUAGUUGUGAAACGUUGUAGUAAUGGCAUUGUACAUGACGAACAUGAAAAGAUACUUAUUUUACUUAGUCUCAUUGUAAUAAUUAUUAGAAGCUUCAUGUAUAUUUGAAUUGGAAAAAUAUUCCAUUGUUUAACUUGAAAAUAUAUAAAAUUUUCAAAGAGCUUCCGCAGUUAAAUUAGUUUUCAUGCAUAUGGUUUGGGUGCAUCAUAUUGGUUGGUUCGCUCGAGUCGGAUAGUAUGCCGGGUGCUGGUCACGUGGAUUUGGGUCGUGACAUAACUAACUUGCGCCUUCGCUAGAAAUGGGAGGAAGAGGAAAAGCGAAGAAAAACACUAGUGGUAGAAAGGAAACUAACAGACAUUACCAUGCGAGAACAAGGAAAACGAACAGCAAAAGCAAAAGACAAAAUGCAAGAGGAAGAUCAGGAUCACGAAAUUGACAGUGACCUAAAUUGGCCAGAUCUGGGUAGUGCUCGAGCUAAAUUGGAAACGCCGGUGAGCUCAGGAACUCAAUUGAUACCUGUGGCGAGCUCUGGAGCUAAAGGACCAAUUAUAGUGCCGAUCACAAUUGGUGAUGCGAGUACGAGCAAGUUACAAAGAAAUAGAACAGUACAUGUAAGCUCGCCAAAGGAACAGAGGCCUGCAGAGAUUGACAAUAGGAAAAACACUCAGGAGAAGAAACCAGAGUAGGCUGGAGAUGGGGGAAGAUGGCGGGCAGGGUUGUUCCAGGAGAACAAACUCGCAGCUAAGGGUAUGAAUCUAACAUACAUUCCCCCCCGGGUGAUGUAGGACGGGGAAAUCAUAGUACAACUACUAAAAGUGGACAUUGCAGAAGAAAACCAGAAGUGGAAUCGAGCGAUGAUCAUGUAUGUGAUGGGUAAUACUCCAACUAUUGGAGCAAUUGAACGCUUCAUAGCUAACCAGUAGAGUAAUGUGAAAAAACCUAAGGUACUCUUCCAGAAUGAUGGAUAUUUCAUAAUUUUGUUGAAUAGUAGUGAAGAGAGGGAUGAAGUACUGCUGAAUCGUACUUAUACUAUCAAUAGUAGGCCAAUCUUAAUUAGUCCAUGGAUGGCAAGAUUUUAAUGAAAAAGAUCUGAAAACCAUUCCUCUAUAGGUCAAGUUCCCUAAGCUGCCGCUCAACUACUGGAGCAAACUAGCCCUAAAAAAAAUUGGGAGUAGUUUAGGCAAGACCCUGUAUGCUGAUGUGUGUACUACAAUGGCUGAUAGAGUUUUCUAUGCUAUGGUCUUGAUUGAAAUGGACAUCAUUAGGCCCCUACCAGAGAAAUCAAACUACAUGAUCCUAAAGGCAAGGUGAUCGAGCAGAUGGUGCAAUUUGACUGGAAAUCUCAGUACUGCCAGACCUGUUGUCAACUAGGUUACUCGUGUAGAGAUUAAAAAAAAGCAGAAGCAAGAGGGUGGACAUCAGAGAGGUCUAGAAUUGAAGCAAAACCAGGAAUGGAGAAUAGUGAGGGAGUUUGACCCUAAUAUGGACAAAAUUGAUGCUCAAGGCAUGUUCCUUAAUCAAUUGGAGUCAGCAGGAGAGGCGCAACCCAAUAGGGGUGGGCAUAAUAUCGACCGAAUCGAAAAAACUGGCUGAACCAAAAAUUUUGUUUUAUUCUAUUUUUAUUUUUCGGUUUAUUCGGUCAGUUUGCGGUUUAUAGUUUUAAAACGUUUGGUGUUCGGUUCGGUGAUCGGUUUUAAUGGUUCGAUUUUCAGUUAAACCGAAAAAUCAAUUUUUUUAAUCAGUUUUUUUACUCUUAGUCCCUUAUCGUGUUGCUCUUUCUUAGCCUUAAAGCCCAAAACUCAUUCUCAACCUAUAGAAGCCCAAUCCAUUGGAUAUUCUAACACAAACACAACUCCAUUUAUAUAUCCGUCCACUUCUGAAUUCUCCUUGCUUAUUUCUUUCUUCCAUCCAAAAAGUACUUAAUAUGUUUGUUUGAAGCACUAAAUUGAAAAAAGAUAGAAAAUAUUAAAGAUAAUUAAUUCAUACUAUUGAAGUUGCUGACUUACUGUUAUAGUAAUUUGAUUGGAUCUCCACUCUAUACAUUAGUUAGAUAUAAGAUUUUAAUUUUUUUUCCUUCUCUUGUUUUCCCUUCUCUUCACUUAUUCACGGCCUCAUCCAUAAUUCAAAAACUUUUAAGAAAAAAGAAACUAAAAAUAAAUCAAAAGGAAGAGAGUAAAGGAAAAGACAAAAAAAAAAGAAGGAAGAACAUUCAUAAAGCAUUGUAUCAGUUGUUGAUUUAUAAUAUUACUUCAUGAAUGAAGUAUAUAUAUCACCGCAAACUUUUAAAUUCUAUAUAUGGACAAACAUAAAUAAAGUUUACUUUAUAUUGGAUCAUCCAUAAUAAAUAAAAUUAAUUAGUAACUCAAAAAAAUAAAUCAUGUCUCAAGCUCUUUAGUUAAGUUGGGCUUCCAUAACUCUUGCAUAAAUACUCUUAUCUUUUUAGUGUAUUUGAUGGUAUUUCUUAUUUCUUUUGUUAUUUACUGUCAACAAGUAAUCUAUUUUCGUUGUUUUGUACUAUUUUUGUCAUGGUUUGAAAUCGAAAAACCAAACCGAACAUGAAUAAACCGAACUGAACUGAAGUUAUUAUGGUUCGAUUUUGGUUAUUAAAAUCACAAACUGAAAACCAAAUAAACCGAACCGAAAUUCUAUAAAACCGAACCGAACCAACUGAUUCCCACCCCUAUAAUCCAACCAGCAGGGAAAUGACUCACAAUGGCAACUUGCUAGAGAAAAGUCUGUAUCAAAGAAGAAUAUAGGACCCAUAAGAGAGAAUGAAGUAGGCAUUGGCAAUGCCUUCAAAGCACUGGUUGACACAACACAGAAGAUAGUGCAACUAUCUGAAUCUCAAGGUACAAAAGGGCAACAGAGUAGAAGUAAUAGAGGAGGAGGCCCACAACAAACAACCAUAUUAUGAUGAUCAUCAUAGCAUAGAAUGUUAGGGGGUUGAAUAAAGUCUAUACACAAAAAGAACUAAAAAAUUACAAGGAGAAUAAAGUGGUGAUUUUUGAUGUUAUAGAGAAUAGAGUAAAGGAAAUCAAUGCAGGUUCAAUAUUGAAGAAGAUACUUAACAGCUGGUAAUGGGCAGGAAAUUAUGAUGAAGUAUCAAGUGGUAGAAUAUGAGUUGUAUGGGAUCAAUCACAUGUGGAGUUCUCUGUGAUCAGAAUAUAUGAACAAUAUAUAAUGGGGCAUGUUACCAUGAUCCAGCACAGAAUCAAUUUCAAUUUAUGUGUUGUCAAUGGAAUGUAUAUUAUACAAGACAGGAAAAGCCUAUGGGAUGAUUUAAAGGUGACUAUGAAUGGAGUCAGUGGCCCUAGCUUAAUAAUGGGUGAUUUUAAUACUAUCAUAUCUAAGUAAGGAUAAGGUACAUGGAAAUCCAGUCCAGGAGAUAGAGGUAAGGGACUUCAAGAACUUCAUACUUGACACAAGACUAGAUGAACUUAAAAUAGUUGGAUGAAAGUUCACCUGGACAAACAACCAUAUCUAUAGUAAAAUUGAGAGAAUACUGGUAAAUGCAGAAUGGAUACAGAACUGGCCUUACAUAGAGUGGGCCUAGCUUCUCUGAUCAUUGUCCUUUGAGUGUGUUUUUUUAUGGUACUAACCAAGAAGGUAGGGGACCUUUUCAAGUUUCUCAAUUGUUUGGAAAGCCUCAAUGAUUUUGAUGCAAAAGUAAAGCAAUGCUGGAAAACUAGUAAUAGGGGACCUGCCAUGCUUAAUGUGUGGAAUAAGCUCAAAGUGCUAAAAGGAGCCCUAAAGUAACUGAAUAAACAAGAGUUCGGUGGUAUUGGGUAUAAGAUUCAAGUGGAAAGGAACAAACUGGAAGGCAUCCAAGCUCAGAUGACUAUGCCAGGACAUGACACUGAGGCAAUACUACAAGAGAAGGCUGCAAAGCUAGAACUAGAAAAAUGGCUGAUGGUUGAGGAGAGUGUCUUGAAGCAAAAGUCAAGAAUUCAAUGGCUUAACUAGGUGAUUAUAACACAGUAUACUUCCAUGCUUGCAUGAAAAAUAGGCAAGCAAAGAAUCAUAUUGGCAAGCUGACUAACAGUGCUGAGCAAAUCCUUCAAAGUGAAACUGAAAUUGAGGAGGAAAUAUUUAGUUUCUACAAAAGACUACUUGGUACUGCUGCUCCACAACUGCCAGUAGUUAUCCCAGAUAUCAUGCAUAAUGGUUAUACUUUAACUAGGAAUCAACAACUAUAGCUUAUCAAACCAGUUACUAAAGAGGAAGUAAAGCAAGCUAUAAUGGAUAUUGAUGAUAAUAAAGCACCAAGAUGUGAUGGUUAUAAUUCAUUCUUUUUUUUAAAAAGACAUGACACAUCUUGGGUGAUGAAGUUACUGCAGCAGUAAUGGAGUUCUUUAAAACUGCUGAUAUGUGCAAAGCCAUCAAUUGCACCACUAUUACCUUGAUACCAAAAGUUAAGAACCUAACUAACAUCAAGGAGUUCAGGCCAAGUUCCUGCUGCAUAAUGCUUUACAAGAUCAUAUCUGAAGUUCUAACAGCAAGGCUACAUGAUGUUAUAGCAGAUUUAAUAGAUAAUUGCCAAAUAGACUUUGUACCAGGUAGACUGAUCACUGAUAAUAUCAUCAUGAGCCAUGAGCUGAUGAAAGGCUAUGAGAGGAAGAACAUCUCCUCAAGUUGUAUGCUCAAAAUAGAUAUACAGAAGGCCUAUAAUUCUGUUGAAUGGGUGUACAUUGAACAAGCGAUGAAGGUGUUGGGAUUCCCUGAAUUGUUUGUGAAAUGGAUAAUGGCCUAUAUCUGCACAAUGUCUUACUCAGCAAUAAUCAAUGGUAAGCUUGUUAUGCCAUUUGAGGCAAGGAAAGGGCUGAGACAGGGUGAUCCCCUAUCCUCAUUCCUAUUUGUAAUGGCCAUGGAGUACCUAAGUAGACUAAUGAAGCCACUGAAGGACAACAAGAAGUUUAAGUUUCAUCCAAAGUGUGCCAAAGUCAACCUAGUUUAACUGGGGUUUGCUGAUGAUCUACUUCUUUUCUGUAGAGGGGACUUAAAAUCAGUGAAGAUACUCGAUUAAUACUUUUAAAUAUUUUCUACAGCCUCAGGCCUAAUUGCACAUCCAAACAAAAGUUGUAUUUACUUUGGUGGAGUGAGCAACAUGACUCAACAACAUAUUAUGGACAUGCUAGGAUACUCUAAAGGUGAACUACCCUUUAGAUACCUUGUAUCUUACUGAGCACUAAGAGGUUAUUAGUUAUUCAAUGUGAACCUGUAAUUGACAGAUUGUUAAGUAGGAUUCAAAGCUGGACAACAAAAUUUCUAUCAUAUGCUGGAAGAGCAAUGUUAGUAAAGAGUGUUAUAUUUGCUAUACAGACAUUCUAGGAUCAGAUAUUCAUUUUGCCAAGGAAAAUCAUUCAGUUUAUAGAAUUAAUUUGCAGGAGAUUCUUAUGGACAUGAGUUGUUGAACCUACUAAAAGGCAUUGAUUGCCUGGGACAAACUGUGUUCCCCAAAGGUAGCAGAGGGCCUUAAUAUCACCAAUGUGGAGUUAUGAAACAAAGAAGCUAUUUGCAAGCUCUUAUGGAAUAUUUGCACAAAGAAGGAGAAACUGUGGGUACAAUGGAUUCAUUCAGACUACAUAAAAGGAAACACUAUCUGGAAUACAGAGCCCAAGAGUGCAUCAUGGAUCAUCCAAAAGAUAUUCAAGGCAAAAAACUACUUCGAGGCUGCUGGAUUUACAGAAGAGGAUGUACAUCAUAUGGAGAGAUUUCUCUAUGAGACUGUUAAGUCUCGAUCAAGGACAUAAGGUCUUGAACAACUUCGUAUUAUGUGUAUUGAUUUGCGUGCGUGGUGGAAUUCAGUUAUCGGAUGAUUCAGAGUCAAAUUGGAAGAAGGAUGCAAGUUUUAGAAGCUUAAGGCUUAGGAUUUUGACCGUAGUUGGAGUUGUGUUAAGACAACUCCGGAAUGGAGUUACAGUGACUCCAUUAGCUCCGUUGGGUAAUUUUGGACUUAGGAGCGUGUCCGACCUGUGAAUUUGAGGUUUGCAGCUGAUUUAGGCUUGAAAUGGUGAAAGUUAAAUUUUUGGCGAUUUUGACCGGUAGUGGACUUUCUGAUAUCGGGGUUAGAUUCUAAUUUCAGAUAUUGGAGUAGGUCUGUAAUAUUGAAUAUGACUUUUGUGCAAAAUUUGGGGUCAAUCAGACAUGGUUUGAUCAGUUUCGGCAUUGGUUGUAGAAAUUUAAUAUUUCAUCGGAGGAUGAUUCGUGAUUUUAGAAUUGUUUGAUGUGGUUUGAGGGCUCGACUAAGUUCGUAUGAUAUUUUAGGAUUGGUUGAUAUAUUUGAUUGAGGUCCCAGGGGCCUCGGGUAUGUUUCGGAUGCUUAACGGAGGAAAUAUUGGACUUAGGAAAUUUCUAAAGUUUGCUGGUUUCUGGUGUUUCGCACCCGCGGUGGGGGAACCGCAGGUGCGGGGCUGCACAUGCGGAUGAUUAAGCGCAAGAGAAUUUGGAGGGAGUGGUCUGGGGCCGCAGGUACGAGGUGAGUUCCGCAUCUACGAUGGAAUUUCCACAGGUGCGGAACCGUAGAUGCGGUUGAAGGCCCGCAAAAGCGGUUUGACGUGAAGAAAAAGGGCUAAGUGCGAGGGUUUGAUUUCAUUAUUCUUUUUUGGACUUGAGAGCUCGGAAUUUGGCAAUUUUUCGAGGGAUUUUCAGAGGAAGCUUUGGGAUUUGGGCCAUUCGAAGUCAGAUAUUCGUGGAAAGGCCUUGUUAGUGAUUGAUUGAGCUUGGUUCGAGGUAAGUAUCUUGCUUGACUUUGUGUGGGGGAACUACCCCUUAGGAAUUGAGUCUUUUAUGCUAAUUGUAGUCCGAGUACGCGAGGUGACGAGUACGUGCUCGGACGUAUUUGUGGAAAAUUUUCCUUUUAGGGUUCUUAGGUCCUUGUAUUCACUGAAUAUGCAGUUAUUCCCGUUAUGAUUACGUUUCUAAAGUACUAGUUUCACUUCUACCUUCUUUUAUUAGAAUUAAUUGCUUCAUGAUCCACUCUUGUUGUUCAUUUGAUUCAUAUGUGCCUAAACUGAAAUUGUUAUCUCUUCUAUUGCCAUGUUGCAUUUUCCCUAACUGCUUAUCUUUAUUUGAAGUUGUAGUUAUCCCGUUUGUAAAUCUUCACCCUUAAUUGAGGUUAUGAUUAUCUUUUCGCCGCCUACCUUUAUUUGAAGUUGACUUGCCCUUAUUUGGAAUUAUUUGACUCUUGCUAGUUUUCUUGUUGUUGAACCGUAUAUUGUGGGAUCAUUGUUACAUAUUAUUUUCGUCCCUGUUGAGCUAUUCUUAUUACACCUAGUAUUCUUUAUUAUGGCUAUUCCUUGCGAACUAGUUUUACCGUUUCUUGAAAUCGAAGGUUCUUGAGUUGAUUUAUUUGUCGUACCCUCGUAUUAGUGUUAUUGUUGUUGUUGUACUUGUUGUUCUUGNNNNNNNNNNNNNNNNNNNNNNNNNAGCUGGUAUGAACUAUGUUAGGACACUUGCACAAGCAUACACGUAGUUAAGUCACUCUUUCGGUAUAAGAGGUUUCCUUGAUAUUGUUGAGUAUAGAUGCACACCCUCGCUUACUUGCCUUCUAUGUGAGAAUGGCUCUAUUUGGCACGCGAGUCGUUAGUGCGGUCAUGAUGUGUAACAAGGGCACAUGAUGCCAAGUGUUAGGGUUCAGGUAUUGAGACCCGUGAUUUGUGAUUUGUCCGAGGUUCGGAACCUCGUGGAGUUUAUUGACUAAAACCCGGUGUGAAAGCUGUCGUAUUGUUGAGUUGUUACUCGUCCUUUCUUUAUAUGUGAUUAUCGAACUUAGGUUGUGUUUCCGUUCAUUCUUCUAUGUCAUUAUUAUGAGUUUCCGUUGAUAGUUGUUAUUUUCCUUCCUUAUUGAAAUUAUCAUAUUAAUUACCAUAUCGCGUAGUCUUUAUGCAGAUUUCAUACUCUGUUAUUUCUAUACUUAUACUUGUUCAGGUUAUUUAGUCCAGUAAGUGUCUUGACUGUUCCUCGUCACUACUCCACUGAGGUUAGUCUUGAUACUUGCUGGGUACCGCCGUGGUAUACGCAUACUAUACUUCUGCAUAUUUUUGUGCAGAUCCAGGUAUUUUGAAGUCAGUUGAUCAUUAGCUAGCUGUGCGGACUGUUGCUAUGGAGAAUCAAGGUAAACCUGCUGCUGCGUUCACAGGCUUCGGAGUCACCUUCCUAUUUUGUAUUCACAUUGUUUUACCUAUUUCCAAACAAUUGUAUAUAGAAAUUUGUAGCAAUCUUUGUAGAGCUUAUGACUUGUACUACCGGUUUUGGGAAUUGUAAAUUUUUUUACAAAGAACUCCAUUUCAAGUUGUUAGAUGUUAUUUAUUAUGGUUGUUAUUCAGUAAAUGUUAGGCUUACCUAGUCCCUAAGACUAGGUGCCAUCACGAUAUCCAACGGAGGGAAAAUUGGAUCGUGACAAGUUGGUAUCAGAGCUCUAGUUUCAUAGGUGCUAUGAGUCAUAAGCGAGUUUAGUAGAGUCUGGCGGAUCGGUACGGACAUGUCUGUACUUAUCUUCGAGAGGCUACGGAACUAAUAGGACUGUUUCACUUCCUUCAUUCCUAGCGUGCGAGUUCAUUGAUCUCGAAGUUUGAACUUUUAUCAUUCCAUUCUCUCACAGAUGGUGAGGACACGAGCUGCAGUCAUUGAUGACAUUACCCCCGGAACAGAUAUCGCUAGGGGCAGAGGCCAACGAGGAGCACGUACCGCAGCUAGGGCACCUACCAGAGCAGCAGUUGAGGAGCCGCCAGUAGUUCCAGUUAGGGGGGAGGGGCAGGUACCGGAGGCGUCUUCUGUUACCCCCAGACUUCAGGAGACCUUAGCAUAGUUCCUGAGCAUGUUUGGUACAUUGGCUCAGGCGGGGUUGAUUCCGGUUGCACCAACUACUUCACAGACCGGGGGAGGAACUCAGACUCCCGCUGCCCCCACUCCAGAGCAGCGAGUUCAUGUUGGUCAAGUUCCAGGUGUCAUGGCGACACAGUCUGUGAUUCCAGUUCAGCCUGAGGUUAGGGCAGCAACAUCCGAGGAAGAGCAGCUUAGACUUGCAAGGUUAAAGAAAUAUUACCCUCCUACUUUCAGUGGUUUGGCUUUAGAGGGUGCACAAGGUUUUUUAGAGGAGUGCCAUCAUAUUCUCCGCACUAUGGGCAUUGUUGAGACGAGUGGGAUUGCUUUUACUACGUUCUAGCUUAGGGGAGCGACUUAUCAGUGGUGGCGGGCAUACGAGUUGGGUAGCCCGGCCAAGUCAGCUUCACUUAUAUGGGUUCAAUUUUCAGAGAUGUUCUUGAAAAAGUUUGUACCUCAGUCCCUUCGAGAUGCAUGGCGUGCAGAGUUUGAGCAUUUGUGCCAGGCACUAUGUCAGUGUCAGAGUAUGCCAUUAGAUUCAGUGAUUUGGCCAGGCAUGCACCUGCUUUGGUCACUACAAUUAGAGAGCGUGUCCGUAGAUUCAUUGAGGGGCUCAGGCAUGAUAUUCGGUUCAACAUGGCUCGGGAGUUAGAGUCGGACGUUUUGUUUCAGCAGGUGGUAGGGAUCGCUCGUCGAGUAGAGGGCAUAUGGGAUCAGGAGAGAGGAGACAGGUGAGGUCAGGAGAGAGAGGACAGGGAGGCGAGGAGGCCUCGUAGACCGGAGAGAUCUACUGGUCCUUAUUUUGGAGGCGGGUUAUGACAUGGUAGAGGUUUUGUGGGUCAGCUAGUUCAGUUUGCACUUCAGGCUUCGCACAGUAUUUCAGGUGCUCAUGGGUUUCAGAGUACCCGUACCACACAGUUCCCAUAGCCACGUCAGUAGAAAGGUUGCUUCGAGUGUGGAGAUACCAUCCACAGGGUGAUUGAUUGUCCUAGACUCCGUACAGGUGUGUCACAAUAUAGUAUUCAGGCGAGUAGAGGGCACCCAAAAGUAGAAGGCUCAACCCGUUGAUGUGUUUCAUAUAGUAGGCUUGAGGCCUUUGCACCAGAUGAUGCCAUACAGGUAUGCUUUUGAUUUGUUACAGAGGGACACCAUUCGUAUUUUGUUUCAGUUCUGCUUAUCGGGGCGAGUUCCCCUAUUUGUUGUCCCACCUAUGGGUGAGUUCAUGAUUUAGCAUUAUGUUUAUGUGUUUGCCCCUGUUGGGAGAUUCUAUGAGUGAUAGUCGUGUCUAUCGUUGUUUUAAUUCAUUGUUGAAAGUUACGAGACUAGAAGUGAAUUCAUGUUGUCUAGUAUGGCAGGUUUGAUGUGAUUCCUGAGUAAUUUGGUUACGAUUUGUGAUUGGAUACUCUACCCGGGGUAACAGUUUAGUAAGUGUUGUGAUUUUAUUGGCAGAAUUGAGUUAAAGGAAGAUUUCCAUUGGUAUGAUGUGUAUUCGACUUGUGAUUCCACGUUGAGGGUGAGACCCUCACGAUUCCAUAUGAUUUGAUAUGUUUGAGCCGGGCUGCGUGCUGCGGUAGAAGUUAUAUCAAGAUGAGAUACUUGUGAUUUGUUCAUAUACCUUGAUUCUUCCUUUUUAAAUUGAUUCGUAGUAUGGUACUGAUAUAGAGUUUUGCCUGUCGGGCUUGUUUAAUAUUUCUCUUAUGUGUUUCUAUUUACAUAUUCAGUCAUUUUUGUUCUGUGCUUCUUGAGUUUUAGCUUGCGGGGUAUAUGUCCGGUGGCGUUAGUUGUGACGUGUUGAUUCGGGUGUAUAGUUAAGAGGUCUUCACAUUUCUUGUAUCGUUGUCAGUGUUGUGAAGGUUUGAAAUAGGGUUCUAACGGAUAUGAGGCUAAUUGCCGGUGCUGGUUUUGAUUACGGGCAGCUAUUGUGAGCAGAAAUGUUAUCAUGGGCCUAAAUGUGGUGUGUCACAUUGUGUGGUUGUACCUUGCGGUUGUAGGCAUGAGUUGCUGAAGCUAGGUGAGACUGAUACCGGGUAUGGAUUUAGAAUCAAGUCUUUUGGAGAUGAAUUGAAGGUGAGAAUUCUGACUGUAAGCCUUAUCGGUGCUGGUAGAAAGGAUAAAUUAUAGUUCAGAUGGUGUCAUAAGGCUUAUAUGGAUUGGGGUGACGUGGGGUCACUCGCGGGUGUAUGUUGGAUAUGUGCUUUCAGUGAUUUGAAGACUUCGAGGCGAUUCUUGGAACGUUCGAGGACAAACAUUUGUUUAAGAGGGGAAGGAUGUAAUGACUCGGCCGGACGUUUUGAGAAUUUAAGUACUGAUCGGUGGCAUAAGGUCCUGAGCAGCUUCGUAUUAUGUGUAUUGAUUUGCGUGCAUGGUUGAAUUCAGUUAUCGGAUGAUUCAGAGUCAAAUCGGAAGAAGGAUGCAAGCUUUGGAAGCUUAAGUCUUAGGAUUUUGACCGUAGUUGGAACUGUGUGAAGACAACUCUGGAAUGGAGUUCCGGCUGCUAGGUUAGCUUUUUUGGGUGAUUUUGGACUUAGGAGCGUGUCCGGAUUGUAAAUUUAAGGUCUGCAGCUAAUUUAGGCUUGAAAUGGCGAAAGUCAAAUUUUUGGAGACUUUGACCGGUAGUGGACUUUCUAAUAUCAGGGUCGGAUUCUGAUUCCGGAAGUUGGAGUAGGUCUGUAAUCUUGAAUAUGGCUUGUGUGCAAAAUUUAGGGUCAAUCAGACAUGGUUUGAUAGGUUUCAACAUCGGUUGUAGAAAUUUGAAGUUUCAAGAUCUUUUAGUUUGAAUCGGAAGAUGAUUCGUGAUUUUAGCGUUGUUUGAUGUAGUUUAAGGGCUCGACUAAGUUCGUAUGGUGUUUUAGGAUUGGUUGGUAUGUUUGGUUGAGGUCUCGGGGGCCUCGGGUGUAUUUCGGAUGCUUAACGGAGGAAAUAUUAGACUUAGAAAAUUUCUGAAGUUUGCUGGUUUCUGGUGUUUCGCACCUGCGGUGGGGGAAACGCAGGUGCGGGGCCGCACAUGUGGAUGAUUGAGCACAGAAACAGAUUUGGAGGGAGUGUUCAGGGGCCGCAGGUGCGAGGUGAUAUCCGCAUCUGCGAUGCCCGCAAUUGCGCUGGAGAGAUCAUAGGAGCGAUGGAGGACCGCAGAAGCGGACAUAGGUCCGCAGGUGCGACCUUUUGAUCGCAGAAGCAGUCGAUGAGUUUUAAGUGAAAACCGCACAUGCGAUGGAAUUUCCGCAUGUGCGGAACCGCGGAUGCGGUUGAAGGCCCGCAGAAGCAGUUUGACCGAAAGAAAAAGGUCUAAGUGCGAGGGUUUGAUUUCAUUCUUCUUUUUUGGACUUGAGAGCUCGGAAUUUGGCGAUUUUUCAAGGGAUUUUCAGAGGAAGCUUUGGGGUUUGGGCCAUUCGGAGUCAGAUAUUCGUGGAAAGGCAUUGUUAGCGAUUGAUUGAGCUUGGUUCGAGGUAAGUAUCUUGUCUAACUUCGUGUGGGGGAACUACCCCUUAGGAAUUGAGUCUUUUAUGCUAAUUGUAGUCCGGGUACGCGAGGUGACGAGUACGUGCUCAGACGUAUUUGUGGAAAAUUUUCCUUUUAGAGUUCUUAGGUCCUUGUAUUCAUUAAAUAUGCAGUUGUUCCCGUUAUGAUUACGUUUCUAAAGUACUAGUUUCACUUCUACCUGCUUUUAUUAGAAUUAAUUGCUUCAUGAUCCACUCUUGUAGUUCAUUUGAUUCAUAUGUGCCUUAACUGAAAUUGUUAUAUCUUCUAUUGCCAUGUUGCAUUUCCCCUAACUGCUUAUCUUUAUUUGAAGUUGUAGUUACCCCUUUUGUAAAUGUUCACCCUUAAUUGAGGUUAUGCUUAUCUUUCUGCCGCCUACCUUUAUUUGAAUUUGUUGCAUCUCUUUCGUAAUUGUCCAAACUUAUAAAAACACUAGAUCUGCCACUUGGAUAUUAAUAUUGACUUGGAUUAACCAUUUUCUCUAGAAAUCUAAUUAUAUAAAAACCUAGAUCUAAAUUUUGGGUUAUACAACUUACUAUCAUAAUUUAAAAUUUAUUGAUAGUAAUUUUUUUAAAAACACCUAAUGUAACCUAAAAGCCUUUUAAAUCCUACUAUUCCUAUUCGAAGUCCCUUUCUUUAGAGUAUUGUUCAAUGUGCAACAGUAAAAAAAAUUAAAGGUACUGUUCUUCUUCUUCUUCUUCCUUUAAACAUACUAUGAUGACUCAUUUUGAUUGGGGCUAGCAUUGAAUAGGAAAGUACCAUUAUACCAUGUGCAACUAAUGGUAUUUACUUUUUUCAAAAAAUAUCUUCAAAGCAUUAUUUGGUAUACAUUGGAAUGAUUUUUUUGAUUUUUUUUUUCUUCUUUAAGAAUGAGUUUCAAGUACCAUUUNNNNNNNNNNNNNNNNNNNNNNNNNNNNNNNNNNNNNNNNNNNNNNNNNNNNNNNNNNNNNNNNNNNNNNNNNNNNNNNNNNNNNNNNNNNNNNNNNNNNNNNNNNNNNNNNNNNNNNNNNNNNNNNNNNNNNNNNNNNNNNNNNNNNNNNNNNNNNNNNNNNNNNNNNNNNNNNNNNNNNNNNNNNNNNNNNNNNNNNNNNNNNNNNNNNNNNNNNNNNNNNNNNNNNNNNNNNNNNNNNNNNNNNNNNNNNNNNNNNNNNNNNNNNNNNNNNNNNNNNNNNNNNNNNNNNNNNNNNNNNNNNNNNNNNNNNNNNNNNNNNNNNNNNNNNNNNNNNNNNNNNNNNNNNNNNNNNNNNNNNNNNNNNNNNNNNNNNUAUCAUUUCUCAAAAGAAAAAAGAUGAGCCCCAAACUGAUAGUUGGCCUAGCAUCCAAACAAGUUGUUUUGGCUCCUAGAAAUUUAUCGUUUUCAGAUAAAUUUAUCUUCGCUUAUAGGCAAUUACCAGUGGUUUUAUAUAUUAGUCGUUUUGAUAGAUUAACAUUUUAGAAAAUGAAAAGGUAAAUAUUUAUUACCUAUUUUUUAAAAAUUUAUCCUUACUAUUUUAAUUACUGAAGUGUUAUUUAAAUAAAAUAUUUAAACAAAGAUAAAUAGUGGUUUAAAUAUGUACUCUCUCAUGAUUAAGGCUAUGAAGUAAUUUUCUUAAAAAGUCUUGCGAAAUUUUAAAAGGCAGACUAUACUGUUCUUUCCGUCUUUUGUUUCUUUUUAUAUGCAUAUUCUGCUUCUUUUUUUUCCCUUUCUUCUUUUGGUGAUUAAAGCAGUUUAUUCUUUGACAAUUUCACUGAUAGAGGCCGCCCACGUGCAAGGUAGCAUUUAAGACUUACCAGUACGUAGGAACGUAGGUUCAGUUAAAUAAUGACUCCAACUUUGGUUCUUUUCUUUUUGUUGGUAAACAGUUGCUCCACCUUUGCUCUUUGAUAUAAGUUGCCACAUGGUCUGCAUUACAAUUUACAAACAUGAGUCAUAGCUUGAAAAUUGAAAUUUAGUGAAGAAUUCUAUUGAAAUUCAUCAUAUUAAAACGAACAAUACCUCACAAGUAUAAAAGAUUAGAAAGUUGAAUAUUACGUGUGAGCUAAUAAAUAGGAAAACUAAAAGGUAGAGUUAGAGUAGAAAGUAGAAAGGUGACAUUUAACUAAUUGAGAUGGAAGAAGUACAGUAAGAAAACUUAUUCACAUUUAUUAGAUGUCUCAAACUAAUAAGUCCAUGAUAUAUUUUUUUAUACAAAUAUUAUAACCCAAGCUAAUUAAUAUGUAUUGCUAUGACAAUUUUGUCACUUAAUUAUGAAGGAUUAACAUGUUCGUCCAUGCACCAGAUCAAAUAUCGCAGUAUAACUUAUUAGGAUACAAUAAACCAUUUACACUCUUCUCGAAAUACAAGUUGGCCUAUUUACUGGCGGCUAACAUAUUUUACUUUUCUGAUUGAACGUAACAAUAAUUAAGAAGAUAAUUUGCAAAUCUCACUCUGCAAUCUGCAUGAUAUUCGCACAUAAUUUUAAAUAAUUGGGAUGGCCUUUCUUGGAACAAGGAUGUCUCUCUUGGAGUAAUAAUUACAUGCAAUGCAAUAUGAAAUAUUUAAAUCGAAAGGUCCACAGCAACGUGACGACCAUGUGGCUCUUUCAUAAAAAUUAACCGUGAUGCCUCAUAAAGUCUAAAGCAUAUACCAAAAAAAUCCUAAAGUGUACAGGUUUAUCUGGCCCUAAAGUUGACCCUUUUACUUGCUGUCUUUGUAUGAAGCUAAUUAACCUAGAAAUUAAAGAGGCAAAAAUUAACCUAGUGUAUAAGCAAGUCUGCGACCACGUGGCUCUUUCUCCGUUGUUAGCGGAAAUGAUAAGUUAAUACAACCCCUUUAAUUUGUGAAACAAGCAAACACUAGAAGUUAAACCUCACUGGGCUAAAAGUUACAUUAUUUUCUUUUUAUGUUAUUUAAUAGGAAUAUUAUUUAAUUAGGCGUAAAUUUUAAAAUGUUAAUACAAUUAUUCAUUAUAUGAGUAAUAGUAGUUGAAAGAAAACUACUUAAAUUGAAUGAUAGUAGAAUGCAAGUUUGAGUAGUUAAUUUUUCUAAAGGUCAUACAUGAGUAGUUAGUAACUUUCUAGGGGUCAAGGUUUUCUCUCUCUAGAAUGAAAUUUCCUCUUAGCGACGGCCGAAGAUGACGAGGAAAUCCAAAACUAGGGGAGGAAGGCAAUGAAGUCAAGAGUGCAUACAACCUCCAUCUACAGAAUAAAAAAUGAGAGUGCCUAACUCGGCGGAUACAAAAAACACUCUUAAUAUCAACGCCUUACAAGGAAUUGUACAGCUAGAUUUGCAUCAAUGCUCGGCAUCGAAUACCGAAAAAAUGCUGUCAUAUAAUAUGUGUUGGGUUCUAACCCCUUAGCAGCUGUGAUGAAUGGCUACUUUCAUAGAAUCUAGGAAAAAUUGGGGAUUGAUAACGUUGUGCAAGUAAACAGAGGAUUUUUUCUUGUGAGAUUCACCCAAAUUGAAAAUAGGGUAAAGGUUGUGGAAGACGGAGUCCAGAUGUUCGACAAAAAGCCAGUGGCAGUUAAGCCUUGGUCGCCUGAAAUUGAUACGAGGAAUAAACAUUAACUAAUAUUACAGGGCUAGCGGGCGAUCCUCUAAAGGCUGGCAGAGCCACCACAUAGAAGGAGAUGAUGACAUUUGCUAGGAUGCUUGUGGAAGUAGCAUUGGACCAGCCUUACCCAAUAUGUAUCAUGUUUGAAAAUGAGUAUGGCAAAAUCAUUGAGAAACAGGUGCACUAUGAAUGAAAACCUGCACUAUGCCAUGAUUGCAAUAACUAUGGACAUGAACUGAAGGAAUAUAGUAAACAAAUGCAAGCAGAAAAGCAGAAACCAGACCAACAAGGAAAGGAAGUAGAACAGAACAAGACAUGGAAUGACACUAGAGGGAAUGUGCAUGUAGAGGGACUGAACAACAAAGUGGUAGAGACUAACCAGAAUGCAUGUUUUGUGCAAAAUUGAGGCAGGGUAAGGGUUAAUAGCCCUAAAAGAACCAUGGGAGGUCCUAAUAAGGAUCAAACACUAAGCAUAGGAAACUCGUUCGAGGCACUAGGGAGCCCAGCAGGAUGGGGAUAGCGGAGCAAGGGCAUAUUACAACAGGAAAUAUGGUACAGGGAGGGAAAGAUGACCCAAAACAGGGAAGGGUGGGGGAUUUCCACCCCUUCCAAUGGAUAGUAUCGGUUUUUGGAACACCAGGGGACUAAAUAGGCUAAAUAAACAGAAGGAAUUGAAUCUGUUUAUGCAUCAGUGCAAAGUUGGCUUAUAUCGUCUCCUAGAAACUAAGAUGAAGAGAAAUAAUACUCAAAAUGCUUCCCUUAAUCUAUGUAGAGCCUGGUCUUUUACAACCAAUUUGGCUUUACACCCAGGGGAAAGAAUAUAGGUGGUUAGGACGCCCUCAAUAAUUUAUUUUCAGAUUGAAUUCAGCUCUAAACAAGUGAUUCAUUGUGUGGUAACACACAUGGGCAUUGGCCUAGUUUUCAAUGCAACUUUUGAAUAUGGAUUCAAUGAUCCAUCAUUAAGAAGAACCUUGUGGCAGGAUAUAAGAAAAAUAAAUAGCACUGUGACGGGGCCAUGGGCAAUUAUGGGUGAUUUUAAUUGUAUGUUGCAUAAGGAGGAUAGAAUUGAAAGACAUGUAGUCAUGCUAGAAAUUAAAGAAUUCAGAGCAUGUGUGGCUGAUUGUAGACUGCAGGAGUUAAUAUCAUCAGGAUAUUAUUUCACAUGGAAUAACAAACAAGAAGGAAGGGGGAUAGAGUAUAUAGUAGGAUUGAUAGAGUGUAAGUGAACACUGAAUGGAUAACUCUACUACCUGUAUCUGAAGUUUAUUAUAUGAAUGAAGGGCUCUAUGAUCACUGACCAGCAAUUAAAAGUAGGAGAAUGGUCAGCAUAUAAGCAGGAAGCAAUUCAAGUAUUAUAACACGUGGACAAUGACACUUGACUUCUAAGAAAAAGUGAAAGGGAGUUGGGAUGGAGAGAUAGAUGGGGACAAAUUAUUUCAAGUGGUGGGGAAGAUGAACAGAUUAAAGGCAGUGUUACUCAGCUUGAACAAAGAAAGGUUCCCAGAUAUAGAAAAGAAGGCAGAUAGAGCAAUGUAGGACUUAAAGAAAUGUCAGUCAAAAGUGCAAGACGUCCCCAUGAAUAAAACACUAAUUGAGGAAGAAAUGCACUUAGCUAAGGAAUGCAAAAUCUAGGGAGAAGCUAGAGAUCAAUUCUUGCGCCAAAAAAGUAGAGUUCAAUGGCUAACUCAAGGAGAUCAAAACACAAAAUUUUUUCACAGUGCAAUAAAGGAAAUAAGAAAUAAGAAUAGAAUCUUCUCUGUUAUUGAUGCACAACGGUCCACUAAAAAAGAACCAGGGGAAGUAGCAGAAGCAUUUAUAGGCUUCUGCAAGAAUUUGCUGGGGAUAAAAAGUAGAAAGGAGGCAACAUGUAUGCAGUGAACUAGUUAGGCAAGGGCUCACAAUCACAUAGGAACAAAGGGAAUGGCUAGAAAAUAGAUUCUCUGAAAUGGAGGUAAAGCAAGCAGUAUAAGCAAUAUCAGGGGAUAAGGCUCUAGGGCCUGAUGGCUAUGGUAGCCGGUUCUUUAAGGAUUGUUGAGAAAUUGUGGGUAAUGAUAUAAUUACAAGAGUAUUAGAGUUCUUUUAGGCUGGAAAAAUGCCAAGAAGUCUCAAUGUCACAACAAUUCAUUAAUUCCAAUGAGCAUCCAUGCAGAACAUGUGGGAGACUAUCGACGUAUAGGCUGCUGUAAUACCAUCUACAAGGUGAUAUCUAAGAUGUUGAGUGAGAAUGAAGUCAGUUUUACCAGACAUCAUUUUAGAAAAUCAAAGUGCAUUUGUUGUUAGGAGAACCACUAUCCAGAAUGUCCUCAUCUGCCAAGACUUAGUGAGAUUAUACAACAUGAAAGCAACCACAAAAAGAUCCCUAAUAAAAAUUGACUUGAGAAAAGCCUACGAUACUGUAGAAUAGGACUUUGUGCAGGAGAUGCUACAUGCUUUAAACUUCCCCAGUAAAUUCAUCAAAUAGAUAAUGUUAUGCAUCACUACGCCCAGAUAUUCAAUAGCAAUCAAUGUGGGGUUAUAUGAAAACAUAGAGGAUUGCGGCAAAGGGAUCCCAUGUCCCUAUUCAUUUUUGUGAUUUGCAUGGAAUACUUCACCAGAAUCAUGUACAGGGUGGCCACACUUCAGGGUAUCACAUUUCACUGUAAAUGUAAAGGUCUGCAACUAAAUUAUUUGUGUUUUGCAGAUGAUAUGCUCUUGUUUUGUAAAGAAGAACUACACUAUGUUGCAUUUAUGUUAAGAGGCCUAGCCAGCAUCUCCAAUGCAUUGGGGCUGACCACAAAUGCAACCAAGUCCAACAUAUAUAGUGCUAACAUGGAAAUGGAAAGUGUUAAGGACAUAUUUAAAAUGACAGGCUACAAGAAAUGAUCAUUACCCUUCAGGUACCUAGGAGUGCCAAUCUCAGCAAAGAAAAUCUCUUUUGUAGACUGUGAAAUGUUAGUGAAGAGGAUGUGUACGAGAAUCCAAAGUUGGGGCACACGAAACAUGUCGUAUGCUGGGAGAGUUCUACUAGUGAAUUUAGUUAUAAUGCAUAUUCACUCAUACUGGUCAUCCAUAUUUUUCUUGCCUAAGAAGAUAUUAAAAAAUAUCAUAGCCAUCUGCAGGUUUCUAUGGGAUGGGAAAGUCAACACCAACAAAUUAUCACCGGUGGCUUGGGAAUUAGUGUGCAGACCUAAACAAGAAGGUGGGCUAGAGAUCAUAGAUUGUGAGUUGUGGAACCAAGAAGCUAUAGCAAAAUAUAUGUGGAAUGUAGCCAAGAAGGCUGACAACCUAUGGGUAAAUGGGUGGACCACAUAUACCUAAAAGGAACUUCCUGGCUAAUUAUAUUAAUUCGAAGUGUUUAAAGGUUUUAAAGAAGAUCGACAUGUGCUAAUUAUAUAUAUUCGCGUGUGAGCAAGGGCUAAUGAUAUAAAUAAUAUCACUUGAACAUAAUAAUAUAUUUAUGAGGUAUAUUAGAAAUGGUUUAUGGUCUAAGAAGAGCCCUAAGGCUAAGUCAAGUUGGAAAUUAUAUGAUGGGCUAAAGUUUCUAGUGGGUUCGCACAAGACUUAACUUCAAACAAGCAUAAAUCUCAUGAUAUGAAGUUUUAUACGGUGUAUGACCUAUUAAAUGAAAGGUCUAUGUGUCUAGUUUCUAAUGCUUUAAACCUUUCAUCAUUUGGAUAUUUAUAAAAUGAGUUAUGGGCUUUGUACCAGAAGGUGGUAGUGCAGCUAUGCAGUUUCAGAAUUUGGCCAAGGGAAUAGCCUCCUGCGCAGUGUUUUAAAAGGCAUGGGUGUAGGGCAAAGCGCUUUACAUAUGCCUCAACGAGGCCUACGCUCCGAGGCANNNNNNNNNNNNNNNNNNNNNNNNNAUAUGUGCUACUUACAACUUACAAGCACAAGUAACUUAUUAAUCAAAAUAAUUUAUUAUACGCUACUUACAACUUACAAGCACAAGUAACUUGAGUCGAAAAUAGGAUGACUAACCUGCAAUUUGAAAUUUGAACUUGCUGAUAUGAAGGAGAAUGAAGUUCUCUUUGUAUUUGUAAAGAAAUUGAAUAUUCGUUAUUUUGGGAGAUAUUAGCAGACUAAGGAACAACAUAAAGAAUUGGGAAAAAUCAUAAAUUAGGGUUUUAAUCAAUAAAAAGAUCUUAACUUUUAAAUUUGAUACAUUUCAGUUCCUUUUUAAAACUUUUGAGUAAUUACAAGCUGACUUUUGAGAAUUUGGGUAUUAUACGAAGGACUUAUUCAACAAAUUUUAUUUUAAUUUGAAAAGGUCUCUGGGGCUUACGUCUCACUACAAAAACGUGCCUCAAACGCCCAGGCGUACACCUCGAACGCCCGGGCGUACGCCUCUUGAAACUUUCACCCCACACCUGCGUAGGUUUUAUGUGUAGGCUAAGCUGCUUUAGGGGCCAUUUUAAAGGGGCAGAAACAAGGGGUUUAGAGAGAGAAAAAGUUAAUUCUUCAACUUGGAAUUGAUUUCUAGAGAGGAGGAGCUCUUCCACCAUGGAUACACUUCAAGGUAAGUUAUUUUGAUACAAGGAUGAUUUUAUUACAUCAUUUAGUGAUUACUAACACUAUUAUGGAUCAAAUCCAUAGAAAAUGGGUUGAAUCUUUAAGAACAUCAAAAAGAAAAAAAUGAGAUUCUUCUACCAAGAGGUAAUCCCUUCACUUGAGCUUCAUAUUUAUGUCAUAUUAGAGUAUGGGUAGCAUGUUUAUGAAUUUUAUUUAUAGUUGUAAUGGAAUAUUGUAUGAACCCUAAGAACGUCUUGAAAAUAAUAUUUUGGACAAAGAAGAAGAUGAAUAGUGAUGAAUUGAUAUAAAUGGAAUUGUUUUGAGUUUCUAAUGAUUCCAAUAGACUUGAUAACUUAAUUGAUGAACGAAUUGAAUAGGGAUCACUAUUUGGACAAGAUGCAACACUAGUUCUUGAAAUGUGUGUUCUUGAACCUAUAGGGGUUUGUUGAAGAAGACAAUGAAUAGUGACUUGAUGAUGUUGGAUAAUUAAUGUAGUAUUAUUAAUGACUCCAAAUGAGUGUUAAAUUAAAGGAAUGGAAUUAAAUAGGCUAAUAGGUGAGCCUAUUGGAUAAUUUGGGAUGGUUGAAGGCUUGUUGACGAAUUAUGAAGCCUAAAUAAAUAUUUAUGAAUUGUUUUAUAUUUGUUUUGAUGUAGUUGAGAUAUCUUAUGGUAGAUACUGAAUUGUGGGCGAUAUUGGAGCAUAAUAGUAUUUUUGGAGCUUGAAGGUUGAGAUAAGUUGAUUAAAACUUACUCUUCUUGAGGGAUUCUCUUUAAAAGCAUAUCUUAAGUUGAUACAUUGUAUUAUUUGUAAAUGUGCAUCCGUACUUGUGGGAAGAAGCGGGAAAGAUGUCACCAUGUGUUUCUAAAUUGUUGCUUAUGAAGUGUCAUGUCAUUUUAUAAAAAUCUUGUUCGCAAAAUGACACUUAAGGAAAUUUUUAUAAGUUAUAUUAAAACUUAUUUGUUGAUGAGAGUAUAAAAUGCUCGAGUGCUAAAGAUAUGUUUUGAUGAAAAAGUUUGUCUUUUGAAAUUUCAACAAAGGAAGCACUAGUUGUAUCUUUAGAUUGGUGUUAAUUGCUAAAGGCUUUAACAUGAAAAAGGUUAUUCAUUUGAUUUUGUUCUAAUAAUUUGAAUUGGCUAUAAAAAUUAUGAUUUGAUAAAAAUAUAUCCUUUAAGAAAAUUGUGCUAUGUAUCUAUUUUUGAUAUGUCAAAUAUUUUGGAAGUUACUGGUGGAUCACCGAGAUUGGUUCGAAUAUUGAAUUCGUUACUAUGAAACUACACGUAGCGGUGUAGGGAUACAUUCCAAGGCUAAGUCGAGGUUUGUGGGAUAAAGUCCCCCAUUGAGAGGGAAAAUGAUCAUUACUUACAGUAAUGAGGUUAAGUCAAGUCGUACGGCACUAUGGGAAGCCGUCCAGACAAGUAGAGUCAAAUAAUUGUUGCUAGGAUGAUCACUUAGUAGUUGUUCAUUAUGUAUGUCGGUAUACUACUCCUAGUGAAAGGUAAAAGAGAACUUUCUUAUGUUUAGGCCUAAGGAGGCGAAAGUGGUUUCAAUGACAUAUAUUUAAUGGCUUACAUGGUUUACAUUUUACUUGUUUUUUAUUUAAAACGAUAAAGAGCAUGAUUUAUGUAACCGUUUAUCACUUUAUUUCCAAUAUUGGUUGCACAAGUUUUGUAAAAUCUUGUCCAGGAACUUGAGUUAGAGAGAGUCUAUGACACAUAUUGAGUAUCGCUAUGGUGUUCUCAGCCCUUAGGAGCCCCCUUCUAGAGCCCCACUUACUUUACAUGUUUCAGAAUGAGGAAUGAUAUGUGGCAUACAGACAGAGCUAGGAUGACUCUCUUUCUGAAGUAUAUGGCGAUGCACCGCUCCUAUUUCCUGGAAACUAUCAUAUGUUUUUCUUAAUUUAUGUUAUUCGGGCAUUAGCCUAUGUGUUUAGUUCUAUUCCUUGGUAUAGAGGCCCUAUAGUAAUUGUGAAAAGUUGUAAUAAUGGGAUUGUAUGUGGCAUACGUGAAAAUAUAUUUAUUUUACUUAGUCUCAUUGUUAUAAUUAUGAGAGGCUUCAUGUAUGAUUUUGAAUUGGAAAGUUUUUCCAUUGUUUAACUUGAAAAAUAUAUAAAAUUUUCAAAGAGCUUCCGCAAAUAAAUUUGUUUUUAUGCCUAUGAUUUGGGUGCAUCAUAUGAGUUGGUUCGCUUAGGUCGGAUAGUGUGUCGGGUUUCGGUCACAUGGAUUUGGAUCGUGAAAAAUUUGGUAUCAGAGCACUAGGUUCUAAGUAGAGUCCUAGGAAGUCUAUGGAGCCGUAUCAAGUAGAGUCCCUCUUAUCGGUCUGUUGCCGGCCACACUUAUAUCGGGGAGGCACCAAAGACAUUUAGGGAGUUUCACUUUCUUUUUACUCUAGUUUGUGUGUUGUGCCUGAAAUGAGAGAUAUGAUUCUCUGUCAUAUUGAAUACCCGGCAUGGUAGAUACUGAAGUGGUGAGCACAAAGCUCAAGGUUCAAGAUAUCACAUGUGCUGCUUGAGAAAUAGUUGGGAAUUAUCAGUCUAUCCAUGAAAUAAAUGAUGGGUUAAGGUCAAGAACAUCUUUAAAAGAAAUUGAUAUAGUCAAGAUGAAUAACUAUGGUGAACAGGAAUCAUAAGUCGAAUUCUGAUAACUCAUGGAAAAGUAAAUAAGGUGAUGAUGUCAGUUGGUACUGCUAGAAUAGUGACAGAACUCACGAAGGAUUCCACUGAAGGUUGAAAAAAAGGUUAAGUCCUAUAUAGGAAUGUUUCUAAAUUGUAGAUCAAGGUAUUGGGAUAGCUAUCUGCUAUGACAAUUACUAUUUACUAGUACAACAAAGGAAUAAAUAAAUAAAAAAGAAACACAAUGGUUACAAGAUAAAUGGAAAGGUAAUACCUCAAAUUACCGUGAUGUGCUGUCGAGGAAUGACAAGAAUCGAAUUGGUAAGAGAAUGUACAUCAAUCAAGUUCAUACCGAUCACCUUGUAAUUCAUAGGGAUGAGGAUCUAUUUGGGAUAACACCAAGAAUUUCCAAAAGUAUAUUUUAGAAAAGGGGAUGUAAGGAAACCUUCAUGAUUUUUAGAAAGGUGAACAAGGAAAAAUGCAAGAGAUGACCCUUAGUCUCACAAGAGAUUGGGAGACUGUUGACUUGGUAAGGUCUUCUCAUAGUAGUGGCUCAUGCGAUGAUAUAACUUAUAAGAAAUAAAGUACCAUGUGGGGGCACAAGUUGAGGGUAUUUGAAGCAUGUCAUAUGCAAAAACAAAAGGGGGUAGGUGAACUUUGAAUACCUCCCAUAUGUCAAAUGUGAUACAAAUGAAUGUCAAUCUUCAAUGAUACACACUGAGGUAUGUGAAUUUAAAUGGGUAAGUGAAAAAGUGUUAAUGCAUGAUAUGCACAAAAGGUGUAAUCUUAGAAGAUUUCAAAAAGCAAAUAGGUUGCCAAAGAAGGUAAAGUAAUGUGGAAUGACAACCUUGAGUUUGUCUAAUCGGGACAAGCCUUAUUUUAUCCUUUUGAACUUCUGGGAAUUGAAAAUUUCUAAAGGUAACUUCCAAAGCACCUAUACAUUGUCAAGUGGAGCUAUUAACUUGUUAUUUUGAUGGAAUCUUAAGAUUUAAGAAGAAUAAAUAUUUGAAAUGAUGUAUCAGGCCAAAUUGGAGCUUCAGGCAGAUUAUGAAUAUUGCAUAUGUAGUUUAAGGCUCAAGAGCUUGCAAACGAUGACGGUACACGUGUGAAAUUGAUGAGUUACGAGUGAUCCAAGGCUACGUAGUGAUGCCUUACGAAUCCUAGUUGUUAUUUACUGUCGCGCCCCAUUUUCUCGUGAAAGCGGGCUUCAACAUGUGACAUAUCUUUUAAAAGGAGGUAUUAAAAAAGAAGAGUCGCCACCUAAUAAUUUUUAAGGUGCGUUAGGGAACCUAGUUGCAAAUAACUCUGUUUGACUAGUCAACGAUACCAAAUAUCGGGUAAGGGCUUAAAUUACCUCAAAGAGAAGGUGUUAGGUACUCUUCGAGGUCCACAACUGUGGGUCCCGACCGAACUUUAGAGCAUGUGGAUUAUACAAUUAGGCUAGGCGAUUAAAUAAAUAGAAGGGAAGUUCAGAGGUUGUAGAGACAUAUGAGAAUCGGUACAAGUCUUAAUGACUAUAAGGAUACAACUAUAUUGGUCUAUAUUAAACGACCAAAUAUAGAUAACAAGUACAUAAAUAAAAUGAGGGGGGGGGGGGGUCCUAAGUUUUUAGCCUAAAGGAUCACCCCGUGCAACAUAAAUAAUACUUUGCAACUCCCUUAAAGUAGAGGUUGCUCGUAUUAUUUAGCGAGCACAGACUAUUAUCUCCUGCUACCCGAUUACUAUGUUGAAGUUGUUUACUUAAAAGCGUUCUAAUUCAAUUCCAAGUCGUACCCUAUGCGUGCACUACCUGUCCCUUGCCUAUGGUCCAGGAGGCUUUGGACCUACUAUAAGGUGGUUCUAGACUUUACUUAGGUUGCUCAAAAUGAUAAAACUAGGCGAUAUGCAAAAUAGAUAGGACUGCAUAUAAUUACAAUAAAAGACUUAAGUAACCUCCACACAUAAGUAGGAAAGCACGAAUAAAUUUCUAGUUAGGCAGUAGAUGACAUUACGACGUGUUGGAAUCGUUAAGUCCUAUAAGCAUGAUUUCUAUGUGAUUAUGGAUUCCAGUAUUAUAUAGGAAGUGCUGUAAUUUUUGGACUAACGUAGAGGCAAAUUAGAGCGUUGCAAGUCCUAUAGACAUGAUAUCUAAUCGUUUGCAUAAUAAGGUUGUGAAAAUAAUCCAAUAAUUCUGAAUUACUAAAGCUGAUUUUAUAGAUAUGCGUCUUAGGCAGGCAAUAAUACACUAUAGGCAUGAUCUCUAAAAGUCGCAUAAUUAGGCAGUGAAGUUAUUUGAAAACACAAAAUUAGUAGUAUCAAUAAACAUCCUAUGGACAUGAUUUCUAACAAUUGACAAUUGGACUUGAUUUUUAUACACUUUAUCCCUAUAGUCAUGAUAUUAAAAUGAAACAAUGCAAAAGCAGCAUGAAAUAAUUGAUUAAUUAGUUAAGACCCUAUAGUCAUGGUAUCUAGAUAAGUAAAGGUAUUGCAUUGUUGUAUCCUAUAUGCAUGUUAUCUAAUAGUGCAUAGAAGUAAACAUGCGAACAAUUGAAACACUUAGGUUCUUACAAACAUGUUUCUGAUAGUGUGCGGUCAUUAGACAUGUUGAGUAGGUGAAGUGUUUGAGUUCCUAUAGGCAUGAUAUCUAAGUGGAAGAAGUCUAGUUUGGAUCUUAUAGGCAUUCUCUCUAGCCAUUCAAGUCAUAACAUUGUGUGCAUAUAAUUCCAGAGAAUGAGGCAUGAUGAGUAAACAAGCUAUUAAGAUCCUAUAGGCAUGAUAUCAACCCAUUCAUGCAAAAGAUAAAGUAUCCCAUUUCCCCUUUUUCACUAAUCCCCAAUUGUUCGUUAUUACAAGUUAUUACAGGUCCAAGAAUGAAAUAAUACAAACUUAAAGAUGACAAAACACAAACUGAAAUGAAUACAAGCCCACUAAAGCAAUUACAUGUCCAAUGUAAAAGUAACCUAGGAAUAUCACAGGCCUUCAAUAGUCUUACUCUUCGGGCAAACAGCAGGCCCAAACCACAGGAUCACAAGAUAACUAGAGUGCACUUGAAUCCAGUGCCUAGGUCCAACAACACCCAUGGCCCAUCUCAAGGCCCAAUGAAUAACUUACUUACCCACAUGGAUACUAAAUUUAGCUAUGCAGGUGACACAAUACUCACAGAACAACUUAAUCCCUUAGUUCUUAGAGCUGAAUCCAUUAACAGCUCUAGCCAAGACAUAUAAACAGGAUCAUGCUAAAUGAAAAGGCACACAAGACACAUAUGAGGCAAGCUUAUUCUUUGUAAUUCCAGAAAGAGAGUUUGAUAGUGACAAGGUUGACCGUCAUAGGACAGUAAACCAUUCCAGUAAAGCAUGAUCCAGAAACAACCUAAGGACCUUUAGAUGAUAGUCUAGCAGAAUUAUGAACAAGAAGCAGGUAGAGUGCAGUCUUGAUAUGAAGGUUUUAACAUGAAAACCUAAUGAGAAUGUGGUUGCAAACAGCAUAACAACAUGCUAGCUGGCACAAUUUGGAAAACAUACUUGGUUGAUCAUGAAACUUAACCCGAUGGACAUUAACUAUAGCACAACGAUUCUAAAGAACUCAUAGUAGGCAAAAGAACAUGUCACCUAUAGGCUAACAGGACAGACAUACAUUGGGAUUCAUGUUAGUCGACCACACAUGAGAGAGAACUACACAUUGGUAUUUAUCCUAGAAGCAAUGCUAAAGGGUGCAGGAUUGCCCAAUCAGGGAACACAAUUAUCAGAGUUACAAAUCGCAGACAAACAUGCUUGGCUAGAGAUUAAGACAAUGCUAUAACAUGGGAGAGUUAAGGAUCAGUUUGCAUGAAAUAAUAGGUUAUACCUAAAGGAUCUAGUAGGAAGGGAUUCAUUAAAGCAGACUUUGAACAGGCAAUUUCUACAAAAGGUCCCAGAAAUCCAAGGCAUGCAUAUGAACUAACAACGGACAAAGGACACGACAUUGAGGCUAAUAUGAGCAUGACCAAUCAGACAAAACCUAAGAAGGCUAGAAAUCAUUUGAGUCAAAUACAUAGAGUGAAAGUAUACUAUACAUGUUGAAGCUUAUCAAGUCUAAUAAUAGAGAACAUGGAACUGCGGAACGUCAUUGAGACAAUAGAACUACAUAAAACAUACAACAAUACAACACUGGGAGUUCACAAAUAACAAAAAAGCUUAGGUCAUGCUUGUCUACAAAAGUUCAAACAAUAUUGGCACGCAUAAUACACAUACAUGAAUAAGUAGAGGAGUAAUAAUUAAGGCUGUAAAGUGUAGAGAAAAGUAACCAGUUGCUAAGAUAAACGAGCAAAAGAGUGAGUAACUUAGAAUCUCAGCGAUGACAGCAAAGAAAGAUAACAGUGAGAAUGCUAGAUCCUAGUGCAUCAGAGUUCACAGGAGCUUCAGUGAGCCCGGAGCAGUGCUCGCACUAUGGAGGUUAAUAGUGAAGAUUCCGUUGGUAUCGGCUUUCAGCCGACCACAAUCAAGAGAGCAGAAAUAAUAUAAAGGGUGAAAAGUGAGAGAAUAACAGUAGUUCUUAAGCGAUUACAGUAUGUCCAAAGAGGAAAUUGGGGAUGGGGUUUAUAUAGUAAUAAAAAUCAACACAUAAAUAAGGAAAUAUAGUCAACCGAACAUAAACAAGGAAAGAAGAACAUGCAAAAAUCAAUUUAGAAUCGGAUUAGGAGAAGAAACCAGGUAAACCAUGGUUUGACUAGGAUCAGAAAUUGGCCGGAGAUCUUGGUGAAUCAGAACCCCAUAGCCUUUCUAUGAACAUAUACGGACAAAUUAUCCUCCAAAUCUUGGAGAGUAAAGCCGAUCUCCUUUGAUUCAGAGACUGGUACUUGCCAAAAAUGGGCAAGUACUAAGUAACACCAUAUUUAUACAAGUAAUAGCGGUAUAAUCCGGAAAAAGUAAGUAAAUCAUGGUAAAAAUCCAUGGAUGAUUUGGAUUCGGAGAAGAUUGGAAUGACCUAAAAUCCGCAUAUCGUGAUGGGGCCUAUCUUAAUACUAGGCAAGCCGACAACCUCAAUAACCCAUAAUUUCUUUUAAAUAGUGAAAACAUAAUAAUUAAUUUUAAGGGAAAAGUCCCACAAAUACUGAAUAUAAAUAUACUCCCAAAACCCGGAGUCACUGAGUACAUGAGCAUCUAUACAACACAAGUGUGGAAAAUACGGUCUAUAAUAGUCUGAGACCAAAUACAGUAAACUAAGAGAUAGGGAAGGAGAGACAAGGUCUACGUAACACCGCAGCUACCUCGGAAUCUCCGAAAAAUUAACUGUGCAAAAGAACUAACACCCGCUGUGUUCGGGAUCACCUAGAUCUGCACACGAAGUGCAUGGUGUAGUAUGAGUACAACCAACUCAGCAAGUAAUAAUAAUAAAUAAAGAAUUGAAAGUAGUGAUGAGAUUCACAUCUAUUCCAAAUACAGUAAUUUCCAACAUGAAAAGGUAGGCAUGCUUUCAAGUUCAACAUUUAAAACUCUGCAGUAAUUUCAUAUCAACUUUGAUUGAGACAAAAAUAAUGUCUUUCAGAGUUUUUCCAAAACAAUGAUAUAUGACAGCUGAAAUGCAGCAAUAAUGAAAUCAAUGCAUCCUCUCAAAAUAACAGUCACCCAGUCCUCCCAUUCACUCCAACCUCACAAUCACUCUUUCCUUACAUUCACUCAUUCCUCACAGUCACUCAUUCCUCUCAAUCACUCCGCACUCGCACUCAAUAGGUACCUGCGCUUACUGGGGGUGUAUACAGACUCCAGAGGGGCUCCUUCAGCCCAAGCGCUAUAUCAAGACAAUCAUGGCAUAUAAUAAUGAACAUGAUGCGGCAUGCAGACCGAUCCCAUAAAUAUCCUCAUAAUUAGGCCCUCAACCUCACUCAAUCAUCAUCCUCUCUAGUCUCUCGGGCUCUCAGAAAUCAUGAUAAGCAGCCCAAACAACAAUGAUAUGAUGCAUCAAUAAUGAACAAUAGAGACUGAGAUAAAAUGUGAAAAUAAAAUUGUGACUGAGUGCAAAAAAACAAUUUAGCAAAUAAUUCCAUAAGUACACAACCUCUCUGUGUCCCAAUGGUGUAAACACAUCUCUCUGUGUCCCAAUGGUGUAAACACAUGGUUUAAACAUGAUUUAUAGUUCGAUUUCUCUAAAACAUGAAAAAUGUACGGAUAUCAACAGAUUAUUCAACUACACAGUUCCAUGGAAUUGACCAAGUAACAAUUCCUACGGUGCACGUCCACACGCCCGUCACCUAGCAUGUUCGUCACCUCAAAACCAAAUCACAUAACAUAUAAUCCGGGGUUUCAUACUCUCAGGACCAAAUUUACAACUGUUACUUACCUCAAACCGUGUAAUUCUUUAUUCUGCAAUGCCUUUGCCUCGCGAAUCGGCCUCCAAAUGCCUCAAAUCUAGCCACAAAUAAUUUGAUUCAGUCAAUAAAAAUUAUAGGAAUUAAUUCCAUAUGAAAAUAUAAAUUUUCCAUCAAAAUCCGAAAUUUCACCCAAAACUGCCCGUGGGGCCCACGUCUCGGAACCCGUCAAAAAAUACAAAAUUGGAAAGCCCAUUCAACCACGAGUCUAACCAUACCAAUUUUACCUAAUUCCGACAUCAACUCAACCCUCAAAUUUUCAAAUUAAACCAAGAGGGUUUUCUAAACUUUCCAACUUAAUUUACCCAUAAAAUGUUAAAAAACAACUAUGGAUUCGGGUGAUUUGACCAAUAAUGAGUUAAGAAUAUUUACCACGUUAGUUUCCUUGAAAACCUCCAUAAAAAUCGCCUCUUCUCGAGCUCCAAUUUGUCAAAAAUGGAAAAUGGGAUGCAGUUCCAUUUUCAGAACUUAAACAUUCUGCCAAGGCAUUCCUUCUUCGCGAACGCGACAGGUCCCUCGCAUUCGCGAAGCACAAAAUUGUGUUGUCCAAACAUUUCCCUUUGCGAAUGCGAGACACAGCUCGCGUACGCGAUUCUUUACCGGGUGAACCUUCGCGAAAGCGAAGGCAAAAUCCUCACCAGCUAUUUUCCCUUUCGCGAAUGCGAUACCCCAUCGCGAACGCGAUGAACAACCUUGCCUGCCCCUAGCUCCUCUUCGUGAAUGCGAGGCCCCUUUCGCGAAUGCGAAAAGAAAAUUUUUGCCUGCCUUUAGUUCCUCUUCGCGAAUGUGAGAGCCCUCUCGCGAUCGCGAAGAAGGAAACCAGACACAGGCAUCAGAAAAUUCCAGCCAAGUUCCAAGUUCAAAAGUCAUUCCGUUAACCAUCCAAAACUCACCCGAGGCCCCCGGGACCUCAACCAAACAUAUCAUCAAGUCCCAAAAUAUCAUACGAACUUGGUAGAACCCUCAAAUCACCUCAAACAAUGCUAAAACCAUGAAUCAUAUCCCAAUUCAAGCCUAAUGAAACUAAGAACUUUCCACUUCUACAAUCAACGCCGAAACCUAUCAAAUUAAGUCCGAUUGACCUCAAAUUUUGCACAUAAGUCGUAAAUGAUAUAACAGACCUGUUCCAAUUUCCAGAAUUGGAUUUCGAUCCCGAUAUCAAAAAGUCAACUCCCUCGUCAAACUUCCCAAAAAUUCAACUUUCUCCAUAUCAAGCCUAAUUCCACUACGGACCUCCAAAUCACAAUCCAAACACGCUUCCAAGUCCAAAAUCACCCAACAGAGCUAACGAAACCAUCACAAUUCAAAUCUGGGGGGUCGUUUACACAUAAGUCAACAUCCGGUCAACUUUUCCAACUUAAGUUUCCAUUAUGAGACUAAGUAUCUCAAUUCACUCCGAAAUCUUUUCGGACCCGAACCAACUAACCCGGUAAGUCAUAAGACAACUGUAAAGCAUAAAUUGAGCAGUAAAUGGGGGAACGAGGUUAUAAUACUCAAAACAACUGGCCGGAUGAUUACAAAGAUUUUGGGUGGCGGCUAGGGUUUCUUAGAGAAGAAAAGAGUAGAGAAUUUAGGGGAGACUGGAGUGUGAGAAUGAGAUUAGGGCUUAGGGUGAGGGGAUAUAAGGAAAGGGUAGGGAUUAUUAUGGGCUGUUGAUCAUCUGAGAUCAACGGUCGUGAUUAAAGGAAAGUGGGGUGGGUCGAGUAAAUGGGUCCCGACCGGGUUGGAACAAAAGGGGUCGUUUGGUUUGGGCCAGCGCAGAUUGGGGUUGGGAUCAUUUGUUUGGAUCUUAAUUGGUCGGGAAAUAAGGCAUAAUUUAGGCCAAAUUUUGAAGUAGGGGGAUUAAGAGGAAAUAAUUUUAAUAAAAUAUAAAAGAUGCUAUUUAUGCAACUUAAUACUUUAAAAUAAUAGUUGAAAAUUAUUAAAAAUGUAAACAAUUAUUUUGUCCUUAAAUAAAAUGACAAAUGCAAUUUAUUGUAAAAUAUGGGCUAUUAUUGCAAAAUUACGUAUUUGGCAUGAAACGUGCAAAUGUAAUUAUAUAAAAUGAAGUAAAUUAUUAUAACACAGAUAUGUGAAUGCAAAUAAUAGAGUUGGAUGGUUAAAUCAUCACAAAAUAAUUUUAAGGGGGUAAUUAAUACAUAUUCAAUUAAUUUAUCUGCAAGAAAAUCAGUUUUAAAGCUUUAAAAAUUACGAACAAUUAUAAAACUACUUGUAUAACUAUUGUAAAUNNNNNNNNNNNNNNNNNNNNNNNNNCAAAAUUGGGUAUCAACAGCUGCCCCUCUUUACUUGGGAAUGAUGAAAGAGUUGUCGGGUAAAGAAAAUGAUGACCAAUUUUGUCUGAAAUGAGAGGGGGAUGAUGUGUUUUUAAAAAAUAGGGGACCGAACCCUGGUUCUUGAGUUGCCUAUAUAUCUCUGGUAUUACGGGAAUCAAGCUGUGUGUAGUUUUGGAUCCAACGACGAACGAAACCGAUGGAGUUAUUAUAAGAGUGGUCGUACAUUUCAAAAGGAUAUUUUGGGUAAGAUAGUGUCGUAAGUAACGAAUAAUUUUGGAUGGAGUCAUGGAUGUGAAAUGAAUAUCACAGAUGUACGAGGCAGAUAUUUGGACGGUUAUAGAAUAAAAAGUAAUUAAUUACUGGUCGUCGGUUACGUUUGAGAUAGUCAAAGGAUACGAACGUUGUGAAUGGAAACCGGAGCGAGAAUUGCUCCUGUUUGUAGAACGGUUACCUCCCGAGUGACCUGCAAAACUUAAAACAUGAUGCACACGAAUAUAUGAGGUUAUUGCGUAAUUUAAACAUGAUGAAAAUUCCCUUUUGGACCAUGAGGGUUGUCUUCGGACGUUUGUGGAUGAUGUCCUUGGACCGUGACGUCCUGGGCCAUAAAGCGUAUGAUAAGGGAUUCACAAGCCAUGAAAUGGUGUCCUCGGUCCAUGAGGAUGGUGCCUCUGAACUAUGACGUCUUUGAAUAAUGAUGUGUAGUUUCUAGAGAUCCUCCGGUCUUGGCAUGAUGUCUUCGGGCUAUGAGGAUGAUGCCCUUAGACUAUGACGCCUUCGGACAAUGUGGCGAUGUUUCAUCCCGUGAAAUGCAAAGAUGCUGUAAUAUGGAUCGCUUGUCAAAGAAAACAGGUGAUGCUCAGUCGUAUGCGAGAAUGAGAUGAGGCAAGGUUUUGUCUUGUAUGAGAUGAGGGUAGUAUGGAGACAAUGCUUAGUCUCACGUAGCGAAAAGGCAGUGCUUAGCCUUAUACAAUAUGGAGGCAAUGCUUAGCCUCUUUCAAUGUAUGGAGACAAUGCUUCGUCUAAUGCAGAGAAAAUGCAUUGCUUACCACUUAUGCGAUAUGGAGGCAAUACUUAGCCUAAUGCAAGGUAUGGAGACAAUGCUUAGUCUCAUGCAGAGAAAAGGCAGUGCUUAGCCUUAUGAAAUAUAGAGGCAGUGCUUAAUCUCAUGAUAGAAAACCAAUGAAUAAUUGCUAGAGAGUAAAUCAUUUCUUAGCUUGAUGUGUUAGCGUUUGGCGAUUCUUGUUGGUGUGAAGAUAGUGAUCUUGCUAUGUGUAUGUAUUUGCAGAUGUUCCUGUUAUGUUCAUUAUGCCUGUGGCCAAAGAAAAAUCGUGAGUUUUGGUCAGGGGGAAUGUUGGUUCGUGCUCUCGAUUCCUUGCUUCACCAUUACUCUUGUCUUGAGGUCUUGCUUGAGUCACCUUGGGUAACGUCUGGCUGCCAUAGAAACAAAAUUUCGAAAAACAUGCAUGCAUUUGACAAAUUAUUUGUAAAAAUGUAGUUGUUUGAAAUAUGUGAUAAUGCACAAGAUCAAAUAAUUUUGAUGAACUGAUGAUUGCGACGUAUUUUUGAGACAUUUCAACCUCCUUGAUUCGGAAUUUUGAGGAUCCUCCUCAAAAUUCUGCCCUAAUUUAAAUGCGUACUUCUGGCGCUACAUUCUUGGCGGUUCCAAACACGAUGAGAUCAGGAAAACUCGAGAUCUUGCCCCAGUUUCUGACCAUAGGGGGAAUGAAGAUUUUAUUAUUAUGUGACCAAAGCCACAGGGCUGCCUACGUAUCCCCUCUUAAACGAGAAUUAGGCCGAGUGUAGUUCAGUUACGUCAAAUAGAAAGUGCAAACAUAAUCUUAAACAUAGUAUCUCUUGACUGCGUCCGAAUUGAUGGGUUUUAGACAUAUCUCCCCAUCCAUCUCUGCAAGUAUAAGUGCUCCUCCUGUUAAUACCCAGUGAACCAUGUAAGGGCCUUGCCAGUCAGGUGAGAAUUUCCCCUUUGCUUCAUCCUGGUGUGGGAAGAUUCGCUAUGGUACCAAUUGCCCCAGCAUGAAUUGCCUCGACCUGACCUAUUUGUUGAAAGCUCUUUCCAUUCUAUUCUGGUAGAGUUGACCGUGACAUACUGCGUUCAUUCUUUUUCCAUCGAUGAGAGCUAAUUUUUCAUACCGGUUCCAUAUCCAUUCUACGUCGCUGAGCUCGGCUUCUUGUAUGAUUCUUAAAGAAGGGAUUUCCACUUCGGCGGGGAUAACAGAUUCAGUACCGUAGAUCGGGUUACCAAAGUUGAGGUACGAUCUGUGGUGCGAUACCCGAGCAAAGCAAACAGUAGCUUCUCGUGCUAUUAUUUGUAAUUAUCUACCAUUUUCCUUAAUAUCUUCUUAAUGUUCUUGUUGACGGCCUCUACGGCUCCGUUCAUUUGCGGUAUGUAUGAUGUAGAGUUCCGAUGCUUGAUCUUGAAUGUUUCACACAUGGCUUUCAACAAGUCUCUAUUAAGAUUGGCAGCAUUGUCAGUAAUGAUUGACUUAGGUGCUCCAAAUCGACAAACGAUGCGGUCUCGAACAAAAUCUGCUAUAAACUUCUUAGUUAUAGUCUUAUAGGAUGCGGCUUCAACCCUUUUUGUGAAGUAGUAUAUAGUCACCAGAAUGAACCUAUGUCCGUUUGAAGUAGCGGGUGUUCGAUUGGUCGAAUGACAUCUAUACCCUAAGUGAAGAAGGGCCAGAAUGAACUUGUUGCAUUAAGUUCGUUGGGUGGUACCCGUAUCAUGUUAGCAUGUAUCUGGCAUUGGUAAAGCUUUUGAACAUAUUUGAUGUAGUAUGUUUCCAUAGUCAUCCAGAAAUACCCUGCUCUUAAUAUCUUCUUGGCCAGAACGAAACCAUUUGUGUGGGGUCUGCAAGUUCCGACAUGUAUUUCUUCGAGCAAUCUAGACGAAUCCUUGGCAUUGACACAUCACAACAAACCUAAAUCAGGGGUCCUUCUGUACAGAUUCCUCCACUUUGAAAGAAAUGGUUGGCCAAUCUUCUAAUCGUGUGCCUCUGAGUAUGGGUAGUGUGCUCUGGAUAUUCUCCUUUUUCCAAGUAAUUCUUGAUGUCGUGGAACCACCUAUUUCCGUCAAUCUCUUCUUCAACAUGAGCUCAAUAAGCUAGCUGCUUAUGAAUUCCUAUUGGGAUAGGAUCAAUGAAAUUCUUAUCUAGGUGUUUUAUCAUGGAAGACAAAGUAGCUAAUGCAUCUACAAACUCAUUCUUAAUCCUUGGAACAUGUUUGAACUCUAUCUUUGUGAGCCUCUUGAUCAGCUCUUGUACACAGUGCAAAUAUGGUAAUAUUUUGGUGUUCUUUGUAGCCCAUUCUUCAAGAAUCUGGUGCACCAACAGAUCUGAAUCUCCGAUUACCAGCAACUCCUGAAUGUUUAUGUCAAUGGCCAACCUGAGUCCCAGGAUGCAAGCCUCAUAUUCCGCCAUAUUGUUGGUGCACAGAAACCUAAGUUUUGCGGAUACCGGAUAAUGUUGACCGGUUUCUGAUACUAAGACAACUUUGAUACCCACUCCUUUGAAGUUUGUUGCUCUGUCCAAGAACAUCCUCCAACCAUCGUACGCCUUGGUGAUAUCUUCUCCUACAAACGACAUCUCCUCAUCGGGAAAAUACAUUUUCAAUGGUUCAUAUUCUCCGUCUACGGGAUUUUCUUCCAAGUGAUCCGCCAAGGCUUGCCCUUUGACUGCCUUUUGAAUUACAUAGACGAUGUGGAACUCACUUAGCAAUAUUUUCCACUUUGCUAACUUAACCCUAGGUAUGGGUUUAUGAAAGAUGUAUUUUAGCAGAUCCAUCCUUGACAUGAGAUAUGUAGUGUACGCAGAGAAAUAAUGUCUCAGCUCCUGGCUAUCCAUGUCAGAGCACAACAAGUUCGUUCUAACAAAGAGUACUGGGCUUCGUAAGGCAUGAAUGUCUUGCUCAGAUAAUAUAUCGCAUGCUCCUUCCUUCCAGUUUCAUCAUGUCGUCCUAGAACGCAACCAAAAGCCCCAUCCAACACAGAUAGAUAAAGCAGCAGAGGUCUUCCUGGUUCUGGUGGGACCAGCACAAGCGGUUUAGAUAAAUACUCCUUGAUUUUGUCGAAGGCUUUCUGGCAUUCCUCAGUCAACAUCUUUCCUCAACAUUCUGAAGAUUGGCUCACAUAUCACCGUUGAUUCUGCUAUAAAUCGGCUGACGUAAUUGAAGCACCCUAGAAAACUUAUCAUAUCUUUCUUAUUCUUUGGAGGCGGCAAGUCCUGGAUAGCUUUGAUUUUUGACGGGUCUAACUCAAUACCUCGGCGACUAACGAUGAAACCUAACAACUUUCCAGUAGGGACUCCAAAGGCACAUUUUGCAAGAUUCAACUUCAAAUUGUAUUUCUGAAGCCGGUCAAAAAUUUCUUCAAAUCUGCUAUGUGAUCCGAACUCCUUUUAGAUUUGAUGAUAACAUCAUCCACGUACACCUCUAUUUCCUUGUGUAUUAUGUCAUGGAAAAAUAGUCGUCAUGACCCUCAUGUAGGUGGCCCCAGCAUUCUUCAAACGAAAUGGCAUCAUUUUGUAAUUAUAUAUUCCCCAUGGUGUGAUAAAGACGGUCUUUACGGCUUCCUCUUCAUCCAUCCAGAUCUGAUGGUAUCCUGCGAAGCAAUCCAUGAAGGAUUGGAGUUCAUUCUUGGCGCAGUUGUCAAUCAGUAUAUGUAUGUUGGGCAGUGGGAAAUCAUCCUUAGGACUUGCUCUAUUCAGAUCUCGGUAAUCAACACAUACUCUAACUUUUCCAUCUUUCUUCGGAACUGGCAUAAUGUUGGCCAACCAGGUCGGGUAUUCGACUACUCGAAGAACCUUGGCUUUGAUUUGCUUGGUGACUUCCUCUUUUAUCUUCAAUCUCAUAUCUGGCUUGAACUUUCUGAGCUUCUGCUUUACCGGUAGACACAUGGGAUUGGUGGGUAGCUUGUGAGCUACUAUGGAUGUGCCUAAACCAGUCAUAUCAUCGUAGGACCAUGCAAAGAUGUCCUCAUACUCCUUUAGGAAUCUGAUAUACUCGUCUUUCUCUGACGGUGAUUUAUGAAUGCUUAUUGUCAUGGGCUGCUUUCCAUCAUCGACCCAUGACCCCUUGGACGCACCUCGUGGCGUCCUGGCAAGCCUCCCAAUGCCUAGCACCACAGUCGGCCCCGUGGUUUUGGCAGCGCCAAGUGACAAGCGCGCAUGCGCCUCUGUCGCCCCACCAAUAAUCAGUGCCAGUGCCCAGCGGCUGGCAAAUGCCAACAGUGUCGCGCGCACCGACAAUACCGCAUGCACAAACCAUCAUGUUGCCAAUAGCACCGCACGCACAGACAGUGCCCCGCACACAGAUCCAAUGCCAAGCACCAGUGCCCAGCCGCAGGCAAAUCCAAAUAGUGCCGCGCGCGCCGACAGCAAUACGCGCGCAGACCCUGAUGCUCAAGACAAAGUUGGUGCCAUCGGACUUGCUUCUACCUUGUAGAAGACUAAGUCCUUUUCAUUGUAAUUAUAGAGUAGUUGUACUUCAUUCAUUUUCAGUGUGCUUCUACAUCUUUCAUAGGUCAACUCAUGUAACUUUGGUUUAUUUGUUUUAAGCAUUAUUAAGGGGGACCAAAGCAUUCAAACAUUCAAGCAAUCAAACAAUUUUCUAUACUGGUGUCUCUCCCCCCGACACCGCAUAGCAUUUUGUAAUAGCUUUCAUCAUCAUCAAUAAAAUCAUCAGCUUUCAUCAUUAUUGCUCAUUUUCGCUGCUCAAUUGCUCACGACAUUGGUUUUUCCAUACGAAACUGACAAUCUAGUCUAGCGUAUAGAAGGGGCCUCAGUUGGCGCAUAGCAACCGCACUGACAUCAGUUGCUUAGCCUUACGUCGCCCUUCCAAGGAACUUAAGGAAGGCGCCGCAUAACAGUUGAUAUCAGAGCCUAUGCUCGACAUCGGAUGAGGGAACUCAUUGCCAUCAUCACCCUUUCUGACCAUGGUGAAUUACGGGGAUCGCAUCACGACCCUGCAAAGGUUGGACGACCAGGACCGCAGAAUGCGGUAGGCUGAAGUUGACAUAGCAAACAUCAGUUGCGACUCUGAGGAAGACCGGCAUACGACAGCAGUUGAGGCAGCCACAAUUCAUGGUAAAUUCGACGACCUCCAACAGGAGCGUGCCGAGGAUUUAGCCCAUCGUGACCUAGAGGCAGACAGACUGACUGCCAUGCAGCAAACCAUAGACAACUUUACAGGCCAACUCAAUGUUGUCAAUGCUUCCCUUCAAAGCCUACUCAAAGGAGGCGAAAACCAAAUCAGGGUUGCCAUGAACAUUGGCCCAAUGCCACAAAAGCUGAAAAUCCUGGAGCCAAAGCCAUACAACGGAGCUCGGGAUGCUAAAGAAGUGGAAAACUUCAUCUUCGACAUCGAACAAUACUUCGAUGCCAUAGGACAGUUGGAAGAAUCCAAAAAGGUAGCAACUACUACCAUGUAUCUUAAAGGAGAUGCAAAACUCUGGUGGCGAGUCAAAUACGAAGCCAUCAGGGCCGGUGAAGAUACUCUCAACACAUGGGCAGAACUGAAGGCAGCCAUACGCCUGCAAUUCUUCCCCGAAAAUAUGGAAUACAAUGCACAGAGAAAGUUGCAUGAACUCCUCCACACCAGGUCAGUGCAGGACUACGUGCGUGAAUUCUCCGUACUCAUGCUAAACAUACGGGAUAUGGGGGAUAAAGGCAAAUUGUUCGCAUUCAUAGAAGGUUUGAAACCUCAUGCUCGUAUGGAGCUGCAAAGACAAAGGAUAGAUACCCUACCCAAGGUCAUUCAAGAUGCAGAUUGCCUUAGGGAUUAUCAUAUGAAAACUCAGAAGGAUAGGCCCCGGCCGCCUGUCCGAUGGGGAUACAACGGGAGCCAACCUAGAAACGGUGGCCCUAACAGAAAUGGAGGAGAUCAAGGUGCAUCCAAAUCCAAGACUCCUUCCUAAAGCAGCAAUAGUGUUGCAUCAGUCAACAACAAUCAGGGGAGAAAUCCCCUUUCAGAAUACCGUCAUUGCGGCGGGGAACAUUGGAACAAUCAAUGUCCCAAUACACAGAUCAAUGCUCAACAGACUGUUGAAGAUGAGUCAGAUCCUGACGACUCAAACAACGCAGAGCAAGUAGGUGCCUUCAACAUAUUUGUUGGCUCCAUUCAUAAUACCUUUGUGGGAACCAGUGCUGGUAACCCCAAGAAGAAUGCCUGACCAAUCAUCAAGAAAGGGAAAGAAAAGGCAGAUGAGAAGCCUCUCACCACACAAAAGAGGACCUUAAUGUUCGUCGACAUAAAAGUAAACGGCAAACCUAUUCGGACAUUGAUAGACACGGGUGCUACCCACAACUACCUGGCCUCAACUUAGGUGCAGCACCUCGGUCUAGCGGUGAAAAAGAGUAGGGGUCGUGUCAAGGCUAUCAACUCUCCAUAUCAGUCAGUGAGUGGAAUAGCCAAAGAAGUGCCAAUGAAGCUUGGACCAUACAAGGGAAUAUUCGACCUACGCAUAGCUAUCAUCGAUGACUUCGAAGUGAUAGUGGGAUUGGAAUUCCUCAUGAAAACAAACUCCAUCCUGGUGCCAUAUGCCAACAUGCUCCUACUGAUGGGAGACAACAGGGCCAAAUCCCGCGCCAUACCAUGCAUACCUAUAAAGAUGGCCGCUGAAAGCAUCUCGGCCAUGCAGUCAAAGAAGGGAAUCAACAAACCUGAACCAACGGUUCCGGCUGCCCUCAACAUCAUCAAUCAAACAUCAGAUCAUCGGUGCCCAAUAACUCAUGGCACCCCUCAGUAUGUGAAGACUUGUCAAGCAUGCCUAAAGGACAAGUCGGAUCACUCAGCACAAGCGGGACUCUUGGAGCCGCUACCUGUCCCACAAAGAACUUGCGAAAGUCUUUCCCUGAAUUUCAUCACAGGAUUACCCAAGGUCGGAAAUAUUGCAACUAUCAUGGUGGUAGUAGACCGAUUUUCCAAGUAUUCUACCUUCAUAGCAGCCCCACAAAACAUAUCGGCAGAAGAUACAGCUCGACUCUUCUUCUCUCAUAUAGUCAAAUAUUGGGGCAUGCCUAAAGACAUCAUUAGUGACUGCGACCAACGCUUCACUAGCAAAUUUUGGACCCAUAUCUUCAGUUGCCUCGGAUCCAAAUUGAGUCAUAACUCAAACUUCCAUCAACAAACAGAUGGCCAGCCAGACCGGUUCAAUGACAUGCUGGAGGAAUAUCUCUGCCAAUUUGCAACCGGGUCACAAACACAUUGGGUGAAGCUUCUGGAUGCUUCUCAGCUGUGUUUCAAUUCACAAAAGUGCGCCGAUACAAACAAAAGCGCUUUUGAAAUUGUUACCGGACAGCAACUGCUACUCCCACAGACGGUGAAUGCACCAAACAUACCAAUAUCAUCUCGAGCUGCCAGUUUCUCACAAGAAUGGGAGCAAACUUCUACGAUAGUGUGGAUUUAUCUUGUCCAAGCCCAAGAUAGGGCAAUGAGAUAUGCCGAACAAAACCUUCGCUUUGCCCAACAUCAAGCAGGGGAGAAAGUGUUGGUAAGAACCCCGAGGUGGAAUUUGUUUGCAAAGAGGACCCAAGAUCCUCACAUAUUGCAAAGAUACAUCGGACCUUUUUCCAUUGAAAGGCGCAUCAAGAAAUUCACAUACCAGUUGAACACACCAGCCUGGUGGAAAAUCCAUCUAGUCUUCCAUGUCAACCGCCUCAAGUCAUUUCAGAAAUACAUGGAAGAUCAUUCAGAAAGCCAUCUCACAACACCAAGGGGAACAGACCUCCCAGCCAACAAGAGCCUGACCAAUCAUCAUCAUCCGACAGGUAAGGCUCCGAGGACGUCGCCAACUCAGGUGGGGGAGAAUGUCAUGGGCUGCUUUCCAUCAUCAACCAUGACCCCUUGGACGCGCCCCGUGGCAUCCUGGCAAGCCUCUUAAUGCCUAGCACCCAGUCGGCCCCGUGGUCUCAGUAGCGGCACGUGACACGCCGCAUGCGCCUCUGUCGCCCCAUCGAUAAUCAGUUCCAGCGCCCAUUGGCUGGUGAAUGCCAACAGUAUCGCACGUACCGACAAUGUCGCACGCACAAACCAUCAUGUUGCCAACAAUUCCACACGCACAGACAGUACCCCGCGGGCAGAUCCAAUGCCAAGCGCCAGAGCCCAGCCGCAGGCAAAUCCAAAUAGUGUCGUGCGCGCCGACAGUAAUGCGCGCGCAGACCUUGAUGCACAAGACAAAGUUGCUGCCAUCGGACUUGCUUCUACCUUGUAGAAGACUAAGUCCUUUUCAUUGUAAUUAUAGAGUAGUUUUACUUCAUUCAUAUUCAGUGUGCUUCUACAGCUUUCAUAGGUCAACUCAUGUAACUUUGGUUUGUUUUUUUAAGCAUUAUUAAGGGGGACCAAAGCAUUCAAACAUUCAAGCAAUCAAACAAUUCUCUAUACUGGUGUCUCUCCCCCCAACACCGCAUAGCAUUUUGUAAUAGCUUUCAUCAUCAUCAAUACAAUCAUCAGCUUUCAUCAUCAUUGCUCAUUUUCGCUGUUCAAUUGCUCACGACAUUGGUUUUCCCGUACGACACUGACAAUCUAGUCUAGCGUACGGAGGGGAACUCAGUUGGCACAUAACAACCGCACUGACAUCGGUUGCUUAGCCUAAUGUCGCCCUUCCAAGGAACUUCAGGAAGGCUCCACGUAACAUUAUACGCGUUUCCUUGACCAUUUCGGAAUCCCCUAAUUUAACGACCUCAAUUUUCUCCAAAUUAGACUUCGGUUUGUUUUCAAAAUUCUCUACUUCUCUGACGAUUUCCUCAGGUAUUAUAUCAUCUUCCAGAUCCUCUGAAUCACUAUCCUUAUGUUUAUUGUCUCAAUAUAUGUCACAGUCGUGGUUCUUUAGGAUAUGUAAUAAUUAUGCUGAAAAGAAUGUAGAAAGAUAAUAAUAAAUAUGAAAAGUAGUAAUGCAUUAAUAAAACUUUAAAAAUGUUAACAAGUACGACUCGAUGGCUCGAGUAAUUAUUUCAAAAUAAAAUAUUGAAAAAUGUCUUAAAUGCUCAAAACUAUUUGAAAAUAAUUCAUGCUAAUUUGCCAGGCUACCCAGGAACUCGGUGAGCUCGGGAUGGUGCAACGGUCCAAUUCUUGAGAAUAGCUCCUUUUUCCAUGGUUUGAAUGGUAAGUUCUUCCUCCUCCUCCUCCUCAACAAUUGCACUGUAGUCUAUGUCUUCUUCAUCUAGAAACAACUUCCUCAUGCCAUCCAAAACCUCAUCUUCCUCAGAUCCUCACAUCAUGUCAGCCUGAUGGAAUGUCUGGUGCAGAGGUUGUAUGGGUUGUUCCAGUGGAUAAUAAGGAGCACGCCAUGGAGGUGACCAAUCCUGAUAUUCUUGCCAUGUGUAUUAAUAUUCGAGUCCAAAGGUCGUGCCAUGGUACUGUGGUUGUACAGGUUUGGUGAUCCCCUGAAGCUUUUGCCGAGACCCUUUCCUAGUUCAUACUCCAUCCACAUCAAUAUUAUUUCUAUCUUGUUUCUCCACCAUCGGUCCUUUUCAAUUGCGUUAACCCGUUCAAUGCGAUGAUGUGUUUCUCCACCCAGCUUCCUUCUAUUUUUGACGACUGAAAUGGUCUGGUUGGUGUAUAUGGGGUUGUUCACAUCUCUAUAGAUGAUCACCUCCGGAUGAUUCCACUCAAACUUCAUAGCCUGGUGUAGAGUUGAAGCCACUGCCCCGACUGCAUGUAUCCAUGACCGUCCCAACAAUAGAUUGUAAGUAGCAGAUAUAUCUAGCACUUGGACCCAUCUGUAGAUUGAGGUUGAUUUCUCCAAUGCUGGCUCUCUCAGAUCCAUCAAACGCCUUCACAUUCGUGCUUCCCAUUCGUAUCUCGUGCAGGACUUUACCCAGUCUCUUUAGAGUGGUCAAUGGACAUAUGUUAAGACUCGAACCUCCAUCUAUCAAGACCCUGGUGAUGAACUUAUCUUUGAAUUGCACCGUGAUGUGCAAUGCCCUGUUAUAACUCAGUCCUUCUGGUAGUAAUUUAUUUUUGUGGAAAGUGAUUUUGUGGCUCUCCAAUACCUGUCCAACUAUGUUAUCCAUCUCUCCACUAGAGAUUCCGGCGGGUACAUAAGCUUUACUUAACACCUUCAUCAGAGCAUCAUUUUGCGUGUCUGAGUUUUGCAGUAGUGAUAAGAUGGAUAUUUGAGCAGGAGUUUUGUUCAUGUGGUCAAUAACAGAGUACUCCCUUGCUUGUAUCUUCAUCCAAAGAUCGUCAGUGCCAGUCUCGACAACAGGCGCCUUAGGUGUAGCUUCCUUACUCGUUCCUCCCAGAUUUUCAGUUGUGUAAACUCUGCCAGUUCUAGUCAUACCUUGCGCGAUAACUAUUUCUUGCACUUUUGCUUUUCUCUUUCUUCUUGCUUCUGCAACAUAAUCCCAUGGGAUGGCAUCAGACUUGUAAGAUGGUGUGGGAGCUACCAUCACAGUGAAGGGUGUAGUUACAUCAACUUCAAAUGGCGCCUAAGUUUGUACCACAACUGGCGUGAGGAUGACCGAAGUUGUUUUAGGGGUGUCUCAUUCUCGAAUGAGUCCGAAGGACCCUUCCUGAUCCUAUUCCUCAUCAAUUUCUAUCACAUUCACUCCCUCACCUCUGUGAUCUGGAAGAGGGUUGUUGCGAACAUUUGGUCUAGAUUCCUUUGCUUAUAUAACCUCAGUGUCGAUCAAUGUAUGAAUCUUGUCUUUCAACGUGCGACAUUCCUCAAUGGUAUGACCUUUCAUGCCUGAAUGAUAAGCACAUAUUUUGUUGGGGUUGAUCCAUUGGGAAGGAUUAUCCACAACAAAGACAGGAAUAAGGGUAACAUAACCAGCAGCCUUCAGUCUCUCAUACAGUUGGUCUAUGGGUCAGCAAUUGGGGUGUAUUGUCUAGGAGGUCCGCGGUCAAAAUUUGGGCGUGGCUUCGGGUAGUUUUGGCCUUCGGGUAGAGGUGAAUGGUAAUAUGCAGGUUGAGCAUUGUAGGUAUGGUAGGUGGCAGGGUAUUGGUAUUUCAGGGGUGAGGGUUGAUAUGUGGAUGGAGGUGUUUUGUAUGUGAGGGGAGACUUAGGGCCCUCGACUACCAUCACGGUACACACUUCUUUCUUCUUUAAAAUAUCCCCUGAUUGCAAAGCUUUAUUCAUGGCCUGCAGUACCUCGAAAUUGGUUACCAUCCCAUUCUUAAUUCCUUCUUCUAUUCUUUCUGCUAGCUUGAUGAUGUCGUAGAACUUGUGAUUUUCAAUAACCAUCAACAUUUUGUAAUACUGGGGGUCUUGAGCUCUGAAGAAUUUUUUUUUUAUUUGUUCUUCUUCAAGUGCUAGCCUUACCUUUGCAGCCUCUGAUCUCCGACGAGUAGCAUACUCGCGGAAGGUUUCUGUCGGCUUCUUCUUGAGGUUUUGAAUGUAGAAAAUGUUUGGCGUAUUUUUCGUGUUGAACCUGAAUCUAUCCUUGAAAUCUGAUGCCAUACUUACCCAACUAACCCACUUAUUUGUGUUUUGAGUGAUAUACCAAGACAAAGAGUCUCCCGUAAGGCUUCGCAUGAACAAUUUCAUGCAAAUUUGUUCAUUCUUGCCCAACCUACAAGCUUGUCACAGUAUGUUCUCUGAUGCACCUUCGGAUCACCGGUACCAUCGAAUAUUUUGAACUUGGGAGGUUUGUAACCCUCCGACAGUUCCAUAUCCGGUUGAAUACAUAGGUCCUCAUAGUUUAGACCUUCAACGCCUUUACUGCCUUCAAUACUCUGGACUCUUCCUGUGAUCUUCUUGAGCUCCUUUGCCAUGUUUAUAAUGAGCAGGUCCUUUUCAGUCGAUUCGGGUAUGUAUAGGGUUUGUUGCGGGGUAUGGGAUAAGGUUUCCACAUAUAUCGGGUUGCUUUGAUGAGUUCCCGAAACUUGGGUAUAUAGAUGGUCAUUGGUCGAGUUCUGGGGAUCAGGAGUGGGUUACAGUGCAUUUUGAGGGGUGUGAUAAGUAAUUGUUUGCGGUUAUUGAGUUAGAUGAUGGUGGUGUUGUUGUGGGGUCGGCACUGGUGGCGGGUUAAGGUUCUAGGGAGGUUCGGGAUAAUGGUAUGGUGCGGAAGGAUUUGGUGGUAGAUUUUGGUUUUUUGUGUUUUGUGGUGGUGUUUGGUUCUGUGUAUUCGGGUUUUGGUGGUUGAUGUCGGGAAUAUUGAGAGUAAGGGAAAUGUUUGCAAAAUUUCGGACCUGCUCAAGCUCGCCCUGUAGUUCUAGGAUUUUCUGCUCCAAACGUAAGACCAACUCAUUUUGCCCCGGAGUACUUCUGCCAUCUGAAGUUUCCACAUUUUCUGCCACAAUAGCAUUGUCUUUCCUGAUACUUAAAUCAUCCAUCUUCCAUUUUCCCUUUCUUUUGCUUUCGGGUCGCUUGGUGGAGGAGGAGGUGGAGAAUCUCUGGAUCUAGUAUGGCAUGCUAAUGAUGCCAGUAUGUAUGAACCAACCUUUGGGAAUGGGAAUAAUCAAAAACUAAAAGAAAAAGCAAAACGUAACCAAGUUAGUAAGGUGAAAAUAAAAGAAUGUUUGCAGUAUUUAAACAUGUUUCACAAAGUCAUGCAAUAAUUCGCGUCCUAAUUUUAGGGACAUCAUUGUGUCUGAGGUAGGCCUAAGCGACACAUAGACUUGGAGAAAAUUGAUGCCAACUUUGCUUUAUUUCAUUAAUGCGAAAAUAGGCCAAAUCAAACUUUCACUAAAUCGACAAUAAUAAUAAAGUCACUAAUGGCAUCAAGCCUUAUUAAAUCAAAAUCUAAGCUAGAAAGUUUUAAAGAACAUUAUCUCCUAAUCUACUGGGUCCCUAAAGGAUCUUCUCUAUGCUUAGCUCUCUUGUCUCCAUCAAUUAGGUUUCCCAGAUCGCGCAUAUCCAACAGUAAGUAAGCUUUUGCCAGAUUUCCUCCUUCAUCGUCGUUCAUGCCUUGACAGUCCGAGAGUCUCAUUCUAUCUUCCCUUCUAGCUCCAUUAGUUUGUGUUCCAAGUAUUCCAAUCUUUUUGUUGACUUAGUGACAAUCUCCUUCCAUUCCCUUAUCGCCUUCAUGUUCACUUUGUGCUUCUCCAGAUGUUUAGCUUCGGACUCGAACACCCUUUUGUGUAGCCUCUUAUACUUAACUUGUGCCUCAUCCACUUCAUCUAUGAUCCUAUCCUUCAGAUUGACUCCUGGCUUGAUGUCCCUUGCUACGUCGUCUUCCAGCCAUGAUAGAUAGUAGUACAUAUGACCAGCGGGAUACCUGUCCGACUCGAUAGUUUCUCCUUCCACAAUGAUCUUUCGGUUCCACAUAUGUUGCGCCUCUAACUUGAAUGGAAUGACGUCUCCCUUGAAAUCUGCUUUGUAUUGGACUAUAUUGGAAACUCGAGGUAUGACUUGUUUCCUUUUAGCUUGUCUCACUACCCUUAUAGGAGCGUAAGGAUAGAUUCCUUGCAACCCAAUCAGUGCCAAAUGAGUAGUCCCCCUUGACCUGAUGAUGAACUCACUACUAGGAAACCAUUCAAACAUCUAAUGUACCUGCUCGUCUGUCAGAUUGCUGAAGAAACACACCCAACUUACAGCAUUUCUAGGCUAUGCAAACCUGUCCAGAAUAAACGUCAUUUUCUUUGGGUUAUGGUUAGCUACAUAGUCAUUCAGUGGCUUUCGCAGAAGCUCUUGACGGUACUCUCCUCUCUGAAAGUGUUCUAGCAGCCAGACUUGUACCAAUAGAUUAUAACCCUCAAAUUGUCCAAAUCCCUACUUGCACUGAUUUAUAGCGUGGUACAUCUCAGCUAAGAUCAUAGGGAUGUUGGUAUAAGUUUGUCCCUCGAUGCCAUCCAUCAAGGUCCUGGCGACCAUGGCUAAGCGAGUAUGAAUCAUUCCUCCUUUCAUUGGAAAUAUCAACAACCCCAAGAAACAGACGACGAACAUAUAAACCCGCGGUGCACCCAACCCAAGGAAGUAAUGGCGAGUUCAUCAUGGUGAUGAUGAUACGACUUACUAUGCCCAUAACGCUCGUAAAGAAAUUCAAAAAGGAUGUAUGAUUUCUUUAGACAUAGAAGUUCAUCAUUCUUCUUAAAACCCAACAUUUUCAGAAAACCGUGGGGAGUGCGAUUCUUUGGUACUAGUAAUCCCGGACUAUCCCAUAAUAACUUGGCAAAGCCUCCUAUUUAUUCUAAAAGAGGAGUCAUUUCUAUAUUGCCAAAUCGGGAAACAUCUCUUUUCUCAUCCCAAAACAUAGUAGCGGCCUCAAUCAGUUCCCUUUUUGGUCGAAUGUUUAGCAAUGAUGGCAGGUCAUCAAGUACUCUCCUCACAUAUUUUUUGUCGCAAAGUGCAAGGUCUUUCCACCAGUCAAGUAGCAAAUGUGGGAUGUUUUAGACCAUACCGAACCUCGGGAUUUCAUGCUUUAUUUUCUGCAAACAAACAAAGGUUAGCCCUUUCCCCCUCCAGAUUUGACUACUUAUGAAACAAUGAUCAACACGUUGGCACAUUUUCUCCAAAAAUGCAAAUAAUAUGAUAGUGUCCAUUGGGAUUGUGAAAAUCCCGUCGGACUUUGGACAAGAUUCAUCUUAGCGGGUCGUUACAUUAAUAACGCUUCAACCCAUACUAGGUUUAGCAUGUUGCAUGUACAUUUCAAAUCGGAGUGGAGUUUCUAGAAUGGUCUAUACUGGUACUCCCAAGUGGACAACUUGAGAGGGAAAAGCGUGGGACCAUCGAUUGUACCGCUGAUCGACUAGUCUACCGCAAAUAAGCCCUUCCUAUUUCAAAAGGGUGGUCUCUGGAAAGCGCGGACACUCAUCAAGCGCUGCUAUAUUGAUAAUUGGCACGAGUGGAGUAUGAUGUGGAGCAUGCUUUAUGCAGAAAUAAUAACACAUUACCAAGUAUUUGCAUAAUAAAAGUAUGUAAAAGCAGUAAAUAAAAUAGCAAAAGUCAACAUGAAAAGAAGAGAAAAGAAAGACAAAACAGAGAAGUCGGAUUAGCUCAUGAAAAUGUGCGAGAACGUAAUGAAGAAGGUGGGGAAAUAGGGAUGGGAGAGUCAUAAUAUAGCAGUCUUAGUCAAGAAGAAAAGAGAUGGAGAAGGUCAUACAUGUCAUAGCAAACAAAGGAGAAUAAUGGAAGGGAUAUACAUGUCAUAGCAAUUUUAAACAAAUAAAGGUGAAUAAAGAAAGGGAUGUGCAUGUAAUAGCAAUUUAAAAAAAAAAUAAAGAAAAAUAAAAGAAAGCAAUCCACAUAAGUCAAGUUCAUUAUGGUAAAAGCCUGAGUAUUUCCCUAGCAGAGUCGCCAUGCUGUCGCGCCCUAUUUUCUCGCGAAAGCGGGCUUUGACAUGUGACAACUCUUUUAAAAGGAGGUAUUAAAAGAGAAAAGUCGCCACCUAACGAUUUUUAAGGUACGUUAGGGCACCUAGUUGCAAAUAACUCUGUUUAACUAGUCAACGCCACCAAAGAUCGGGUAAGGGCUUAAAUUACCUCAAAGAUAAGGUUUUAGAAACUCUUCGAGGUUCACAACUGUAGGUCCCGACCGAAAUUUAGACCAUGUGGAUUAUACAAUUAGGCUAGACGAUCAAAUAAAUAUAAGGGAUGUUUAGAGGUUGUAGAGACAUAUGAGAAUCGGUACAAGUCUUAAUGACUACAAGGAUACAACUACAUUGGUCUAUAUUAAAUGACAAAAUAUAGAUAACAAGUACAAAAAUUAGGGGGGGGGGGGCUAAGUUUUUAGCCUAAAGGAUCACCCCGUACAACAUAAAUAAUACUUUACAACUCCCUUAAAGUAGAGGUUGCUCGUAUUAUUAAGCGGGCACAGACUAUCAUCUCCUGCUACCCGAUUACUAUGUUGAAGGUGUUUACUUAAAAGCAUUCUAAUUCAAUUCUAAGUCGUACCCUGUGCGUGCACUACUCGUCCCAUGCCUAUGGUCCAGGAAGCCUUGGACCUACUAUAAGGUAGUUUUAGACUUUACUUAGGUUGCUAAAAAUGAUAAAAUUAGGCGACAUGCAAAACAGAUAGGACUGCAUAUAAUUGCAAUAAAAGGCUCAAGUAACCUCCACACAUAAGCAGGAAAGCACGCAAACAGAUUUCUGGUUAUGCAGUAGACGACAUUAAGACGUGUUGGAAUCCUUAAGUCAUAUAGGCAUGAUUUCUAUGUGAUUCUGGAUUCCAAUAUUAUAUAGGCAGUGCUGUAAUUUAUGAAGUAACGUAUAGGCAAAUUAGAGCGUUGCAAGUCCUAUAUACAUAAUAUCUAAUCAUUUGUGUAAUAAGGUUUUGAAAACAAUCCCAUAAUUCUGAAUUAGUAAAGCUGAUUUUAUAGAUAUGCCUCUUAGGCAGGCGAUAGUACACUAUAGGUAUGAUCUCUAAUAGUAGCAUAAUUAGGCAGUGAAGUCAUUUGAAAACACAAGAUUAGUAGUGUCAAUAAACAUCCUAUGGGUAGGAUUUCUAACAAUUGACAAUUGGACUUGAUUUUUAAACAAUUUAUCCCUAUAGGCAUGCUAUCUAAAUGAAGCAGUACAAAAGCAGCAUGAAGCAAUUGAUUAAUUAUUUAAUACUUUAUAGUCAUGGUAUCUAGAUAAGUAAAGGUAUUGCAUUGUUAUAUCCUAUAAGCAUGUUAUCUAAUAGUGCAUAGAACGCGAACAAGUGAAACACUUAGGUUCUUACAAACAUGUUUCUGAUAGUGUGCGGGCAUUAGACAGGUUGAGUAAGUGAAGUGUUUGAGUUCCUAUAGGCAUGAUAUCUAAGUGCAAGAAGUCUAGUUUGGAUCCUAUUGGCAAGUUCUCUAGCCAUUCAAGUCAUAACAUUGUGUGCAUAUAAUUCCAGAGAAUAAGGCGUGAUGAAUAAACAAGCUAUUAAGAUCCUAUAGACAUGAUCUCUAACCAUUCAUGCAAAAGAUAAAGUAUCCCAGUUCCCCCUUUUCACUAAUUCCUAGUUGUCAGUUAUUACAAGUAAUUACAGGCCCAAAAAUGAAAUAAUACAGUCUUAAAGAUGACAAAACAUAGGCUGAAAUGAAUACAAGCCGACCAAAGCAAUUACAAGCCCAAUAUAAAAGUAACCCGGGAAUAUCCCAGACCUUCCAUAGUCUUACUCUCCGGACAAACAGCAGGCCCAAACCACAGGCUCACACGAUAACUAGAGUGCACAUGAAUCCAGUGCCCAGGUCCAACAACACCCAUGGCCCAUCUCCAGACCCAAUGAAUAACUUACUUACCCACAUGGAUACUAAAUUUAGCUAUGCAGGUGACUCAAUACUCAUAGAACAACUUAAUCCCUUGGUUCUUAGAGCUGUAGCCAUUAACAGCUCUAGACAAGACAUAUAAAUAGGAUCAUGCUAGAUGGAAAGGCACACAAGGCACAUAUGAGGAAAUCUUAUGCUUUGAAAUUCCAGAAACAGAGUUUGAUAGUGACAAGAUUGACCAUCAUAGGACAGUAAACCAUUUCAGUAAAGCAUGAUCCAGAAACAACCUAAGGACCUUUAGAUGAUAUUCUAACAGAAUUAUGAACAAGAAGCAGGUAGAGUAGAGUCUUGAUAUGAAGGUUUUAACAUGAAAACCUAAUGAGAAUGUGGUUGAAAAUAGCAUAACAACAUGCUAGCGGGCACAAUUUGGCAAACAUACUUGGUUGAUCAUCGAACUUAACCUGAUGAACAUUAAUUAUAACACAAAGAUUCUAAAGAACUCAUAGUAGGCAAAAGAACAUAUCAAUUAUAGGCUAGCAGGACAUGCAUGAAUUAGGAUUCAUGUCAGUCGACCACACAUGAGGGAUAACUAAUCAUUGGUAUUUAUCCUAGAAGCAAUGCUAAAGGGUGCAGGAUUGCCCAGUCAGGCAAUACAAUUGCCAGAGUUACAAAUCACAGACAAAAAUGCUUGGUUAGAGAUUAAGACAAUGCUAUAACAUGGGAGAGCGAAGGAUCAGUUUGCAUGAAAUAAUAGGUUAUACAUAAAGGAUAUAGUAGGAAGAGAUUCAUUAAGGUAGACUUUGAGCAAGAAGUUUCUACAAAAGGUCCCAGAAAUCCAAGGCAUGAAUAUGAACUCAUAAUAGAUAAAGGACACGACAUUGAUGCUAACAUGAGCAUGACCAAUUAGACAACACCUAAGAAGGCCAGAAACCAUUUGAGUCAAAUACAUAGAGUGAAAGCAUACUACACAUGUUGAAGCCUAUCAAGUCUGAUAUUAAAGAACAUGGAACCGCAGAACGUCAAUAGAACUACAUAAAGCAUACAAUAAUACAACACUGGGAGUUCACAAAUAACAAAGAAACUUAGGUCAUGCUUGUCUAUAAAAGUUCAAACAGUGUUGGCACGCAGAAUACAAAUACAUGAAUAAGUAGAGGAGUAAUAAUUAAGGUUGUAAAGUGUAGAGAAUGCUAACCAGUUGCAAAGAUAAACGAACAAAAGAGCGAGUAACUUAGAAUCUCAGCGAUGACAACAAAGAAAGAUAACAGUGAGAAUCCAGAUCCAAGUGCGUCAGAGUUCACAUGAGCUUCAGUGAGCCCCGAGCAGUGCUUGUACUAGGGACGUUAAUAGAGAAGAUUUGGGUGGCCUUUUCUAUCAGCCGGCCAUAGUUAAGAGAGCAUAAAUACUAUACAAGGUGAAAAGUAAGAGAAUAACAGUAGUUCUUAAGCGAUUAGAGUCUGUCCAAAGGGGAAAUUGGGGAGGGGUUUAUAGAGUAAUAAAAAUCAACACAUAAAUAAGGAAAUACAAUCAAUCGAACAUAAACAAGAAAAGAAGAAUAUGCAAAAAUCAAUUUAGAAGCAGAUUAGGAGAAGAAACCAGGUAAACCAUAGUUUGACUAGGAUCAUAAAUUGGCCGGAGAUCUUGGUGAAUCAAAACCUCAUAGCCUUGCUAUGAAUGUAUACAGAUGAAAUAUCGUCCAAAUCUUGGAGAGUAAAGCCGAUCUCCUUUGACUCAGAGACUGGUACUUUCCAAAAAUGGGCAAGUACCAUGUAACACCAUAUUUACACAAGUAAUAGCAGUAUAAUCCCUAAAAGGUAAGUAAAUCAUGGUAAGAAUUCAUGGAUGAUUUGGAUUCGGAGAAGAUUUUGGGUGGCGGCUAGGGUUUCUCAGAGAAGAGGAGAGUAGAGGAUUUAGGGGUGACUGGAGUGUGAGAAUGGGAUUAGGUUUUAGGGUGAGGGGAUAUAAGGAAAGGGUAGGGAUUAUUAUGGGCCGUUGAUCAUCUGAGAUCAACAAUCGUGAUUAAAGGGAGGUGGGGCGGGUCGAGUAAAUGGGUCUCGACCGGGUUGGAACAAAAGGGGUCAUUUGGUUUAGGCCAGGGAAGAUUGGGGUUGGGCUCAUUUGUUUGGACCUUAAUUGGUCCGGAAAUAAGGCAUAAUUUGGGCCAGAUUUUGAAGUAUGGGGAUUAAGGGGAAAUAAUUUUAAUAAAAUAGCUAAAUAAAAUAUAAAAAAUACUAUUUAUUAAACUUAAUACUUUAAAACAAUAGUUGAAGAUUAUGAUAAAUGUAAAAAAAUAUUUUGUCCUUAAAUAAAAUGACAAAUGCAAUUUAUUGUAAAAUAUAGGCUAUUUUUGUAAAAUUACGUAUUUGGCAUAAAAAGUACAAAUUUAAUUAUAUAAAAUAAAGUAAAAUAUUAUAAAAUAGAUAUGUUAAUGCAAAUAAUAGAGUUGGAUGAUUAAAUCAUCACAAAAUAAUUUUAAGGGAUUAAUUAAUACAUAUUCAAAUAAUUUAACUGCAAGAAAAUCAGCUUUAAAGCUUUAAAAAUUACGAAAAAUUAUAUAAAUACUUGUAUAACUAUUGUACAACAACAAGAUUGAAGAUACCUCGAGAUAUAAAGGUAAUUAUCAUACAAAUGAUUGAGUACCCACACGUAGAAUCCAUGAAUAAUGUGGAAACAAAGAGGUAAUAUUAAUUGCACGAUGAAUGAUGAUGUGAAGGUGUGAUAUUGACUAUAAUUAGAAAAAUUUAAGUUGUGAUGUUUUCAUGAAGAAGAUUGCACGUUUCUUACCUUUAGCAUUAUGAAAAUAGUGUAUGUUAUGAAAAAUUACAUGAAAGUUAUGCGGGUUUAGCCUGAGGCAGUUGUAUUUACCAGUAAUAUAUUUGAGCAUGGACUAAAGGGCAAAAUGCUAGAAAAAGAUUUUUAAAAGUAAACUGGGCAUGAAAAGUGAUAUGCUAACUUUAUUGUUGUACGGGUAGAAAGAGAUGAUACUUGGCAACAUGAGUUGCGACUAGAAGUGUCAUAGUACUUGGGUAUGCGAGGGGAAAAGGAAUCCUUGAUGAGCAUAACCAUUUUUCUUCUAUUGUUAGGAUAGUAGGUACUACUAAGUGUAAUUGCAAAGUAGAAGUCAAGUCUUCGUGAAAAUCUGAAAUGGUGAAUAAGAUUUUGAGCUGGGAAUAAAUAAUUUGUAGUAGUAUAUGGGCGUGUGUAUAAUCAGAUGGAAUGGAAUACGACUUUAAUGAAAUCUUCGAGUUUCAGGUUCAAGUUUUAGAUUUGGAUUUUACGUUUAAGUAAGGGAGCGUCAUAGCAAGUAAAAGUCACCUUAAAGGUGAUGGUUGAAAAAAUAAAAUGUAGAAAUUUUAUUCUCAAAAGAAAGAUGAAGGGAAAACCUUCGGUAAGAUUCCAGAUGAAGUGAGUAAAAUUGUCAUACAGUGCCGGUAUAGGGAUCACAUGCUUAUCACGAGCAAUAUGUACGGUGUUCAAUAUUGGGGUUAUUAAAAGGUACUAUCUAAUAGUCAAAUAUUUAAUGGGCUACUUGAAUAGAUUCUUAUAGCUUUGGAGCAUGUGUCACUUGAAUUAAAUUCAAGCAAUGGCGCAAAAUAAGAAAAUACUUUGGUCAUACAUUGGACUUAGUAGAACAAAUGAAGGUUAUAUUAUGCAUAUUCCUGAAUACAAAAAUACUCUUGCAAACCAAAACAAUGUGCUCCAAUAAGAAGCACGACGUCAAAAAAAAACAAUUAAGUGGUGCAAGUAUUAUCCUAAUAGCAUUGUCACUUUGGAGUUGAAAGCCUACAAUAUAUGAUAGUAUUAUUAUGAUAGGCGCAAUGGCAAAUAUAACUUAAAUUUCUGGUAAGAAAAUAUCAUAAAGAACUUGGUGAUAUCAAUUAGUUGGUUAAGGUUAAGAAAAUAGAAAUAUGUAAUGUGAUGUUCAAGAAUGAAUAGAUACAUGUGCCAUGAAAGGGAAGGAAGCGGAUUGAACAUUUGUCAUAUAGCGGACUUGUUAGCAACCGUAUCAAUCAAUUUUAGAUAUAAAGGAAACUCAAAAGGUUACAUGUGUAAGUGGAGGUAUAAAUCACCCACGUGAUGAAUGGAUCUAAGUAAGACAAUAUCUUAUUGGUAUUCGGAUGGAAUAAAAGAACAUUAUAGAAGGAUUUGAUAACUAGAGAAUUAAGAGUCCUACGAGGACAAACUAUGCUUAGAAGUAAUUUUAUAUUAAUAAUAAAGUCUUUGAAUGGAAGAUUUUUUUUUGUUGCAAGAAAUACUCUUUCACGUGCGACUUGGUGUAUACAUAAUAGAAAGAGAAUACGAAUAUGCAUGACAGUAAUAUGUGUUGCAAUAUAGAGAAACCAAUAUUGGAAUGAGCGAGGUAUAGAUAUGCAACUGUUUAAAAUUGUAAAGAAUUAUUCGAUGCAAUUUUAGUAUAUGCACGGCCAUGUGGGACUUAGAUAUUUUGUUGUUAUACAUUGAGGACGUAUGUGUGGCCGUGCGGGUCCUAGAUAGUUUGUUGUUGUACAUUGAGCAUAUAUGUGUGGCCGUGUAGGGCCUAGACAUCAUAUUAUGUAAAGAUAUUUGGUUGUUGAAUUAUAUUAAAAUUGGUGCCCGUGUGGGGACUGAUAAGUUGAGAUUUUGACUACUUAUUAGCACUUUUUUAAUUUUGUUUUAGUCUGAAAGUAUUGCAUUAUGUUCCCGAAACUAAUAAAAGUGUGCAAAUUACAGGAAUGUUGGAAGUUUGGUAUAUGGGACUCAAAAAGGAGUGUUCCGAAUUAGAAGGCAAGAAAGGGGCACAGAACAAAAGAAGUGCGGACCGCAGAAUUCCAUCUGCGGCCACAGAUCAAGUGAAAAAUCCCAGCAGGAAUUUGGCCAAUGUGCGGCCGCAGAACAAGGUCUGCACUCACAAAUGAUUCAAUGUUCAGAGACGGUGCAAAAGACCAAGUUCUGAAGCCUUGCUGAAGUGCGGACAACAGAAGAAUUAUGCACUCACAAAAGAUGCUUCGCAACCGCAAUCAAAAAUUGUUCGGCUACAGAAUCCAAGAUCUCGCCAACUGAAGAAAUCUGCGGACCGGACUUGGAAUUGUGCGGCCGCAUAACCUCCCGAGGGAAAUUUUUGUCAGCGAAUUUUGGGCCACUAUAAAUAGACGAGUUUCACAUUUUUAGGUCAAGUUUCAAAGUUCGAACUGUUGUAGCCUUACAUUUUGCCAUUUUAGGAAGUUUGUGACUAUUUUAGUGUUUAAAUAUUAUAUUAUAUUAUAUCAUUUUAAUCUUAGAUUAUGAGUUUAAUUAGCAUUUCUUAUUUAUUUUCUUUAAUUUUUACUAUGAGUAGCAAGAUUCUUACUAGGGUUGUGACCCAACCCUAGUGUGUAAACCUUGUGGGUAUUUAAUUUAAUGUUUGUUUAUGAUUGGGUGUUGAUUAUUUAGCUUAGUUUAUGCUCCAAUUUUAGAAUUAAUGGUUGUAAACAUUGAUUCAUGCUUUUUUUGACUUAGUCUCUAUUUGAGAAAGAGAGACCUAGUCUAGGAUAACUUGGCUAACAAGGAAUAGGGCUAAUUGAGGGUUUUAUUAGUCUAAUUAAAGGGUUCAAACUAGAGAUAGGUAGAACAGGGUUUGACCUCAAAUCAACUAUUUUGUUUGAUACCCAUUUGGACCUGAGAUAACCAAAUUGGGCAAAAUCACUCUUUGAUCGAGAGGUAUUGAGUGGGUAAUGUGGAGUUGAGAGCUAUAAUGCACCCCAAUCAACGAAACAAGUAUUAAAGUAUUUAACUGUCACGACCCAAAAUCCCACCACAGGAGUCGUGAUGGCACUUAGUCUCUACAACUAUGUAAGCCGAUUAUAACGGCAAUUCAAGCCAUUUUUUAAAAUUCAAUACAAGUGCCAACAUUAACAACGGAAAUACUCAAACAAUCUCCCAAGACUGGUAAUACUGAGUUACGAACUCUAACUGAAUGCAUGGAAUGAUCUCGAGGACCGAAUAUACAAUACUGUUCGAAUAAGAAAUUAACAGUACAAUAAAUUAGAAAGACUCCAAGGGUCUGCGACGACCAAGCAGCUCUACCUUGAAUUCUUACGAUCAACACACUAACUUUGUCCGAGUUCGAUAUCUCCAACACUUGGCUCUGUACAAAUAUGUGCAGAAGUGUAGUAUGAGUACACCACGGUCGGUACCCAGUAAGUAUCAAGACUAACCUCGGUAGAGUAGUGACGAGGUACAGUCAAGACACUCACUAGUCUAAUAACUUGUGCAAUAUAGCAUAUAAAAAUAAUAGGAAACUAAUAUCAGUAAUAACAACAAUAAUCAACAUGUGAUAUAAACAGCAAGGCAGCAAGAACACCAUAAAUAUUGCUUAAAACAAAUAAUGAACACAAGUACAACCAAUAAUCAAGUCCUUCAAAAUAUACAUCUUUCAUCUAUAAGUUUUUCAAAUAAAAAUCUUUAGAAUAUAAUCCUUUCCAAUAAAUAUAUUUUGAAUAUACUUCCUUCAAAUAAAUAUCAUCCAAAUAUAAUUCUUUCAAAUAAAUAUCUUACGAAUAUAAUUCUUCCAAAUAAAAUAUCUUUCAAAUAUAAUUCUCUCAAACAAAUAUCUUUCGAAUAUAAUUCCUUUCAGGUAAAAGUCACCAUGUGACACCUCAUUUCAUAAUUAUAAAACUUACGGGUCUCAUCCCACUUUCAUAUUUCCAUGGCACUUCAUGCCCAUAUUUCUGUCACAACCACACGGACAACUCACGUGCCAAUAAUAAAAUUAUCAUAUUUCUCCAGCACCUCGUGCCCAUAUUUCUUUCAUAACCUCACGGACAACUCCCCUGCCAAUAAUAAAAACCACCCGGUAAUAGCCACAGGAUCACAAUUACAACAUGAAUUAGACUAUUAUCACGUUUACCGAUACAACAAGACAUGUUGCACAAGAGAUAAAAAUAAACACCAGAAAAAUCACAUCAUAUAAAAAUCAUCAACACAAUAAUCACACAUCAUCACGUAUCAUCCCUGACAAUAGCCACCCUUACCUCUCCCAUAGCCACCCGUAUCAGUCCAUAAUAAUAGCUACCCGUAUCCCUCUGUCCUGACAAUAUCAAUAGCCACCCUUAUUGCUUUUAUAGUCGCCCUUAUCACUCCUAUAGCCGCCCUUAUCACUCUUAUAGCCGCCCUUAUUACUCCGCUCAGACAAUAUCCCAACACACAUAAACACAGUAAAAUGCCACCCUUAUACCCACACAAUAUUAACAGUGGAAUGUCACCCUUAUGUCCUAAUAAUAAUAACUCAAAUCACAUAAUUAUUCACACGGAACAUUAUCACGACAACACAACACAAUCAAUUUAUAUCACAAAUUGCCCAAUGGCCACAACCAAUUCCAAAGAUACAACAAAAUCAAUAAAUUUCACAACAAAUAGCUCAAGGCUUUCCACAACGUAUAUAAAAUCUCAAAGACAACAACUGAGAUGGAAAAGUAACUUAACAUAGGACAUCGCCUUCUUUAAUCCAAAUUUUUAAUAAAUAUAUUAAAGUUUCAUUUUGAACUUAUUUGAUAAUAUUUGCGGAUAACAAUCCAUAAUAAAAUUAUUUCCAAGAAAUGCCAACCCAACUAACCACGGUAUUUAACAUAAUAAAACAAGGAAUGAGGCAUGACAAAUAAAGGAUUUAAUAAGCUCCAAUAAUUUUUUUAAUUUAAUAUUUAAUUAGGAUGUCUGCGAAUUUUAACCGAUAUAAUUUGCACAUAUAAACCAAGUACAUACUCGUCACCUCGCGUACAUGGCUUUCAAUCACACAAUUUUCACAUAAAACUCAAUGCCUAAGGGGUAUUUCCCCCACUCAAGGUUAGGCAAGAUACUUACCUUUUUGAAGUUAGGCCGAUAUUCCAAAAUAGCCUUCUUUCUUGAAUUGACCUCCGGACAGUUCAGAUCUAUCCAAAUUAAUUGUAUAACUUCAUUAAAAUUUCGGAUAAUAAAAUACCAAUUUAAACUUUUAUUCUAAUAAGUCAACGUGGGCUGGCCCCUCGGAACCCGCUGGAAUUUUUAAGAAAUCCGAACAUCCAUUCCGAUACGAGUUCAACCAUACCGAAAUUAUCAAAUUCCGAUAACGGACUGCCCUUCAAAUCUUAAAUUAAAGUCAAGAGGAUUUCUACCAUUUUCAACCCAAUUCACUAAUUUAGUGAUAAAAACAAUAAUAGAUUCAUGCAAUUUAACCAAAAUCAAGUUAGGAAUUCUUACCCCAAUGUUUCCCUCGAAAAACUCUAGAAAUAUAACCUCACCCUGAGCUUCCUUGGUCCAAAAAUGGAAGAAUGAGACGAAUUUGGACUUUAUUCUACUGCCCAGGGGUUUGUUCUUCGCGUUCGCGUCCGUCACCUCGCAUUCGCGAUGAACAAAUUCUUCAACAACCAUUUUCACACUCUUUUCUGACAGCCUCUACUAGAAGGGUCAUAACAUUUUGUACAAAACUCCAAAUAAUGAAUGGUUUGACCGUUUGAAAACUAGACUCAUAACUUUAAUUUGUUGCUCAUCUCCCAAUUCCUUAUAUAUUGCGAGAUAUAAGCUUCCAAAGUCAGCCCUGUACAGUAGAGAUUUCCAAACUCUUCCCAGACAACCUGUAGUUUAUCCACCAUAACUUUUUGUACAAAACUAGAAAUAAAAAAUGGUUUACCUUUCCGAAAUCUAGACUCAAAGGUCUACAACUUUUAUUUUUGGAUCAUCUCGAAUUCCUUAUAGAUUGCGAGAUAUGAGCUUCCAAAGUCAGACCAGUGCAACAGAGAUUUCCUUCUUCGCGAAUGCGAGAGUCUCUUCGCGAACGCAAAGAACAAAAUCCGAGAAGCCAAAUCCUUCUUCGCAAAUAUAAUGACCCGACCAGUCGUUUUGCUUUCGAGAACCCCAUUCCCCUAAAUAAGACUUCUCGUAUAUGCUUUUACUGUUUUAUGACUUGCGGAGAUGGUUAGUUCGUGAUUUGGAAGGGUUCGGGUUGAAAUCAAAAUACUUGGUUCCUUGAGAUUGGCUUAAAAGGCCAAGUUUGACUUCGGUCAAUAUUUUCAGUAAAUGACCUCAGAAUCGGGAUUUGGCAGUUCUAAUAAGUUUGUAUGAUAAUUUCGGACUUGGGCGUAUGUUCGGAUCAGGUUUUGAAUGACCCGGGAGCGUUUCGGUGCCUAAUAGUGAAAGUUAGUUCUUGAAGGUUUUAAAAAAUUUUUAAAUUUGGUUUGGAGCGGGUUUUGGUGAUAUCAAGGUCCAAACGGAAUUCCGAGCACAGGAAUAGUUCCGUAAUGUCAAUUAAGACUUGCACGCAAAAUUUGGUGUCUUUCUGAGUAGUUUAAGUACGUUUCGGCGCAUUAGAAGUAAAUUGAAGAACUCAAAGUUCUUAAGUUUGAUUCAAUUGGUUUUGGGGUGUGAUUCGUAGUUUUAAUGUUGUUUCUGGGGGCCCGAGGGUCAAUCGGACAAAGCUCAGACUAAGUUAGAAGUUGGGAGCAGCUGCUGAAGCUCCAGUUCUGUCAUAACCGCACCUGCACUUGGCCAGCUGCAGGUGCGAGCCAUGAGCCGCAGAAGCGGAAAUGCGAAGGAAUCCCAGGUACCGCAGGUACAGAGGAAUUUACGCACCUGCGUGACCGCAGGUGCGGGAACUAUUUUCACAGGAGCGGAAAGGGCUCACAUAUGCGGCUCCUGGUGUCCGCAGAUCCGGAGCCUGUCCAUGCGAGGAAAAGGCGCACCUACGAAGGUCUUGCCGCAGGUGCGGGACCGCAUAUACGACCCUAUAACCGCAGGUGCGAAAACCGCUGGAGGCAGUGAGCCUCAUUUAUUAUGGGUUAGGGCCAUUUUUAUCACAUUUUCUUCCACUCUUGGGUGAUUUGAGAGCUUCUAAGGAGGGGAUUUAGACCUAGAUUUGUGAGGUAAGUAAUUUCUAUUAAAUAUGAGUUUAGUACAUAUAUUAUGGGUAGAUUUUCACAUGAUAAUUGGUAGAAAUCAUGGGUUUAGGUAAAAAAACCUAGGAUUUAAUAAAAAUAAGAUUCUACCAUGCAAAUGAUUAUGAAACUUAGUGAAUAUCAUAUAUUAUGUUCCUAAGGUUAUGGGUAACUACUUUCUUCAAAAUAAUUUCGGAAUCCGGGAGUGUGGGCCUGGGGUGAAAUUUAGGAAUCUUGCAAUUUGGAUUGGGUAAUCACUUUAAUAGUGGAGAUAUGAACAAUUGAGCAUAGAUUGAUCGAUUUAUAUAAUGUUUGGCUAGUUCCGAGUCGUUUGGCAUCAAAUUUGGAGGUUUGAGCGCAUCCUUGAAUUGGGAAGUAAGCUUUGAGACGAGGUAAGUCUCUUUUCUAACCUUAUAAGAGGGAACUCACCCCAUAGGUGAACUUAAUUAAUAUGUGUUGUUAUUUGUGGGGGGUGGGGGUGGGGUGGAGGGCUACAUACGCACGAAGUGACGAGAGUCCGUACGUAGCUACUAUUCAUGUUUAUGUCCGGGUAGUGUUAGGUCUACGCCAUGCUUGUGGACACCGUUAUUUGAUUAGAUUUGUUAACUGUAUCAAAUGAAACUAAGUCGAGGAUUUUUGAGGGUUUAAAAGCUUCAAGCCGAAUUGUCUUUAUUUUGAAAAGAAUCAAGAAAUGAUUAUGAUUUAUUGAUAAAUUUAUUGAUUUAUUGAUAAAUUUAUUUUGAAAAUUCGCGCCGUUCGACCCUCGGCAGUGCACAGUUUAUAUUUAUGUUGGAUCGGGCCGAACGUCCUUGGUGGUAUUCGUGUGUGAUAAUAGUACUCGAAGUUUCUUUCAUAUUUGGUACAAAGUCAUUGUUUUGUGUGAUCAUAUAUUUUAAAGGAAGGAAAUGAUUUAAGCUCUUAAAGAUGGUGAAGAGUUGUUCAGUUAUUUCUUGUUAUGAGUCUUAUUGUUGUAUGUUAUGAUUAAUUAGAUUUUCAUAUUAUCAUGUUAUUGGCCCUAGUAAGUGUCGGAGUGCACCCCUCGUCAAUACUUCUUCGAGGUUAAACUAGAUACUUACUGAGUACAUAUAAUGUAUGUACAUACGCUACACUUUUGUACUUAAAUGUACAGGAUCUGAGGCAGGUGCAUCUGGUUACCAGUCUGGAGCGCAGUUCUGAUCCCCAUCUCGAGACUUCACGGUGAGCUGCCCUUCCGAGCCGUUCUGCAGCAGCUGGAGUCUCUCAUGCUUUAUUUUUUUCUGUCUAUUUCCUUUCAGACAGUAGGCUAGUACUCUUUUGUAUAUUCUAAUAGAUUGCCCACACACUUGUGACACCAGGUCUUGGUACACACACUAGUAGACUUAUUAUUUUAGAUUUGUUUACAUGAUUACGAUUAGUACUUGUUUUUUUCCUUUUAAUUAUGUCACGUUUGCAAAUUUCUAAAUCUUUUUAACAAAUGAGGAAAUGUUAUCCAAUUAGUAAUUUAUUUAAACGAGAAAUCAUUAGUUUGAUCAGCGUUGGCUUGCCCAAUAAUGGUGUUGGGUACCAUCACGGCCUAUGUUAGAAUUGGGUCGUGACAACAUGGUAUCAGAGCGCUAGGUUCACAUAGGUUUCACAAGUUAUGGGCAGGCCUAGUAGAGUCUUGUGGAUCGAUGCGGAGACGUUCGUACUUAUCUUCGAGAGGCUAUAGGGUGUUAUGAAACUACUCUUUAAUCAUUUCCUAUCAUGCAGUUGAUGGUGUACUAAAUUCCUUUCUCUCAUUCUGUCACGAUGGUGAGGACGCGUACGGCGGACAUUCCAGACUCGGGAGGAGCUGCUUCCCCCAUUGCUAGAGGCCGGGGGAGGGCACCAACCCAAGGUAGGGGAUGAGGGAAUCUCAGUGCUGCCCCAGUAGCACCACCAGCAGACCCAGUAGAGGAUCCCAUCAUUGAGGAGUAGGGAGAGGUGCCUGCCGCAGAGCCAGCCUCGGUAGAUUUCAUAUCAACAGCGGGUUUUCAGGAGGUCAUGGGCCGUAUGCUCCGGUUCAUGGACACCAUGACUCAGGCUGGUUUAUUUCCUGCAGACCCAACACAUCUCAGGCGGGAGGGGGAGCACAGACCCCUACUGCUCAGGAACAUGGGCACGCAACUGCAUUAUACCAGACUCCGGGUACACUACCUGUGGGUGGAGCCCAGCCAGUUGCCACAACUGCACCUGAGCCUAGACAAGCUGUGGACAGUGAUCCACAGAAGCUAUUAGACAGAUGGACUAGGCUACACCUUCCUAUCUUCGUGGGCGAGCGGCAUGAGGAACCCAGGACUUCAUUGACCGGUGCCGGGACAGACUGCACAAUAUGAGGAUAUUGGAGUCCUAUGGGGUAAAUUUCACUACUUUCCAGCUGGAGGGCAGGGCCCGUAGAUGGUGGCAGUCUUAGGACCAGUAUGUUCUCCUCCCAUGACUUAGGACCAGUUUACACAGCUUUUCUUGGAUAGGUAUAUUCCACCCUCUCAAACAGAAGAGUUGCGAGGUCAGUUUGAGCAGCUCGAGCAGGUUCAGAUGUCAGUGACCAAUUAUGAGGAGAGAUUCUCUGAGUUAUCUUGCCAUGCACUUAUGAUACUUCCUACCGACGUAGAGAGAGUGCAGAGAUUUAUUGCGGGGUUACACCCCAGUAUUCGGGCUAGUAUGGCCCGAGAGGUUGAGAUGGGUACUGGCUAUCAGCUAGUAGUGGAGAUUGCUUAGAGUAUUAAGGGCUACCGCCAUAGGGGUAGAGAGCAGAUACAAUAGGACAAGAAGGCCCGAUUCUCUAGAGAAUUUAGAGGUGCCCCGGCCAGGGGCAGAGGGCAGUUUGGGAGGGAUCAGCCUAGCUGGCCCACAUAUCCAGCACCACCACCUCCUCGGAGUACUCCGGUGUGACCCUAUUUCAGUGCUAUGCCAGAUAGUUCUUAUCGCCCACCAGCUCAUCAGGGUUCUUCCAUUGCCUAUUUUAGCGCCAUGCCAGAGAGUUCAUACCGCCCACCAGCCAUUCAGGGUUCUUCUAGUGGGUAUUCAGGCCAUCAGGGUUAGAAUUCGGGGCAACAGUCUAUGGUACCGAGAGGUUGCUACGAGUGUGGAGAUUCGGGUCACAUGAAGAGAACUUGUCUCAGACUUUGGGGCAAGUUAGUACAGUAGGGUCAUCAGCCCAUGAUUCUAGCACCAGCCGUCCGACUGCCCAGAGGUGGGGGACAGGCGGGUAGGGGCCAUCCUAGAGGUGGAGGCCAGGCAGGGGGAGGUCAGCCAGCUAUUGUUCAGCCAGGUGGAGGCCAUCCAGCCGGCGCUCCAGCUAGAUUCUAUGCUUUUCUGUCCAGACUAGAUGCAGUGGCCUCAGAAGUCGUGAUCACGGAUAUUAUUUCUGUCUGCGGUAGGGAUGCUUCAGUAUUAUUUGAUCCAUGGUAUACCUAUUCAUAUGUAUCAUCUCUGUUUGCUCAUUUCCUGGAUAUUCCUCGUGAGUCCUUGGGUACUCCUGUUUGUGUGUCCACUCAUAUGGGAGACUCUAUGGUUAUGGAUCGGAUCUAUCGGUCCUGUGUGGUCACAUUCUGUGGUUACGAGACUAUAGCAGACCUUCUAUUACUUGAUAUGACCGACUUUGAGGUCAUACUGGGCAUGGACUGGUUAUCCCCAUAUCAUGCCAUCCUUGAUUUCCAUGUCAAGACUGUUACCUUAACAAUGCCAAAGUUUCUUAGCUUGGAGUGGAAGGGUUCAUCUGUUAGUACAUCUAGUCGGGUUAUCUCUUUAUCGAAGGCUCGACAUAUGGUCAGGAAGGGUUGUUUGGCUUAUCUAGCCUAUGUUCGGGAUACCACCGUAGAGUCUCCGACCAUUGAUUCGGUGCCAUUAUUUCGGGAGUUUGCCGAUGUGUUUCCUUCGGACCUUCCAGGCAUGCCGCCAGAUCGUGACAUUGAUUUCUGUAUAGACUUGGCUUCAAGCACUUAGCCUAUAUCUAUCCCACCAUAUCGUAUGGCUCCGAAAAAGUUAAAGGAGUUGAAGGAACAACUUGAGGAGUUGCUAGCAAAGGCGUUCGUCAGGCCGAGUGUAUCACCUUGGGGUGCACCAAUAUUAUUUGUGAAGAAGAAGGAUGGGACUAUGCAGAUGUGUAUUGAUUACCGCUAGUUGAACAAAGUACCAUUAAGAACAAGUACCCCUUGCCACGUAUUGAUGAUUUGUUUUACCAGUUGCAGGGUGCUAGCGUGUUUUCUUAGAUCGACUUGAGAUCGGGAUACCAUCAGUUGAAGAUUCGGGACUCAGAUGUUCCGAAGACUGCCUUCCAUACUAGAUAUGGCCAUUAUGAGUUUCUAGUGAUGUCAUUCGGCUUGACUAAUAUUCCAACGGCAUUUAUGGAUUUGAUGAAUAGGGUGUUCAUGCCUUAUAUCGAUUCCUUUGUUAUUGUCUUCAUUGAUGACAUCUUGAUUUACUCACGUAGCAUGGAGGAGAACGAGUAACAUUUGAGAGUGGUGCUUCAGACCUUGAGGGACUAGAAGCUAUAUGUUAAGUUCUCCAAAUGUGAGUUUUGGUUAGAUUCUGUGGCAUUCUUGGGGCAUGUGGUAUCAGGCGAGGGUAUUAAGGUGGAUCCCAAGAAGAUUGAGGCGGUUUAGAGUUGGCCUCGUCCUACUUCGGCGACUGAGAUCAAGAGUUUCCUGGGGCUAGCAGGUUAUUAUCGCUGAUUUGUGGAGGGUUUCUCAUCCAUUGCAGCACCUUUGACUAAAUUGACCCAGAAGGGUGCUCCGUUCCGUUGGACCGACGAUUGUAAGGCGAGCUUUCAGAAGCUCAAGACAGCUUUGACUACAGCAAUGGUUCUAGUGUUGCCUUCCAGUUCGGGGAUGUAUACUGUGUAUUGCGACGCCUCACGCGUUGGCUUGGGUUCUGUAUUGAUGCAGGAAGGGUGAGUUAUUACAUAUGCUUCACGUCAGCUGAAGCUCCUUGAGAAGAAUUAUCCUAUGCACGAUUUAGAGUUGGCCGCGAUUGUUCAUGCUCUUAAGAUCUGGAGGCACUACCUAUAUGGGGUGCCUUGUGAGGUUUACACUGAUCACCGCAGUUUGCAGCACUUGUUCAAGUAAAUGGAUCUCAAUUUGAGGCAGCGCAGAUGGCUUAAGUUACUGAAGGACUACGACAUCACUAUUCUUUAUCAUCCGGGCAAGGCGAAUGUAGUCGCGGAUGCCUUGAGCAGGAAGGCAGAGAGCAUGGGUAGCUUGGCAUUCAUUUCUGCAGAGGAGAGGCCACUAGCUUUGGACAUUCAGUCCUUGGCUAACAUACUUGUGAGGUUGGAUAUUUCAAAGCCCAGCCGAGUUCUUGCAUGUGUUGUUGCCCAAACUUCACUAUUGGAGCAGGUAAAGGCUCGACAGUUUGAUGAUCCGCAUUUGGCAUCUCUCAGAGAGAUGGUACUACAAGAUAGUGCCAAGGAGGUUUCUAUUGGCGAGGAUGGUGUCCUGCAACUCCAGGGUCGUCUAUGUAUUCCUGAUGUAAAUGGCUUGAGGGAGAGGAUUCUGUAGGAGGCGCACAGUUCUCGGUAUUCUAUUCAUCCAGUUGCUACGAAGAUGUAUCGGGACCUGAGACAACAUUAUUGGUGGCAGUGGAUGAAGAAAGACAUAGUUGAGUAUGUAGUUAGGUGACUAAAUUGAUAGCAGGUUAAGUUUGAGCACUAGAGGCUAGGUGGCCUACUCCAGCAGAUGACUAUACCGAAGUGGAAAUGGUAGCGCAUUACUAUGGACUUCGUAGUUGGGUUGCCGCAGACCUUGCAGAAGUUCGAUGCAGUUUGGGUCAUUACUGACAGGUUGACCAAGUCAGCACACUUCAUUCUAGUUGCAACUACUUAUACUUCAGAGAGGUUGGCCCAAAUUUAUAUUCGGGAGAUAGUUCGGUUGCACGGUGUGCCGAUUUCCAUCAUAUCAGACAGAGGCCCUCAGUUCACUUCGUAUUUCUGGACAGCCGUACAGAGUGAGUUGGGGACUCGUGUCGAGCUCAACACUCCGUUCCAUCCACAGACCAACGGGCAGUCAAAGCGGACAGUCCAGAUCUUGGAGGACAUGCUCCAAGCAUGUGUGAUUGACUUUGGGGGACAGUGGGAUCAAAUAUUUCCUUUGGCUGAGUUUCCUUACAACAACAGUUAUCAAUCCAGCAUCGAGAUAGCUCCAUUUGAGGCUUUAUAUGGUAAGCGAUGUCGUUCCCCUAUCGGGUGGUUUGAGCCCGACGAGGCUAAGUUAUAUGGUACUUAUUUGGUGAAGGAUGCCUUGGAAAAGGUAAAGUUGAUUCAGGAGCGAUUUCGCACAGCACAGUCCAGACAGAAGAGUUACGUGGAUAAGAAAGCGCGUGAUUUAUCUUUUAUGGUGGGUUAAAAAGUUCUCUUGAAGGUUUCGCCGAUGAAGGGUAUUAUGAGAUUGGGGAAGAAGGGCAAGUUGAGCCCCAGGUUUAUAGGAACAUUCGAGGUGUUGAGGUGAGUUGGGGAGGUUGCUUAUGUGCUUGCUUUACCUCCCAGCCUAUCAGGGGUUCAUCAGGUUUUUCACGUGUCUAUGCUCCGGAGGUAUCAUGCCGACUUGUCACAUGUGUUAGACUUCAGCACUAUUCAGCUAGAUGAGAGCUUGGGUUAUAAGGAGGAGCCGGUUGCCAUUGUUGCUAAACAUGAUCUCCAGUUGAGAUCCAAGAGGAUUUUCGUGGCAAAGGUCCAGUGGAGGGGCCAACCAGUCGAGGAGGUGACUAGGGAGUCCGAGGAGGACAUGCGGAGCAGAUAUCCACACUUAUUCAGCAUUUCAGGUAUGAUUCUAAACCUGUUCGAGGACGAAUAUUUGUUUAAGAGAUGGAGAAUGUAACGACCCGACCAGUCGUUUUUCUUUCUAGAACCUCAUUCCCCUAAAUAAGACUUUCUGUACACGCUUUUAUUGUUUUAUGACUUGCGAGGAUGGUUAGUUCGGGAUUUGGAAGGGUUCGUGUUGAAAUCAAAAAUCUUGGUUCCUUAAGGUUGGCUUAAAAGGCCAAGUUUGACUUCGGUCAAUAUUUUGAGUAAACGACAUAGAAUUCGGUAUUUGACGGUUCCAAUAGGUUCGUAUGAUGAUUUCAGACUUGGGUGUAUGUUCGGAUCGGGUUUUGGAUGAACCGGGAGCGUUUCAGUGCCUAUUAGUGAAAGUUGGUUCUUGAAGGUUUUAAAAGUUUUUUAAAUUUGGUUUGGAGUGGGUUUUGGUGAUAUCGAGGUCCAAACGGAAUUUUGAGAGUGAGAAUAGUUCCAUAAUGUCAUUUAAGACUUGCACGCAAAAUUUGGUGUCAUUCCGAGUAGUUUAAGUAAGUUUUGGCGCAUUGGAAGUAAAUUAAAGAACUUGAAGUUCUUAAGUUUGAUUCAAUUGGUUUUGGGGUAUGAUUCUUAGAUUUAAUGUUGUUUCGGGAAUUCCGAGAGUUUGAGUUCAGACUAAGUUAGAAGUUGGGAGCGGCUGCUGAAGCUCCAGUUCUGUCAUAACCGCACCUGCGCAUGGCCAGCCGCAUGUGUGAGCCAUGAGCCGCAGAAGCGGAAAUGCGAAGUAAGCCCAGGCACCGCAGGUGCGGAGGAAUUUACACACCUGCGUGACCACAGGUGCGGGCACUGCUUUCGCAGGAGCGGAAAGGGCUCGUAGAUAUGGCUCCUGGUGUCUGCAGAUGCGAAGCCCGGCUAGGCGAGGAAAAGGCGCACCUGCAAAGGUCUUGCCGCAGGUGCGGGAUCGCAGAUGCGGCCCUACGACCGCAGGUGCGGAAACCGCUGGAGGCAGUGAGCCUCAUUUAUUACCGGUUAGGGCCAUUUUUAUCACAUUCUCUUCCACUCUUGGGCGAUUUGAGAGCAUCUAAGGAGGGGAUUUCGACUUAACUUUGUGAGGUAAGUAAUUUCUAUUAAAUAUGAGUUUAGUACAUAUAUUAUGGGUAGAUUUCCACAUGAAAAUUAGUAAAAAUCAUGGGUUUAGGUGAAAAACAAAAGGUUUAAUAAAAAUGAGAUUUUACGACGAAAAUGAUUAUGAAACCUAGCGAAAAGUAUAUAUUAUGUUCCUAAGGUUAUGGGUAACAACUUUCUUCAAAACAAUUUCGGAAUCCGAGCAUGUGGGCCCGUGGGAGAAUUUUAAGAAUCUUGCAAUUUGGAUUGGGUAAUCACUUUAAUAGUGGAGAUAUGAACUAUUGAGCAUAGAUUGAUUGAUUUAUAUAAUGUUUGGCUAGUUCUGAGUCGUUUGGCAUCAAAUUUAGAGGUUUGAGCGCAUUCUUGAAUUGGGAAGUAAGCUUUGAGACGAGGUAAGUCUCUUUUCUAAUCUUGUAAGAAGGAACUCACCCCAUAGGUGAACUUAAUGAAUAUGUGUUGUUAUUUGCCGGGGGGGAGGGGGGGCAGGGGGCUACGUACGCACGAAGUAACGAGAGUCUGUAUAUAGCUACUAUUCCUGUUUAUGUUUGGGUAGUGUUAGGUUUACGCCAUGCUUGUGGACACUGUUAUUUGAUUAUAUUUGUUAACUGUAUCAAAUGGAACUAAGUCGAGGAUUUUUAAGGAUUUAAAAGCUUCAAGCGGAAUUGUCUUUAUUUUGAAAAGAAUCAAGAAAGGGUUAUGAUUUAUUGAUAAAUUUAUAUUUGACCGCAUCGCAUGUAUGAUUCACAAGCAGGGUAAUAGAUGCAUCUAUGGUUCGCGCAAUUCGACCCUCGGCAGUGUACAAUUUACAUUUAUGUUGGAUCGGGCCGAACUUUCUCGGUGGUAUUCGUGUGUGAUAAUAGUACUCGAAAUUUCUUUCAUAUUUGGUACAAAGCCAUUGUUUUGUGUGAUCAUAUGUUUUAAAAGAAGGAAGUGAUUUAAGCUCUUAAAGAUGGUGAAGACUUGUUUAGUUAUUUUUUGUUCUGAGUCUUAUUGUUGUAUAUUAUGCUUAAUUAGAAUUUCAUAUUAUCAUGUUAUUGGCCCUAGUAAGUGUCGGAGUCGACCUCUCGUCACUACUUCUUCGAGGUUAGACUAGAUACUUACUGGGUACAUAUUAUUUAUGUACUCAUGCUACACUUCUGUACUUAAAUGUACAAGAUCUGAGGCAGGUGCAUCUGGUUACCAGUCUGGAGCACAGUUCUAAUCCCCAUCUUGAGACUUUACGGUGAGUUGCACUUCUGAACCGUUCUGCAGUAGCUGGAGUCUCUCUCAUGCUUUAUUUUUUUCUGUCUAUUUCCUUUCAGACAGUAGGCUAGUACUCUUUCAUAUAUUUUACUAGAUUGCCGACAUACUUGUGAUACCAGGUCUUGGUACACACAUUAGUAGACUUAUGAUUUUUGAUUUGAUUACAUGAUUACGAUUAGUACUUAUUUGUUUCCUUUUAAUUAUGUCACGUUUGCAAAUUUCUAAAUCUUUUUAACAAAUGAGGAAAUGUUAUCCACUUAGUAAUUUAUUUAAAUGGGAUACCAUUAGUUUGAUCAGCGUUGGCUUGCCCAACAAUGGUGUUGGGCGCCAUCAUGGCCUAUGAUGGAAUUGGGUCUUGACAGCGAACAUGAGAGGCUCCUUGCGAAUGCGAAGAACAACACUAGACAUCAGAAAAUCAGCAUCCAAAGUAGCCCAAAAUGAUCCGAAACACACCCGAGGUCCCCGGGACCCCAACCAAAUAUACCAACAAGUCCUAAAACAUCAUACGAACUUAGUCGAGGUCUCAAAUCACAUCAAACUUCGCUAAAAGCAUGAUUCACAUUCCAAUUCAAGCCUAAUGAAACAAAGAAAUUCCAACUUCUAUAUUCGAUCUCGAAAACUAUCAAAUCAAGUCCGAAUGACCUUAAAUUUUGCACACAAGUCAUAAAUGGAAUAACAGAGCUUUUCAUAUUUCCAGAAUCGGAUUUCGAUCUCUACUCCCCGGUCAAACCUCCAAACUUAACUUCCUAUUUUCGUCAUUUCAAGCCUAAUUUAGCUACGAACCUCAAAAUAAAUAUCCGAACACACUCCUAAAUCCGAAGUCACCAUACGAAGCUAUUGAAAUCAUCAAAAUUUUAUUCCGGAGUUGUUUUCGCAAAAGUCAAACUCCGGUCAACUCUUUUCAUUUAAGCUUCAAAAAUGAGAAUUGUUCUUUAAAUUUAAUUUUGAAUCUUCCAAAAAUCAAAUGACCGCACAUGUAAGUCAUAAUACGCAUUACGAAAUUGCUCGGGACCUUAAGUAGCUGAAUGUGGCAUAAAUUAUUAAAAUAACUAGUUGGGUCGUUACAUUAACCUAUUAGGCGAACACUUAGGUUAUGGUCACAUCCUUAGGCUUUUUAAUUAUUUGGAAAAACACCAAAAACAAUCAUUCGCUUCUAGUUUAUUUUCUUACCUUAUAAUUGCUAGAGUAAAAUUAGGAUUAGAAAUCAAAAACUUUUGUGGAAGUGCAAUUUAGUUAUUCCAUUCUCUUUCGUUAAGUGUAUACUCCUAACACCCAUUGUAAUUCUCUGUGGUAAUCGACCCCGACUCUUGUUGGGUACUAUUCUUCCAAUGAUCAUUUUCACUCACUAUUGAGUGCGGAUUAGACAUGGAUCAAUUUUUGGCGCCGUUGCCAGGGAGUUAAGACGAUGUUAGCUAUAUAUUUGUGUUUGUUUUUGGAAUAUCUUCUUUUUCUUCUGUGUUACUAACUUCUGCGAGAACCUUUAGGUAUAACCAUGGCGGCGAACAAUGAUCUCGGUAAUAUGCCUUUGGGGGAUGUGGACGGUGAGGAUGGGCAAGUUGGUGAGGUACCUCUUGAACCUCAGGCCAAUCGAAGAAGCCGAUUUCCUCAUGAAAAUGUGCCCUCUCCAACCCCACCUCCACCAUGAGCGGCUCCACAUCCGAUAUUGCCCAACAAAGGUUAUGCUAGUGCAAUAGUCCCUCCCCGCAUUAUGGCAGGCAACUUCCUAUAACCAAUGUGAUGUUCACUUUUCUUGAACAACGAGAAUUCUUUACCGGUGCUCCAACACAAAAUGUUUACAAAUAUUUGAAGGUGUUUGUGGUUACUUGUUAGAGAAGAAAGCAAACAAAUAUCUCCGAGGAUGCAUUGAGGCUAAGGAUUUUUACCUUCUCUCUAUAGGGAAAGCAUUAGAUUGGUUGGAACGAUUGUCAAACAAUUCAAUUCACACUUAGAAUGAGUUGGUAGAAAAUUUCAUUGCUAAGUUUUUCUCUCCCGGACACAUGGCUACACUUCGAGAUGAGAUCUUGGCAUUCAAGAAAGAGCCGAAUGAACCACUAAACGAGAUAUAGGAGCGCUAUAGAACUAUGGUCAAGGAAUAUCCCAAUAACGAUAUGACAGAAAAUAUUAUUCAACAAACCUUCUAUCAUGGGAUUAACACGACCAACCAAUGUGUAGUGAAUCAAUUAGUCAGUGGAAACUUUAUGACUACGCCUUAUUCGGAGGCGUGUGAGAUUUUGGAUGAGAUGAUGGACACAUUUUAGGCUUGGAAAUCCCGGGACAAGAUGACCCGAAUAUGAUCCACCUUCACAAUGAAUUGCAAGACCAUGGGUAAGCCAUUACCGAGUUGACAACUACCAUGACUCAACUAGAAAAGGCCCAACUGAACCAAGUGCUAACUCCUAACCAAGUCAAUGUUAUGGAAGGAGUGAACAUCAGAAGCGGAUGUAGUGUACUACUUACGGGUUCAACUGAACCCAUAACUUUCGACGCUGAGUAAAAAUCUGUAUGUAAAAUUUCAUUAAAACUACAAAAAUAGUAGAUGCGAACCCAUAACUUUAAAAAUAUAAUGGGUUCAAUGUUAAAAACAUUAAAAUUGAACCCAUAGGAUUUAAAUUCUGGAUCCGCUUCUGGUGGACAUGAUGGUGAACAAGAGGAGGACCAAGGGUCCACAAGUGCAAACUCGAGUGGAGAACUAUGUGCAAGAAUAUGGUAGUUUUGAGCACGAUGAUUCCUAUAAUGAACAAGAAGAGGAAGUACAAUAUGUGAAUUAUUUUCAAGGGAAAAGAAACAACUUCCAAGGCCCAAGCCAACAACAAUGGCGACCACAAAACAAUCAAGGCAAUUGGAAUUCUAGCAAUCAAGGAAAUUGGAGUGGAGGCAACAAUCAAGGGAAUUGGCAUAACAACAACAAUCAAGGAAAUUGGAGUGGACACAAUCAAGGAAAUUGGGGAGGUAACAAUCAAGGCGGAUGGAACAACAUUCAAGGCAACCGGGGGUCGAGUUUUCAAAGGCCCCCAAUGUACCAACAACCAAGCAACCCAGCUCUUUAUCCGUCUCAUGGUUCGAGUUCCUCCAACAAUGAGAUGGGGCAUAUUGAAAAUAUGUUCAAGAAAAUGAUGGAAGAGAAUGCUGAUUCAGAUACCCAACUUUCCUCACACAACACAUCAAUAUGCAACCUCGAAGUUCAAAUGGGGCAAAUCUCUCAAGCUUUAAAUUCUCGUCCUAAGGGGGCACUAUCAAACAAUGUGGUGCAACAUAAUGAUGAAGUUCAGAUUGAUAUUGAUGAUAGUGUAUAAGAGACUCAAGAGGAGGUGAAUCCGUCUAGGGAACACAUUAUUGAUAUACCGGAGCCUGUAGUGCAAAAGGCUAAGGCAACAUUGCCUAAGCCUCCAACUCCAUACCCUCAAAGACUUGCCAAGAAAAAUGGUGAGAAUCAAUUCAAGAAAUUUAUUCAAAUGACGAAGAGUCUCUCAAUCAAUGUGCCAUUAGUUGAAGCCUUGGAACAAAUUCCCGGUUAUGCAAAGUUUAAGACCAUCAAAGUCACUCAUCAAGUGAGUGCAAUUGUGCAUUCAAUGGUUCCUAAGUUGGAGGAUCCCUGUGCUUUCACGAUUUCUUGAACGAUUGGAAGUGCCGAAUUUGCUAAAGCUCUUUGUGAUCUUGGGAAAAGUAUCAAUUUUAUGCCUAUUCGGUUUUCAAGACUUUGGGAAUUGGGAAACCAAGACCCAUCUCUAUGAGAUUGAAAAUGGCUGAUCAUAUCGUGAAGAGGCCCUUUGGAGUGAUUGGAGAUGUUUUGGUUCGUGUUGAUAAAUUCAUUCUUCCGGCAAAUUUAUUCAUUCUAGAUUGUGAAGUUUAUUAUGAAGUGCCGAUUAUUAUUGGUAGACACUUCCUAGCUACGGGUAAGGCUCUUUGUGAUGUUGAAGCCUAAUAACUCACUUUCCGGGUUGGUGUGAAAAAGUAGUAUUCCAUGAGUGCAAGUCCUUGCGGAAACCGAAUAGCAAUGAGGUGUGUUCUUUUGUGGACUUGGUGACCGAUGCUAUUGUUGAUAAAACAAGUGCUACAAUAAAUGUUGGUGAUAUGUUGGAGGCCGUAUUGCUCAACUUUGAUGAUGACGAAAUGGAUGGCUUCAUGAAAUGUGUUAAACUCUUUGCAACAAAUGGGGUCGUACAACUAUGCACCUCGGAAAUUGUCUUUAGAUCUUGAAAAUAGGACAACUCCUCAUAUAAAGCCUUCUAUUGAAGAGCAUCCUACCUUGGAGUUGAAGCCAUUUCCUCCAGAUCUUUUGUAUGAAUUUAUUGUUCCUUGUUCGACUUUACCGAUUAUUCUUUCCUCUUGUUUCACUAACGUGCAGAUAGAUUCCACAUUGGCGGUGCUAUAAAAGAGGAAGAAUGAUAUUGGGUGGACCUUGGCGGAUAUUCGGGGGAUAAGCCCCGCCUUUUGCAUGCAUAAGAUCAAGUUGGAGGAUGGCACCAAACCAUAUAUUGAACAUCAAAGGAGACUCAAUGAGGCUAUGCAAGAACUUGUCAAGAAAGAGAUUAUCAAGUGGUUGGAUGUCCGGGUUGUUUACCCCAUCUCUAAUAGUUCAUGGACUUCUCCGGUUCAAUGUGUCCCAAAGAAAGGGGGGAAUGAUGGUGAUCACCAAUGACAAGAAUGAGUUGAUUCCUACAAGAACAGUGACCGGUUGGAGGGCAUGUAUGGACUAUCGCAAGCUCAAUAAAUUCACAAGGAAGGAUCAUGUUUCACUUCCUUUCUUAGAUCAAAUGCUCGAUAUAUUGACCGAUCGUGCUUUCUAUUGCUUUCUUGAUGGGUACUCAGGCUACAAAAAUUCUCAUUGCUCCAGAAGAUCAAGAGAAAACAAUAUUUACAUAUCCCUAUGGUACUUUGCUUUCAAGCGGAUGCCAUUUGGAUUGUGCAAUGCACCGGCGACUUUUCAAAGGUGUAUGAUGGCUAUUUUCACUGACAUGUUGGAGGAAUACCUUGAAGUUUUCAUGGAUGACUUCUCGGUGGUUGGAGAAUCUUUUGAUGAUUCUCUUGCAAAUUUGGACAUAGUGUUAGCUAGAUGUGAAGAAACAAAUUUGGUGCUCAAUUGGGAGAAAUGUCAUUUCAUGGUCAAGGAAGGUAUUGUUCUUGGCCACAAAAUCUCAAGGAAUAAAAUUGAAGUUGACAAGGAAAAAAUUGAGAUAAUUUCUAAGAUUCCACCCCAAACUUCGGUGACGGGUAUGCGGAGUUUCUUUGGCCACGUGGGUUUUUACCAGCGCUUCAUCAAAGACUUCUCUAAGGUUGUGAACCCGUUGUGCAAGCUUCUUGAGAAGGAUGCUAAGUUUCAUCUCAAUGAUGAUUUCAUGAGAGCUUUUGAAUUGUUAAAUCUCAAGUUGACAACUACUCUCAUCAUCACCACUCCAAAUUGGAGUGUGCCUUUUGAACUCGUGUGUGAUGCAAGUGACGUAGCGAUUGGGGCUAUUUUGGGGCAACACAUCAACAAAACUUUUCAUCCAGUUUACUAUGCUAGUAAGAAUAUUAAUAGUUCCCAAGUCAACUAUAUCGUUACGGAGAAAGAGCUCCUUGCUAUUGUAUUUGCAAUUGAGAAGUUACGUUCGUACUUGAUGGGUGCAAAGGUCAUUGUCCAUAUCGAUCAUGCGGCACUUCGUUAUCUUAUUAGCAAAAAGGACUCCAAAGCUUGGUUGAUGAGAUGGGUGCUCUUGUUACAAGAAUUUGACAUUGACAUCUAAGAUAGAAAAGGGUAGUGAAAACCAAGUGGCGAACCACUUGUCUCAUUUGGAGGAAGAGGGGAGGACGUGUGAUGGCCUUGAAAUUAAUGAAUCCUUCCCCGAUGAGCAACUCUUAGCAAUUUCAAUGAAAUAGGUGCCAUGGUUCACAGAUUUAGUAAAUUUUCUUGGGUGUGGAAUCAUUUCGGAUGAGUUCUCUUCAAGCCAAAGGAAGAAGCUCAAACGGGAUUGUCAAGAUUAUUAUUGGGAUGAACCAUACAUUUUCUGAAUUUGUACGGAUGGGGUGAUUAGAAGAUGUGUACCGGAAGAAGAGCAAGGUAAAAUUCUUAGGGCUUGUCAUUCUUCGCCAUAUGGUGAUCAUCAUGGUGGAGUAAGAACGACGGCCAAAGUGCUUAGUUGUGGUUUCUAUUGGCCUACUCUUUACAAAGAAACUAGUUAGUUAGUGAAAAGAUGUGAUGAAUGUCAACGGGCCAAUGAAAUCUCAAACAAAAAUGAAAUGCCUCUCACAACCAUUUUGGAGAUUGAUAUUUUCGAUGUGUGGGGUAUUGACUUCAUGGGCCCUUUUGUGAGUUCUUGUGGAAACAACUACAUUUUGGUCGCGAUGGAUUAUGUGUCCAAAUGGGUUGAGGCCAUUGCUUUACCCAAUAAUGAGGCGAGAAGUGUGGUGGCUUUCUUGAAGAAUUAUAUUUUCACAAGGUUUGGUACUCCACGUGCAAUUAUAAGCGAUGGGGGGUCACAUUUUUUGUAACAAGACUUUCGACUCUUUACUUAGAAAGUAUGGUGUUACUCACAAAGUCACGACUCCCUAUCACCCACAAGCUAGUGGGCAAGUGGAAGUCUCCAACCGGGAGAUAAAGAGUAUUUUGUCCAAAAUGGUGAAUGCUAAUCGGACGGAUUGGUCCAAGAAUCUUGAUGAUGCAGUAUGGGCUUAUCGGACGGCUUGCAAAAUACAUAUCAGAAUGUCGCCAUACCGGUUGGUGUUCGGAAAAUUUUGUCAUCUUUCGGUGGAACUAUAGCACAAGGCCAUGUGGGCUCUAAAAAUGUUGAAUCUUGAUUGGUAUGUAGCCACUAACUUGAGGGUUGUACAUUUGAAUGAAUUGGAUGAAUUCCGGUACCACGCUUAUGCGAGUUCGUCCUUGUACAAAGAAAAUAUGAAAUAACUUCAUGACAAAUAUAUUUGGAACAAAGAGUUCAAGGUAGGCCAUCUUGUAUUGUUGUUUAACUCAAGGUUGAGGAUGUUUCCCGAGAAGCUAAAAUCCAAAGGGGUGGUCCUUUUGACAUUGUGAGUGUGACACAUUUUGGUGCAUUAGACUUGAAGAACAAAAACAAUGAAGUAUUCCGAGUCACUGGUCACCGGGUGAAGCACUACUUGGGAAAGGUUGGAGAUAGCCACGUUGUGGCAGUCAUUCAUUUCACUUGAGGGUAUUCUGCGUCGUGCCAAAAUAUUAAAUCAGGCACUUCUUGGGAGGCAACUCAUGUUUCAUUUCCUUUUUCUUUUGUAGUUAGAUGUUAUUUUUUUUCUAACUUAAUUUGAAGUGUGCAACAAGAGUGAGUGUGACUUAGAAGAAUUGUGGACGAAAAUAUGGCUAAGUGCUCAAGAGAGUGCGGACCACACAUUUUUAUGUGCCAUAGCAGAUGACCAUUUCGUCGGUACAUUUCUCUUGCGGACCGCACAUUUGAAACAUGAAAACUACCAACUCUCUGAAUUUUAAUCUUGUCAGUGCAGAGGUCGAUCUGCGACCGCACCUAAAACUGUGCAGACCGCAUAUUGGUUUUUGAGAAUAAUCACCCAGGUGGUAGGGUGCAGACCGCACAUGAAAAUGUGCGACCGCACUUGUCUCUUCUCCCUUCUCAAAUUUUUGGGUAUAAAUAGAAUAGUGGUCCUCAUCUUACACUUUUCCCUCUUUGAACAAAACACUAUUACUCUGCAAAUGUUUCUUGGAGAUUUUCCCUGUCCACACACACAGCCACCUAGAUUACUCACUCAGUGCAUUCACUAUAUCUGGUAUCCCUCAAUUUCAUGUUAAUUUUUUAAGUUAGUUUAAUUUGUCAAUUUUUUAGUUCUUUUUAGGCCAUCUGUUAUUAGAGUUCCAUUGUGUGUCCAUGUGGGGUAGAUCUGAAUUCGGUUAACUUGAUACAUGCUCUAAGGGGACUGGGUUAGUGAAAUUUCAUGCUUUUACAAUGUUGUCAUGCCUAUUUAUGCAAGAAAUUAAAACAUCUUAGACUAAAAAAAGUUAUUUGUUCGUAAUGGUUUGAAUUCUGCGGUCAUACUUGAAUUGUGCGGUCCGCAGAUAUGAAUGUUUUAGACACUUAUGUGAGGCAGGAAUCUGCAGUCGCGGGUCAAAUUGUGUGGACUGCAGAUUUUCUCUUGCAGCCACAGAUUAGGCUUUUUUCUCUGUCAUCAGAGAGUCUUCACUUUUAAGACUCCAAGGUGUAGCCUCAAGGCAAAUUGUGCGAACCGCAGAAAUCCUCUUGCUGCCGCAGUUUGACCAUUUCUCUCUCAUCAUAGAGUUCACAAAUUUGGGGCUCAGAAGUGCGGUUGUAAUCCUAAUUGUGCGAACCGCACUUCCCUUCUACGGCCGCACAACACAAAUGUGCGGACCGCGAGUUCCCAUCUACGGCCGCAGGUCAAAUUAUGUGGAGCACAUAUCCCGUAUCCUGCAGGCAUGACUCAACUGUACAACCCCAUUGUGUCCUAUGGUUUCUCCCUUACCUACAUGUCUCAUGUAUGUAUUUGAACAAUGAAUUGCAACUAAAAAUCUCCUCUACUUGAUACAGGUACUGGUUCGAUCAAGCGGACGAGGAGACACUUCAAAAGGGAGAGGUGAAUCUGAUCGAGGUUAAGUGACGAGCGCAAAACACACACUUAAAUUUUGCUCGCUAGUAAAAUAUCAUAUAGUAUAAUAUCGUAUCCACAGGGAUUGAAUUUGAAUAGUAUUGUUGUAGUUCCUAUCUUGAUUGAUAUUCAAUAUGAUCAACAAUUGAGAUUUAUAUAAUUUCUAACAAAAAUUAACUAGGACUCUAAAGCUAUUGACUAAAGACAAUUGAAACAAAGAAGGUUAUCACCGAGGGAAAAUAGGAGUUGAUAGGAUAGGUGCAAGAUAAUUGUUUGGUAUCUAACUCUAGAUAAUUCACUUCUAAUGUUCAAGUGAGUCUCUCGAAUUCACUCAAUUAUUAGUUCAAACGUUCAGAAAAAACUCCUCUCUCGAUUAAGUCUUAACCUUACGAGAUGAACCAAUUUAAGCACGUGAAGAUAUGCAAGAAUACUUAGUGGAUUGGUCAUUAGGAAACUUUCUUUCGAUUAUUCUCAUAACUAGGUUUAAUCAAUGAUUCAACUAUCCUCUUUCGAUUACUAAGAAGAAUUAAUGAACUCAACCAACAAUAUAAUGCAAAGAUAUCACAAGUUAUGCCUCUCUCGAUUACAUGAACCAGUGAAUAUAGAUUCAAUAAUUAAAUCAUCCAAAAAUGCUUCAAUACAUAAAACUAGAGUAAUAAUCGAUAAACAAUCAUCAAUACACCAAAUCCAUCAAACCCUAAAGAGAACUACUCUAUAGAUAUAAAGCAAUUCAUCACAAAUAAGUUUAAAGUAAAGGAAAACAUAAAUUCAAUCCAAACUCGGGUAUUGAGUGAGGAAGUAAUGAUGAAAUCCUUGUGCUCGUGUUUUUCCAACUCCUCCUUAGACUCCUUAGGUCGAAUAUGUGUCAAAAGUUCAGAAAAUAAAUGUUUUCCAUGUAAUUAUAUCAAGUAGGGUCUGGUCCAAACGAAAUCACCUUUUCCUAGCCGAAAUAGGACAUUCACUCUGUAAAACUUGCAUAGGCGCGCCGCAUGGGCAACGCGCCAUGCAGGGCGUUAGUGGGGAAAUCCAUAGAGCUCAACAAUUCAAUAGGCAGCAAAAAUACACUGCUGCGUCGCACUAUGCCUCGCAUCCUGCGCCGCACUAGUGCAAAUUUCUCAAAGUACGGCUCAAAUCUUGUGUUUUGACAUCCAGACUUGGUCCUAGACCCCCAAACACAAUCCUGGCUUAAUCCCUUAGGCUUUUACUCAGACUUCAAAGAUCCAAUCGCUCGAAUUCAUUCCAUAACAUCUACAUAGCUCGGAAUCACUUCUACAAGGCAUAAAACACAUAAUAAGUGCAAAACACUAUCAAUUAAAACUCAAACACAAGUAAAGUGCAGUUAAUUAGAGUACAAUAAGUGACUAAAAUACGAGAUUAUAGCCUACCAUAAACACCCCACACUUAAACCAUUGCUCGUCCUCGAGCAAUCAAACUAUACUUCACAUAGACGCGACCUUUUUCAAUAACUCAUAACUCAUCACACCAGAAAUAUUUAAAACAGAUUAAGUACAAUACCAUAACAUCCUAGCCUCAAAAUUUUACUCAAAAGCACCACACAUUAUUUAUAACUCGCUCACUUACUCUAACACAGAGGUCAAGCAUCACCUUUCCUUCAUGAAUCAAGUGCCCUCAUACAACAAUAGAGAGUAGUUCCAUACGCAAUAAUAUUUUAGAGCAAUUAGGAACUCAAGAUAGAAAGAAUUUGCUCACUCUGAGAAACAACAUUCAUGUGCCACAAAAGACGUACCAGGCUUGCCCGUAGUGUACUGCUCUACUAAUUGAGCUCAUUCAGUCAAGGAUCAAGUAGGACUUUAUUUGGUUGUAAUGCAGGCUGCGGGACGGGUAGGAUACAUUUGGAUAUAAGAGUGACUACACCUCCCUAAUCACCUUAAUACAUACAUUGCAUUGUUCAAAACCCCACAUUUAUAUCAAACCAUAACUCCACCCUCACAUCAAUAUACAUUAACUUCCUACUUCUUUAAACACAAGUACAUCAAGAGUCACCACUAUCAACGAAUCUAAUUUUUCUUUUCUUUUCUUAUUAAAUUCAAGUGGCUCUUACUUUUUCAAAAUAGUGCACCUUUCUCUUUAUUUCAAUAGUUCCAUUCAAAAGUCAAACCAACCACCCCACACUUCAACUUUUACAAAGUUCAUAACAAAUUCAAGGUCUCACGAGAGGUAAAAGGUUCAAAUAGAUGGUCAAUUCAAACAAAUGGGUAAAGCUUGUAAUGUGGUUGCCAAAGAAACAAGAUUACAGGCUCAACGGGGUUAACUAAGAUACAUAACAAUUAGGUAGGUAAAAGCAUAUAGUUGGCUCAACAAAGAAAUGCCUAUAUCACUUCCAAGACUGAAUAAAACUACUAUUUCACUUUGCAAACACACGGGGCAAGUUCGAGACAUCAAAUGCAAUGCACAAAAUAACACAAAACCUCACACACACCUAGCACAUAACUCACUCAAGAUUGGAUUAUCAAGACACUCUAGUCAAAGAAGUUAAGAAAAGUUAAGAUCAUGCAAUUUAAGGUACUUAUACAAUAGUAAAAAUCUGAGCCAAAGCAUCACAACUAAAGCACUUACUAUUCUCAAGGUAUGAUAAAGUCAAGAUAUAUUGCCGUCCAUCUAAACCAUAGCACAAGGUUUGCUACUCCUAACAAAAAUAAAAACUAAUUACACCUGAUUCACACAAAACACUUAGAAACGAACCGCGACACAAAGAAAAACCAAUUGUGCCUUGUUACACUACCUAACAAAAGAUAAUCUUUUUUUCGUUUUUCCUUUGACUUUAAUCCCUCCAAAAAACUGUUGAAUGAUAUCCAUCAUCGGAAAAAAACAAAAAUAUUCCAAUUUUUAUGGGUUUUUCAAUUUUUUUCUAUCUCUAACUACUAAAACUAACAAAACAAAAAAAAAACUAAUAUACAAACGUACUGUCACGACCCAAAAUCUCACCCGUUGUGAUGGUGCCUAUCUCAAUACUAGGAAAGCCGACAAUCUCAAUUAACCACAUAUCUUUUAAAUUUGAAAACACAAUAAUUAAAUUCAGCAGAAGAAAUCUCACAAGUACAAAUAUAAACACUCCAAAAACCCGGUGUCACUGAGUACAUGAGAAUCUAAUAUGAAUACAAGUCUGGAAAACACAGUCUAUAAUAGUCUAAGACCAAAUACAGUAUAUAAGGAGAUAGGAAAGGAGAGACAAGGUCUCUGAAACACAACAGCUACCUCUGAAUCUCCGAAAAAUUAAUUGUGCGAAAGAAUCAAUACCCACUAUGUCCGGGAACACCUGGAUCUGCACAAGAAGUAGAGGGUGUAGUAUGAGUAUAACCAACUUAACAAGUAAUAAUACUAAAUAGGUACCUGCACUCACUGGGGUGUGUACAGACUCCAGAGGGGCUCCUACAACCCAAGCGCUAUAAUACGCACGGAUAACUCGCGUGUUUCACGGACAACUCACGUGCUAUAGUAUAAUAUAUGAAUCCGCACAGACAACUCACGUAUUGCACGGAUAACUCACGUGCUAUAGUAUAAUAUCUCACAAUCAGGCCCUCGGCCCCACUCAGUCAUAAAUCUCUCUAGUCUCUCGGACUCUUAAUAAUCAUGAAAAUCAGCCCAAACAACAAUGAUAUGAUGCAUCAAUAAUGGAUAAUAGAGACUGAGAUAAAAUAAAUAAGUAAACUGUGACUGAGUACAAAAUAAUAAUUUAGCAGAUAGUUCAACAUGUACACGACCUAUGUGGGUCCCUACAGAGCCAACACAUAAUCUAAACAUGAUCUGUAGUUCAAUUUCUCUACUACAUGAAGAAUGUAUAGAUAACAACAGAUUAUUCAACUACAAAGUUCCACGAAAUUUGACCAAGUCACAAUUCCUACGGUGCACGCCAACACGUCCGUCAACCUAGCAUAUGCAUCACCUCAAAACCGAUCACAUAACACAAAAUCUGGGGUUUCAUACCCUAAGGACCAAAUAUAGAACUGUUAGUUACGGAAAACUGUAAAAUUCUCUAUUCUUCUAUGCCCUUGCCUCGCGAAUCAGCCUCCAAAUGCCUCGAAUCUAGUCACAAAUAAUUUGAUUCAAUCAAUACAAAUUAUGGGAAUUAAUUCCAUAUGAAAAUACUAAUUUUCCAACAAACAUCCGAAAUUGCACUCAAAAUCUCCUGUGGGGCCCACAUCUCGGAACCCGACAAAAGUUACGGAAUAUGAACGCCCAUCCAACCACGAGUCCAACCAUACAAAUUUCACUGAAUUCUGUCAUCAACUCAACCCUCAAAUCUUCAUCUAAAGUCUUUGAAGAUUUCUACCAUUUUCAACCCAGUACUUACCCAUUUGAACUCAAUAAUCUUGCUACAAGCCUUAUUAAUCCCCCAUCUUUUACUCCAAACUCGAAAUUGAAGAAUUGGGAAAAGAAAUUAUUACCUCUUUGAAGCCCUAGCAAGAACCUUGUGAAAUCUUCAAGCUUUGAAUAAGAAUUGAUGAACAAUUGACUAGGUCUUCACUUUCUCUCUCUAAGAUUCUCUCACCACUGUCUAAAAUAUCAGUUUUUUUGCUCCAAAAGAGUCCCUUUGCCUCAAUAUAUCGAAAUAGGGUUGGGUAAAAAAUUAGAAAAAUUGAAGCCCCGACGUAGAUCUGCGGUCGCAUAUGUGACCGCAUAAUGCUUCUGCGGUCCGCAUAAUGGGCCGCAUAAUUGCCCUCUGGAACUGGGCGAAACUGACUCAGACUGCGGUCAACAUUUUCAACUUAAGUUCUAAACCUUGUAACUAAGUGUUCCAAAUCAUUCCCAAAUCUCACCGGACCCGAACUAAUCACCCUGGCAAGUCACAUAACAACUGUAAAACAUAAAUUGAGCAGUAAAUGGGGGAACGGGGUUGUAAUACUCAAAAUGAACGGCCGGGUCGUUACAUUCUCCCCCUCUUAAACAAACGUUCGUCCUCGAAUGGGUUUAGAAUUAUACCUGGAGUCUCAAAUAGGUGUGGAUAUUUGCUCCGCAUCUCCCGCUCAGUCUCCCAAGUAGCUUCUCCGACUGGCUGUCCUCUCCACUGCACUUUCACUGAAGCUAUGUUCUUUGAUCUCAACAUUCGAACCUGCCGGUCUAAAAUGUCCACUGACUCCACAUCAUAAGUCAAAUUACCAUCCAAAUGCACUGUGCUGAAAUCCAAAACAUGAGAUGGAUCCUCGACAUACUUCCGGAGCAUAGAUAUAUGAAACUCUUGAUGAACACUCGAUAGACUAGGCCACAAUACAAGUUCAUAAGCCACAUCUCCAAUCUUCUUAAGCACCUCAAACGGCCCAAUAUAUUGAGGGCUCAACUUGCGCUUCUUCCCGAACCUCAACACACCCUUCAUGGGCAAAAACUCGAGUAGAACCUUCUCCCCAACCAUGUAAGCAACAUCACAGACAUUCCGGUCGACAUAACUCUUAUGUCUAGACUACACCGUGCGAAGCCGCUCCUGAAUCAAUUUAACCUUCUCCAAAGCAUCCUGAACCAAAUCAGUACCCAAAAGCCUAGUCUCACCCGGCUCAAACCAACCCACCGGAGACCGACACCGUCUCCCAUAUAAAGCCUCAUAUAGAGCCAUCUGAAUGUUCGAUUGGUAUCUGUUAUUGUAAGCAAACUCUACUAGUGGCAGAAAUUGAUCCCAAGAACCCCCAAAAUCUGUAACACAAACGCGUAGCAUAUCUUCCAAUAUAUGAAUAGUGCGCUCAGACUGUCCCUCCAUCUGAGGGUGAAAUGUUGUACUCAGCUGAAUUUGUGUACCUAAUUCUCGUUGUACUGCUCUCCAAAACUGUGAUGUGAACUGCGUACCCCGAUCUGAAAUGAUGGACACUGGCACACCGUGCAGACGAACAAUCUAAUGGAUAUAAAUCUCAGCCAAUUGCUCCGAAGAAUAAGUAGUACCAACUAGAAUAAAAUACACAGACUUGGUCAACCGAUCUAUAGUCACCCAAACAACAUCAAACUUUCUCAAAGUCCGUGGGAGCCCAACUACAAAGUCCAUGGUAAUACGCUCCCACUUCCACUUCGGAAUUUCAAGUCUCUGAAGCAAUCUUCCCGGUCUCUGAUGCUCAUACUUCAGCUAUUGACAAUUUAAACACCGAGCUACAAACCCAACUAUAUCUUUCUUCAUUCGCCUCUACCAAUAGUGCUGCCUAAAAUCCUGAUAUAUCUUUGCGGCACCCGGAUGAAUGGAGUACUGCAAACUGUGAGCCUACUCGAGAAUCAACUCACGCAAACCAUCUACAUAAGGCACAUAUAGCCUACCCUGCAUCCGUAAUACACCGUCACCCCCAAUAGUGACUUCCUUGGCAUAACCGUACUGAACCGUGUCCUUAAGGACAAACAUAUGAGGGUGAUCAUAUUGACGUUCUCUAAUACGAUCAUAAAGAGAAGACUGAGAAACCACACAAGCUAAAACUCGGCUUAGCUCAGAAACAUCCAAUCAGACAAACUGGUUGGCCAAGGCCUGAACAUCCUAGGCUAAAGGCCUCUCUGCUACGGGUAAGUAUGCUAAGCUGUCCAAACUCUCCGCCUUACGACUCAUGGUAUCGGCCACCACAUUGGCCUUUCCGGGAUGAUAGAGAAUGGUCUGCACGAAAUACAUUCGGAAAGUCUCGCACUACCGGUACUGAAUCAAUAGUAGAGGUAUCUGCAUCAACGUUUAUCACAAAGGCCAAAUAUGACAUACACCCCUUCCCCGCCAUAUGUUAGGCUUUAAAAUAAGAAAUUACCAUGCUGGGAACAUAAUCUAGAGAACCUCUCCAUUCGACCUUUGGUAACCCCAGCAUUGCCAAUGUCACAGUUUUUGCGUGACAGUCUAGAAUAGCAUGAUAUGGAGACAACCAAUCCAUACCCAGGAUUACAUCAAAAUCAACCGUACUAAGCAAUAAGAGAUCAACUCUAGUUUGCAUUCCCCCAAUAGUUACCACACACGACCGAUACACACGGUCCACCAUAAUAGUAUCGCCCACCGGCGUAGAUACACAUACAGGUGAAACUAAGGACUCACGGGGCAUAUCAAGAUAAUGAGCAAAAUACGAUAGUACAUACGAAUAAGUAGAACCAGGGUCAAAUAAUAUAGAUGCCUCCAUGUGGCACACUGAGACAGUACCCGUGAUCACUGCAUCUGAGGCAACGACAUCUGGCCUGGCGGGAAAAGCAUAGAAUCGUGCUUGACCGCCACCUGAUCGGCCUCCCUCUCUUGGGCGACCCCUAACUGGCUGAGCCCCACCCCGAGCUGGCUGGGCGGGUGGUGUAACUGCUGGUGUUGGUGCCGUCGUCCAAGAACUCUGUUGUGGAGCCCCACUCAACAGCGUAGAAAAAUCUCUCUUGAAAUGACAAAAUUCUCCGCACUCGAAACAACCCCUCCUCUGACGGAACUGCUGCUCAUGAUAACCCGAGGAAUUAUCUAUCGAAUCCUGGGCGGACGAGGCAUGAUGAGAACUCUGUGCUCGUAGUUCACUAAAUGAAGACUGGCCUGAGUGAGAACAGUAAGAACUGUGGCUAGCUGAUGCACCACGAUGAGCUGGACGAGUCGUCUGAGUGGGCCUAUAAGGGCGACCCCUGCUGUGGUAGAACUGUCCCCCAGAAGGUAUCCCACCAAAACCUCCUAAACCACGAGGCCUCUUGGCCUCCCUGUGACCACGCUCCUGGCUACGGACCACCUCAUCAAAAGUGGCACCAGAUACCCUCUCCCUAGUCAUAAGAAACUGUAGUUGAUAUGUUACGACAACAAUGAACCUCCCAAUCCUCGCCCUAUCAGUGGGAACCAACCAAACUGCAAGACGAGCCAAUUCAGAAAACCUUAUCUCGUACUGGGUCACAAACAUGCCAUCCUAUCAAAGCUGCUCAAAUUAUCUGCACAGCUCCUCCCUAUGAGACUGCGGCACGAACUUCUCCAAAAUGAAAAUAGAGAACUCAUACCAUGUAAGUGGUACUGCACCAACCGGCCUGCGCCUCUCAUAAGCCUCCCACCAUCUGAAGGCAGCCCCAGAAAACUGAAAAGUAGUGAACGAGACGCCCACUGGUCUCCAAAAUACCCGUUGUCCGAAGCAUCUGCUGGCUUUUAUCCAGAAAACCCUGAGCAUCUCUAACUCAGCACCGCUAAAUGAUGGAGGUCGAAGCCUCCCAAAUCUCUCAAGUCUCCUCUGCUCAUCAUCUUCCAUAACUGGACUAUCGGGGCCUGAGCAGCUGUAAUCGACUGGGCUGGUAGUGCCCCAGGUAUUUGAAAUCCCUGCGCCACCUGCUCUGGAGUACGGGAAACAGGGGUAUGAGUACCUCCCCCAGCCUGAGAAGUGGUUGGUGCGGCCUGAGCCAAAACCACUUGAGCAAGGCCAGUGUAAACUAUCAAUAUCUGAGCCAAUGCCUCUUGUAGGCCUGGAAUCACAUUGGGCACAGCUGGUGCCUGAGCGGGUCCCGCAGGCUCAACUACAUCUAGAAUCUGCUCCUGAGCUGGAGAAACUGGUGGUGCUACAUGUGCUGCUCCAAUUGAUGUACGAGCGACACCUCAACCUCGACCUCUACCUCGGCCCCGGCCUCUCAUGGCCCUAACUGGUGGCAAUGGUUGCUCACCGUCCAAUCCGGUAGUACGUGUUCUCACCAUCUGUGAGAGAAUAGAAUAACAUAAUUUUAGUUUUCUAGAAUCAACAAGUUUGCACGACCGAAUAUAGGAAAGUUAAAUUUUCCUAAGGAUUCGACAGCCUCUCGAAAAUAAGUACGGCCGUCUGCGUACCGAUCCGUAAGACUCUACUAAACCAACUCAUGAGUCAUGAGACCUAUGUAACCUAGGCUUUGAUACUAACUUGUCAUGACCCAAAAUCUCACCCGUCGUGAUGGCACCUAUCUCAAUACUAGGCAAGCUGAUAAUCUCAAUAAAUCACAUAUCUUUUAAAUUUGAAAAUACAAUAAUUAAAUUCAGCGGAAGAAAUCUCACAAGUAUAAAUAUAAACACUCCCAAAACCCAGUGUCACUGAGUACAUGAGCAUCUAAUAUGAAUACUAGUCUGGAAAAUAUGGUUUAUAAUAGUCUGAGACCAAAUACAAUAAACAAGGAGAUAGGGAAGGAGAGACAAGGUCUGGGAAACAUGGCAGCUACCUCUAAAUCUUUGGAAAAUCAACUGUGUGAAGGAAUCAACACCCACUAUGUCCGGGAACACCUGGAUCUGCACACAAAGUGCAGGGUGUAGUAUGAGUAGAACUAACUCAGCAAGUAACAAUACUAAAUAAAGAACUGACAGUAGUGACGAGCUUCACAGCUGAGUCCAAUUAUAGUAAUUUCCAACAUAAUAAGGUAGGCAUGCCUUCAAGUUCAACAUUUAAGACCAAAAAAUUAAUUUCAUGACAGUGAUAUCUCUCAGAAAUUUCAUGAAAUCAAUUGCAUCCUCUCAGGACCACAGUCACUUAGCCAUUCCAUCCGCUCAGCACUCGCACUCAGUAGGUACCUGCGCUCACUAGGGUAUGUACAGACUCCAGAGGGGCUCCUACAGCCUAAGCGCUAUAAUCCGCACAGACAACUAACGUGUUAUAGUAUAAUAUCUCACAAUCAGGCCCUCGGUCUCACUCAGUCAUAAAUCUCUUCAGUCUCUCGGGCUCCUAAUAAACAUGAAAAUCAGCCCAAACAACAAUGAUAUGAUGCAUUAAUAAUGGCAAUAGAGACUGAGAUAAAAUAAACAAGUAAACUGUGACUGGGUACAAAAUAAGAAUUUAGCAGAUAGUUCAGCAUGUACUUGACCUAUGUGGGUCCCUACAGAACCAACACAUAAUCUAAAGAUGAUUUGUGGUUCAAUUUCUCUACUGCAUGGAGAAUGUACAGAUAACAACAGAUUAUUCAACUACACAGUUCCACGAAAUUUAACCAAUUCAUAAUUCCUACGGUGCAUGCCAACACGCCCGUCACCUAGCAUGUGCGUCACCUCAAAACCGAUCACAUAGCACAAACUUCGGGGUUUCAUACCCUCAGGACCAAAUUUAGAACUGUUAGUUACCGCAAACCGUGAAAUUCUCUAUUCUGCUAUGCCCUUGCCUCAUGAAUCGGCCUCCAAACGCCUCGAAUCUAGUCACAAAUAAUUCGAUUCAAUCAAUACAAAUUAUGAGAAUUAAUUCCAUAUGAAAAUACUAAUUUUCCAACAAAAAUCCGAAAUUGCACUCAAAAUCACCCGUGGGGACCAUGUCUUGGAACCCGACAAAAGUUACGGAAUAUGAAUGCCCAUCCAACCACGAGUCCAACCAUACAAAUUUCACCAAAUCCUGUCAUCAACUCGACCCUCAAAUCUUCAUCUAAAGUCUUCAAAGAUUUCUACCAUUUUCAACCCAAUCCUUACCCAUUUGAACUCAACAAUCUUGCUACAAACUUUAUUGGUACAAGCAUGAAUAAAUAAUACUUGUACACUCAAGAAUUAUACUCUUAAUCUGCCAUCUUUUACUCCAAACUCAAAAUUGACGAAUUGGGGAGAAAAAUUCUUACCUCUUUGAAGCCCUAGCAAGACCCUUGUGAAAUCUUCAAGCCUUGAACAAGAAUUGAUGAACAAUUGACUAGGUAUUCACUUUCUCUCUCUAAGAUUCUCUCACCACUCUCUAAAAUAUCAGAUAUUUGUUCCAAAAGAGUCCCUUUGCCUCAAUAUAUCGAAAUAGGGUCGGGUAAAAAAUUAGAAAAAUAGAAGCCCCAACAUAGAUCUGCGAUCGCAUAAUGCUUCUGCGGUCCGCAUAAUGCGCCGCAAACCUGAUCCCUAAAACUUGCCUUAACUGCUUCAUUCUGCAACCAUUAUGCGGUCCGCAGAGUGAUUCUGCGGCCGCAUAGUGGGAAGCAUAAAUGUAUUUUCCUGCUCGAAAUUUUCUUUUACUCACCAGCGCUGAAAUGUAUUUUCCUGUCCGAAAGUUUCUUUUACUCGCAAGCUGGCCGCGAGAAAUUUCUACAACCUUAGUAAUAAUUAAUCUACCUCGGUACCACAAAACCUUAAUUUCCUUAGCAAACAUUCUCUAGGGUCGUUACAUAUAAGUCAACCUCCGGUCAACCUUUUCAACUUAAGUUCUAAACCUUGGAACUAAGUAUUCCAAAUCAUUCCAAAACCUCAGCGGACCCGAACUAAUCACCCUGGCAAGUCACAUAACAACUAUAAAGCAUAAAUUGAGCAGUAAAUGGGGGAACAUGGUUGUAAUACUCAAGUUGUGGCAUGUGCCCAUGACACACAAUUGUCCCCGGCCGGGUCGUUACACAUACAUACAACAUAUCCCCCACCCCACACUUUAAGUUAUGGUAUGUCCCCAUGACACACAAUUAAAAAUCAUAAGGUAAAGGAAACUUCCCUUGCUCACUGUAGCCUUCUCUCUUGAGCCCUUCACUUUCCACUCAACACUUGUAGUUGGUUUGUCCUUUUGUGUCCCCUUUGCUAUAUUCAUCUCAAAAAUCACAAUAUCCUCACCCACUCUAAGCAUGAGUAUUUUCUCGUGUAUAUCCAAUAUAGCUCUACCCGUUGCUAAGAAUGGUCUUCCUAGGAUGAGGGGGACCUCGUUUUCCUCCAUUUUCACCAAUAUAAAUUCUACAGUAAAUACGAACUUAUCCACUCGAACUAACACAUCUUCUACUAUCCCCUCGAGUAUUAAAGUCAUUUGGUCUGCCAGUUGUAAAGAUAUUGGCAUCGACCUUAUCUCUCCAAUAUCCUUCUCCAGUUUCCUGUAAAUAGAUAGAGGCAUUAAACUAAUUGAGGCACCAGAAUCACAUAAGGAUUUAUCAAACUUAAUAGUGCCUAAAGAGCAAGGUAUAGUAAAACUCCUUGGAUCUCCACACUUUUGUGGGAGUUUGUUUUGCAAUAUCGCGCUUCAAUGCUCUGUGAGCUUCACCAGUGAAGUAUCCUCUAUCUUCCUCUUCUUUAUAAGGAUCUCAUUCAUGAAUUUGGCGUAAGCAUGCAUUUGUGAGAGCACUUCUAUGAAUGGAAAAUUUACAUGAACCUAUUUUAGCACAUCUAGAAAUCUCCUAAACUGCUUGUCCAGCUUUUCUCUAUAUAGCUUUUGAGGAAAAGGUAAAGCAGGCAUAUGCUCGCUCUCAUCAUGUUCCUCCCUUCUUAAUUUUUCUUCCAUCUUAUUCUUCUCAGUUUUCAUCGAGCCUUUCUUAUUUUUAUCAAUAUCAUUCUUCAGCUACUCCCCACUUUCGUUUUCAUGUAUCGCAUCCUUUUGGAUCGGGGUGGGAUCUUUCAACACUUGCCCACUUCUCACAUUUACAGCAUUCACUGUUUCUUUAGGAUUUCUCUCAAUAUCAGUGGGGAGAGUUCCUGGAUCCCUCUUAGAUAAUAUUGUUGCAAUCUGCCUAACUUGUCUCUCCAGGUUCCGAAAAGAUGUGCCCAACUCUUUGAUAGCUACUCCAUGAGCGUCCAGCCUCUCAUCUGUCUUGAUAAUGAAGGCCUUUAAUAGAUCCUCUAGACCUGACUGAAUGGGAUGUUGAGGCUGAAAUUAUUGCCUCUACUGAUUUUAGUAUGCUGGAGCUCCUUGUCCCUGCAGUCUAGAGUUAUUUUGUUACCAAGCAUUCACGGUACCUCCAGGUGAACUCCAUGAAAAUUCGGGGUGCCUCUAACCCAUUGUAUUGAAACUGUAGUUUCCCACAACAUUUACUUUCUCAGUUGAGGCUUGACACUCAUGAAUAGGGUGUCCUCUUCCACAUAUAUCACAAACUAUAUGAGGCUCAUUUUGUAUCGAGGCUAAGGUCAGCUUCCGUAUUUCUUAGCCAUAGCAUCCAGUUGUACCUGCAUAGAUGUAUUAGCAACAACUUGGUGAAUACUAGUUGUUCUUCUUCUUUCAACACUCUCAGAGGGCCACUGAUUUGCAUCUUUAGAUAACUCAUCAAGAAUUAUAACUAUCUCCUCUGGAGUCUUCUUCAUCAAUGGGCCUCCAGCUGCAUUGCUCAAUGUUCUACGUGAGGCUGGUGUCAAUCCAUCCCUAAAGUCCUAGAGUUGCAUUCAGAGUCCAAUUCUGCUAUGUUGAUGCUUUCGAAUAAUCUCUUUAAACCUCUCCCAUGCUUCAAAAAUAGUUUCCGUAUCAAUCUGGUAGAAGUUAUGGAUUUAUCUUCUAAACUUGCUCGUUUUAGUAGAGGAGAAAUAUUUAUCAAGGAAUUUUCUAGUCAUCUUCUCCCAAGUUCUAAUGGAUCCCGUGGGUAAGCUUCGAAGCCACUGUUUUGCAUCAUCUUUGAGUGUAAAGGGGAAUGCCCUCAAGUACACUGCAUCUCGUGAUACACCAUUGUAUUGAAAGGUGUUCAUAAUCUCUUCGAAGUCCAUCAUAUGUGUAUUUGGAUCUUCGUUCAUCUUCCCUAUGAGGACACAACAAUUUUGAAGGGUUUGAAGCAACCCUUGCUUCAACUCGAAAUUAUUUGCUGUAAUUGGAGGUGGUCUCACACUUGAUAAUCCUUGAUUGUAGACCAGUCUAAUAUAAUCACCAAGAGGUCUUCCUUGUAUGGGAGCUAUAUUUUCGAACUGGUCCGCACCCAAAGGUUGAUUUUGAGCAAUUCUCUGACCCCUUACUUCUCCAUAGAUAAUUUGUGCAUCUCUGAUAGUUUCUUCCUCAGCAUCCCGUGCAACUUGUUAUCUUUGUUAGGUUGCCUCUCUUGCAUCCAAAUCUAUAUUAUCAUCACCGUUUCCAGCCAUAAGUUCUUUGGUCGAGGAUUGCCCAACCUUUUCUGAUGUCUCGGUGAGAUUUCUCUCCUUCCUCAAUUGUCGCAGUUGUUUUUCUACCUUUGGCUCGUAUGGUAGAACUUCUUUAGCAGAAGCUCGAGUCAUGUACCAAUCUAAACCUGUAACCUGCACACAGUCAAAGAACACCAACCGUAAAAAGAGAAAAAUAAAAUUAAAUAAAAAGAACAAAAUCAUGAAUUAGCACUACAAACUAUUUCAAAUGCACACUAUUAAUCCAAUAGCACAUACAGGGAACCAGGAAAAAAUAAAAGCACAACACUUUGGUUCUGAGGGAAAUCACCCAGUCAAAUACCAUGCUCAAGUUGUUAUUGAGGGGGGAAUGGUGAGGCUGGUUUUUACUAACAUGGUUUGUUCUUUUGCAGGAAACGAUAGUGUACUCAUCCCUUGCCAUUUACUAUGACUUCCAUGGGUGGUUGUAGCACUAUGUGCUCAUUCCCUAUAAGGAGGAGUGAUGGCAAGCACAAGCAUGGGAACGAAAUAUAACGGCAAAAAGCUAAGAAAUCGCCAAUACAGUGGCUAUUUUUGGCGAAGAUUUCUGGGCAAUUUGGAAACAAAGUAGAACAAAAUAUCAGUGCAACACUAUAAUACAAUAGCUCAUAAUCCAAAACUUGCAAAGAUAUCAAUAAGAUUCACAAGGCAAGCACACGAAAUUGUAGGCAAAAUCUGGACUGCUGAGCACUUUUGGACAGUACACUCGCGAGGGCUCUUUUAGCGAAAUAUUUCGGGCACAAUGGGUAUAAAAUGGGCUAAAUUAUUGAUGCAGCAUGGGAGAAGGAAAACCAAGAUCGAAUUCAUUCAAAGGUUUCAAGAGAUAAUAGAGGGAGGUCACGCAAAAAAGAUCGCAAACAUAGUGCACUUGCAAGUUUCUGGGCAGAGCACAUGCUUAAAAUUUUGCGAGCCUCGGGUAAUUUUUGUAGAUGUUGUAAUGACACUUUAUGGAGCAUGCAUGGACAAACAAUUCAAAUGAUGCUACAACACCAAUGGAGGGUGGCUCACAUCACCAUUUUUUGGGCAGUGUCUAUUUUUUGGCAAAUGGAAAUUGGCUAUUUGUGCAAGCAGCGUAACUGAGUAGUGGCUUUCAAUGAAUAUGGCUAUUUUUGCAAACAUCGGAUCUUGCAACUGGACGCUAAAUAUAAUGAGCUUCAAGGGCUAGAUCUUAAGUAUAAAAGCUACAUUAGAUUUCAUGUGCUAUCAUUGUUGAGCAUUUUACUCAACUUUGAUAAUAGGCUAUAUGUAGUUUGCAAAGUUUAUUUCUUUCAUUUCUUAGGAUUUCAUGAUACUUNNNNNNNNNNNNNNNNNNNNNNNNNNNNNNNNNNNNNNNNNNNNNNNNNNNNNNNNNNNNNNNNNNNNNNNNNNNNNNNNNNNNNNNNNNNNNNNNNNNNNNNNNNNNNNNNNNNNNNNNNNNNNNNNNNNNNNNNNNNNNNNNNNNNNNNNNNNNNNNNNNNNNNNNNNNNNNNNNNNNNNNNNNNNNNNNNNNNNNNNNNNNNNNNNNNNNNNNNNNNNNNNNNNNNNNNNNNNNNNNNNNNNNNNNNNNNNNNNNNNNNNNNNNNNNNNNNNNNNNNNNNNNNNNNNNNNNNNNNNNNNNNNNNNNNNNNNNNNNNNNNNNNNNNNNNNNNNNNNNNNNNNNNNNNNNNNNNNNNNNNNNNNNNNNNNNNNNNNNNNNNNNNNNNNNNNNNNNNNNNNNNNNNNNNNNNNNNNNNNNNNNNNNNNNNNNNNNNNNNNNNNNNNNNNNNNNNNNNNNNNNNNNNNNNNNNNNNNNNNNNNNNNNNNNNNNNNNNNNNNNNNNNNNNNNNNNNNNNNNNNNNNNNNNNNNNNNNNNNNNNNNNNNNNNNNNNNNNNNNNNNNNNNNNNNNNNNNNNNNNNNNNNNNNNNNNNNNNNNNNNNNNNNNNNNNNNNNNNNNNNNNNNNNNNNNNNNNNNNNNNNNNNNNNNNNNNNNNNNNNNNNNNNNNNNNNNNNNNNNNNNNNNNNNNNNNNNNNNNNNNNNNNNNNNNNNNNNNNNNNNNNNNNNNNNNNNNNNNNNNNNNNNNNNNNNNNNNNNNNNNNNNNNNNNNNNNNNAACUCGGGUCUUGAGUGAAGAAGGAAUGAUGAAAUCCUUGUGCUCGUGUUUUUCCAUCUCCUCCUUAGCCUCCUUAGGUCGAACAUGUGUCAAAAGUGCAAAAAAUAAUAUUUUUUCCAUAUAUUUAUAUCAAGUAGGGUCGGGCCCAAACGAAAUCACCUUUACCUAGCCAAAAUAGGACAUUUACUUUGUAAAUAUUGCACAGGCGCGCUGUAUGGGGCGACGCGCCAUGCGGGGUAUUAGUGGGAAAAUCUAGAGAGAUCAACAAUUCAACAGGCAACAAAAAUACACUGUUUCAUCACACUAUGCCUCGCACCCAGCGUCGCACUAGUGCAAAUUACUCAAAGUACGGCUCAAACCUUGUGUUUUGACAUCCAGACUUGGUCCUCGACCCCCGAACACGAUCCCGGCUAAAUCCCUUGGGCUUUUACUCAAACUUUAAAGCUCAAAAUCGCUCGAAUUUAUUCCAUAACAUCUACAUAGCUCAGAAUCACUCCUACAUGGCAUAAAACACACAAUAAGUGCAAAAACACUAUCAAUUAAAGAUCAAACACAAGUAAAUUGCAGUUAAAUAGAGUGUAAUAAGCAACUAAAAUACGAGAUUAUAGCCUACCAUCAUCGAGGAAAAAGUACCUUGCCCUUUGUCCAGCCCAAGACAAUAAGAAAGAAAAUAAUAGUCGGCAGAGGGAGAGGUGCAGACCUCUCUGAGUCUAUCUCCUAUAUCCCAUCUAGGGAGGUGUCAGAGGGAAACUCAGCCUUUAUUCAAGAGGAGUAGACGGCCACCCAGUCGAGGCCGCAGUGGUGAUACCAGCUCAGGGAUGAUCCGUCUUCAUGUCACAGCACCUACGAGAGGUCGGAGAGUGCUAAUCAGGCUUCUUAGCCAUCGGCUACACCAGUCCCUGAGGCACAGGUUACACAUGAUAUCCCCGAUGAUGGCAGAGGGGGAGAUGCUACAACUACAGGGCUUGAGAGAUCAAAGAAGAAAGAGGUUUGGGAGGAUUGCUUUGUUUGCUUGGCCGCUUUUACCAGUUUCCGUAUGUGGUGGCCAGUGAGCUCGCUAACUCUUGAGCGACAGUUUCUGUUAAAUGAUUUGGAGAAAUACAACCCAACUAUAUUGAGACAGUUCAUGGCACGAAAGGGGUGGAUGUGGUUCACCGAGAAAGUAGACGAUGCCAAAUAAUACCUUGUUUGAUAAUUAUAUGCCAAUGUGGCUCAUAUAAAGAAAGGUACGAAGGUGACCAAAGUACGCAACCUCAAGGUGAGAUUUGAUCAGCAUACGCUAAAUACGUAUUUGGGCUUCAAAGAUUUUGAGCUGAAGGAAUAUCUGGAGAAGUGCGCACUAAAGGAUGAAGUCCGACCUUGGUUGGCUAAGAUUCUAGCACCACCAGGGCCACCGCCACCAUGGAUCACUGCUGGGGUUCCCAUCCACCGGAACACCCUAAGUUUUGAGGCAAAGAGGUGGCAAACCUUUGUCUACAACAGACUAGAUCCAAGCCAGAACCAGAUUCACCUCCCUAUCCCUCGAGCAGUGCUUGUGGCUUCCAUCAUGGUCAGCUACCCAAUCAAUGUGGGUGUCAUGAUGUCGGCCAACAUUUUAGUGAUUGCACGGUAGGACAGCUCAUCCUACCCUUAUCCCAUCACUAUCACAGAGUACCUCACCUAUGCAAAGGUAGAGCCGAGGGAUUUUGACACCAAGGUGAAACCAAAGAAACCAUUCGACUGGUAUUCUCUGAUGGAUGCGAGCAACCCAAAGAAGAAAGCACAGCCUUCUACCACCGUAGGCCAGUCUAAUGAGCUAAUAGUGGUAGCUUCUGAGGCAGUUGAUCUUCCAUCCACCUCUGCUAAGCCUUCUACCAGUGCCACUGCUAUGACUCCACCAUCAUCUUCAACUCCCAUAUCUGCUCUGCUAGUCUCCCAAACAUUGGCGAGUCUCAACAACUGGAUGCAGAUAGCUACUUCUAAGUUGUCUGACUUAUCUAGUACUGUUACAAUGCAGUCCACUUCUCAGGCACCAUAGUCUCCUUCUGACAUUGAUGAUACAGUGAAGAAAAUUUUGGAGAACCAGAAGACGAUCAUGGAUAACUUGGUAUGACACUGGUCAGUGAUUAAGAAGUUGGGAAAGGAAGUAAAGAAGAGGAGGAAGUCCUAGGUCAGCAAGAAAUCAGUGGAAAAGCUCUGUAAGGAGGUGACUAGACUUGCUAUAGCUGGCGACCUUCUCUUUGACAUGCUGCUUGACCCGCACCAGUUCGCCCCAGAUCCUUCAACACCAUCUGCAUCGGUAGCACCAACUGGCCAGUCUGACGAUCCAGACCAUGAUGCAGACACUAUUGAGGCAAUGCAUGAGAUGUUCGCCAACCCAGCCAUACCUAGAUUUGAUGAUGAUGUGACUCAGUUGGCUGAUCCUGAGGGAGAUGACAUUGUCAGGGACACUGAGAUGUCCAAGGAUCCAUAGGGAGUUUUUUUCACCCUCUCAUUUUUUUACUCUUAUUUUGCUAAGCAUUGGGGACAAUGCUUACUUUUAUUUGGGGGGUAGAGUUUAGUUGACACAUUGGUACACUUUGAUACAUUUGGUCUGUAAUAAUUUGACGAUACUCUUUCUCUUCUUAUUUGUAUUUAUCUAGCUUCUCUCUCUUCUCUUAUGUAUAUUUAUCUCUCUUUAGUAGUUUUUGCGUAUUAGCUUCUAUAUUAUUUCCAUAUUAGCUCGUGUUUUGUUAAGUAUCUUCUUUUUAUGCUUUAGUAGAUAAUAAGCCUUUGGUUUUCUUAACGCCAUGGUUCUUUCCAAAGAAAGUUGUGUGAACUGGUUUACUUGUCCCAACGAUGGAUAGCGUGACAACCUUCUUAAGGGAAUGAGUCUAUUUUUGUGUUUAGGUAAUAAUAAUAGUAGUAAUGAAUAAAAGACCAAAUCUAGUCGUGCUCAAAGAGUCAAUCAUGCUUCAAUUGGUACCAACACACUUAACUACAUGUUUAUGGUUAGAGACAAGGUUUUUGAAAGAAAUAGCUCUAGUUAGUGGCUUUGUGACUCUUGAGUUGACUUUGGUAAUCAUCGAGUGAUUUAAUUGGACCAUGGUGAUCUUUAAACUUAAAUGUGGUCGUUGUAGGCUCUCGACUCUAUCCUCUUUUACUAUCUAGUUGUGUGAGGGGUGAGAUGAAUUGUUGCAAGUACAAGUAUCCGUGCGAAGGGUCUAGAACCUGUCCCGAAUGUGUUUCAAGGCGAAAUCCUAAGUUUUGCUUGGUUUGAGAAGUUAUUGUAGGGUUUCCUUGGCCCGUUUGAGCUUUCUAUUACCAACCAAUAUCGUUAUCCCAAGUCAACCCAUUUGAACCUCUAGCCUUUUGUCAUUUGAUAACCAUGUUCUCUGUCUUUUCCCCGUUUUGUCGUAACCCUCUCUUGGCACCCGAACUUUUCUUAACACUCCUGUGAAACACGUAGCUUAAAACAUAAGUUUAGGGGAGAGAUGAGGAGUUUGAAAAUGUAUCGAGGCACAGAAAGAGAAAAGAAACGAUCUCCAUGAAAGAGAAGGCAAGAAAAGAUAAGAACAAAAAGAAAACUGCAGAACAUGAAUAAGUGGAAGGGUUGGUGGAUUCAAAAAAAAGAGGUAAUGAUCCCUAGCAUGAGAAAUCAAAAAAGGAUAAAAAGAAUGAAAUUAACAAAAAAAAAGAGUGACGUUAGUCCCCAAUGAAAAAAAAUGCCUCUAAGAAUUGGUAAUUGUGAUCCGAGAAAUGAAAAUGUAGAGUGCUUAAGUAAAGGUGUAACCACUUACCCAUAUGGUAUCCUACUCUAAUCCAAAAGCCAUCAUUACAACCCGAAAUAAGUCCUACUUGAUUUCAAAUUAAGUGACCAUACAUUAGUGGCAAUCUACAUGAGGGCAAGCCUAUGGUACUUGAAGCUGUACUUGUGACAUUCUCUUGUGAGAGACAGGUGAACCUUUCAUGAAUCUUAAGAUUGAGUGCUAAUUUCUUAAGUGAUCUUGGCAAAUGGAAAGUAGAGGAGGAAGUGUUUGGAGUCCACCAUGACCUACAUGAUAGAACAAGAGUCAUUGAUGAGUAAAGUCAAUUUUUGAAGCUCAAAUAUCACAUUAGAACUAUAUGUGCAUGAAUAUUUGACUUGUCACCUUGUUGAUAAUACAUGAGUAGUGUGGGUAAUUGUUGAUCCCAAAUGAUGUGUGACUAGCUCACCUUUGACUUGGUGAAAUGACCCUUAACUCUAGGAGGUGGGGACCAAUUUAUUUGCUUAAGGACAAGCAAAGACUUAAGUUUCGGAAAGUUGAUAAGUGGGAAUUUUGACUACUUAUUAGCACUUUUUUGCUUUGUUUUAGUCUGAAAGUGUUGCUUUAUGUCCCCGAAACUAAUGAAAGUGUGCAAAUUACAGGAAUGUUGGAAGCUUGUUCUCGCAUGAUGAAAUCUGACACAAAAAGGAGUGUUUCGAAUCACAAGGCAAGAAAGGGGCAUAGAACUAAAGAAGUAUGGUCCGCAGAAUUCUAUUUGCGGCCGCAGAUCAAGUGAAAGAGACCAACAAGAACUUGGCCAAUGUGCGGCCGCAGAAUAAGGUCUACACUGACAAAUGAUUCAAAGUUCAGAGAGUGUUCAAAAGACCAAGUCCUGAAGCCUUGUUGAAGUGCGGACCGCACAAGAAUUGUGCGGCCGUAGAAGAUGCUUCACAGCCGCAAUCCAUAAUUGUGCGGCUGCAGAAUCCAAGAUCUUUCCAACUGAAUAAAUCUUCGUACCGCACAUAGAAUUGUGCGGCCGCAUAGCCUCCCAAGGGGAAUUAUUGUGAGCGAAUUUUGGGCCACUAUAAAUAGACGAGUUUCACAUUUUUAGGUCAUGUUUCGAAGUUUAAACUGUUGUAGCCGUUACAUUUUUUCCAUAUUAGGAAGUUUGUGACUAUUUUAGUGUUUAAAUAUUACAUUUUAUCAUUUUAAUUUUAGAUUAUGAGUUAUAAUUAGCAUUUCUUCUUUAUUUUCUUCAAUUCUCACUAUGAGUAGCUAGAUUCUAACUAGGGUUGUGACCCAACCCUAGUGUGUAAACCUUGUGAGUAUUUAAUUUAAUGUUUGUUUAUGAUUGGGUAUUGAUUAUUUAUCUUAGUUUAUGCUCUAAUUUUAGAAUUAAUGGUUGCAAACAUUGAUUCAUGCCUUUUUGACUUAGUCUCUACUUGAGAAAGAGGGACCUAGUCUAGGAUAACUUGGCUAACAAGGAAUUGGGCUAAUUGAAGGUCUGAUUAGCCUAUUUAAAGGGUUCAAACUAGAGGUAGUGAGAACCUAACUUGAGCUCAUAUCAACUAUUUUGUUUGAUACCCAUUUGAACUUGAGAAAGCCAAAUUGGGCAAAUCACUCUUUGAUCGAGAGGUAUUGAGUAAGUAACGUAGAGUUGAGAGCUAUAAUACACCCCAAUCAACAAAAUAAGUAUUAACGUAUUUAACCCAUUAGGCGAACACCUAGGUUAUGGUCACAUCCCAAGGCUUUUUAAUUAUUUGAAAAAAAUACCAAAAACAAUCAUUCGCUUGUAGUUUCUUUUCUUAGCUUAUAAUUGCUAGAGUAAAAUUAGAAUUAGAAAUCAAAACCUUUUGUGGAAGUUAAAUUUAGUUAUUCCAUUCACUUUCGUCAAGUGUAUACUCUUAACACCCAUGUAACUCCCUAUGGAAAUGUAAUGACCCGACGGGUCAUUUUGAGUAUUACAACCUCGUUCCCCUAUUUAAUACUCAAUUUAUACUUUGCAGUUGAUAUAUGGCUUGCCAGGGUAAUUGGUUCGGGUCCGGUGAGGUUUUGAACUGAAUUGAGACACUUAGUCUCCAAGAUGAAAACUAAAGUUGAAAAGGUUGACCGGAUAUUAACUUAUGUGUAAAUAACCCCGAAAUAGAAUUUUGAUGAUUCCAAUAGCUCUGUAUGGUGAUUUUGGACUUAGGAGUAUGUCCGAAAAAAUUAUUUGGAAGUCCGUAGUUACAUUAGGCUUGAAAUGGCUAAAAUAGAAAUUUAAGUUUGGAAGUUUGACCGGGGAGUUGACUUUUUGAUAUCGGGGUCGGAAUUCGAUUCUGAAAUUUGAAUAGGUCUGUUAUGUCAUUUACGACUUAUGUGCAAUAUUUGAUGUCAAUCGGGCUUGAUUUGAUAGGUUUCGGCACUGAAUGUAGAAGUUGGAAAUUUUUAGUUUUAUUAGGCAUGAAUUGGGGUACGGUUCAUGGUUCUAGCAUUGUUUGAUGUGAUGUGAAGUUUUGACUAAGUUCGUCUGAUGUUUUAGGACUUGUUGUUGUAUUUGGUUGAGGUCCCGGGGGCUUCGGGUGAGUUUCGGAUGGUUAAACGGAUAAAAGUUGGACUUAGGACAAAGCUGGAAGUUGCUGCAUACUGAUGCAAUCGCAUCUGUGGAAUUUGGCUCGCAGGUACGAGCCCGCAGAAGCGAGCUUGGAAAGCGCAGAAGCGAGUAGGGGCCGGUGAGUCAGAGUGCAUAGGUGCAAGCAUUUUACCGCACCUGCAAGGUCGCAGGCGCGAGGAGAAAUGCGCAGAAGCGGAGGCAGCACUGUGGACGAUUGCAGAAGCGGACAUUUUUGUCGCACCUACAAGACCGCAUAUGCGGCUAUGCUGAUCGCAAGUGCGACAGGCCCUGGACAGAAUAAAUUGGAGGAGUUGCAGGAUUUUGGCAUUUUUGGACAUUUUCAACACGGUUUUGGGCAAUUUUUCAGAGAUAAUUCACGAGAAAUCUUGAGAUAAGUCACUUGUGAUCAUUUUUAGUCAAUAAUAUUGGAUUAUGAUUGAGUAUUUCGACUAGAUUACAUAUUUUUAGGUGAAAUUAGAGGAUUUGGUCCUAGAGAUUUCAAAAUAAGAAUUUGAGAUUUAGAGGUCGAGUUGAUGUCGGAAUUUGGUAAAUUUGUAUGGUUGAACUUAUGGUUGAAUGGGCGUUCAUAUUUUGUAAAUUCAUCGGGUUACGAGACGCGGGCCCCACGGGCAAUUUUUGGGUGAAAUUUUGGAAUUAAUUCCUAUAAUUUGUUUUGACUGAAUCGAAUUAUUUAUAACUAGAUUCGAGGCGUUUGGAGGCCGAUACGUGAGGCAAAGGCAUUGCAGAGUAAAGAAUUGCACGGCUUGAGGUAAGUAACACUUCAAAAUUUGGUUCUGAGGGUAUGAAUCCCUGAAUUUGGUGUUAUAUAAAUUGUUUGAAGGUGAUGCACACGAUAGUUGACGAGCGUGUGGACGUGCACCAUAGAAAUUGUGACUUGAAUAAAUUCUGUGAAGUUGUAAAAUUAAAGAAUCAUGUUAUUAUCCGAAUAUUUUCCACGUAUUAGGAAUAUUGAGCUGAGACUCGUAUUAAAGAUCAUGAUUGGGCUACGUGCCUAUAUUUUGGGACCCACAGGGUCGUAUUGCUGUUAAAUUAUUUGUUUAAAUUUAUAAUUUUGUACUCAGUCACAUCUAUCACUUGCAUAUCAUAUCUCAGUCUCUUUUAUCAUUCACUGAUACUUUAUAUCAUCAUGUCAGGUUUAUUAUUUUCAUGUCAUUGAGAACCCGAGAUACUAUAGAUUCUGAAUGAUAGUUAUGUUUAUUUAUUUAUGCCUGGAUCUGGCUAUUAUAACGCUUGGGUUGAAGGAGCCCCUCCAGAGUCUGCAUCCCCACAGUGAGUAUAGUUGNNNNNNNNNNNNNNNNNNNNNNNNNGAGGGAUGGAUCUUCCCUGGGCAUGGAUCUUACCCUAAGCAUUUAUGUUGAGGGAUAAAUUUUCCGUGGACAUGGAUCUUGCCCGAAUCAAUGAUAUUCGGGGAUGGAUCUUCCCCUGGGCUGUAUUGGCCUUAUAUAGUACUGAGUGACUAACUGACAGUUGAUAGAUAUACAUAUAUAUUUGGGAUGGAUCUUCCUUGGGCUAGAUUGGCCAUAUACAGUACUGAGUGAUUGAGUAUUUUAGAUUGUGAGUAAACGGAGUUUUCACUAAGGUGCAUCACAUACAACAUGUACAUUAGCAUGUAGAUACAGAGAUGUCAUAUUCCUCGUAUUUUCAGAAUUGAUAUGUUUUAUUUGUACUGAAAGCAACUGUUGAACUUGAAAGCAUGCCUACAUUUCUAUAUUAUUAUUACUUAUACUGGACUAUACCUGCGGAGCUCAUCACUACUUUCAGCCCAGAGGUUAGUCUUGUUACUUAUUGAGUUAGUUGUACUCAUACUACACUCUGCACCUCGUGUGUAGAUCCAGGUGCUUUCGGACACGGUGACCGUUUGAUCUCAGAGUGCUAUCAGUUGGAGACUAUCAAGGUAGUUGCCUGGAGUCCGCUAACCUUGACUCACUUUCUUUAAGUUAUUGUACUAUUCUAUACUUUCAGACAGUGUUUUGUCAGUCAGACUUUAUAUUCAUAUUAGAUGCUCGUGUACUCAGUAACACCGGGUUUUGGGAGUGUUUAUAUCUGUAUUUGUGGGUUUGUUUCGCUGAAGUUAAAUAUUAUGUUUUUCAAACUUCAAAGAUAUGGUAGUUUAUUGAUAUUUUCAUCUUGCCUAGUAUUGAGAUAGGUUCCAUUACGACAGAUGGGAUUUUGGGUCAUGACAGGAAAUCAACCCCGACUCUUGUUGGGUAUUAUUCUUCCAACGACCGUUUCCAAUCACUAUUGAGUGCGGAUUGGAUGUGGAUCAGGGGCUUGAUCUGGACAGGUUGAAGUUUUUGUAUAGUCUCAGUUAGAGGGGAUACUCUACCGAAAAUUUUAUGAAUUUAGAGAGUUAGCCAAAUUUGGGGGCCUUAAGGAAGUUGAAAUUUUGGAAGAAUAUCUAAGAUCCAUAUAAAGUCAAGAAUGAUUAAAGAUGAUGGUUAAGGUGAAAGUAGUAUAACACUGUUCCUAAUAAUGACUUGUAAAACAUUCUAGGACAAAUUUUCUUAAGUGGGGGAGAAUCUAACACUCCGUACAAUUUCGAAGUGUUUAACGGCUUUAAAGAAGAUCGGCAUGUGCUAAUUAUAUUAAUUCGCGUGUGAGCAAGGGAUAAUGAUAUAAAUGAUAUCACUUGAACAUGAUAAUAUGUGUAUGAGGUAUAUUAAAAAUGGUUUAUGGUCUAAGAAGAGCCCUUAAGCUAAGUCAAGUUGGAAAUUAUAUGAUGGGCUAAAGUUUCAAGUGGGUUCGCACAAGAUUUAACUUCAAACGAGCAUAAAUCUCAAGAUAUGAAGUGUUUUUCAUGGUGUAUGACCUAUCAUAUAAAAGUUCUAUGUGUCUACUUUCUAAUGCUUCAAACCGUUCGACAUUUGGAUAUUUCAACAAUACGUUAUGGCCUUUUUACCAUAAGGUGGUAGUACAGCUACGCAGCAGGCUACUCAACCUGCAUAGCCAAUUUAAGAUUUUGGCCAAGGGAAAGGCCUCAUGCGUAUGUUUUAUGAGUAGGCUAUACAAGGAGAACGCAAUUUUAGGGGCCAUUUUAAAGGGGAUGAAACAAAGGGUUUAGAAAGAUAAAAAGUUAGUUCUUCAACUUGAAAUUGAUUUCUAGAGAGAAUGAGGAGCUAUUCCACCAUUAAUACACUUCAAGGUAAAUUAUUUUGGUACAAGGAUGAUUAUAUUACAUCAUUUAGUGAUUAUACUAACACUAUUAUAGAUCAAAUCCAUAGAAAAUGGGUUGAAUCUUCAAGAACAUCAAAAAGAGGAAAAGUGAGAUUCUUCCACCAAGAGUUAAUCCCUUCACUUGAGCUUCAUAUAUAUGUCAUAUUGGAGAAUUGGUAGAAUCUUUAUGUGUUUUAUUUGAAGUUGUAAUGGGAUAUUGUAUGAACCCUAAGGGUGGGUCUUGAAAAUGAUAUUUUGGGCAAAGAAGAAGAUGAAUAGUGAUGAAUUGAUAUAAAUGGAAUUGUUUUGAGUUUCUAAUAAUUCCAAUAGACUUGAUAACUUAAUUGAUGAAUGAAUUGAAUAGGGAAUAACCAUUUGGACAAGAUGCAACACUAGUUCUUAAAAUGGGUGUUCUUGAACCUAGGGUUUUGUUAGAGAAAACAAUAUAUAGUGACUUAAUGAUGUUGGAUAAUUAACGUAGUGCUAUUAAUGACUCCAAAUGAGUAUUAAAUAAUAAGAAUGGAAUUGAAUAGGCUAAUGGGUGAGCCUAUUGGAUAAUUUGGGAUGGUUGAAGGCUUGUUGCCGAAUUUUGAAGCCUAAAUAAAUAUUUAUGCAUCUUUUUGUAUUUGUUUUGAUGUAGUUGGAUAUCUUAUGGUAGAUACUGAAUUGUGGGCAAUAUUGGAGCAUGAUAGUAUUUUUGGAGCUUGAAGUUUGAGGUAAGUUGAUUAAAACUUACUCUCGUGAGGGAUUCUCUUUAAAAGCAUGUCUUAAGUAGAUACAUUGUAUUAUAUGUAAGUGUGCAUCAGUACUUGCGGGGACAAGCGGGAAAGAUGUCACCAUGUGUUUUUAAAUUAUUGCUUAUGAAGUGUCGUGUAAUUUUAUAAAAAUAUUAUUUUCAAAACUUGUUGGCAAAAUGACACUUAAGAAAAUUCUUAUAAGUUAUAUUAAAACUUAUUUGUUGAUAAGAGUCUAAAAUGCUCGAAUGCUAAAGAUAUAUUUUCAUGAAAAAGUUUGUCUUUUAAAAUUUCAAAAAAGGAAGCACUUGUUGUAUCUUUAAAUUGAUGUUAAUUCCUGAAAGCUUUAACAUGAAAAAGGUUAUUCAAUUGAUUUUGUUCCAAUAGUUUGGAUUGGCUAUGAAAAUAAUGAUUUGAUAAAAAUAGAUCCCUUGAGGCAAUUAUGCUAUGAAUAUAUUUUUGAUAUGUCAAAUAUUUUGGAAGUUACUAGUGGACCACCGAGAUUGGUUCGAAUGUUGAAUUCAUUACUAUGAAACUACAUGUGCCGGUGUAGGGACACAUUCCAAGGCUAAGCCGAGGUUUGUGGGAAGAGGGCAAAUGAUCAUUACUUAAAGUAAUGAGGUUAAGUCGACUCAUACGGGACUAUGGGAAGCCGCCCAGACAAGUACGGUCAAAAACUUAUUGCUAGGAUGAUCACCUAGUAGUUGUUCAUUAUGUCGGUGUCUGUAUAGUACUCCCGGUGAAAGAUAAAAAAGAUAUUUCUAAUAUCAGGCCUAAGGAGCCGAAAAUAAUUUCAAUGACUUAAUGAGAUUAAAAUGGUUUUAUACGAUUUACUUAAUAAGAUUGAAAUGGCUUUAUAUUAUUUCUAUUAAAUAUAUUGGGUUGAUAGAGACAUUCUAAAACGUUAUACCAUGGCUUACAUUUCACUUGUCUUUUAUUUAAAAUAAUAAAGAACAUGAUUUAUAACCGUUUAUCACUUUAUGUCCAAUAUUGGUUGCAAAAGUUUUAUAAAAUCUUGUCCCACGAACUUGAGUUAGAGAGAGUCUAUGACACUUAUUGAGUACCGUUGUGGUGUACUCAGCCCUUAGGAGCCCCCUUCUAAGGCCCCACUUAAUAUAUGUUAGUCGGGCAUUAGCCCAAGAAUUUAGUUCUAUUCCUUGGUAUAGAGGCUCCAUAGUAGUUGUGAAUAAUUAUAGUAAUGGGUUUGUACGCGACAUACGUGAAAAGAUAUUUAUUUUACUUAGUUUCAUUAUUAUGAUUAUGAGAGGCUUCAUGUAUAAUUUUGAAUUGGAAAAUUGUUCCAUUGUUUAACUUGAAAAAUAUAUAAAAUUUCAAAGAGCUUCCACAGUUAAAUUGGUUUUCAUGCAUAUCGUUUGGGUGCAUCUUAUAGGUUGGUUCGCUCGGGCCAGAUAGUGUGCCGGGUGUCGGUCACGUGGAUGUGGGUCAUGACAUCCUCCUAAUGACUGUUGCUGGUACUGGAGGAAAAUAUGCACUAUACAUAACAAAUUUGCAGCUGGAUAUGUUUAGGAUGGGUGGCUAUCAGUGAAUGGACAAUACUCAUUAGGCAACGACUACAAAUAGAGACAGGGGAGUAGAGAGGGUUUGGCUGGUAUGAGAUGGGUUUGGUGUAAAUAUAACACCCCAACAUAUAGCUUCAUCUAUUGGGUAGCUAUGGACAAAAUAUUGUUAACGAUGGAUAGAUUGGCUCGAUUGGGAAUAUGCAAAGAAAACUCAUGUGCCAAAUGUGGGGAAGCCAUUGAAACAAUUGACCACCUAUAUUUUGAAUGCCCAUUCUCAAAAACAUGUACACUGGAAGUGCUGCAAUGGUUGAACAUGGGGGUCCGGCAAUGGGACUUGAAGGGUCUCUGGAGACGUAUGACUAGAAGAAUGCAAGGCAAAGUAUGCAGGCAAUUAAUAAUAUCGAUAAUGGUAGCGGUGGUGUACCACAUCUGGAGAGUAAGGAAUGUUGCUAAUUGGGAUCAUAGAGUCCCCACAUGAUUGUCAAUAAUAUUAAGCAGGAAAGCAAAUAGAAGAUACAUGAUAUACUUGUUUGGAGAUCCUUAAGACAUAAUUAGAGAGCAUGGGUAGAAAGAUUAUCAUAAAUAGGAGUAAUUGUAUAGCUGCUUGAUAUGGCCAGAAUAGAACAGAAAUGCUAAUAGAAAAGGGGGUUGAGUGAGGAAGGAAUAUGGGGGAUUCAAUUGUAAAGUUUUUGUGCUGGUGAUCGAUAAAAUUCUUUUUUUCACCAAAACAACAACCUUUUAGCGGUUAUACAUGUAUAGGGUAAAAUAUGUUAUAUUAAAUGAUCGCAUGAGGAAAUGACACGUGGAGACGAAGACAGUAGAUAGCUGAAACUGAAGGCAACGAUCUCGUCUGUUAUCGUAGAGAAUGAUAUUCAUAAAGAUGAAAUAAACGCAUUCCACCCGGUAGCAUUUAAUGAAGAUUAUUCUACAGCAUUAAGAAUACUGCCUGUUACAAGAAAUAUGAUAUUCAUUGCGGCGCCGUUAGACAUUCUUCAAUGGCCCUCAUAAUUGACACUAAAGAGGGGCUUGAUCCUAGGAUAUUGUUCCCUAGGUGUAGCUAUAAAUAAUGAGCUCUAUUAUCAUUGUAGUUUCUGGAAAACAUAUGCUACACUCUAUUCAAAGCUUAAUAUAAUUUUAUCUUCUUGUUUUUUGAUAUCAUUGUUGUUGUGCCCGGAAGCCCUGCUCCCGCAAUUAUUAUUUCUACUAUUUCGUCUCCAUCUCAAGGCUAAGUAUUACAUUUUUAUCUAAUUCAUCUAUUAUUUCAGGAUCAAAUUAAUUCACUUUUCUAAAAAUUACGUAUAAAUUCAACUAUAUCGUUUUACGGGUAAACAGUUUGGCACCCACCGUGGGGCCUAGACAGUUGUGUAAUUAAGUCGGUCCCUUCCUUUUUUUUACUAACAUGUUUAAUCAUUUGUUCUUAGCAAAAAAUUAUAAAAAAUGACAGAUAAUGGUGUUAACUACACACACAACCUUGAGGCCCAAGGAAAUCAGCCUCAGCACGAAGAUUCAAUUAGUGUUACCCGCAGUAAGGGGAACGAGGCCACACCAGUCCACGGCAGGCGGUACCCGCGACAUGUUCGGGAGGCGACUCCUAAUAAUGCGGAAGAAGAGUCGUUGAAGCGGUAAGGGUCCUGCAGGAACAACAAGAGGUCAUUCUAGGCCAUCUCACGCAGCAGGAUAAGGUUAUGACAGAGCUAAAAUAUGCGUUAUCGGGUGCUUCCAAUAACGUGAAUGGACGAGGUCCAGUCCCUCCCGGUGAUCCCGCAAAUCAAACAAUGCAGAGGGUCGACAAAACACCCCGAGAGGCGAGGUCGGCUUUGAUGGGGUUGGGGGAGCAAAUCUGGUCAUAACAACGAUAGUGAUCCCUUCAAAAACGAACUCAUACGAUUUAUGAGGGAAGUGAAGGCCUGCAUGGACCAAAUCCUUUGUGCACCACCGGUGCUGAAAGGACUAUGCUAAAAGAACUACACUCUAUUGCCGUACAAACCAAGCGCGUCACCAGAAUUGAUCCCGUAGCGGUUUAAAAUUCCUGACGUACCGAAAUAUGAUAGGACUUCAGACCCUCAAGAUCAUAUCACCACCUAUACAACAACGGUGAAGGGUAACGAUUUAGCUCCCCACGAGAUUGAAUCAGUUUUGCUGAAACAAUUCGAAGAGACUCUCACGAGGGGAGUCUUGACAUGGUAUUUGUUGUUGCCCGAGCAUUCUAUAGACUCAUUUGAGAUGCUCGCAGACUCUUUCAUUAAGGACAAUGCUGGGACCAGAAAGGUGUAGGCCCGAAAGGCCGAUAUAUUCAGGAUUGCACAAGGAGAGUCUGAGUUGCUGCGAGAAUUUGUAACCCAGUUCCAGAAGGAAAGGAUAUUGCUCCCGGCCAUUCCGGAUGAAUGGGCCUCUGAAGCAUUCACCAAGGGUUUGAAUUCGAGAAGUUUUUAUGCUUCCUAGAAGUUAAAACAAAGCUUACUCGAGUUCCAAGCGACGACUUGGGCGGAUGUUCAUAACCGGUAAGAGUCAAAGAUAAGGAUUGAGGAUGAUCAGCUUGUCUUCCAGCAUUGGUUAAAGGUCGGGAGAAGAAUAAAGAGAAAUCAAAAGACGAUUUUGACACAGAUAGACGGUCUUCGAGGAGCCGGGUUUUGCCUUAUGAACGGGCCGAUGGAUGCGGCACAAGCUUCCAAUAUGCAUAUAGGUUUGUUACUGAUAGAAGGAUUGAUCGCGGCCGGAACAACAGGUCGUUACAGGACAAGGAAACGUCAGGUUCUCGAGACCCUUCCUACCCCAGACUUUCAGAAUACAACUUUAACGUCAGCAUGGUACAGUUAGUAUCAGCUAUGAAGAACAUUAAAGAAGCACGGUUCCUAAAGUCUAUGAGGUCCGAUCCAAGCCAGAGGGAUCCUAAUUUAUGGUGUGAAUACCACGGGAUGAACAGUCACCGGACUGGGGACUGCCGGCAUCCGCACGAAGAAGUGGCGAUACUGCUGAAAAAUGGCCAUCUCAGGGAGUUCCUAAGUGACCGAGCCAAGAACAAUCACAGUCGCAAUCAUGACAACAUGGAUCCCUCAAAAGCAGGAGAAGAUCCCCCACGCCUGACGAUCAAUAUGAUUUUUAAGGGGAACGAGAUUAACAGGGUUACCUUUUCGGCAGCAAAAAAAGAUGAAGGUAUCAGUAACCCAUAUCAAGAGACUCCGGGAAGUCACUGAAGAUGACAUCACUUUCACGGAGGAAGAUGCAGAUGGAUUGUUGCUACCAUACAAUGACGCAUUGGUAAUUUCUUUAAAUGUGUUAGAUUUUAAAAUCAAACGUGUUCUAGUGGAUCUAGGGUGUUCGGCCAAUAUUAUACAAUGGAGGGUAUUGGAACAAUCCAAACUUACUGGAAGCAUCAUUCAGGCCACAAAACUUCUCGCCGGGUUCAAUAUACCAAGCGUGACAACCCGAGGAAAAAUCAUGUUGUCCACGGACGCCGAGGGGGUGAUGAAGACGACCCUUUUCCAGGUGGUGGAUGGUGAUAUGGGCUACAACAUUAUCCUGGGAAUACCAUGGUUGCACGAGAUGAAGGUUGUACUAUCAACGUAUCACCAGUUGCUGAAAUUCCCAACUCCUGAGGGGAUUAAACAAAUAAAAGGCGAUCAACCGGUGGCAAGAGAGAUGAAUGUGAUUUCGGUAUCCAGUAGCAAAGAGAAGGAGCAUGCGGCAUAGCAAUUACAAGAACCGACGCCUACUCCCGAGUCAAGCAAAGUCAACCAGAGGGAAGAGACGUCGGAAUCUUAUCAAGUGCCAAGAUAUUUCCAGGUACUAGAAGAGAUGAACGCAACAAAGUCCACAGCGGAAAAUCUUGAGCAAGUCCUGUUGUUCAAAAAGUUCUUGGAGAGGAAAUUUCACUUGGGGACAAGACUGCACCCCGAGCUCAAGUCCGGGUUUAUUGAAUUUCUUAAAUUUAAUGUCGGUUGUUUUGCGUGGUUGCAUGCGGAUAUGACAGGUAUUCCAACGGAAGUGGCCGUACACAAGUUAAGCCUAGAUCCUAACAUUCUUCCGGUAAGAUAAAAAAAAAUGUCAUAUCAUCGAGGCCAGAAAUAAAUUCGUCAAGGAAGAGGUAACUCGCUUACUUAAUAUCGGUUUAAUCCGAGAGGUAAAGUAUCCAGACUGGCUACUAAUGUAAUAGUAGUUCCUAAGAUGAAUAAUAAAUUUUGCAUGUGUGUAGACUAUAAGGACUUGAAUAAGGUGUGCCUAAAGGACUCAUUCCCAUUGCCAAACAUCGAUCAAAUGAUUAAUGCAAUGAUCGGGUAUGAGUUAAUGAGUUUCCUCGAUGCUUACUCUGGGUACAACCAAAUUAAGAUGAACCCGGAAGAUCGGGAAAAAACUUCAUUCUUAACAAUUUUCGGCACAUACUGCUAUAAUGUGAUGCCCUUCGGGCUAAAGAACGCUGGAGCCACUUGUCAAUGGCUCGUAAAUAAGAUGUUUGAAAAACAGAUAAGGAAAACCAUGGAAGUUUAUAUAGACGAUAUGCUUGUUAAGUCUUUGAACGCAUGUGAUUAUCUUAAAUACUUGCAAGAAACUUUUGACAUCCUAAGGAAGCAUGACAUGGAGCUUAACCCCGAAAAGUAUGUGUUCGGGGUCAGCUCCGGCAAGUUCCUGGGGUUUCUGGUGUCACAAAGGGGUAUUGAGGUUAGCCCCGAUAAAAUCAAAGCCAUCAAAGACAUCCCAGACCAGCUAUCAAGCGUAAAACAGGUUCAAAGGCUUAUAGGGAGAUUGGCCGCUUUGAGCAGGUUCAUUUCUCAGUCUUCAGAGAAAUGCCACUAUUUCUUCUUCUGCUAAAUAAGAAGAACAACUUCGAAUGGACCACAGAAUGUCAGCAGGCUUUGAGGUAAUUGAAAUGAACUCGGACUUUAUGGCCGAUUUCAGCCCGGGAUUACUACCUCUGGCAACCAAAGAGGCAGUAAUGGCAUCAGAAUCAAUAUUAGAAUUUUGGACCCUAUUUAUGGAUGGAGCUUCCAACGUAAAAGGGUUUGGUCUUGACAUAGUAUUAACUACGCAUUCGAGAGAAACCCUAAGGUAGGCCAUAAGAACGGUUAUUUUAACUAACAAUGAAGCAGAAUAUGAAGCUUUGAUUGCAGGUCUCGAAUUGAUCCAAGAGUAGAUUCUGAGGUCAUAGAAAUCAAAUGCGACUCCCAGCUAGUGGUAAAUCAGGUCUAUGAGAUCUUUGAAGCCAAAGAUAAGCGCAUGUAACAAUAUGUAGCGAAGGUUCAGGCUUUGCUUGCUCGAUUCUGAGAGUGGUCAAUUACGCACAUCCCGGGGGAAGAAAACACGGAAGCAGGCGUACUAGCUUAUCUUGGCUCAUCAACGGAAAUAAAGGGAUCGAAUUCCUGUACGAUAGUAUAGCUUAUACACUUGGUUCUAGAUGCAGGUAGCUACUACGAGGUAAACACGACUAAUUUGGUCUGGAAUUGGAGGAAUGAGAUCAUUAAUUAUCUCGAGCACGGAAAAUUGCCUGACGCCAAGGCAUCCCGGGCGAUGCGCGCUAAAGCAAUACGAUAUAGCUUUAAAGUGGGCCAAUUGUGUAGGAAAUCUUUCCAAGGUCCGCUGGCCCGAUGUUUGGGAGCCUCCGAAGCCAAUUAUGUCAUGCAAGAAGUCCACGAAGGAAUCUGUGGAAAUAUUUCGGGUGCAGAUUCCUUAGUACUAAAGUUUAUAAGGGCAUGAUACUAUUGGCCCCAAAUGGAACAAGACACCAAAUCUUUUGUACAAAAAUGUGAUAAGUGUCAACGCUACGCUUCGUUGGUACAUUAACCACAAGAACCAUUGCACUCAUUGUUUUCUCCAUGGUCGUUCAUGAAGUGCAGAAUGGAUAUUGUCGGACCACUGCCGCCGACCCCUAGUAAGGUAGGGUUUCUUUUGAUUUUAACUGACUAUUUUUCUAAGUGGGUUGAAGCAAGUCCUUUUAGAAAUUGGCGAACGUGAAGUGGUGGAUUUCUUGUGGGAGAACAUAAUUUGCAGAUUUGGGAUACCAAAAGAGAUAGCAUGCGACAACGGGCCACAAUUUAUAGGUGCUAAGGUCACAAAGUUCCUUGAAGACUUGAAAAUCAGAAGGAUCACAUCCUCACCCUAUCAUCCGAGUGCAAAUGGUCAAGCGGAAUCAACGAACACAGUGAUUAUAUAAAAUCUCAAAAAGCGAUUGGAAGUAGCUAAAGGUAGAUGGCCUGAGGAACUGCCCGGAGUACUAUGGGUGUAUCAAACAACGACCAAAUCGAGCAUAGGAGAGACUCCUUUCUCCCUUGUGUACGGAGCAGAAGCCUCGAUCCCGGUGGAAGCAGGGGAGUUACCUUGAGAUACUUCCAGGCAAAUAAAGAAGCAAACAACGAAGUAAUGUUGAUCAAUUUGGAGCUUCUCAAUGAGCGCAGGGACUUGGCGCAUAUAAGGAUGGCAGCUCAAAAGCAGAGAAUAGAAAGAUAUUAUAAUCGAAGAGCCAACCUCCAUUAUUUCAAAGUGGGAAACUUGGUUCUAAGGAAAGUAACUCAAAACACUGGGAAAAUCAAUACAAGGAAGCUAGGUCCAACAUGGGAAGGCACCUACCGGGUUUCAUCUAUCACCGGAAAAGGUUCAUACGAGUUGGAGAAUCAAAAAGGAUAAAAGUUGCCAAGCAACUAGAACGUGGUGCAUCUCAAGAGAUACUAUUACUGAUGAACAUCACUUAUACUGAAAGUAUGUGUUGCACUUUUUUUCCCUCCAUCCAGCUUUUGUCCCAAUUGGGUUUUUCUAGCAAGGUUUUUAAUGAGGCAGCAAUGAAAAACAUACUACGAAGAAGGUUUCAACAACAGCAACAAGACCUUUUAAUAACAAGGCACACAAGCGAAGAACCACUCUGGAGCGGUUAGAUAAUCAUUUGCUCGAUAGCAAAGUUCCCACCGGGAAGUUAUAUUUUCUAUCGAGCAAGGGUUACCCCACUGUUCACAAGUGCAAACCACUAGAGGAUUGUUAGAUAGUCUUUGGCUCCAUAGCAUAAAUUCCUAAGGGGAAGUAAAGUUUGUUAUCGAAUUGAAGAUUAUCUAGCAAUUCAUUAGUGGAAUCCUCGAAGGUGUUAAACUUACAGUGUUCCAAUUCGCCUUCUUCGCAUUCGAACAGGGAAGAAUAGUUAUAUCAUUGGACCGGGGACUGCGCGGCCAGCCCCGUAGAAACAAGUUGUACAAGUUAGCCACAAGAAAUGGUGAUUUCCUUUUAGCAUAACAAAUGCUUAUGUAAUUUUUGAAAAUGGGAGGAAUAAAGUAAAAUUCUUUUAUUUCUAUCUUGUUUCUUGUCUAAACGAUGAAUUGAUUUUUUCAUUUGAAAGUUAAACAAGUACUUCAAAUGCUAGUGCCGUAAUGAACAGGAGACGUCCUCUUCAAGAUCAUUGUAAACAUAAGGGGGCCCUCUCUUAUGAAAACCCUCACGAUAAAGGGUUGAUUUCGGAAGACCUUGUGCCCAAAAUCCAAAUGCUUUUAGGAGGAAAUACACCCAAAGCCUUACAUAAUCAGGCGCAAACAGUAAAACUUGCGCAAAACACUCAAACAAGAAAGGAUACAAAGAUUAAACUUGCAUAAAUGUUCAACAAAUGAACGCAGAAAGACUCAUGCAAUACUUGAAAAAAGGUGUUUUAUUUACAAUAAAGGUUCCAAAAUGGCACAAGUACAAAAGUUGGGAAAAGAGAUGAAAAGCUAAGCUGUUGCAUCUCCUGAACCCGGAGGAAGAGAAGCAUCUAGGCCCCAGGAGAAAUGGGUAGAUCCGCCACCGGCUCAAUAUGACCUUCAUCAUUUUGGCCUUCAACAUCUCUGCCUUCCGGUUCCUCUUCAGUUCCUAAGAAUUCGUAACCGGAACCAGAAGAAUCAGAAGCAUCAGGUCUGGCCGGAAGACCCCUUUUAGCAGACUCCAGCUCACGGGCUUUAGCGAUUUCAGCAUCAAAGUCAAUGACACCCGUUUUAUCCUCUUUGAAGGUUUUUCUCCUCAUGUUAUAACAUACAUUUUUUCAACAACGAGGGAAGCCACUCGUUUCUUGAGUUCUUCUUUAAGUUGGUCAACCUCGGUAGAAAGAUUUUCCCGUGUGGAUCUAACUGACCAGAGGCUAACAUCGAGAUCACGGACAGUAGAGAUGAAAAGCCUAUUAUGCUCAAUGGUUGCUCUUAUACUUCUCCUCCAAUUGGGCAAAUUUCACCCCGGCAAUAGCAAGCUCUUCAGUUUUGGAGUUCAAGGUUGCUCCAAAUUAUUUAAUCUUUUAGCGGAGGCAGCCUCAUGAUCGGAUGCAGCAAGAACGUCACUAUGGACUUCAACCUAUUUGGCCUUAGCCUCUUCAAAUUGAACCCUCAAUGGGGCGAUCUAUUGGCUAAGGGUCUCUACUUCUUGCUCUCUUUGUUGCAAACAAGCCUCCAACACAAUAGCCUCAGUAGCUUUGGCUUCCAGUUCUGAGAGGCAAGCAGUAGUUUGGUCCCGCUCGGCCAAAAGUUGAUCCCGCUCGGAGGUAAGUUCCUCCUUAUCCCAAAUCAAACUUUGAAGGCCCUAGAAAGCAAGGUAUUGGCCUGCGAAACAAAAACGCCAAACUCAAAUUACUACUAAAUCAAGGAUAGAAGAGAGAACAAAGGAAAUAAAGAGUAUACCGUUGUGAAGUUGUGCAUAACAUUGUUCAACAAGAACUCUCCCGAGAGAGCUUUUAUUUUUUCCCAAUCUUUUUCUAAAUCCAAAGGCUCCAGAUAGUUAGCGAGUUCUACCGACAAGGAAAACAGAUUGCACCCGGCAAAGACAGAGAGCAUAACGCUCCUCCUCCUUUGCGUAUCUUCUGAGAAGGUGGCAUAAUUUUGCCCCAAGUUCCCAUGAAUUGGGGAUUGGGGAUAGGAACAUCCUCUUCUCGGACAGAUGCGGCCGAUGGAGAUGAUGUAGCAGUUGUUGGUUGAAGAAUCAGUGAAGACGAAGAUGAAGCUAAUGGUGUUGAAGGAGGAGAAGUGGUUGCGGCAAGCGCAAUGCUGGGUGUUGGUUACUCAUCAACCGAAGAAAGCAGGAACCCGGUACUCAAUCUCAUAGUAUCGGGUGCAGUGAUUGUGAUCCGAAAACGAAAUUGGCAUUUUCCACCAUCUCAAACUCCCCCUAGAGCGUCGAGGCAUCAUCCUCGGUUGGUAUAACUAAGUCAACAAAUUGAGUAGUCUGUUGAGCUGAGGAAGGUCGUCGUCUUCUGUGUAGAGAAGCCCCUCCUCGCUGGCUUCCCCAUCAUCGUCAAUCAUCACGAUGUCUAUGGUCGGCCCGGGCGGAGGACUCAUCACCACAACUUCCGGAGAUGACUUGAGAGUGGCAUUCUUCGCCCUAUUAUUCUUUCCCCCAUCUGCGGAGAAACGUCUUCUUUUUAGUGGCUUGUUCUCCGGCCGGAGACUCCGGGAAGAAGCACACGCACCAGAAGUAGGCCCGAAAAUGCCUUUCUGUGUAAAAGCCUCCUGCAGCAACCUCUCUGUGUCAGCAGGAUUAGCCAAAACGUCCUCCUCAAGGAUGACAACUGAGCCCUGGGUAGACCUGAAUCCAACAGGAGAGAAGAGUCAAACAACUUCCUUAUAUGAAAAGGUAAAAACAAGAUGAGUUCAACUUACCAUUAUUUUUGGUGUUCCACCCAUAUUUUAAGGAAAGUUCUUUCCACGUGUGGGUUUUGGGCAUAGUAACGUCCAAACUUUUCUAGACCCAAUGGUCCAAGCCCUCAACCCUAGGUGGAACCCACCGAGUCGCUGAAAAAGGUAAAGGAAGAAAGAGUCAGUAAUAAUGUGAAAUGAUCUUUAACAGAAGAAGAAACAAAUGAUAGACUUACAUGUGCGGUUCCAUAAUUUCGAGAAAGACGGAGUCAUGGCCGGGAUGAUGUCACUGGUGGCGACUGAAAUGAAUUGUUCUAUCCACCCACGAUUGUUGUCAUCAUCCAUGAUGGAUAGCAGUGCAUGGUGGCCACGAUUGCUGAAAUUUAUCAUUCCCCCGCGGAAGCUUUUGGGCGAAUAGAGGUUCAUCACUCGAGCUAAGGAUAUCUCUUCUCCUAUCUCCUGGCACUAGCACCGAAGGCAAGAGAUUGUCCUCCACACAGAGGGACUUACUUGUGCCAAGCACACCUAAUAGAUGAGGCAUAACUCCACAAUGACAUAGUGUAACAACCCGGACGGUCAUUUUGAGAGUUAUAGCCUCGUUCCCUUAUUUACUAUUCAUUCCCUAAUUAAAUUUUGUUAUGUGACUUGCCGGGGUAGUUGGCUCGGGUUCGGAGAGGUUUCGAAAUGAAUUGAGACACUUAGUCUCAAGGUUGAAAGUUUAAGUUGAAAAGAUUGACCGGAUAUCGACUUAUGUAUAGAUGAAUGUGGAAUGGAGUUUUGAUGGUUCUAUUAACUCUGUUGGGCGAUUUUGGACUUAGGAGCGUGUCCGAAUAGUAAUUUGGAGGUACGUGGUUGAUUUAGGCUUGAAAUGGCAAAAUUCGGAAAUUUAAAAGUUUGAUCGGGAGUGGACUUUAUGACUACCGGGCUCGGAUUUGGGUUCCGGGAGGUGGAGUAGAUUCGCGGUGUCAUUUGUGACUUGUGUUCAAAAUUUGAGGUCAAUCGGACGUGAUUUGAUAAGUUUCGGCGUCGUUUGUAGAAGUUGGAAUUUCUUAGUUUCAAUAGGAUUAAAUUAGGGUGUGAUUCGUGUUUUUGAUAUUGUUUGAUGUGAUUUGAGGGCUCGACUAAGUUCAUAUCGUGUUUUAGAAUUAUUGGUAUAAUUGGUUGAGUUCCCGGGGGCCUUGGGUGGAGUUCGGAUGGUUAACGGAUCGAAUUUGGAGUUUGAAAGAUUGUUGAAGUUGGGAGUCUUCUGGUGCAAUCGCACCUGUGGAGCUUUGGUCGUAGGUGCGAGCUCGCAGGUGCGAGCUCGCAGGUGUGAGAAAAGGAGCGCAAGUGCAUCCAUGGAAGGGUUGUGCAGUGGUCGUAGGCACGGAAGGAGUUCCACAGAUGCGGAUGUGCAUCUGCGCGAGGUUGACCGCAUAAGCGGAUUUGGCUAGGCAGCAAGGGCGUCGCAAAUGUAGAGAAGGCUCGCAGAUGCGGUCCUGCAGGUGCGAGGCUGGGACCGCGGGUGCGAUGGGUUGCCAGUUAAGUGGGUUCCGUAUGAGCGUGAUUUUUUCGCAAAAGCUGAUGCGUAGGUGCGAGCCCAGGCUCCACAUGUGCGGAAAUGCCUGGGGCAGUAUUUAAAUUCGAGGGUUUCCGAGAUUUUCUUCAUUUUAAACAUUUCAAGCUUAGGAUUUGGCGAUUUUGAGAGGAUGUUCGAGGGGUUUAUUGAGGUAAGUCACUUGUGGUUAAAUCUAUUCAAUAAUUAUGUUUUCCCAUUGAAUUUCUCACCUAGAUUGUGUGGUUUUGAGGUGUAAUUUGGGGGUUUGAGACUAGGGAUUUGGAGAGUUUAAAUUGGGGGUUUGGGUGUCGAUUUGGUGAUGGAUUUUGGUAAAUUUAGUAUGGUUGGACUUAUAGUGGAAUAAAUUUCUGGAUUUUGUGACUUCUAUUGGAUUCCGUGACGUGGGCCCGGGGCCGACUUUUGAGUGGACUUUUUGACUUUUAAUUAAAAGCUUAGUAAUUUCAUAUGGAAUUGAUUCCUUUAGCUCGUGUUGAUUGUAUCGAACUAUUUGUGGCUAGAUUCUUGGCAUUUGGAGGCCAUUUUGCGAGGCAAGAGCUUUUUGGAGUAGAGUUUCGUACGGUUUGAGGUGAGUAACACUUUUAAGCCUGGUUCUGAGGGUGUGAAACCCCGAAUUUCGUGUUAUGUGAUUAGUGUUGAGGUGACGCAUGUGCUAAGUGACGGGCAUGUAGACGUGCACAAUAAGAAUUGUAACUUGGUCGAUUCCAUGGAACUGAAAAGUUGUUAAAUCUUGUUGCUACCCGUAUUCUCACCAUGUGUUAGAUCUAUUGAGCUGUCAGUCAUGUUUGAAACCCUGCUUAGGCUAUAUGAUGGUACUAUUGGGACCCACAGUGGUCAUUUUUUGCUGUAGAACUAAUUGCUUAAUCUAUCAAUUUAUACUCAGUCACAGUUAUUACUUGCAUAUUAUGUCUCAGUCUCUGUUGUCUUUACAUAUUAUAUAAUAUCAUCAUUUGUAGGCUGAUUAUCAUGAUUCUGGUAAGCCCGAGAGACUAGAGAGAUUAUUGGCUGAGUGGAGCUGAGGUCCUAUUGUGAGUGAUAUUUAUGGGAUCGGGCUGCACACCGCAACAGGAUUUAUUGAUUGAUGCCAUGAUUUGGCUUAUUAUAGCGCUUGGGCUGGAUCGCCCCCUCCAUAGUCUGCACACCCACAGUGGGCGCAAUGCUAGCAGUUAUGACAUUUGGGUUGGAUAUGCCCUGUUUACUUGUAUUUGGGCUGGAUCAGCCCUGCUUUAUUUGCAUGUGGGCUGGAUCUGCCCUGUUAUAUGUUAAAUUUUGUUGUGAAAUCUGAAAGCAUGUCUAAGUUCUUAUUGAAAGCAUGUCUAAAUGCUUGUACCUUCACUUGCAGAAUAUAAAUAUCUGAGAUAUCAUUGUCAUAAUUUUUUAACUUUUCGUACUGUUAAAUGUUGAAAGUGGACCGUAAUAAUUGGACUUGUUACUAUUUUCAGUCUAAAGAUUAGAUUUUUUACUUAUUGAGUUGGUUGUACUCAUACUACACCAUGCACCUCGUGUACAGAUCCAGGUACUUCCUAUUACGGCGGUUGUUGAUUUGCAGAGGUCAAACUAUCGGAGAUCAUCGAGGUAGCUGCUUGGCAUUUCACAGACCUUGACUCUCCUCCCUUAUCUUUCAGUUUACUUAUUCAGUAUUACUCUUAGACAGUGUACCCGACUUUGUCUCUUCGUAGAUGCUAAUGUACUCAGUGACACCCCGAUUUUGGAAAGAAUUUAUGUAUUGAGUUAUGAUUUUCUAUCCUGUUUUAAGAGAUUUUCCUUUAUUUAAAUUGUUUUAGUAUCUGUUAAAGAUUUAAAGUGUUGGAAAUGUCUGAAUAGUUGGCUUGUUUAGUACCAUGAUAAGCGCCAUCACGACGGGUUGGUUUUGGGUCGUGACACGGAGUCAAGCUCCCGCUCAAAGAAAAUACUCCAAAAGUGAAGGAAUACGUGUAAAAGUAUGUAAAACCCUUCUUGGGUAAAGUUAUCUGCUCCACCAGAUCGGGAGAGAUAAUGUCCAAUUCUUGACAGUGGCAUUCUUCCUUCAUAGCAGGGAUACUGGAAGGACGGAUAGAAGAAGGAUAUACGUUAAUAGCCCACGUACGAGGGUGAGCAGAAGGGUAUUUUUCUUCGAAAUCUUUGGUGGUAAUAAGGUUCUUUGGGAUGAUGGUACUCAACGUAGGGGGAACAGCAUCAUCAGUUUUGCUUUUGUUCUUUAAAGAACUAGGGUUUCUUGAAGAGGGGGCCUUUUUUUUUAUCAGAAAGAGGGUUUUCUCUCAAAGAAGGAAGAUAAAGAAAGGUUAAAGUCGAAGUACGAGUUGAGUAAAGAAAGUUUUAGAAGAUUUAGAGUAUUAUGAAGUGUAAAUGAAGGAGGUUGAUGCAUAUAAGUAAAGGUAUAGGCGGCUAAACUCGUGGCCAUAAUUACCUCGAUAACCGACAAAAGUUAUGCUAAAUCAUGGGAUGACGCGUGUUCGGGGCAUUUAAUGCGAAGAGACAUGCGUCUAAUCAAUCGUCAGAAACCUUUUAGAGGGGUCAGUAAAUUUCCCGCCAAAAAGAAAGUUUCUACCAAGUUCCCAGUGACACAAAGGUAUGCCACUGAAAAGUAGGAGGACUAUAUGUAUAGGGUAAAAUAUGUUAUAUUAAAUGAUCGCAUGAGGAAAUGACACGUGGAGUCGAAGACAGAAGAUAGUUGAAACUAAAGGCAAGGAUCCCAUCUGUUACCGAAGAGAAAGAUACUCAUAAAGAUGAAAUAAAUGUCUGUCACCCGGUAUUAUUUAAUGAAGAAUAUUCUAUAGCAUUAAGUAUAUUGCCCGUUACAAGAAACAUGGCAUUCACUGCCCGUCAUUACACAUUCUUCAAUGACUCUCAUAAUUGACAUUAAAGAGGGGCUUGAUCCCGCGAUCUUGUUCCAUAGGUGCAGCUAUAAAUACUGAAUUCUAUUAUCAUUGUAAAGGACACAGAUUUUCUAGCAAACAUACGCUACACUCUAUUCAAAGCUUAAUAUAAUUUUAUCUUCUUGUUUUUUGAUAUCAUUGUUGUUGUGCCCGGAAGCCUUGCUCUCGGGAUUAUUAUUUCUGCUAUUUUGUCUCCAUCUCAAGGCUAAGUAUUAUAUUUUUAUCUAAUUCAUCUAUUAUUUCAGGAUCAAAUUAAUUCACUUAUCUAAAAAUCACGUAUAAAUUCAACUGUACCAUUUUACGGGUAAACAACAUAUAAUAAAAGUCAUAUAUGGAUAGAAGCACUAGGUCUACCGGAAAUAACUUACGUGCAACUGAUAAACACACCAAAGUAAUAAGGGGUCAUUUGUUUGGAGGAAUUAAAAAAAAGUUUAGAUAAAAAUCAACAUGAAAUAAAUAAAAACUUUUAGCUGAAGAGAUUAGAAAAUAAAAUUAAAUGGCUAUAAAGUGGAAAAUGCCUACAUAACUUUCUAAUUAUUAUUAUUAUUAUUAUUAUUAUUAUUAUUAUUAUUAUUAUUAUUAUUAUUAUUAUUAUUAUUAUUAUUAUUAUUAUCAUCGCCUAAUUUCACUGCAUAAUACUCCUCUGAUAAUUAUUAUUUGUCGAAUCGCGAUCUUUAAGAACAUGACAUGUAUCUGUAUACGGAAUUUAUCACCCAAUAAUCAUGACCCGUUAAUUUAUAUUCUUACCUUAAAUUAUUAAUGUCGGGUUUUAGUUCAAAAAUUGAGGUGAAUAGAAAAUGGAGGAAAAAAAUAAAAUUUUGAUUUUCACUCCUUUACAAAGGAACAAUAUCCCAUAUUGGCGGAGAAAAGCUCAUUUGUUAAGUAUAUAUAUAGUUGCACUUUUUCUAGCUCUUAAAGAGUUGAGAAGAAGUCAAGUCUUGCAUUGUCGUUGUUGGCUCGGCUUUGGAUUUGACCUGAUUGAUUAGUUUUUUUGACCAAAUUUAUUUGUUAAAUAGUUAAAUUAAAUUAGUAUUUCAAUCCAAAUCAACCGUUUACGUAAUGGUAAUUUGAAUUUCCUCUAGUUUGAGUUUUUCAUUUUAUUUUGCGUAAAUAGCCAUUUAUGUAAUAGUCGGUUUACGUGAACAAUCAUCAGGACGAGUUGCACCUCUUCGUUUGAACUCAACUGAACAAUCAUCAGGACGAGUUGCACCUCUUCGUUUGAACUCAACUUGUUGGCUAUAAAUCCCAAGCCAUUCCCUCAUAUUUUUCUUACAAAAAUUCUGAAUUCUCUUUCUUCCUUCUACAUUAUUUUUAACUUAAACAAAGCAACAAUAAGUAACUACCGAUUAUUUGUGUUCGCUGAAAUAUUGGGGUUUGAAGUACCGCUACACCAGCGUGUAAUCCGUUCUAUCCUGAGAGAAAAUAAUCCACAACCUCGGAUAUUAGGAGGGGAUUAAGUUCCUUAAUGAAACACUGUGAAUUCAAUGCGCUCGAAUUAAUUUCUAUUUCUUCUACCUUUCUGAUUUUAAGUUAUUUUUGUUAUUGCUUUACAAAUAGAUAAGACUAACAAUUAAUACUUAACAUUAAUAACUAAAUUUGAGAUUACAAUUUUCGGAUUAUCGGGAUACAAUGUAGUACCCUCACUUUUUCGAAAUAAAGUUAGCAUUCUUUAUUGGCGGCUAACAUAUUUUGCUUUUCUAUUUGAUGUAAAAAUAAAAAAGAUAAGCACACUCGGUAUUUGCAUAAUAAUAAUAAUAAUAAUAAUAAUAAUAAUAAUAAUAAUAAUAAUAAUAAUAAUAAUAAUAAUAAUAAUAAUAAUAAUAAUAAUAAUAAUAAUAAUAAUAAUAAUAACGAACAGAAAUAUGUCUUUUAAUUUGUGUAGUCAUUGUAUGCAAUGUUCAAAUUGAAAUAUUUUAAUCGAAAGACCAAAAACAGUAUGACGACCACACGGCUCUUUCAUAGAAAAUUUCGUGAUUCCUCUUUAAGUCUAAAUCAUGGAACAAAAAAAUAUCCAAGUGGAUAACUUUAUAUGGCUAUAAAUUUGAGCCUUGUUCCUGCUGUUUUUGUAUCAAUUUAGCUAACUAUUCUAGAAAGAGAAAGCAGCCAUGGUGUCCACUACCUCAAGUUUUCUACUUCUUGUUCUUGUUUCUUCUUCCUUCUUUGUAAUAGAAGCUCAGAUACCUGCUCCAGUGAAAGGUCUUUCAUGGAAAUUUUAUGAAUCUAGUUGCCCUCAGCUUGAAUCCAUUAUUCGGAAGAGGCUUCAAAAGCAGAUCAAAGAUGAUGUUGGUCAAGCUGCCGGUUUACUUCGCCUUCAUUUCCAUGAUUGCUUUGUUCAGGUAAUUUUAUUUAUUUUUUGAAAUGUUUGUAUUUAUUAAUAUAUAUGGUCAUGAUUAAAAAAAAACUACCUUUUAAUUAGUUAUCUUUGAUAUAGUGAUAUUUAAAAGUAGAUUAAUUUCAUUAUUGGUAAAUAUACAUUAUUGUAGGGAUGUGAUGGUUCGGUUUUGCUAGAUGGUUCAGCAGGAGGGCCAAGCGAACAGACUGCAAUUCCUAAUUUGACCCUAAGAAAGAGAUCAUUCAAGAUUAUUGAUGAUCUUAGGAAAAGGGUUCACGAUGCAUGUGGGAAAGUUGUGUCUUGCUCUGACAUUACAGCUAUUGCUGCUAGGGACUCUGUUGUCUUGGUAAGACCAAAAUUACCAUUUAGUCCAUGCUAAUCUUGCUUUAGAUCAUGUUAGUUUAUUUUUACUAAUCAGAAACUCUUCAUUUAAUUUUCAUAACUAUAUUUAUAUAAUUGAGCAACUCACUCUUAACUACUUCUAUUAUAUGUACCUAUAAGUUAAGUUAGACUCAUUUGUUAACGGCCUAGGAAAUUGAUUCACUCCUCAUUCUCUUGCAUAAAUAAAGCUAGCUAUGGGCCGGAGCUGCAACACGUUCUUUAAAACCUAGUAGCUUUUGUCUAAAUUAUUUAUUUGUUUUAAAGAAUGCAUCGAAUAGUACUAUUAAUUAAUUUGAUAGUAGCUUAAUUUACUAUCAAUAACUUAAUUAAUUACUUAUGAGAUUAUGUUCCUUUCAGACCGGUGGGCCCAACUACAAUGUGCCCUUAGGAAGAAAAGACGGACGGACCUUUGCAACAGAACAAGCAACCUUAGACAACCUUGUUGCACCAUUUGCCAACACUACAGUCGUCCUCAGUCGCCUUGCAACCAAGGGUUUAGACGCCACCGACGCCGUCGCUCUAUCCGGGGCCCACACCAUCGGAAUCAGCCACUGCACUUCCUUCACCGACCGUCUCUUCCCUAACCAAGACCCAACCAUGGACCAAACAUUCGCUAACAACCUUAAAACCAGUUGUCCAACCGCGAACUCCAACAACACUGUCGACAUGGAUAUCCGAACUCCUAAUUUAUUUGAUAACAAAUACUAUGUUGAUCUCAUGAAUAGGCAAGGGCUUUUCACUUCUGAUCAAGAUUUGUUCACUGAUACAAG
Molecule: long non-coding RNA, 194438 nt
Filed under: Nicotiana tabacum (common tobacco)
Lineage: Eukaryota; Viridiplantae; Streptophyta; Magnoliopsida; Solanales; Solanaceae
Description: long non-coding RNA (NTAB_LNC000018)
Source: RNAcentral